AGGGUAACUCUUUUAUGGGUCAUCUCAAUCUUCCAUCUCAUCCGAAUCCAAACAUAUCCUUUGUUGAUAUAUCUGACAACAAAAUACAAGGUCCAAUUCCAGCAAACAUUUGUUCAAUCUUUCCACAACUAAAUGGGUUAAACCUAGCAGGCAAUUCCCUUCAAGGUAAUAUUCCUCCUUGUCUGGGUAGUUUGACCACUUCGAAUUUAUUAUUAGAUCUGUCACAUAAUCAGCUAUCUGGAGGAAUACCAGAAAUAUUAGCUCAAAGUGACUCGUUGAGGUUUCUUAGGCUAUCAAAUAAUCAUCUAAGUGGAAAGAUAACCCCAACGAUCUUUUGCUCAACUUCAUUACGAUUGCUAUAUUUAGAUGGCAAUAACUUUGAUGGAAAUAUACCUAGCAUUGAUAUCUCAACUUUCCUUUCAUAUUCCCUUGUUGAUAUGGAUUUAAGUAACAAUAAUUUGUCCGGAGAGCUCCCAAGAUGGAUAUUGAAUGUGUCAAAUUUAAUGGCAUUGGCAGUAUCUAACAAUCAGCUCAAGGGUCUCAUUCCGAUGGAAUUGUGCUAUUUGGAUUCCCUUAGAAUUUUGGACCUUUCAGAAAAUAAAUUUUCUGGCCCAAUACCAUCUUGCUUCGGCACACAAUUUAUCAUACAUCUCCAUUUGAGCAAAAAUAGAUUAAGUGGCACCUUGACAAAUGCAUUCUUUAAUAGCUCUUCCUUGGUGACUUUAGAUCUUAGUGAAAAUCAGUUGAGUGGAGAAAUUCCAUACCAGAUUGGAACUCUUUCUGCUUUGAGUGUUCUCCUUCUAAAAGCCAAUUAUUUUAUUGGAGAAAUUCCCAUUGAGAUAUGCAAAUUAUAUUCUUUAAGUAUCAUUGAUCUUUCUCAAAACAAGCUUUUUGGUCUGAUACCUUCUUGUUUGAGUCGUUUAACUCUUGAUCCAAAUGAUGAAAAAUCUUCAACAAAUAUCUAUGUGGAGGGCUUUGGAGGAAUCUUUGAGCCGGGUAAUUACUUUGGAAUGACUGAAUUUGAAUUUCUCACUUUAAGAGGAUACGAGUCAUUAGAUGUAGAUUUCGAAAUUGAGAAUCAAAUGGAAGAAAAGGUGGAUUAUACAACAAAAAGAGCAUCUUACACAUACAAGGGAAACAUUCUUAAAUACAUGUCGGGAAUUGAUUUAUCAUGCAAUAGAUUAACAGGUGAAAUCCCCAUAGAGAUUGGAAAUUUGAGUGAAAUCCGAUCACUAAACUUGUCGCACAACAAUUUGACUGGACAUAUACCGUCAACGUUCUCAAAGCUCAAGCAAAUUGAGAGUUUGGACCUGUCUCACAACAACUUAAUUGGAAGAAUCCCUGUUCAAUUAACGGAGUUGUACACCUUAGCAGUCUUCAAUGUGUCACACAACAACUUGUCAGGGAGUAUUCCGUCUCCAAAAGCUCAAUUUGGAACCUUUGAUGAAAGCAGUUAUGUGGAGAAUCCUUUUCUCUGCGGGCCUCCCCUGCAUAAAAAUUGCAGCGACCUUGAUUCACCCCCGACAACAGCACCAAAGAGCUCAAACGAGGAAGAAGAAAGUGGUUUGAUGGACAAGUAUGUUUUCUGGGUGACCUUUUUUGUUUCUUACGUGAUUGUGUUACUGGUUAUUGUUCUCAUCCUGUAUAUAAAUCCUUAUUGGCGACAAGCAUGGUUUUCUUUUGUUGAACACUGCAUCAAGACUUGUCAGUACUUUCUUCUGCGAUUUUCCAUCUUCAAAAGGAGUGGGUAGCCUUGUAUUUUGGUGGUUUACAUUUGUAUGUAAUUUUCAUCACUCUUUUUUUAUUUUUCAAAGUUUGAUUGGAUUAUCUGCUUCUAAGUUUUUAGAGCUAGAAUGCAAUAUAUCUGUUAUGGAAAGCAAUAUAUAAAGUUAUGCAUUUUCAAUUAAAACAUUUAAUAUUGCUUUAUAAUUUUUAGUGUUCUGAUAAGAUGAUGUUAAAUUCAACAUAUUGUAGCAUAUAUAUUAAUAAAACCUAUAUUCAUCUAUACAAAUUUUUUAGUCAACCAAACCAUUGAUGUGGUGGCAAAAACUUCACAUUGUUUUCAAGUCUUCAUUGACAUUAGGUUGAGGUUUCAAACCCUAGCGUAAAAGAGGGGGGAGAGGGGUUGUCUGAACCAAAACUUCAUUUCAACAGAUAUCCUUUACCCACUAAAUCAUAUGCUCAACUGAAACUUUUAUAUAUAUAUAUAUCAAACAUGAAUGAUAUAAAUAGUCUUUAAAUUUUUAAAUGAUAUAAAUAUAUAUAUAUUUUUAAAAUGAACAAAAAUUAUAAUAAUUAAUAUGUAGUUUCAUUAUUUUAUUUAAACUCAAAAUAAUAAUAUUUAAAAAUUGAGUUUACGUGAUAUUUAUUUACUUUAAAAUUAAUAAAAUGUAAAUAUAAACUUUAUUUUAUUUUAUUUAUAUUCAAAUUUAAUAAAUGUUUAUCUAAUUUAUUUAAAUUUAAAUAAAUUAAAUAAAUAAGCACACAAUUUUUUUUAGAGAAAGUGAUGACUCUUUUUUAAUGAUGAGAUGUUAGAAGAUUUACCAUAUGUGUAAUGUGGAGACAAUAACCCUAAUAUGUAACUUUUGCACAAUAACCUUAAUUUAUAAUUAGUGAAUCAUCAAUUAAAAAUUAAUUAAUUGAGUAUUUACACUUGUCCAACCAUAUUUUAUUUAAUAAGUGUCAUGGAUCAUAGGUCAAAUAAGUAUCACAAUAAUCACAGUAAUACCUGCAAAAAUUGAAUCCAAAUAAACAUAUCCAUAAAUUGUUAAUGAAAAUUUGUUCGCAGCGAGAACCUUAACUAAGAUUGGAAGAAUUUAUAUGUUUUUGUCUUUUUGCUAAAAUGAGUAUAAAACAUAUAAAAAAUAAAUUAUGAAUGUUCAUUUUUUUAAUAGUUCAAAAAAAUAUAUUAUAUAUAAUAUAUAUUAUUGUUUUGCAUUUGCUCCUCAAAGAAAAUGGAAACAAUCGUAAGCCUAUGGCAUCAUUAGAAACACCAUUAAUCUUGAUGUGUCGCAAAUCUCUAGAAAGUUAGCCAAAUGAGUAUUCAGAUCUUCAUCUUGCAACCUAUCAAACUGAACAUAUUGUUGUACCAUCUGAAUUGUGUUCGACUUUAGCUCAAAAUUAUUUACAGCAAUAGUCAGUCUGACAAUACUCGAUUCAACCCCAAUCAGAAUAGACUUAGCAUAAUCAUACAUAGUCCGAAGAGUAGGAGCUGCAGGAAGCUGUUGAUUAUUUUUAUGAUUAUCCAUCUCCACAUUAAUAUCCUUUUCCUCUUGAUCGUCUACUAAAAUCUAUUUAUCUUGUCUUUUGCUUUUCUAACCUCUCUAAGAUUUCUACGAGCAGUCUUUUCAACUUCACUAUAAAAAAUUAAUGUUUCUGACGAGUUUCCUCUAGUCAUAAACCAAAAGACUCUAUCAUAAUAAAAAAAUGAAAAAUUAGAAUAUUGUAAAAGUUAAAUUAAAAACAAAAAUAUCAAAAUAAAAAUAAAAAUAGCUAAAUUAAUAGAAAUAAAGUUUUCCUAAUAUUUUAGUCCCCUGGCAAUGGCGCCAAAAACAUGAUGCAGUCAUAAACCAACUAAAAAUCUGACUAAGGCAAGUGUACCUAUCAAUUAAUUGUAUAGUUACGAUGAGCAAAUAAAUCGUUCCCACAAAGACUAAAAGUAGUAAUUACUGUCUUUCUAUUAUUUAAUCGAUAAACUCGAGUAAUUGAUUAAAACUAAAAUUAUUUAAAUUAAUUAACAAUGAAUGUGACAAAUAAUAAAUCAGGAAAAUAAUUGAAUAAUAACCAAGAAGCAAAACAAUACCUAGGAAAAAAUUCACCUAGAUUUCAUCUGUCAUUAUCAAUCUAAAUUCCACAAUUUCUUUACUUAGUAUCUUAAUUCAUAGAAAUCCCUAAAUCAUGCUAAUAUCUCUCUUCAAGAAUAAGAGCAAUAACUUUAGGCUGGUUAAUUGAAAUUUCUUUCUAAUUAAAACCCUUAUUAUCGCAUUAAAUCGCUUUAUGGAUUUCCCAAUUACAUUUGACUCUAAUUCGGUGGAUUUAUAUCAUCCUAUUUCUAAGAUUGCAUGCAACUUCACUCAAUUACGCUAGAUCUACUCUUAAACAAGGUCUAUUCCUUCUCUGAUUUAAGCACAACAAACAUGGAUCAACAAUCUAGAAAUAUUAAACCAAGAGUAAAAUACACAUAAUUGAGAGCAAGAUCUAAGUAUUUAUUGUGUAAAAAUAGAAAUCAAAUAAUAUAAUUCAUCCUAAAGCUUAUCUCUCUAGGUAUUUGGAAAAUUAGUUCAUACUUGCAAAUAAAAACAUCCCAAAGACAAUAUAACCAAAAGAAAUAAAGAAGCUCGUGAUAAUCUCCUAAGAAAUCAACUGUGAGUCUUCAAUCUUGACUAAAAUUUGCUUCAGAAUCGGCUUCAAUGGUGUUUUCGAGUUGUUUUAUUGAGCAUUCUAUGACGGCUCUCUCCCCUCUUCUUAUAUUUGUCAUAUAUAGGUCUUAGAAUGCUCGAAAAACCUAAACAAAAGUGUUUUUCCGCAAGUUUGAAGUGUGACUCGUGAUUUCUACGUAGUCUCGCACAUGACCAUGUAGAAGCUCGUGUGGCCACACGGUCGUGUGUCCAGCCCAUGUGGCUCCUGAAACUUGCUCCAAUUUUCACUUAUUUUUCACUCUUUUUGCUCUAAAAUGCUACUAAGUAUAGAAACAUGAAUUUAAAGGAUUAGGAGCAUAAAAUUCACCAUUUUAAUUCGAAUAAUAAUCCAAAAAUGCAUUAAGAAUGAGGCUAAAACAUGUUACUUUUGGCAUUUAUUAAUUUUGCCAACACCCAAAAUAGUUGCUUAAAGGUACAAAUUUAAACAACCCAAAAAAGGGUCAGUAUAAUCCAAAAAGCGUUGUGUUAGGCUUUUCAUAUGAUAACACUUUUAUAUAGUUGGGAAAGGUAUAACAAAAGUCGGCAUAGUGUUGGAUAAAACUGAUUCUUAUUUAAGCGUUGCCUUAGGCAUGCAUAUCCCAACCUUUAUACAAAGAGUUGGCCAAAGCGUAUGUUAACAAGUCUAUCCUAACACUUAGGAAAGUGUCAGCAUAAUGUUGGACAAACUCGAAUCUUAUUUAAGUGUUGCCUUAGGCAUGCAUAUCUCAAACCUUAUACAAAGAGUUGGCCAAAGCAUACGUCGACAAGUCUAGUUAUUAGCUCAAUAGAUCAAACAGGAAUUGCUAAGAGGGGUGAAGUGGCUUUUAAAAAAAUGUGAAAGCUAGAAAGAAAAUUGAAAGAUGAACAUAAUAAUUUAGAAUGGUUUAGCCCCAAUUGCCUACCCCACUACCUUGACUUUCCACAACUAAGGAUUUUCCAAAAUUCACUAAAUUGAUAACCUUUAAGGAUAAGGUUUAACAUUACAACUCUAUUAAGAUUUCUGUAACACCCCAAACCCGGCUAGACGUUAUAACCGAAUCUGGCGAUGUCACAUGGAAUGGGAUUUGAAACCUCGUUGUUACGAUGAAAACAUUCCAUGCUAUUAUCUUUAGUAAACCUUUGUUAGAACUUAGGAAGUCGUCUUUAUUCAUUUAAAACAUUUGUUUUGAAACAUGCCUCGUUGUGGAAGCUUUAAUAAAACAGUCUAUGUGAUCAUGCGUUUAGAAAAUAAUUUAACUUUUUGAAAACGGAAUUUCCUAAGACCCGCAGGUAUAAAUCCAUAAAGUAAAAUAAAUAAAUAAAAACCCAAAUUUAAAACCAAAAUCCUAGAAGGUCCUUAAAUUACAUCCCAAAUAAUCAAUAAUAAUCAAAUCAUAAAUCGUAAAUUGAAAACCAUGAAGUCGAAAAAUUACGGUGGUUACCGCUAAGUCCUCCGUCGCACCGAUCCAUCUAAGUCUAGGGAUUAACUAUGCACAUUAAACAAAAAAUGUGAGUUUACGUAAACUCAGUGUGUAGUCCCGUAGAAACAAACAAACAAUCAGUAUUCACAGUGCACAGUUGAACAGUCUUGGGCCUAAGCCCUUUUCAGUAUCAGUGACAGUUUGGGCCUUAGCCCAUCUCAGUAUAGUGUCAAAAAUGCAGUAGGUCCUUAACCCAUCACAGUAUUAGUAGCAGUAACAAUUAUGCAGUAGCAAAAUCCUACCCAACCAGCCUCUACACACCAUCUUCGUCUAACCCUACAUUCUAUGUGGGGAUAUAAUCAACCUACCCAUCCCUUUUUAAUAAUAACCCAUGCUAGCUAAAUAUUCUAUGUUUUCACUAUUUACUUAUAUGUUCAUUUAAAGCUGUCUACUUGAGUCAUUGUCACUAAAUUAUUUACAUCUUAAGCUACAGAAUUCCAAAUUAAGAUCUGCUUGAUGUUUUCAAAACUGGACUCAGAUAUCUUUCUACCAUAAAUUUUCAAAAUUUAUAGCUUAUCAAAUAAGUACAGUAAAAUCUUCAAAGUUAUCCCUAUUCUGCCAUUUGACAGCUUCAACCUUUUCCUUACUAAAAAUUAUUAAUCUCUUAGUACGAAAUUUGAAUGAUGUUUCCAUUUGUUUCUCUUGAAAGUAGACUUAUUAAAGAUUUAAAUGUAUAAAUUUAAGCCCCUAAUUAUUUGUUUACAAUUUUUGAUAAUUUUCUAAAAUCAGAACAGGGGAACAAGAAAUCAUUCUGACCUUGUCUCAGAAAAUUUAUUAUAUCUCAUAAUUUACAAUUCUAUUGCUUACACUGUUUCUUCGAUGAAAAACUAGUCUCAAUAAAAUUUAAUUUAAUAUUUUAUUCAACCCUUAACUCAAUUUUCACUAUUUUUGAUGAUUUUUCAAAGUUAAACUACUGCUACUGUCUAAAACUAUUUUUGUGCAAAAUGUUGAUUUCCAAGGUUAUAACACCCUUAUUUCCUUUCUCUACAAUUUUUUUCGCAUCAUUUUCUCUUAUGUCUCGACAGCAAGCGAUUUUGACUUUUUGCUGAAUCCCCUUUUCUGCGUUUCGGGUACACACCUGGUUUCGUUAGAUGCUAAAAUAGUCCCCGAGCACUCCAAAGCCUAUAAUUGAACAAAUAACAUCAAUUUAAUCUCACAUAACGUGAUCCCAAAUCAAACUCAUAUCGAGGUUUUAACCCAUAAGCGACUAAACCUUACCUUCAACUGAUAAUAGUAGUUCCCACACAAACUAAGACUCCGAUUGGUGAUUACAAGCCCUUGAAUCAUCCCCUAAUAGGCAGAAACAAAACACUUUAGAAGAAAGUUAACAAAUAGAGACAAAUCACUUAUCUAAAACUUGUCGAACGAUCGCAGACAAACAUGGAGCGACACGAGGCAGAGUGGGAAAAAAAUCAAGAAGAUGAAGGGUGAAAGAGAGCAGAAAUUUGGCAAUAAUGAAGAGAAAAACAGCAAAAGGGUGGAGGGAUUUUGGGGAAAGUAAAAAAAAAGAAAAAAAAAAUUAACAGAAUAUUUGAUAACCACCCCAAUCCCUUAUUUCUCUCCAUCAAACUCCCCACAAAUCCACUACUCAGAUUUUUAGUCCAUCUCAAACUCUCUUGGACACAUGAGCAAAAAUAAUGCCUAUGCUAAGAUUCAAACACAAGACCUCUUUCACACCAACACUCUACUUAUCCACCAAACCAGCAAGCUAAUUUUGUUAAUUAUUUGCCAACUUUUACUUAAAAGUCUACUGACCAAAUAUAGGACUUAUUCAUAAAAAUACCAAAAUUUGCCCAAGUUCUGGCUUGAACUUGGGACCUCCCAAACACACCUAAAAUACUUAACCACUGAAGUAGAUACACAAUUGUGUCACACAUUCACAAUACCCAAAAUUAAAAUUUUUAGGUGUUACAGUGCUUCUUUUACUGAAUUAAACUAUAACCUUACUAACCUUAUAAAAUGCAUAAAAAACUAAUAAAUCACUUGAUUACAAACUCAUUAAGUAUAGAAUCAAGCUUAAUUUGCCACAACGAAUUGUGGUUAAUCAAUUGUUAAUAUGAAAUUUAUUUUUUUAGAACACCAAAUUCUUUCAACCGCAUUUUGAAGCAGUGGUGGAUCCUAGGACAAAGUUUGGAGGGGAGGCUAGUAAAAUUUUUAGGAAUUAUAAUAUAUAUAUUUGCCAUAACCAUCUAAUACUCAUACUUGUUUAUGCUUAUAAUAUAAUUUUUGUAACUAGUAUAAAAAUAAAUUUUUAAAAUGGGAUUUGAGUGUAAUUACGUAUGUAAUCAUUUUAAUUCUCAGUCCCCUAAGAAUUAAAAAGUGUAAUUGAGUGCUCUAAUUACAGCCAAUUCGUGGGACUCACCAAUCAAUGGUUACCCAAACAUGUCAUCUUUGUGUAAUUACUAGCAAUUACACCCAAAUUCAAUUACUAGGUGAUUUUCCAAACACUGUGUAAUAUGUCGCGACAUCUAAGCCCUUUUGUUUUGUACUUUUUUUAACUUAAUUUUUAAGAGUCCAAGAAAAGUAAAUUACUUAUUUGGUAACACUUAUAUUUAGUCAAGCUAAAAAUAGCUUAAUAAAUUGAUGUUAUUUACUAUAUUUGUCAAACCAUUUUAAAACUAAUUUUGGCUAAGUCAAAAUCACUUUUUAUUCAACUUACCUUUACUAUUUUUAGCCAAUUGAAGUCUUAUAAAUACCUUGUUCAUUUUCAUAAUAUACACACUUGCUCAUCCUUUCCAUCCUUUUAAGAUUGCUAAGUAUUUUUUUGUUGUGAUCUAUUAUUGAUUCCUACUCCCUUUUUAUAAUGAAAGAACUUAUUAAUACCUUAAUAUUUUACUAUUGGUUCUUUCUCACUUUUGUUUUAUUUUCAUCACUUUUAAAAUGUUAUUGUAGCGACCUAAAACUUUCUGGGCACGGGCGCUAGUCGAAGUAAUUAUUGAAGGUUUGAAAACAGUGUCUCGAUUUUAUUCGAAAAAGGGAGUCGCCACCGAUCUUUUUUUUUAGGUGUGAUCGGACACCUACAAAAUUCCCUUUUUAGAAGAAAAAUUUAUUUUUAAGCUUUUCUAAAAAGAGGUAAUUUUAGGUCCACGUAAAAAUCCAGAGAAAAUUAGGGUUCGGGAGUCGGUUACGCGCGAGGAAGGUAUUAGCACCCUCGCGACGCCCAAAAUUGGUAUCUCGUUAAACGCAUGUUGUCUUAACUUUCAAAAAUACGAGUUCCAUUUAAUAUUUAGUCGUGAUCCGAUUGAAACACGAGAAUUUUGAAACACAACAACCCCUUUUUUUUGAAAACACGAAAUUUUUUUAAAACGCAAGAAUUUUAGAAACACGAAAUUUUUCUUUAAAAAAACACGAAAAUUUUGAAACACGAGAAUUUUUUCAAAACACGAAUUUUCUUUUUGAAACACGAAAAUUUUGAAAACACAAAGUUUUAUUUUGAAAACACAAAAGAUUUGAUAAAUUACGAAACAUGAGAUUUUUUUUGAAACACGGAAAUUUAUGAAACACGGUCAAUUUUUGAAAACACGAAAAUUUUUGAAAGACGGGAUUUUUUUUUGAAAACACGAAAAUUUAUAAAACACGGAAAUUUUUUCUAAAAACAAGAAAAUUUUCGAAAAACGAGAAUUUUUGAAAACACAGGAAAUUUUUGAAAACAUGAAAUUUUUUGUUACACUAGAAUUUUGAAAACACGAAGAUUUUUGAAACAUGAGGAUUUUUGAAAACACGAAGCUUUUUGAAACAUGAGAAUUUUUUGAGAACAUGAAAACAUGAAAAUUUGUCAAACACGGGAAUUUUUUGAAAACACGAUAACAUCAAAGAGUAGUCAAGAGAGUUUUUUGAAACACGGAAUUUUUUUUGAAAAAAAGAAACACAAAUAUAUUUUUUUGAAACACGAGAAAUUUUUUGAAAAAAAGAAACACGAAUAUAUUUUUUUGAAACACGAGAAAUUUUAUUAUUAUUAUUUUGAAACACGAGAAAUUUUGAAGACAUGAAAAUUUUUGAAACACGAUUUUUUUAAUAAUACCAUAUUUAACACGAAUCGAUGAUAUUCACCCCGAUAUGGUGAUGAAAUCGUCGUAUUAGUGUCAAAACAAAUCAAAUUAAUAUUUAAUCAGGAUUCUAAUAAAACACGAGGAUUUUUAUUAAAACACGAGGAAUUUUGAAUAUUUUCGAUUUUUAGAAGGGCGUCCCGUAUUUAACACGAGCCAUCGAUAUUCACCCAACAUAGCGAUGAAUUCAACGGCUUGAUGCUAAAUCGGUUCGUUGCCUUAUGCAUUAAAAUAUUUUUUCUAUAAAAAAAAUGCAAAUAAAAUUACAUAUAAUAAUAUUUCUAAACUAUUAAAAAACUAAUUUAAUUGUAAUGGGGAAAUAUUUAAAUAAAUGGACUUAAUUAGAGUGGGUUUAAAAAAUUACCAAAAGCCCAAAGUUAUGGGCUUGAAUUUUGGGCCUCCCUUUUCUUUUUUUUCUUUCUCUUUCUUUCCUGGGCGUUGGGCUGCCGGACUGGGCCGAGUCUGCUGGCCCGCUGGUUGUUGAAACAGGCCUGCUACCGCUGCUGGAUCGAGUACAGGCCUUCGUGCGGGUCGGGUCUGCCUCCUGGACUGGGUCGUGGCCUGCUGUCACUGCUGGGCUGCUCUGCUGCGCGUGGGCCUGGGCUGCUGCUUAGCUGCUGGAGUGGCCUGCUGUUGGCCUGCCCAAGAUGGCCUAUUGCUUGCUGGGCCGGUCUGCCACUGCUGCUGGUGUGGGUGGCCUGCUGCUGGCUUGUUGCUGGCUGCUGGCUGGGUUGGAUCCGGGUCAUCGGGUCGGGUUGGCCCGGCUGUUAUUUUUUUUCUUCUAUUUUCUUCUUUCUUCUUUCUUUUUUUCUUUUUUUCCUCAUUUCUUUUUCUUUCCUUUUUCUUUUUCUUUCUUUUCUUCUUCCUUUCAAACCCUAGCCACCGUCUUUUGCUUGGUGGCGCGACAGUGCCGGCGCUUCUCCCUUCUCCCUUCUCCCUUCUCCUCCUCUCUCUUCUUUCUCUCUUUUUCUUUUUCUUCUCUUCUUCCUCUCUUCCUUACUUCUUUACUGUUUGGGUUGCUGUUUUUUUUUGUUUUCUCUUUGCUUGUUUGUAUAGGUGCGACGGUGGUGGUGGUGUCACAACGGCGGUGCGACGACGGUGGUUGCGGGAGGAUGGUGGUGGAGGCUUUCGGCUUGCUGCUAUUUUUUUGUUUUUGAAUUUUUUCUGCUCUUUUUCUUUUGGUUGCCGAAAAACCUUUUCUUUUUGUUUCGGUUUCCCUUGGCUUUCUAGGUGGCGGUGCGGUGGUUGCGGUGGCGGGGUAGUGGCGCGACGGUGGCGAUGGCUUUUGGGCUGCUGUUUUUUGGAUUUUUUUGAGUUUUUCUCUGCUCUUUUUCUAUUUUUUUUUGGUUGCUAUCCGACCCCCUUCCUUCUCUUUUGAUUUUCUUUUUAAUCUCUUCAUUUUUUAUCCUCUUUCUUCUUGUUUUCAGAUGGCAUGGAGGUGAGGAGCAUGGCUGAUUGGCGGUGUCAGGCGUAGGGUGUGGUGCACGCCCAAAUGCUGGUUGGGGGGCAGUCUUGUCAUUCCCAGAAGGACUGAAUUGUAGAGUGUGCAAAGUUUUUAGGGCAAAAAUGUGAUUUUAGGAAAAUAUAGGGACAAAAUGUAAUUUCUAGAAAGUUUAGGGGCCUGACUGUAAUUUAUAAAAUAUUAGGGGUCAAGAUGUAAAUUUAGACAAAGUUAGGGGUCAAAAAAUAAUUUUUGAAAAGUUUGAGGGCCAAAAUGUAAUUUUUAUUUUUUGUAUUUUUAUUUUUUUCAAAAUUUUAUUAUGACUAUUUUAUUAAUAUUUAAAACAAAAAUUAAAAACGGACUAAAGUAAUUCCAAAAUUAAAUCCUAAUGGGCUCGAUCAUUGGGCCCAUACGAGACCGACCCGGCCUAAAAUUCAAACCGGGCAAAAUUCAGUGAUUACAGCUGCCCCUCUUUGCUCAUCGCUGUAAAACAGGGAUAGAGCAAAGACUUAAAAGCACUGAAUUUUGCUCGAUUGUCUAAUUUUUUAUAUUUUUUGAAAGCCUGAAAUUGAAAAAAAAAAGCUUGGUGUGCGAUCCGAAGUUCAACUCACUUUUCAGAUUAUAAGUUGACCUUUGAAAAAUAAAAAAUAAAAAUACCUCAGCUUGACUCGAGGCUCAACUCACCUCUAGGAUUAUGAGUUAAUAAUUUUUUUUUUUGAAAACAUAAAUUGAAAAUACCACAGCGUGACCUGAGGCUUAACUCACCUCUCGCAUUAUGAGUUGAUUUUUGAAAAACGAAAAAUUGAAAAAUACCUCGGCAUGUGACCCGAGGCUCAACUCACCUCUCGUAAUAUGAGUUGAUUUUUUUUGAAAAACAGAAAUUUAAAAUACCUUAGCGUGCGACCUGAGGCCCAACUCACCUCUCGCAAUAUGAGUUGAUUUUUGAAAAACAGAAAUUGAAAAUACCUCAGGAUGACCCGAGGCUCAACUCACCUCUCGUAUUGUGAGUUGAUUUUUGAAAAAAAGAAAAUUUAAAAGAAAUACCUCGGCGUGACCCGAGACUCAACUCACCUCUCGCAAUAUGAGUUGAUUUUUUUGAAAAACAGUAACUUAAAAAUACCUCAGCGUGACCCGAGGCUCAACUCACCUCUCGUAUUAUGAGUUGAUUUUUGAAAAACAAAAAUUAAAAAAUAUAAUUCUUGAAAGAAACAGGGUUUCAAAACAUCAGGUGAAACUAAAGCCUUCUUCUUCGUUGAUUCUGUGCAACUUUCUCUCAGUAUUCCCUGCUCUACUAAGAUACCUGUAUAUGUCAUGUAUGAUGUUAUUAUGAUAUGCACGUGUUUGACCUAAAUGCUUUUAUGCCUACAUAAUCAUGCCAUGAGCCCUGGGCUGUUUGUCUCAUGCCUCCUUUUCGUGAGGGACUGCAUUCAUUGCCUCAAUCAUUGACUUCUCUCUUCGGUUUUGUACUCAUCUUCAAGUUUGUCGGGUGACCCACAUGUCCAUAUUUCCCCUUCUUGCCCCUUUUGUUGAACUUUGUUCCUGCUUUGGGGUCCUUGUACUUAUCAAAUUCUCAUCCAGGUAAUGCUCAACAUUCAUUUUGUUUAGAGUAUGUCAUCUUACUAUUUAUCAUUUAAAUGAAUCAAACACAAGAUGCAUAAAUAAAAUGGCAAAGUAGGCAUGAAAGAAAUACCUCACAUCCAUUUCAUUUUCAAAACCAUCAAACAAAGAAAAUUGACAAGGAAAAAGUUCAAAGAAAGCAUCAUAUAGAAAGGAAAGUGAAUUCAAUGGCCACAAAUGCUCUAGAUAUCCAACGUAUGAACUUCUCCACGUUUCUUCAUCCUGGAUCCUUUCGAGCACGGCUUCUUGUGUAGAAGAUUUCGAGCUUCUGAGAAUGCUUCAAAUAUUGCGACUUUGUCAUUCAACUCUCCGUUCAAGUCACUUUGCUCCUUUAAGCUCGAGCCCACUUCAUUAGGACGCCCUUUCAGGUUUCCAUCCUAAUUCUUUUUGUUUAUCAAAACGCCCUUUUCAGGUUUUCAUCUUGAUUUUCUUUUUCUUUUCUUUUUUCUUUUUUUGUUUUUGUUUUUGUUUUUUUUUGUUCUUUUUGUUCUUUUUGUUCUUUUAUUUUUUUAUUUUUUUUUUGUUUUUUUAGGCAUAAUAUUUCUUUACAGCAUCUGAGUUCACUGGAUUAGGUAACUCUUUCCCGUCCAUCUCAGUGAGAAUCAGAGCCCCUCCUGAGAAUGCCCUCUUUACAACGUAUGGUCCUUCCCAAUUUGGUGACCAUUUUCCUCGAAAGUCCUUCUGUAUUGGGAGAAUCUUUCUCAGUACGAGCUCUCCUUCGCGAAAUUCUCUUGGCCGCACCUUUUUAUCAUGGGCCGUAAUCAUUCUCUUCUGGUACAUCUGUCCAUGACAAAUUACCUUCAAGCGUUUCCCUUCAAUAAGGUUUAGCUGAUCAUAUCGAGCUCGAACCCACUCUGAUUCCUCUAACCUUGUCUCCAUCAAGAUGCGCAGGGAUGGGAUCUCUACUUCGAUAGGCAGAACGGCUUCCAUUCCAUAGACUAGAGAAAAAGGAGUUGCCCCCGUAGACGUCCGUACCGAGGUGCGAUAUGCGUACAAAGCGAAUGGUAGCUUAUCGUGCCAGUCUUUAUAUGUCUCAGUCAUCUUCCCAAUAAUCCUCUUAAUGUUCUUAUUAGCGGCUUCUACUGCUCCGUUCAUCUUUGGGCAAUAGGGCGAAGAAUUAUGAUGUUUUAUCUGGAAUUGCUCACAUACUUCUUUCAUCAUCUUAUUGUUCAAAUUUAAAGCAUUAUCUGAAAUGAUUCUUUCAGGCAGACCAUAUCGGCAUAUAAUCUCCUUUUUUAAGAACCUACAGACUGUAGCCUUUGUCACAUUAGCAAACGAAGUGGCUUCUACCCAUUUUGUGAAGUAGUCUAUAACCACAAAGAUGAAUCGAUGCCCAUUGAAAGCUUUCGGGGAAAUUGGCCCUAUAACAUCCAUGCCCCACAUAGAAAAAGGCCACGGAGAAGUCAUGACAUGAAGGGGUGACGGAGCUGCAUGAAUUUUGUCGCCAUAAAUUUGACAUUUGUGGCACUUUCGUGCGUAACCAAUGCAAUCCCUUUCCAUCGUCAGCCAAUAAUAACCAAGUCUCAUAAUCUGCCUGGCCAUGGUGAAACCACUGGCAUGUGUUCCACAAAUUCCUUCAUGAACCUCUUCAAGUAUCUUUCUAGCUUCAACAGCGUCCACGCACCUCAGGAGCACUUGAUCUUUUCCCCUUUUGUAUAGAAUAUCCCCGUCAAGAACAAAUCCAAUCGCCAUUCUCCUGAUUGUUCUUUUGUCAUUCUCGUUUGCUUGCUCGGGGUACCUUUGAUUCUUGAUAUACUCCAAGAUAUCAUGGAACCAUGGUCGUCCAUCUGACUCCUCCUCAAUACUAAAGCAGUGUGCGGGGGUCUCAUAUAUACUCAUUUGGAUGGGCAUUAUCUCAUUUUCUCUGUUUGCCUUGAACAUCGAAGCCAAGGUGGCUAGGGCAUCAGCCAGUUGGUUCUCCUCUCGUGGAAAGUAGUUAAAAGUCACUUUAUAGAACUCCUUGAUCAGCUCUGCAACGAGAUCAUGAUAUUUGACUAAUUUUGGAUCUCUCACUUCCCAAUCUCCACGAAUUUGAUAAAUGACUAAUGCUGAGUCCCCGUGUACCUCUAAAAUUUUGAUUUUUCACUUGAUAGCUGCACGAAGUCCCAUGAUGCAAGCCUCAUAUUCCGCUAUAUUAUUUGUACAGAAGAAAUUCAAUCUGGCAGUAAGCGGGUAAUGGUCCCCUUCAGGUGACACUAAGACUACUCCUAUCCCAUGCCCCAAUACAUUUGAUGCACCAUCAAAGCUCAUCUUCCAUGACUUUCCUUUUGAUGACUCGCCCUCUUUUUCUGAAAUACACAUCAAAUCUUCAUCUGGGAACUCAAAUCUCAAAGGCUCGUAUUCCUCCAUUGUUCGACUUGCCAAGAAGUCAGCUAUUGCGCUUCCUUUUAUCGACUUUUGGCUCACAUAUACAAUGUCAUACUCAGUCAAUAGGAUUUGCCAUCGGGCCUUUCUCCCUGAGAGUGCAGGUGACUUCAUCAUGUACUUUAUUGGGUCCAGUUUUGAAAUUAACCAUGUCGUGUGAUACAGCAUGUAUUUUCUGAGCCUUCGAACUGUCCAAAUCAAUGCACAACAAAACUUCUCAAUUGACAGGUACUUUGCCUCAUAUUCUGUGAACUUCUUGCUGAGGUAGUAAAUUGCCUUCUCUCUUUUCCCUGACUCAUCAUGUUGUCCCAGUACGCAACCCAUUGAGUUCUCAAACACGGUCAGGUACAAUAUUAAGGGUUUUCCAGGGGUCGGCGGUACUAGCACAGGAGAAUUAGAUAGAUACUGUUUUAUCUUGUCGAAGGCCACUUGGCACUCCUCGUUCCAUUCUCCCGGAUUACGUUUUCAAAGGAGUCGAAAAAUUGGGUCACACUGAUUGGUAAGUUGAGCAAUGAAUCGAGCAAUGUAAUUCAACCUUCCUAAAAAACCUCUGACUUCCUUUUGUGUACGCGGGGGAGGCAAUUCUUGUAUAGCUUUUAUCUUAUCUGGAUCAACCUCGAUACCUCUUUCACUAACAAUGAAACCUAGCAGUUUUCCUGAGGUAGCCCCAAAUGUACAUUUGGCCGGGUUAAGCUUCAACUGAAACUUUCUUAAUCUUUCAAACAACUUCCUAAGACUCCCAACAUGCUCUCUUUCUUCCCGAGAUUUGGCAAUCAUAUCAUCGACAUAAACUUCUAUUUCUUUGUGCAUCAUAUCAUGGAAUAACGUCACCAUGGCUCUCUGAUAUGUUGCCCCAGCAUUCUUUAAUCCGAACGGCAUUACCUUGUAGCAGAAGGUUCCCCACAUUGUUAUGAAUGUAGUUUUCUCCAUAUCUUCGGGAGCCAUCUUUAUCUGAUUAUAUCCUGAGAAACCAUCCAUGAAAGAAAACAGAGAAUGCUUUGCCGUAUUAUCCACCAAAGUGUCGAUGUGCGGUAAAGGAAAGUUAUCUUUAGGGCUUGCUUAAUUCAGAUCAUGAUAAUCCACGCACAUUCGCACCUUGCCAUCUUUCUUCGGCACUGGGACUAUAUUAGCUACCCAUUCUGGAUACUUUGAGACUUGUAGGAAGCCAGCGUCAAAUUGUUUCUUGACUUCUUCUUUUAUCUUUAACAGCAUUUCGGGUCUCAUCCUUCUUAAUUUCUGCUGAACGGGCUUGCAUUCUGGUUUCAGUGAGAGCUUGUGGACCACAAUAUCCGUGUUUAAUCCUGGCAUAUCUUGAUAAGACCAGGCAAACACAUCCUUGUAUUCAUGGAGCAAGGCGAUCAAAUCUUGCCUUGUGUUUUUUGAAAUCGAAGUCCCAAUCUUCACUUCUUGUUUCUCUUCUUCAUUCCCCAAGUUCACUACCUCAACAGAUUAUUGAUGGGGUAGGAUUUGUUUCUCUUCUUGUUCCACCAUUCUCAGUAAGUCAGGAGAUGAGACACAAUCUUCAACAUUUUCGUCAGCUUCGAAUUCUCCUAAACAAAUAACCUUCUCAAAAUUGAUUUCAGGAUUCAUAACGGGAUUAUUCAUGCCAUUGAUAUCUGAACACCUGAAAGGUGAAUGGAAAAAGGAUAUAGAAGAGUAUUGAGGUAUUGUAAUCAACACACAAUGAUAUGAGAUGAUAUGAGACAUAUGCCAGAAAAGGAUAUGAACAGAAGGAGUAGUCGCAAAGUUAAUGAAAAGAAUAUGACAAUAUAAAACAAAAUGCAUCUUCAUUAAUGUUCAUUGAAAUGAUAAAGAGCAAACAUAAGCUCUUACAAAAGGAACCCUACUGUUUAAGGACACACAAAAUGAAGGGUUAACAUUGAGCAUUACUCUGAAGGGGACUUAAAAACUACAAGGAGGUCCUCAGCAGUCCAGUUGUUCAAAACAUAUCCUGGAGGACAAUGGCGUAUCAUUGAAGCAUUCUUAAUUUCAUCAUUCUCAUUGUCAAUAGCAUUUAGGCUGAGAUUCUGAAGACCCUUUUCAAUCAAUAAUGUGGCUUGCAAAUUGUUCUGCCCUGGGUACAUCACUCCUGCUGAUGUAAAUGUUCUCGACAAAGGAGGAUACGCCAACGGCCCCCAUUCUAAUUCCUGGCCCGAAGCUCUUGCGAUUCUUCUUUCUCGAUUUUUCUGAAAUUGUUUUUAUCUUUGAUGUACAUCUGGCUUGAACCCCAAACUGUAUCGACCCUUAUGGUGCGUUGGUUUCAAAGCUCUAACCAUCCUUUGUUGAUAUUUUCCCAAACCUUUCCUCGCUCGAGCUCCUUUUCCCACAGUCAGCUUAAGUCCCAUCUUGGUAUUCCUCGACAGUUUGGGAAUGGGGAUCUUAUUCCCUUCAGUAACAAAUGCAGCAUUGAUAAAUUUCAAGAAGCGAAAAGAACAUUCUACAGCAUCUUCGCUUAUUUCGAUGUAGGGUGCAUCAGUAGAGAUAGAUGCGACGAUGUCUUCCUCGCCACCAACAGUAAUCAAACGACUAUCCAUGAUGAACUUUACUUUCUGAUGGAGAGAUGAAGGAACUGCCCCAGCAGAAUGGAUCCAAGGUCUUCCUAACAGGCAAUUGUAUGAAGGUGUGAUGUCCAUGACCUGAAACUCGAUAUCGUAUGCACAUGGCCCCACUUUUAAAGGAAUUUCGAUAUUUCCCAUGACCUCUCGCCGUGUCCCAUCAAAUGCCCUUACUAUAGAAUGACAAGGCCUCAGAUAGGACAUAUCAACCGGCAUCCUAGAAAGCGUGGCCAAAGGCAUAACAUUGAGUGCAGAUCCAUUGUCGAUGAGCACAUUUGGUAAUAUGUAACCUUUGCAAUUGGUUGUGAUGUGCAAUGCUUUUAUGGAGCCCCUUCCAUUUGGCGGUAUUUCGUCGUCACUAAAGGAGAUGAAAUUAUCUGCAUUUAGAUUAUUUGCCCACCUAUCAAGCUUUUCCACAGAUACAUUGUUCGCCACAUAAGCUUGAUUUAACACUUUUAACAAGGCAUUCCGAUGUGGCUCUGAAUUCAACAAUAGAGACAGUACCGAGAUACGGGCUGGCUGCUUGUUUAAUUGUUCUACAAUGCUAUAUUCACUGUGCUUAAUGAACUUUAAGAACUCACAUGCUUCCUCCUCAUUCACAGCCUUUUUAACUUCUUCCUCGGGUGGUAUUUCAACAUCAUCCUCAGCCUCAUACAUUGGUGCUUUUCUUUUUUGGCUCGGACCAGCAACCUUCUUCUUUGGCUCAACCGUCUCGGGAGAAUAACAUCUUUCGCUACGAGUAAAAUGUCCUACUCCGCUAACACCUUCACUCACAACCUUGGACUUUUCACCCUCAGGUACAAUGAUAUUGACAUCAUAAUUCUAAGGCACCGCCUUGUUGUCCUUAUAAGGGAAAGGAGCAGGUACUUCAAUUAUCAAACUUGGUUUAACUUCUCGACUAACUUCUUCCUUCUUUGUCCCGUAAUAAAUCACCAAAGGUCUAUCGACGCUAUAAAGGGAAGCCAUUGAUUGAUUAUUAGAGGCACAUAUUUCUCCUUCUUCGGCCCCCUCCACCCUAUCAAAGACCUUGACCUCUUUGUUAUCCAUCAUGUCUUGAAGUAAUUUCCUAAAUUCCUUACAAGAUUGGAUGUCAUGCCCUUGGACGCCAUGAAAAUCACAGAAACUCUGGUCUUUUGUACUUUCUUCUUUAAGAAUCUUACUAGACGGACAGAGCAAGCCAUUUUCAAUCAUCAUCUCCCAUACCUUCCGUAAAGGUGUCUUUACUUCGGUAACACAACCUUUGGCUUGACAAUUGUCUUCAUUUGUCACCGCAUUUACAUUCCCGUCAGUAUGGUUAGGAAGAGGAUUUCCUGUCACAUUGCUAACAUCGUCGAACCGUAGAACACCGGCAUCAAUAAGACCUUAAACCCUCCUUUUAAAAGCAAGACAGUUUUCUGUAGAAUGUCCCUGAUUCCCAGCGUGAUACAUGCAAUUAGCGUUAGGAUCAUACCACUUCGGGUAUGGAGGCUUCAGGGGUGCCAUGUAAUGUGGGGAUAUUAAUUGUUUUUCCAACAGCUUUGGGUAUAAUUCUCCAUAUGAUACAGGAAUUAGAGUAAACUGAGGUCUUUCAAGAUUGGGUCUUGCCGGUCUUUGUUCAUUUUUGGGUUGGCUUUGUACAGGUAUGGUGUUUGGCGGGAACACGGUGAAUGGUCUUUGGUUAUUCACAGCAUAAACGGGGUAAGAUAGGGGUGCUUGAUAGUAAGGACUUUGAGGAGGAAAGUAGAAGUUUGAAGGUGGGCGGUAAUGAGGUCGUGGUUGGGUGAGGUACGGAUUAGGGGUACAUUGGCUUUCAGUCCCAACCAUAUGGGCCUCUGCCUCCUUUUUCUUUGCGGGUACUGUCCUCUUCGAACUCUCAGGACCUUCCAUUCUCCCACUCUUGACGGCGUUUUCGAUAAGUUCCCCGGAUAUUACAAUAUCUGCAAAGUCCUUUGUGGCACUUCCCACCAACUUAUCGUAAAAUGGCGCUUUUAGAGUGUUGAUGAAGAGGACCGUUAUCUCUGUCUUAGUUAACGGAGGCUCCACUUGAGCCGAGAUAUCCCUCCAUCUUUACGCAUAUUACCGAAAAGUCUCUGUCGGCUUCUUUUCCAUCAUUUGUAAGGUUAGUCGAUCAGGCACCAUAUCUGUUACAUGCCUAUAUUGCUCACAGAAUGCUGAAGCCAAAUCCUUCCAUGAUCGGAUUCUCUCUCUACUGAGUUGAUUAUACCAUCGAAGGGUUGAGCCAAUCAAACUAUCUUGAAAGUAAUGCACCAACAAUUUAUCAUCGUUUACAUAACCAGUCAUCUUUCGGCAAAACAUGAUCAGAUGCGCCUUUGGACAUCUUGUUCCGUCAAAUUUCUCAAAAUCAGGUGCCUUAAAUUUUGGUGGUAGGACCAAAUCAGGUACCAAACUGAGCUCUUUGGCACUCAAAGCAGAGAAAACUUCAGCGCCUUCUACUGCCUUGAUCCUCUAUUCCAGGACUCUAUACUUAUCCUGAGCGUUAUUGUCAUCAAUUCUCAGCCUUGCUACUUCUACAGGAUCAUCUAGGUCUGGAACAAUUGGAUCUGAAGGAUUAGCCCCAGGGUUCGAUACAAACAUUCCUUGUCCUAAAUGAGCAGAUGGAGCAGGAUGUUGUUCCAGGCCUGUAGGUUCCCUUUGGGGGUAUCCUCUUUGCAUUGCGUGGACAUGAGGUGGAGUAAAUCCCGGGGGAUAAAGUGGGUCUUGAUUAGCUCUUGACUGAGGCGGUUCUACGACAUUAGGGCUCUGUAUAGGUCCCUUUCCUUUGACCAAAGCCGUCAUCAUUUCUAUCAUUUUAGCCAUUUGAUCCCUUUGCUCGAGCAAUUCUUCUCGAGAUCUCACCAUCAAAUCUCUUGCCUCUUGCUGCGACUUGGCCAGUUGCUCCUGCAACUCUCUUUGGGUUCUUUCCAUCCUUUCCAUCCUUUCAUUGAGUUCAGCAUCCAUAGCUCUAGCUCUUAAGCGCGUCCUAUAAGAGUGACGUGAUUCCAGACUCGUAGUGUAGUAACUGUGGAUUAGAUGGUUUUACCCUUAGCGAAUGAUUAAGGUGAUAUGAGAAUACAAUGAAUAAAUGAAUGAGUAACUAAUGAAUGUUAAUCAUGCGUAAAUAUGCAAAAAAGGGUGUUGAUUCCAAAAUGGCCCCAUACUUGGGCGUUUCAUUUAUCAAAAGAGUCCGUUACAAAAAGUUUUGCCAUCCUAGUUCAACAAUUACACGAAUUUCCUAGCCACAUCGCCUUGCUUCUUCAUACGUUCCAAGAACUCUGAUAUGCUUGAUCUUUGGCUAGGAGGGUAUUGGCAACUGAGAACUUCCGCUUCAUCUGAUAAUUGUACUAUUUGUGCAGCCGCCUUACGAAUUUCAUUGAUCAACCUACCGAGAUGCAUAUCCUUUUCUUGGAGGGCUCUUUCAUAAGCACGAAUGUCUCUGUCAUGCUGAUCAUUCUUCUCUUCUAAAGCUCUCAAGAGGUCAUCCAGAUGUUGCUGAUGAGCUUGCAGUGUACUCUCUAGACUUCAGAUUUUUCCUUUUAGCCCUUGAUGCUCAGACUGACUAGCCGUUAGUUCUGCAGUCACAGUUUCGUAUUCAACGUUCUUCUUCCUCAACUCUAUCAUAGCACAUGCAGCUCUUUCCUCUUCUUUCUUUGCUUUGGCUUUCCAGAAUUCCAUCCCACCUUUGAUAUUACUUAGUUCCUCUUUCCAUUCUGCUGAUGCUUUGCCCAAUCCACUAUUUCUUAUAGUGCCCCUUAAUUUCUUGUUUUCCAAAUGAAGGUCCCUUAAAUUCUUUCUCGUAACUUGAACUUCUUUUUGGACUUUUUCGGCUCUGGAUUUUUCAAUUUCGACAUCAAUCUUCAGCUGGUAGUUCUCCUCCUGAAGAGAUUAAUAUCUCGCAACAUUUUGGCCUUUUCACGUUCAAAUUCAUGUCUUGCAAUUUCUAGCUCGGAUGGGGUUUUCUCUGAGAACGGAUUCUGGCAAGCUUCAUUAAUUGGUGGGGUUACUUGACUCUUCACUCGUUGUUGCCUCCAUAGGUCAUAGUCUACAGUGAUAGUAUCAGCAUAUAGAGCCAAUUCCAUUAGGUAGAUUCGCCUCCAAGAAUUCGCAGUAUCUCAAACCUUUUUCAUGUAACCCUCACCCAUAAAGGCAAACUCCGAUUGUGCCAAUCCAUCGGUAACUGGUACAAACUGUCGCGAAGCGAACUGUCUUUAAACCAACAAUGGAGCAUAUCCAACUCCUCCCCAUAAUCCUAAUAAAGGUAUCCAGUCUUGGUUUCCACACUUGUAUAACAAGACAGAGGGACGAAUCCAAGGUGCUCUCCAAGUUAUAUCUUCGACACGGAGGUUCUGAAAGACCGAGACCCAGUGUUGUUCAGUGACAUCUUUCGGCCAAUCUUUUCCAAGGUGUGCUUCCAACGGGGCGAAUGUCUUUGAAAACAUGUGGAAAGGCGUACGCUCCACCCUCCAAAAAUGGCUAAAGAUCCAAACAUUCAGUAACUGAGCGCAUUCGAUAAAACGUCCUUCCCCUUUUCUCCUACAAGCAUUUAGAGAUCUAAAAGUCUCAGCCAAGAUGGCUGGGACCGGGUUAACUCUUUGCCUCAACUUUUCGAAGAAAUCCACAACCGCAACUUCAAUAUGCCCAAGAACCUUCGGGAAGACGACCAGUCCGUAAACAGCCAAGGCAAACAAAUCUACUCUUUUUAACACAUCUGGAUGAUUCUGAACUAACUCCCGCAGAGAAAACCACGGGACACAACUGACUUCAUUCUUCUUCUUUAUCUGUUUUUCAGCCCAUGUAUCAGUCAUUCCCGUCAACUUCAUUAGCUUUUUCUUGAAGGUCAUUGGUUUAGGCUCCUUCACAUAUAUCUUGUUGAGUUGCACAUUAUCGAUGCGAAGCAAAGCGGCAUACUCUUCUAUGGUCGGAGUCAUAUCUUCCUGAUUGAAAGUGAAACACUGAUAGGCUGGGUCCCAGAAUCGAACCAUGGCUUGGAUCAACUGCUCGUUCACAUCGAUUGCUAUCAAGUGAGCUAUAUCCCCAUACUUUUCAGUGGAGAUGCUUCUAGUAUCUGAGUCCCACUGCUUCCAAAUCCUAGUCAAGUCUUCGAGAUCAUUUUGACGAGCAUUCAAAGUCACACGCUCGGGAAGAUCAGAGGUGUAUCCUUCCUUCAAACUGUCCCCUUUCACUUUUUGAGUUCUCAAAGACCAAUCUCGGACUACAGCAUUUUUCUCGGUUACUCGUGUAAUUGACUCCUCCAUCAGAAACCCGUUUUUGGCAACCAAUAUUUAACCAACACCUUCCUAAUGAGAUGUCUACGAUGCAUGAUGGAAAAUAAGAUGAAAAACAAAUAACCUUGGUUAGAGAUCACAACAGAUAUAAACAAAAGAAAAAUGAAAAAUAAAGACUAUGGAAAAUUUAACAAAUUAAGCUAUUCAAUCAUGCAAUUUGGUGGAACAGACCCACAUUUUUUUUUGCCCCAACAUGCUUUACAAGAAACCUACCCCACAUACCAUCAGACCAUCUAUCCGACCCAAUUUAUUGAAUAGACUCAAUUUAUCUGCAAAUAAGUGUAAAUGUAAAAGAAAUAAAAGGUAAGAGGCGUUUCUCCCGUGCACUUAUUUUGGUAACUAUCAAACGGACAGAGGUUCUGUAUGGCUCUACUCGGGUGGCCUAUACGGUUCACUAUAUGUAGUUUCGGUUUUAGAAAGGUACUCGAAUUGUCCAUACUAUCACCUACUAAGGUUAGUACAGAGCUUCGGUUAUCGCCCGUCAGGGCUCGCGAGCUCAAUUCGAGGGAUUACAUUUACUUAUGCCUAUGCGGAGGGACAAGUUAACUCACGAAAGCAUAAGUCAUAUGUAACCCGAAAGUAAUUACUAGCCUGUGCGGAGGGACGAGUUAACUCACGAAGGCGUAGCGUUUACUUCCACUUAAACGGACAGAGCCCGGGUAGAGAGCUCAUGUUAUGCAAAAAAUGCAAGUGCACUGUGUGUGGAGAGAAACUCACAAACCUUUUUAUUUUUACUUUUACUAAAAAAAACAAACUAAAACCAUAAAACUUAAAGCUGAAAAAAACACGAAAAUAAAAAAGGUUAGAAAAAUAUUAAUUUCAAAACUGAAUACGGAUGCAUGAUUUUUUUCAAAACAAAAUUCAAGGAUCACGAUUAAAAAUUAAUUUGAACAAGAAAAUUUGAAAAUUUUGACAACACACGUUUAACAUCAGACUCGACUCUCAAAAAAAACUCCCCAGCGGAAUCGCCAGCUGGAGCGACCUAAAAAUUUCUGGGCACGGGCGCUAGUCGAAGUAAUUAUUUAAGGUUUGAAAACAGUGUCUCGAUUUUAUUCGAAAAAGGGAGUCGCCACCGAUCUUUUUUUUUAGGUGUGAUCGGACACCUACAAAAUUCUCUUUUUAGAAGAAAAAUUUAUUUUUAAGCUUUUCUAAAAAGAGGUAAUUUUAGGUCCACGUAAAAAUCAAGAGAAAAUUAGGGUUCUGGAGUCGGUUACGCGCGAGGAAGGUAUUAGCACCCUCGCGACGCCCAAAAUUGGUAUCUCGUUAAAUGCAUGUUGUCUUAACUUUCAAAAAUACGAGUUCCAUUUAAUAUUUAGUCAUGAUCCGAUUGAAACACGAGAAUUUUGAAACACAACAACCCCUUUUUUUUUUUUGAAAACACGAAAUUUUUUUAAAACGCAAGAAUUUUAGAAACACAAAAAUUUUCUUUAAAAAAACACGAAAAUUUUGAAACAUGAGAAUUUUUUCAAAACACAAAUUUUCUUUUUGAAACACGAAAAUUUUGAAAACACAAAAAAUUUGAUAAAUUACGAAACAUGAGAUUUUUUUGAAACACGGAAAUUUAUGAAACACGGUCAAUUUUUGAAAACACAAAAAUUUUUGAAAGACGGGUUUUUUUUUUGAAAACACGAAAAUUUAUAAAACACGGAAAUUUUUUCUGAAAACAAGAAAAUUUUCGAAAAACGAGAAUUUUUGAAAACACAAGAAAUUUUUGAAAACAUGAAAUUUUUUGUUAAACUAGAAUUUUGAAAACACGAAGAUUUUUGAAACAUGAGGAUUUUUGAAAACACGAAGCUUUUUGAAACAUGAGAAUUUUUUGAGAACAUGAAAACAUGAAAAUUUGUCAAACACGGGAAUUUUUUGAAAACACGAUAACAUCAAAGAGUAUUCAAGAGAGUUUUUUGAAACACGGAAUUUUUUUUUGGAAAAAAGAAACACGAAUAUAUUUUUUUGAAACACAGGAAAUUUUUUGAAAAAAAGAAACACGAAUAUAUUUUUUUGAAACACGGGAAAUUUUAUUAUUAUUAUUUUGAAACACGAGAAAUUUUGAAGACAUGAAAAUUUUUGAAACACAAUUUUUUUAAUAAUACCAUAUUUAAUACGAAUCGAUGAUAUUCACCCCGAUAUGGCGAUGAAAUCGUCGUAUUAGUGUCAAAACAAAUCAAAUUAAUAUUUAAUCGGGAUUCUAAUAAAACACGAGGAUUUUUAUUAAAACACGAGGAAUUUUGAAUAUUUUCUAUUUUUAGAAGGGCGUCCCGUAUUUAACACGAGCCAUCAAUAUUCACCCAACAUAGAGAUGAAUUCAACGGCUUGAUGCUAAAUCGGUUCGUUGCCUUAUGCAUUAAAAUAUUUUUCUAUAAAAAAAUGCAAAUAAAAUUACAUAUAAUAAUAUUUCUAAACUAUUAAAAAACUAAUUUAAUUGUAAUGGGGAAAUAUUUAAAUAAAUGGACUUAAUUAGAGUGGGUUUAAAAAAUUACCAAAAGCCCAAAGUUAUGGGCUUGAAUUUUGGGCCUCCCUUUUUCUUUUUUUUUCUCUUUCUUUCCUGGGCUUUGGGCUGCCGGACUGGGCCGAGUCUGCUGGCCCGCUGGUUGCUGGAACAGGCUUGCUACCGCUGCUGGAUCGGGUACAGGCCUUCGUGCGGGUCGGGUCUACCUCCUGGACUGGGUCGUGGCCUGCUGUCACUGUUGGGCUGCUCUGCUGCGCGUGGGCCUGGGCUGCUGCUUAGCUGCUGGAGUGGCCUGCUGUUGGCCUGCCCAAGAUGGCCUAUUGCUUGCUGGGCCGGUCUGCCACUACUGCUGGUGUGGGUGGCCUGCUGCUGGCUUGUUGCUGGCUGCUGGCUGGGUCAGAUCCGGGUCGUCGGGUCGGGUUGGCCCGGCUGUUAUUUUUUUCUUCUAUUUUCUUCUUUCUUCUUUCUUCUUUUCUUUUUUCCUCCUUUUUUUUCUUUCCUUUUUCUUUUUCUUUCUUUUCUUCUUCCUUUCAAACCCUAGCCGCCGUCUUUUGCUUGGUGGCGCGACGGUGCCGGCGCUUCUCCCUUCUCCCUUCUCCUACUCUCUCUUCUUUCUCUCCUUUUCUUUUUCUUCUCUUCUUCCUCUCUUCCUUACUUCUUUACUGUUUGGGUUGCUGUUUUUUUUUGUUUUCUCUUUGCUUGUUUGUAUAGGUGCGACGGUGGUGGUGGUGUCACAACGGCGGUACGACGACGGUGGUUGCGGGAGGAUGGUGGUGGAGGCUUUCAGCUUGCUGCUAUUUUUUUAUUUUUGAAUUUUCUCUGCUCUUUUUCUUUUGGUUGCCGAAAAACCUUUUCUUUUUGUUUCGGUUUCCCUUGGCUUUCUAGGUGGCGGUGCGGUGGUUGCGGUGGCGGGGUAGUGGCACGACGGUGGCGAUGGCUUUUGGGCUGCUGUUGUUUGGAUUUUUUUGAGUUUUUCUCUACUCUUUUUUUAUUUUUUUUUGGUUGCUAUCCGACCCCCUUCCCUCUCUUUUGAUUUUCUUUUUAAUCUCUUCAUUUUUUUGUCCUCUUUCUUCUUGUUUUCAGAUGGCAUGGAGGUGGGGAGCAUGGCUGAUUGGCGGUGUCAGGCGUAGGGUGCGGUGCACGCCCGGAUGCUGGUUGGGGAGCAGUCUUGUCAUGCCCAGAAGGACUGAAUUGUAGAGUGUGCAAAGUUUUUGGGGCAAAAAUGUGAUUUUAGGAAAAUAUAGGGCCAAAAUGUAAUUUCUAGAAAGUUUAGGGGCCAACUAUAAUUUACAAAAUAUUAGGGGUCAAGAUGUAAAUUUAGAAAAAGUUGGGGGUCAAAAAAUAAUUUUUGAAAAGUUUGGAGGCCAAAAUGUAAUUUUUAUUUUUUGUAUUUUUUUUAUUUUUAUUUUUUUUUCAAAAUUUUAUUAUGACUAUUUUAUUAAUAUUUAAAACAAAAAUUAAAAACGGACUAAAGCAAUUCCAAAAUUAAAUCCUAAUGGGCUCGAUCAGUGGGCCCAUACGAGACCGACCCGGCCCAAAAUUCAAACCGGGCAAAAUUCAGUGAUUACAGUUAUUUUAUUAUCUUAAUUAUUUUUCAAAAUUAAUAGAAUUUUAUUAUAAAUUAGGGCAGUUCUCAUUUAAUUAAAAAGUUUAUAUAUAUUAAAAUUAUAAAAAUAUAUUAUUUAGUAAAUUAAAAAAUAAACAAAUACAUAGUUUAAUUAACAGUAAUAUUGUAUUUUCUCCAUUAUGUGGUAUUUUCCCUAUAAAUACAUAGUUUUAGGUUUAUACCUAGAGUUAGCCACCUUAGUAUUAUUUUGCUUUAGUGUUUUCUUUUGUCCAUGAAUUUCUAAAUCAUCUUUUCUAGUCAAAGGGAUUUUGAACUUUGAUUGUAAUAGUUUGUAAGAUCUAAUUGCUCUUCAUCUAUUCUUUGUUCUUUAGCGCUUGCAUGUGUUCUAUUUUAAUUACAAAUAUUCAAGUUUGUUGGAUAUUGGUACCAUAUUCAAUUGCUUAGAACAUAGUGACAAAUAACAUGAUUACAUAUAAACUAUGUAUGCAAUUCAUGUUAUGUGGAUACCCGAUUUAAUCUAAAUGAACCCCGUUGGUGUGUGUUAGUUGGUCAGAAAUAGGUUUCUCUCAUUCUUAAUACUACCUAUAAUUAAGCUAAAUCCUAGGCACGAAGUUAUAGGGCCUCUUGGUUAUCGAAAGGUAAUGAGAGAUUGUUUAUAUGGUUCUUAAUGCUAGGUGCGACAUGGGCAACUAUAACUAAUUUAUUAAAAACACUAAAAUUAUAUUUGCAUCAUUGAUCAAACUCAUGAAUCAAAAUUGAGAUUUUACCUUAGUUAGACUCUCAUUAUAUUGAUUUUGCUAUAUUUUAUUUUGCAAUCUUUUUCUUUUACAAAGUUUUAAUUUUAAUUUUAAAAAUCCUUAUUUUUAUUUUACUUGUUUUUUUAAAGAAUUAGAACAAUCACUAGUCUUUGUGGAUAUGGCUCUACUCACAGUCAUCUACAAAUUUAUUUUUUUAGUAAGAAUUUAUUUUUCUAGGUCACAACAACCAUACAACUUUUGACACCAUUGUUGGGGAUUGGUGUCAAUAAUUUUAUUUCCUUUUAAAUUCAAAUAAGAAUUUUCAAGAAGAGUGAAUGAGGUAAAUAUUUCUUUUUCCUAAUAAUCAUUGAGACCAAACGAUAACAUUAAUGAUGACCUUGAUAUUUGUGGGUGUCGAAAUAUCCCUUAAAAAAAUGUAUUUCAAAUUUUAACUUUCCUGAAAACAUAUAUUAUAAAUAAUAAAAUAUCUAAUAACAUAGUAAAAAAAAUCCAAGUUUUGGUUCCCCUAUAAUCGAUGGCCCAGUUUGCCUUUAACGAGCACUACACCAAAACAGGCUUUUAGCGGCGUUUGAAUAAAAAAUGCCUCUAAAGAUCGAGCAUUAGCGACUCUUUUCGGAAAACGCCGCUAAAUAUCGAACUUUAACAUCGCUUUAUGGAAAACGCCGCUAAAUAUAAGCAUUAGCGGCGUUUUCUAAAAAGCGCCGCAAAAAACCUAUGCUUUCGGGGUUUUAGCGGCGUUUUUAAUGAAGCGCUGCUAAUGCUCAGGGCUUUAGCGGCAUGUUUUGGGAAGCGCCGCUAAUGCUUAGGGCUUUAGCGGCGUUUUUGAGAAAGCGCCGCUAAUACUCUAUUUUUAGCGGCGUUUUCUAAAAUGCGCUGCUAAUGCUCAGGGAUUUAAAAUAAUCUAAAAUAUUUUUUAAAAAUGGAAAAAUUAAAAUACUAUAAGUUCUUUUAAACAGAAUAUAUGGCAUAACCUAUAAUAUGGAAUAAAAGGCGGCAUCACGUGUUAAUUUAAUUUAAUUAUUAUUUAAAAAUUUAUAUAAAUAAAAUAGACAUAAUGAUUUAUUUAUCCUUCUAACUUUACAAAAAAACCAUUACAACCCUUUAUUUAAUUUUUAUCUUUUUAACCCUUAAAUUUAUAUUAUUUAUUAAAUCAGCUCAAAAUAGAUGGGAAAAUUAUUCUUUAUUAACUUUACUAAACAUGGAAGCCAAAGGCCCUGAAAUGAAAACAAUUUUCACCAAAGCGUUUUUAUAACUUAUACACUUUUAAAUUAAUAAUGAUAAAAUUACAUGUUAACCCCCUAAAAAUGAUAAAAAUUUUAUUUAAUCCUUAUAAAAAUAUAAUUAAAAUGGUAAAAUUACAUUUUUAACUAUCCUAAAAUAUACAAUUUAAUUCCAUCUCCUCCAAAAAAUAAAAAUAAAAGAAAAACAUUACCGUUAACCCAGUUCAUAGGAGGCUGAAAGUGAUACCCGGUUCGAUGAAGUUGUUUUACAGUAAAUGCAGUUUUAGAUUAUAAAUGUGGAUGAAUCUUAUGAAAUGCUUCAACGAUGCCAUUCUUACUUAUUAUCUCACAAAAACACCCAAUUAUUAAAUAAACUAACAAAAUAUUUUUUGUAAACUCCAUUGAAAUUUCGAAAGCCGAAUGUUGAAACAGGAUGGUGAUUCAUUUAUAUAGGACUGAAAUUUAACAAUUUCAAAAAAAAAAUAUAUAUUUUAAAAUGUUUAGAUAAAAUAGUUUUUUAUUUGAAUUUACCAGUAAUUUAUAAUAUCAACAUUAAAUCUACAAUUCUUGAUUUUCUUUUUUUAAAAUAAUUAAAAUUUUAUUCUUAUAGUAUUUAAAUAAUUAGGGAUUAUGAAUUGUGGUUUAUGGUUUAAGGGUUGGGGUUUAAGGUUUAGGGGUUAGGGGUUAGGGGUUUAGGGGUUAGUGCUUGCUGAUUUUUUUUAUUGAUCUUCUACCCCUUGUACCUGGAUCCGACCUGACCUGGAUUGUUCCUUGUGUUCUUUUUCUGCUUUCUCAGCAGGGAGAUCCCAUUCUGCAGACAAAGAAGAACACAAAAGAUCAAAGGUAAUUUUAUUUCAAUUUGAUCCAUUUUUCUUGGUUAUCUUUUCCGUGUUUUUUUAUUUGUAAUUUGUUAUGUUUUCUGGGUUUUGCUUAUAAUGUCUGCAUUAAUAUUCAUUUCACAUUUUUUGUUUGUAUUUGCUUUUGUUUCUUUUUCCCAUCACAAUCAAAGUUCUAAACUAAUUUUUUCCCUGUAAUUUCAUUUUUAGAUUCAAAGUUUCUUUUUUUUUUUAAAUUUUUUUAUUAAUAGCAUUGACUUUUAAUAUUUAUUUUGAUAGUUUUUUUGGGGGAAGUGUGGGGGGGGGGGUCAGCAUAUUUGCUUUUGAACAUAAGAUUGAUUCUGCCUGUGUUGUGUAUUUGCCAAAUUCCAGUCCUGGAUUCAAAGUUUGUAUGUGUUUCUUACCAUUUUCUAAGAAAUAAAAAAUAUGUUAUUAAUAUUGUCUUUGUUAAGUCUUUUUCACAUAAUAUUCUUUGAAGUUUGAACAUUGUUUUGCUCCUUUUCAUUAUGGAAAAACAAAUCUUUUUUUUCCAAUUUAGUCUUUGUUUUUAAUUAUUUUAUAUAAUUAAAUUACUCAAAGUUUAUUUCCCUUUUUUUGAUCCAAACUUUUCUUUUGUACAAAAUUACUCUCUUUCUUAACUUUUUAUAUUAUAUAUAUGUUUUAUAAUAUUAGCUUUAGCUCUCAGUUUUCACUUUCACAUUGAGUUAUUUGAGCAUUUUUCAUAUUUCUUGCUAAUGUGGGACAGAUUUCAUUUUCUUAAAAGGAAAAAAAUUAUGUUGUUUUUGUUGCCUCAAUCCUCUUUAUUUGUCUCUUUAACCUCAUUGGAUAUGGAGUCUAUGUUGUCUUUUCUUUUCAGUUUUUCCAUUUUAGAUUUAUAGGUAAACUUCAAAGUGGUUCUUCUUCAAGUUAAAACAGUGGGGUUUUUUACAUUGAUCAUCUUAAGUUUUCAGAAAAUAUUUUUCCUGUUGAUUUGGAUUUUUUAAGGUUAUUUUUGUCUUUCCUUCCUAAAAUACUUUUUUUUGGAUGAUUUAAUGAAUAUGGCAGGAUUAAGCUUUAGAAAUCCAUGAUUAACUGAGGACUCUAUAUUGGGUCCUCAGUUCAGUUGUUUAAAAUCUAUAUAUUUUUUUAUAAUAUGCUAUGUUAUUCGGACUUGGAUAUGUCCUUGGAGGAUCAUAUCCCGGUACUUUUGUUUGCAUAUGUGCUGGACACAGAUGCUUUAAAUAAAAUGAAGAGUGCUUGCUGUCAACUAGGAGUUUUGAUGAUUAUGAUCAUGAUUGUUUCAUAUAUAUAUAUAUAUAUGCUCUAUUUUUCACCUAUAGUAACAUUAAUUUUGUAAAGAUAUUUUCUUCAAUUCUGAAACUGCUUUAAUAUCUCUUAUCUUAAAAGUUUUGUUUAUCUUGGUAAACUUAAUUUUGCAGCUGCUACUGGAUUUUUUGAGCUUCUCUGCUUCUAGCUUUUCAUCUAUGGCCAGAUACUCAGUUGUGACUGAUAAGGUCUCAAUAGAGGUUGUUGAAGAAUUCAUUCUAGUACAGUUGAAUCUGACAAAAGGCACAAUAUCUGAAAUUAAGGUACCUAAUUCUUUUUUUUCCUUCUUAGCCAUUAAUCAUUAUUGAGUGUUGACAUGGGGGAUCUAUGCUACUAUAUCUAUGUUACUCUAACUCAUCAUUUUUUCUGAAGUGCUCAUGUUUGACACUUGUGUUUGAUGCAUAUUUGGACAUGGAUACAUGAACAUGAUCCUCCAAAUAUAUGAAAAUCCUUAAAAAAGUUGAGCAUACCUAUGUGGGAUAUAUACCUUAUCUGAAAAUAAAGGUUAUGCCUUUUUAAAAACCUGUUUAAUACAUUAUAUAAAUUUCUUCUUAAAAGUUUGUUAGGGCUGAAGCAUGCAUUAGUCUACUAUAAUUUGCUGCAUAAAUGGAAAUUAGCUAGGUGUCCACUGCACAACCUUCAAUUAGACUUUACAUAAAAAAAUUCAUUAUUCAAGGCAAACUGCCUGGCUUGCUGAAAAAUGAUAGUUACAAACUGCCUUCAUUUCUCCCAUAAAGAUCUGCCGAAAUAUGUUUCAUCUAACAAGAUUUUGAUUGACAGCACAUUCAUUUGACAGGAUAAUUUGGAAACCCUGUUGCAAGAGGACAUUCAGGCUGAUCUAGUCUGCUGCUUGCAGCAUUUGCAGGUAUUUUGUGUAGUUUAAGUUGUGAACAUUGGGUUUUGAUUUGUCAUGUGAACAAAUAUGAUGAAUCUGAAGUGCAUUUCUAUUCUUCUAUUUGCAGUUAAGAUUUGAAAUUGAAGACAAAGCAAGGAGACCUCUAAGUAAUGUGUCAUUUUUGUUGAAACCAGGGGGUUAUUUUUUCGGUAUUACUCCUGAAAAAGUGAUUGCCAAAAACUGUUGUUUCUGGAUUUAUGUAUUUUCCUUUUUUUUUCUUGUGAUUACUGCUGCACCUGUUUCUGGGAGGUGAUUGUGUAAACAUUUUAGUGUGCUUUAAUUAUUGUAAGAAUAUUAAAUUUUAACAUUGUUAAUUUUAAUAUUAUUGUAAGAAUAUUUUGAAUUAUAAUUCAGUUAUCAAUUAAUAUCAUAUAUCUUUCAUUGAAUUUGAAGUAUCAUUUAAAUUUACUGUUUUUGGUUGGAUUUUAUGUUACAAGAAGAUUUGUAUAUGGAUGAAAAUCGGCAAAUUUGUCAAAAUUAGUGGCGUUUUCCCAUAAACGCCGCUAAAGUACGUACUUUUAGUAGCGUUUGUGAUGAAAGCGCCGUUAAAGAUAAUGUUCUCUAGCGGCGUUUGUGGGUCAAGCGUCGCUAAAGGUCAUGUUCUUUAGCGGCGUUUGUGUGUAAAGCGCCGCUAAAGCUCAUGUUCUUUAGCAGCGUUUGUGGGUAAAGCGCCAUUAAAGGACAUGUUCUUUAGCGGCGUUUGUAGCUAAAGCGCCGCUAAAGGUUAUGUUCUUUAGUGCGUUUGUGGCUAAAGCGCCGCUAAAGAUUAAGUUCUUUAGCGGUGUUUUUUUCACAUAAACGCCGCAAAAGUUAGCGACGUUCUCAAUAGCGGCAUUUUUUGCGGCGCUUUUGUGUAGUGGAGGAUGAUGAGGAAAGUCUUGACGAUGUUGUGGAUAGCUCGGUUCAAGUUUAGGGUGCUUCUAAUAGUGCUAAUGUUUCUUCUAUUGUUCCAUCGACUGGGAAUCCUUCUUCUAUUAGUGUAGCUGCUGAUACAGUUACCUCUACUUCAAUAAGAGAUGAGACAAUACAGAUUGCCUGGGUCAUGUUUAGUCUUUUUGUAAAACUUUGGUAUUUAAUGCAAACUUUAUCCCUUAUUUGGAUUCCGUGUUUAUGUUAUGCAUCCUUGCAUUUCUUUAUCAACUUAUUGUAUUGAUCUUGUGUAGCUUUAUCAAGCUUUUAUUUUUACUACUUGGAAGAUGUAGGGAAUUUUAUUCUUUCCUUAUUUGUUGUAUUGUGCUUUUAGAUUAACUUAGUGAGAAGUACCCUUGGCUAAGUCUUUCAGAAGGCUAGUAGUUUUAUUUGCUAUUAAUUUAACGGGCAGUAUCCUUGGAGGGUCUGUGCUAAAUUAAUGGGCAGUAUCCUUUUUUAGUUGCAAUGUGACACCUCACACUCGAUUCGGACGACGAAUUUAUAUAUAAAACAUCACAUUCAUUAUCGAAACAACUCAAACAAACAAGAAACUGACGUCAAAGCCAAAUCAAGAAGCAUAGCACAUAAUUCAUAAUUUCCAAAACGCUAAUAAUUAAUUUGUAACUUUUUUUAAUAUAGUUAAUUUAAUGACUAAUGCCGUAAUUAGUCUCACUUAAAAAGAGCCCACCAUUUGACUUGACGCAGAGGUCAAGAGAUAUCUCUAAAAAUGGGAAGCAAUAUAUGAUGUUUAUGGUUGAUAUUGUUCUAUGUGAGGUGUUCAAAUGGUUGAUUGAUCAGUUAACUAAAUCGAACUAGUAUUAAUUGAAUUAAUCUAACUUUUUAAUCUUUAACUGUUAAUUAAAUCGAUUUUUUUUCAAAAAGAUUAACCGAACAAAAAAUAUUUCAAUUAAUUCAAUUGGUUAACCAAAAUUUAUAUAUAUUUUUUGUUUAAAAUGAAUAUAAAACAUAUAAAAAAAUUGAUAAUGUUCAUUUGACUGAAUUAACCUAAUUAAUCAAAUUAGUAAUAGCCUAAUACAUAUGACAUAUAAUAUUAUUUAUUAAGUUCAGUUAAUUCGGUUAAUUACUCGAUUUCGAACUGAAUUAACCAUUAACUGAAAUUCCAAAAAUCAUUUAAUCGAUUUUUAACCAAAUUAAAUCAGUUAACUGAUCAAUUAACCGAAUUAAAUCAAUUUAAUCAAUUAAUUUAAUUUUAACCGAAACUUAAACACCUUUUUUAACUCUAUGAAUGCCAAAAUCCAUAUAUAGACUUAUUUCGGAUGUUAGAAUUUUCCACCAAAAACCAAGUCUUUGUGGAAUUAAAGUUUUGUUGCUAAGACCCACUGGAUUUUUCAUAACCACUAUAAUUAGAUUAGAACUAUCUCUCCGCGUAUGCUCGAGUUUAAAAUUUUUUAAUUAAAUUUUAUUAAUCUAUUUUUUAAUUAUUAUAAUAUUAACAUAGAAAUUAAAAUUGUGAUUAUUGUUUAUAAUAGAAUAUAAAGUCUUAAAUUAUAAUGAUAAAAUCAUGGAGAAGAUAUUUUAAUUUAAAAAAUGUAUAAAAUUUAUAUAUUAUCUCUUCAAUAAUUUAAAUUAUAAUGAUAAUUUUUAUAUAUUAAAAUUAAUAUAUUAUCUCUUUUACAAUUACAUAAAAAAUUAUAUUAAUAUAUAAAAAUGAUAAAUUAAAAGAAAUUCUCUUUUAAUUGUUUGCCAUUAGAUAUCUAGUGAACUGAUGCCACUAAUUUAACUCUCAAAAAAUGGAAGUUUGAGAAAGCUAAAGGUUGUUAAAUUAGACAAAAAGAAACAAGAAGCCAUGCCAAUAAUUCCGUUAACAAUUUAACCGGACCAAAGUAGAACUAAAUGAUAACAUUAAUGAUGAAAUUAAAAGUUUUUUGUAGUUCAAUGACAAAACAAAAAUACGCUAAUAAUUGAGCCAUUCAUUGUGCAAUUUAGACUUAAUUUAUUUUUGGAAGAAAUUGUAUUUAUGUGAUAAUAAUAAAUUUUAAAAAAAUAUUUAUUUUGUCAAAAAUUUGUAAUUAUAAUCAUUUAAAUAUAUAUAAAAAAGUAUCCAACAAAUAUAUCAAAUUAUUGCAAUAAAAGGAUGAAGAAAUCAUAAUAUAACAAGACACCAAUUAGAAAUAACUUCAUUUCAAAUAUAAAUGAAAUUUAAUAAUGAAACAAAUUUUAUUAAAGGCAAGGACUAAAUUAAAAAAAUUAAAAUCAAUUAUAGACUAAGGGUGAGUUUGGAUGGGCGGUGUGUUUACCUGUGGUUAGAGUAAAAACAGCGGUGGUGGUGAGAUUAGAUACUGUAGCGAUACUGUAGCGUGAGACAAAAAAUAAGUUAAACGCACCGCACCGCACCCAAUCGCCCAUCCAAACUCACUCUAAGAUAUGAAUAUAUAAAUAGUGAAAAGCGUAAUCAUAAACUUUUAAAAUAAAAAUAUUCUAGAAAGCAAUUAUUUCUAAAAAGUAAAAAUCAUCCACCCUCUUUUGUUUAUUAUACUUUUAUAUUGAAUAUACUAUGUCUUUUUACUUGCUGAAAAGGUUACAAAGUUAUCAUAAAUUUCCUAAAAUCUUAUAGCACUUUUCCAAAGAUCCAAUACAGCAUGAUACAAUAGCUGAAUUAUACCAUUAAUUAUUAAAUUAUAGAUAAUCAAACAAGAUUAUAAUUUAGUCAUUAAUAUUUUCAAAAUUAUUUUUAUGGUCACCUGAUUAAGUGGCACUUUUUUUUGUUAGUAUGAUAAUAAUUUUAUUCUUUGAUUUUUCUAUUAAUUUGACUCUGAUUCUAAAUAAAAAUUAUAAAUAAAUAAAUAAAAAGACAAUUUCAAAAAUAGUGGUAAUCAAAUUGUAACGUUUUUAGUUUAAUGUCAAAAACAAAAAUUUAUCUAUAAUUAAUUUAACGCAUAUAUACCCUUUAUUUUUUGAAAGGAAAUCUUACUUAAAAAUAUCCCACCACUUGACUUACACACAAGUCAAGUAAGGAAAGCAAUAUUUGAUGUUUACUGUUGAUAUUAUUUUAUGAAUGCCAAAAUCCAUAUAUAGACUUAUUUCGAGUGUUUGAAUUUUCCACCAAAAACGAAGUCGCUGUUGAAUUAAAAUUUUGGUGCUAAGACCCACUGGAUUUUUCACAACCACUUUUAUUAGACGAUAAUUAUCUCUUCACGUAUGCUGGGGUUUAAAAAUUUUUAAUUAAUAAAUAAACAGAGAUAAUAAAGAACAAAGAAUAUGAGAGUUAACAAAAGAGAGUGUGUGUUUUAUUGAUCAAUCAGAAUAUUUACAAAACUUUUUCAAAAUCUUUAUUUAUAGGUAUAAAAAGUAUAAAUGAAGUAGAGAUCUCCGGAUGACUAUUAAAAUUUAAAGUACAUCAAAACUUUUCUCGGUUUUAAUGGAUAUCCGUUUAAUAAUAUAUCCAAAACAUUUAUUUAUUUUUAAAAAAUAUUAUAAUAUUAACAUAGAAAUUAUAUUUGUGAUUAUUGUUUAUAAUAUAAUAUAAUAUAAAUGAUAACAUCAUGGAUAAAAAUAUUUUAAUUUAAAAAUUGUAUAAAAUUUAUAUAUUAUCUCUUCAAUAAUUUAAAUUAUAAUGAUAAUUUUUAUAUAUUAAAUUUAAUAUAUUUAAUCUUCCUUUAAACGAAACAAAUUACUUGUUGAGUUAUUGUAUUUAUUCUAUGAAUUAAUUUUAAAUUUUAUUUGUUAAUCUUCACAAAAUUAUUAGACACUUUGAGCAGUUUAGAAAAUCAUUUAAAAGUAGAGAAAUUCUAUUGAAGAAUGAUAUUUUUGAUUAUUGAAAAUAUUUGCUUAUUGAAGAAUGAUAUUUUUGAUUAUUGAAAAUAUCUGCUUAUUAUCAGACGGAUGAUAUUUUAAAAACUCAAACUAAUAAAACAAUAAUUUGAAACAGUGAAGAAACUUAUAGAAAGGGUGUAGCAAGAGAGCUAGAGGGUUGACACCAGAAGUCAAGAGAUAUCUCCAUAAUGGUCACUUGUGUUGAGUGGUCUGGGGUGAUUGAAUUUUGUACAUUGAAAACGAAGGUAGAGGACAAUUGCUUUCUUGUCACUAUUGCUACAAAUGCCAUUGAAUUUCCACAAGAAAUUUAUCCCAUAUUUAGUUAAGGGAACCUCACUUGACUUGACACGUGACACAAGUCAAGAUAUAUCUCUGAAUGUAAGUAUUAUAGAUUUUUAUUUUUUUUCUAUUAUAUCAAGUAAAUUUUUUAUAUUUAUGUCAUGUAAUUAUAUUAUGCAGUAAAACGUACAAGUCUAAUUCAUAAUGACUUUCGAUAUUGCCUCACGUAUCAUCAUGCCUAUGCUAUUUUUGUAUUAUCCUUGUUUUGAAGGCUAUAUAUAUUUAUAUAAAUUUUGUUUUAGGUAGAUUUUAACAUGUUUUUUCUUCAUCUCAAGUACAUUUUUUUUUAUUUUUUUUUUCAUAUUUUAGUUAUUGAAUGUUGGGCUUAAAAUAUUAUAAACAUUCCUAAUUAUAUAUUAAUUUUACAUUAAGUUUUAACAGAUAAAUUUAGCAUUAUUAUAUUAUACUAUAAUAAAUUUCUUAGGUCAAAAUUAUCUUUGAUUUUUUAUCCAAUUAGAUAUUCCUACACCUUUUUUUUUAUUUCUAAUAACAAAUUCAAAAUUAUCUAUAUCUAUCUAUAGUACAAACUGGCUCUUAAGAGAGUUUUAAGAGUAAAUGGGUUGAUAAUAGUGUUUUUCAAUUUUAUACAUAUUCACAAUUUUUAUCUUUAAAGGUGUCAAGGUUCGUUCAUUUAUUUUCAUAUAAUUAUGUUCAUUUAUCUUCAUACCAGGCUUUCUUGCAGGCUUACAAUCUACUCUAGCUUAUUAUUACUUUAAUGCAAGCUGCAGGACAGGAUUAUGAGUGUAACACCCUAAAUUCGGCCUAGACGUUAUAGUCGUAUCUGGUAAUGUCACACGAUAGUGUUUUUGAAACUUCAUUGUUACGAUGAAAACAUUCCAUAUUUUUUAUUUUAUUUUUUAUUUUAGUAAACCUUUGUUAGAACUUAGGAAGUCGUCUUUACUCAUUUAAAACAUUUUUUUUGAAACAUCCCUCGUUAUAAAUUCAUAAAGUAAAAUAAAUAAAUAAAAACCCAAAUUUAAAACCAAAGUCCCAGAGGGUCCUUAAAUUACAACCCAAAUAAUCAAUAAUAAUCAAAUCGUAAAUCGUAAAUUGAAAACCAUGAAGUCCAAAAAUUACUAUGGUCACCGCUGAGUCCUCCAUCACACCUAUUCAUCUAGGUCUGGGGAUUACCUGUGCACAGUAAACAAAAAGGCGAGUUUAUGUAAACUUAGUGUGUAAUCCCAUAGAAACAAACAAACAAUCAAUAUUCACAGUGCACAGUUGAAUAGUCUUGGGCCUAAGCCCUUUUCAGUAUCAGUGACAGUUUGGGCCUUAGCCUAUCUCAAUACAAUGUCAAAAAUGCAAUAGGACCUUAGCCCAUUACAGUAUUAGUAGCAGUAACAGUUAUGCAGUAGUAAAAUCCUACCUAACCAGCCUCUACACACCAUCUCCGUCCAACCCUACACUCCAUAUAGGGAUAUAAUCAACUCACUCAUCUCUACACUCUAAGUAGUACCGAAUGAGGCACAAAACAGUAGUUUGCAACUGAGCUGCCAGUAAAUUUGGCUAAAAGCCUUUCAGUACACUUCUUCCGAAUAACAACCCCCAAUCCAAUGCAAUGCAACAUACAAUGGAUGACAUGCUAUUAUGCAAUUUCAGUACAUAUAUUCAAUUCAAAUAUUUUCAUACUCAGUACAGAUAUCAUUCAGUCAAUUUCACACAUUUAGGGAUCUAAGUAGCGUUUACCGACCCUACAAUAGGUUCACAGUCGACUUGGGUGACCCGUGCAACCUUAGAAACAUUUCGAUGAAAAUGGGCUCACAUACCUAUGUGAUCUGCCCCUGUGGGCCCACAGGCCUGUGUAGCCCACUCGGCCCAAAUUGGCCUUGGUCGUGUGAUCUAUUUUUAAUGUAACCCAUGCUAGCUAAAUAUUCAUAUAUGUUUUCACUAUUUACUUAUAUGUUCAUUCAAAGUUGUCUACUUGAGUCAUUGUCACUAAAUUAUUUAUAUCUUGAGUUACGAAAAUCCAAAUUAAGACCCGCUUGAUGUUUUUGAAACUAGACUCAAAUACCUUUCUACCAUAAAAUUUUCAGAAUUUAUAGUUUAUCAAAUAAGUACAUUAAAAUCUUCAAAUUUAUCCCAAUUCUGCUAUUUGACAGCUUCAACUUUUUCUUACUUAAAAUUAUUUAUCUCUUAGUACGGAAUUUGGAUGAUGUUUCUAUUUGUUUCUCUUGAAAAUAGACUCAUUAACGAUUUAAACAUAUAAAUUUAAGCCCUUAUUUAUUGUUUUUCAAUUUUUGAUGAUUUUCCAAAGUCAAAACAGGGGAACCCGAAAUUAUUCUAACAUUGUCUCACAAAAUUUAUUAUAUCUCAUAAUUUACAAUUCAAUUGCUUACAUUGUUUCUUCCAUGAAAAACUUAAUAAAAUUUAAUUUCUAAUUUUAUUCAACCUCUAACUCAAUUUCCACUUAUCUUGAUGAUUUUUCAAAGUUAGACUACUACUGUUGUUCAAAACUAUUUUAGUGCAAAAUGUUGAUUUCCAAGUUUAUAACACCCUUAUUUCCUUUCUCUAUAAGUUUUCACAUUAUUUUCCCUUAUUUCUCUUAUUUCUCGAUAGCAAGCAAUUUCGACUUUUCGCCGAAUCCUAUUUUCUGCGUUUCGGGUACACACCUGGUAUCGUUUUGCUGCAAAUACGCUCUCAGGCACUCCAAGACUUAAAAAUCGAUAAUUAGAGCCCAAUUUAGAUCACUAACGAAAACUCAAAACUAAAAAUCAUCUACAUCAAAAUCAAUAGCAAACCUAAACACUUACCGACAACGAACUAAAAUUUCUAACGCUCAAUUUGCUUGUGAAGCCGCAACUGAUUUCUGAUUUUCGCCUAAACCAAGAGAGCCAAAACAAUCCUUUUUAGGAACUAGCUAAGAAACGAUAAAAUAGAGACAAUUAGAUACUUACAGAACCAGUGUAUACAAUUGCUAGUUGGAAAAUAGGCUAGUAAAAAAAUCAAAUAGAGAGGGUGGGCUAGGGAACAAAAAUUUGGCAAAGCAAAGAAGAAGAGGACGGUAGAAAAAUUGGGGAAAAAAAGAGAAUGCCGAAAUUUAGGAAAAAUAAAAACCAAAUAGAAACUUAGAUGAUAUUAAUAACUACCCUACAUCCCUAAAUUUUCUCCCACCAAUCCUACUAACCUACAACCACUCCAGAAUUCCACUCUGCCGAAAUACUUGUCCAUCAUUGCGUAAAAAUAACGCCUAUGCUCCAGCAUAGAUUCGAACUCAGGACCUCAUAUAAUUAAACACUCUACUUAACCACUAGACCAGCAGACCCAUUUUGUUAUUUAAUUACCAACUAUUAAACUUAAGCUUUUUAGGCCAGGUUAAGGCUUUAUUUAUAAAAAUACUAAUAUUUGCCCAAGUCAUGGCUUGAACUUGGGACCUCCCACACACUUCCAAAACACUUACCCAUUGAAGCAGACAAGUACUUAUAUCACAAAAACAAGAAUUAAAAAUUUUGGUGCAUUAUAAUUCUACCCCCAAGAGAAAAUUUCAUCCUCGAAAUUUACCUGAUCAGAACGAAUGAGGAUGCUGCUGACACAUCGCAUCCUCAAGCUCCCACGUUGCCUCCUUAGUAUUAUGGUUACACCACAGAAUCUUCACCAGAGGGAUAGACUUCCUCCUCAAAACCUUUACGUCUCAAUCCAUAAUCUGAACCGGCUCCUCCUCAAAGGUUAAAUCUGGCCUAACCUCAAUCUACUCUAUUGGAACAAUAUGUGUAGGAUUAGAGAGGUAGCACCUCAACAUAGAAACGUGAAACACGUCAUGAAUUUGAUCCAACUCUAGAGACAGCUCCAAUUGAUAAGCGAUCGGUCCCACUCGUUUCAAAAACCUAGAGCUCAACUUGCUCUUACGACCAAACCUCAGACUCUUCUUCAUUGCAAAACCUUGAGGAACAUGAAGUCCCCCACGGAAUACUCAAUCUCUUGACGCUUUAGAUCCGCAUAGGAUUUUUAUCUGUCUGAUGGCAUUUUCAGACGAUCCCGAAUCAGUCUAACCUUAUCUUUAGUCUCCAAUACUAACUCAGGAUCCAGAACACGUCGUUUGCCCAACUCAGUCUAACAUAAAGGAGUGCGACACUUAUGACCAUACAAUGCCUCGUAAGGUGUCAUCUAGAUGCUAGACUGAAAACUGUUAUAAUAGGUGAACUCCGCCAGUGGCAGAUAAUCUUUCAAACUACCUUAAAAAUCAAUAGCACAGCUCUUGAAUUUGAGCCUUAAGCUCCACAAGCUCCUUCCGUGCCUUUCGAUAGGGAGCGAUGGACACCAGAGCUGUACCUGGAAGUAGCUCAAUCCCAAAUUCCAACUCGUGAUUCGGAGGUAACCCAAGUAGCUCUUAAAAAAAGACGUCUAAAAAAUAUUUUACCGUUUCAAUAUCCUUAAUUGUAGAAUCCUUAGAAUCCAAAACACUUACGGAAGCUAAGAAUGCCUCACAUCCCUUAUGAACUAUUUUCUCUGCCACCAGUAUAGAGAUCACAUUAGAUAAGUAAUUCUGGCAUUCUCCAAUCAUGACUACCUCUUUAUCCUUCUUAGUCCUUAGUACGACCCUCUUAGUCGCACAGUCUAAGCUAACACGAUGCUUGACCAAUCAGUCCAUCCCUAGAAUUAGGUCAAACUCCCCAAAUAGAAGCUCCAUCAAAUCAGCCAAGAAGAUUGCCCCUUGUACCUCUAAAGGAAUGUCCUUAUACAGUUUACUAACUCUAACAGAUUGCCUUAAUGGGAUCAGUACCGUAACUUCACUCGUAGUGCUCUCAACUGGAAUUGUUGACACCAUUUUUGGAUUAAAAACGGGGUCGACUUGGGUUUUGAAAAUGAAAAUGAAUAGAGGAGUCGCCACCAAUCCUUUUUGAUGAGGUGCGAUCGGGUCACCUCGAAUUAAUCAUUUUAAUAAAAGUUAAGAUUUACUAAAACGAUAAUUUUUUUUGGUCUACGAAAAUCAGAAAAUGAGUUCGGGAGUCGGUUACGCACGAGGAAGGAUUAGCACCCUCGAUACGCCCAAAAAUUGGUACCUAGUUGAUUAAUUAGUGUCUUAGUUUCGAAAAUUGAAAACUUAAAAUACUUUGAAAUACGAUCCAUCUCUUUGUAAAAAAAACUCAAAUAUUAAAGACCUUCUCAUCUCUAAGUGAUAAAAUAUCACAUCCAGUAAGUUAGGACACGACAUCUCGAGCUUUUGAGAGUGAGUUUGUCUUUAUUUAAAAUUCAUGCAUUUUAACUUUUUUUUAAAAAGGAUGUUCGGUUAUUUAGGGUAAACGAAGAAAGUCGAAACCCAGUAAGUUAGGGUACGUUUUCUCGAAUUUCCUAAAAACGAAAUAUUGCCUUAUUUUGAAUUUUUUUUUGAAUAAUAGCAAAUGCAACAUUUAGAUAGUGUGCAUUAUUUGUUUGGAUUAAAAUAAAACAAUUUAUUGGAUAAAUGCAACGAGACUUGAUUCAUGAAGCGAUGAUAUAAAAUAAAAAUAUAGUAAUAAGCCUAGAACAAUGAUACAUGAACACAACAUUAUAUGGAUGAAUCACAAUAAUGCAAAAAUACGAAAUAAACAAAUUAAAAUACACAAAGACAAUAAUCAUACAACAUUUAAAUAAUAACAUCGAUAGAUAAAAGACCAAUGAAUUAAAUAAUAAUUUUUUAAGAAAAUAAAUGGCAUAAAAUAAAUUAAAAUAAAUAAUAUAAAACAUUUUAAAAUGACAAUAAUAAGUUUGAAAUAAAUAAUGUGAAAAAGGAAAUUUAAAAAUCAAUAACACACUAAACGAUAAAAAAUAUGUUUAUACAAAAAAUUAAGAUAAACAGUAUGUAUAUAUAUGUAUAAAAGUAUGAAGUGAAUGAUAUAAAAAGAGCAAAUAAUAGCAGUAAAACAUUUCGGAAUAAAUAAAUAGGAUUCAAAAUAAGAUACGUAUAACAAUUUAAAAUAAGCAAUAUAUAAAUAAAUAGAGUUUAAAAUAAAUGAUGUAAAAAAAAAAAUUUAUUUAAAAAAAAGGAACAAUAAUAUACGAAAAAGAAAAAAAGAUAUAUGAAGAAUAGAAAAUAUUUAUAUAAUAUGUGCAAAGAAACCAAAAUAAAUAAUGUAUGUAGAGUAGUUUAGAAUAAACAAUAUAUGCAAAACAACUUACAACUUUGAGUAAUUGAUACAUAAAAUUGGUUAAAAUUAAUAAUAUAUGAAAAUGAACCGUAUAUAGAAUAUUUUAAACACAUACAAUAACAGUUCCUUUUUUAAGAAAAAGAAUUAAACAGGUGAAGGAUUAAUUCGAAAACAAUACAAAAUUCUAGGUAAAAAAUAAAAAGAUACUGCCAGGAUUAAAAUGAAGUGCACCUAAAAUCAUAAGGACCAAAUGGGAUAAAAACCAUAGCCCUAACAUGCGCAUGAGGCCCGACAGAUCAAAAGACUGAUUUAAAAAACAAGCAAAAUCUAACAACUAAAUUAAGAGAAAAAGCAAAGAUAAAAUAGGGCCUGAUCAAAGGACGCUAAAGAUGGAGGGACCUCGUGUGCAAAUAUCCUAAUAAUUGAGGAUACAUGAAUCCCCAUCCCCACCAACGGCACCGUUUUGUUUGGUGUUUAAAACACCCAUUCUCUUUAUUAUUUCAGCCCUAAUUUCAUAGAAGAAAAGAAAAAAAGAACAAAAAAAAUAGAAUGUUAAAGCUUCUCUCCCUCUCCUCUCUUACUGAAUCGUGAGCCCGUCGCCGUUGCAUCACCGCGCCCCCACCGUAUCGGUGGCUGGCGAUGCUCAAGGGUGGGUUUUUAGCCCCCGAUUCAACCAGGUAUGAAGGCUAAGAUUUUUUAACCAAGAAAACCCGAAAAUGAAGGGAUCUCCACCCGUUUUGGGUUCGGCUCCGACGACUGAGGGAACCGCCGACGGUGUGACCCAGGGGUUCGGGUAAGUUUUCUCCCCGUCUUCUUUUUAUUUCUUGUUCUUGAAGCUUAAAAGCAAAAUCAAAAAUGAAAAAAGAAAAAAAGAAAUCAGAAAUUGAAAAAACGUAACCUUUUUCUUUUGUUUUUGCUCUUUUAUUUCUGAAAUAUGCGUGUGUACAAGAAUGGGGAUCCCUUUUUUACAAUUGCUUUCGGCUUCUGUUUUUAGCCGAAUGAGAUAGAAUCCAAAAUCUCCCCCUUUUACAUUGAAAAUGAAUGGCUCUUUAUAGCCGAUUAUACAAAGUCCUAUUGUUGUUUUGUUACUGUUUGCUGCGUUUCUGUUUCUGUUGCUGCUUCCGUCAUGUUUGCAGGUGUUCAAGGAGGUGAUGGGAGCAGGUGGAGGAGAGAUGGCGAUGGGACGUGCGGCUGACAGAGAGCAGCGGCAAGUGGGAUACUAGGGUUUCAGUUUCUGAAACCCUAGUCUGAUGUGGGCUUGGCUGUUGGGCCAGGGUGCUGGGCCUUUUAUUUCUUUCUUGGGCCCGGGCAAAUGGGCCUGCAACAGCUGCCCCUCUUUGCUCGUUGUCGUGUAACGAUAACAGAGAAAAGACUAAGAAAGGCCCAUUUUGCCCGGUCUCGCCGAGUCUUGACUUGUUCUGGUACUUCUCCAUUUCAAGUAGUUUCAUUCCAGUCCACUAGGUCUUGUUGCUUCGAUCCAUUCCACUGCAUUUUAGAGAGAUGCGUCCUGUAGCCUUUAUCUUCUUCGUAGCAACUUCAGGGGGACGAGGUUUGUGGUUUUCAAUCUAUUCCACUGCAUCUUCAGGGAAAUAAGACUUGAUGCGACCUACUCUGCUGUAACCUCAGAGAGAUAAGAUCCUUUAUUUUAACCCACUCCACUGUAACUUCAGGGAGAUAGGAUAGUGUCUUCGAUCUGCUCCGCUGUAAUCUCGGGGAGAUAAGAUCUCUGGCUUCAAUCUGCUCCACUGUAACUUCAGGGGGACAAGAUCUGUAAUUUCCAAUCUAUUCCACUACAGGUCAGGGAUAUAGGACUUGUGGUUUGAAUCCGCUUCCUUACACUUGAAGAUAAGAUUUGCUGUCUUUGAUCUGCUCCGCUACGGCUUAGGGAGACAAAAUCUGUAACCUUUAACCAGCUCCAAUGCAACCAAUGGAGGCAAGGCUUUGUUUUUGAUCUGCUUUACUGUUAAUGCAGGAAGGCAAGAUCUGCUUCUUUAACUAGCUCCACUGCAAUCGAUGGAUGCAAGGCUUUGUUUUCGAUCUGCUUCGCUGUUAAUGUAGGACGGCAAGAUCUGCUUCUUUAACCAGCUCCACUACAACCGAGAGAGGCAAGGUUUGUGUCUUCGACCUGCUUCAAUGUCAAUGCAGGAAGGCAAGAUCUUUUGUCUUCAACCAGCUCUAUCACAACCGAAAGAGGCAAGGUUUGUGUCUUCGAUCUGCUUCGCUGUCAAUGCAGAAAGGCAAGAUCUUUUGUCUUCAACCAGCUCCAUCACAACCAAAGAGGCAAGGUUUGUGUCUUCGAUCUGCUUCGCUGUCAAUGCAGAAAGGCAAGAUCUUUUGUCUUCAACCAGCUCCAUCACAACCGAAAGAGGCAAGGUUUGUGACUUCAUUGAUCUGUCCCUUGGGGAACAUGACCUGUAUGUUCUAUUUUAUGAACCUAAUUGUGCCUAGUGAUUAGGAUGACAUAAUCAGAAUGAAUCAAAUGCUCCUAACUAGAUAUGUAUGAAUGACAUUUGAAUGAAUGCAAAAUGUCAUGAAGAUGAUUCCUUAAUGCUUAGGUUAACAUCACGUAAAAACUUAUUAAGGUUUUAUCACUGACGUACUACAACGCCUUUUUGCUCGUCUGGUAUAUCCAAAGAAACACUUAAUCUGGUUGCCCCCCACUGUAAACCUUAAAGUUUAAUCUAUUAGGGCACAAAAUUUGUACCAUCAUUCUCCCACUACAAUCCAAGGGUAGAAAUAUGGUUUUUCCUCAAUCCUCUUUUAUCACAAUUCAAGGAUAUAGGAUCUUAAUCUUUCUGGUCCCCCUUUACACCAUUUCCAGGGUGUCGUUUCAAAGACUCAUGCACAAAUGAAGGCUCUCUUCUCCGAGGUAACCUCUUCCUAUUGCCUAGUGAUCAUUGCUUGCUUGUUUAUUUAAGCUUUUUCAUUGACACGACAUCUUGUCAUUUUGUUCAAUCAAUGCAUUUGUCAACAAAAUCCAAAGAGAAAGUCUAAACUUAGACUCUUCCUUCUCAAAUUUCCAACCUUCAAAUUUGGCAUGUUCUAAACAAUAGUCCUGUUUUAGGUUCCUGUAUUAUUUAGAAACUUUUCAGAGUAAUAUGCAAAACUUCCUUUGUGAAAGUUUUAUUAGUCCAUUAAUCAUUAUUCCAAUGCUUGCAAAAAGGUCAUAACAAUGGAUAAGAAUAAAGUUGGUUCUGAGCAUAGCUCGAAAGAACAAAUUAUCGAAAAUAGUGAAGAAGGACAACAAAAGAAUUAAUUGGGAAUGUAUAUCUUGGAAAGAAAGAAAAAGUAUUCCAAGAACAACAAAUAACAUGAGAAUUGGGUGCCCCAGAUAUCACAGCUUGAACUUCUCUAUACAAACUUUCUGAAGACCCUUUUGAGUUGGACAUGUGUUUAGGAGAUCUACAAUGCUCUGUCGAUGCCCCCAAGAUGUCGCCUAUCCUUUCCUGUUGAUUCAGGCAUGGCAAGAUCAACACAUGCCUCAAUAUGAACAAAACUUGAGCAGCUUAUAUCACCCCAUGCCCCAUUUUGAUCAGUAUUUGAGCCGCCCUUUUCGGGUUUUCAGCUCAGAUCCCCUUUGGCCUAAGGCGCCCUUUGCGGGUUUUCCCCUUAGCCUCUCCAUUUUACUCUUUUCAUUUUCCAUUUUCAUUCUUCAUCUUUUUAUUUUUUUUGAACUUCAUUGUCUUACAAUACAGUGACAAACUGUGAUGUCUGAUUUUGAACCGAUUACAGCCCUCAACUAUCAUGUUGUCAUUCUAGUUCAAUACAUUUUCCCAUACCAUCGUCUCUAGAAUUCUAUAUUGGCAUAUGAUGACAUUGACGCAUGCUGUAGCCUUUAUCCAUUUGAUGAAGUAAUUAAUGAUCUCAAUAGUGAAGCAAUGCCCAUUAGAAGUCUUCGAUAAUGGUGAUGUCCAUGCCCCAUUUUGCUCAAAAUUUGAGUCACCCUUUUUGGGUUUUCCACUCAAAACCACUUUUGGUCACAAAGCGCCUUUUUGGUUUUUCGCCUUGGCCUCUCCUUUUCUUUUCUUUGCUUUUCGUAUUUUUAUUUUGACUUUGAUUGAUUUCUCUUUGUUUUUAUUUUUUAUUUUGAUUUUGAUUUUGAUUUUGUUUUUUUUUUUCAUUUUUCCUUGUUUUUUGAAUCGGAUCUAAACUCUUGGGAUUAGGCAAGUCUUUGUUAUCCCCUUCAAAGGAUCUUCUCUGAUAUCGAAUUUCCUUUAUAGAGCCUUUUAGGGCAAAACUACAACUGGAAACUUUUGAUCUUCUUCUUCCAUCGGGAUAAAAUCUAGCAACAUCUUGAAGGAAUAGAAACUCGACUUCAAACGGGCAAAGCUAUGCUGAAUUGACGAGAACGGUAUUGCCCCGGCAAAGAAUUGUAUCAUUCAUACGAGUUUGGACAUCGUGUUGUUGUGCAGAUUUCAUUAUCAGUGCUUAACCCAGCAUAUCCUGGUAUGAUCCUACAAAGACAUCUUUGAACAAGGUCUUGCUUCAUUUUUAAGGACAAGUCAAUUCCAAGCUCAGAAUUCCUAGUGAUCUGUCUAUCCUCCUACUCAACCAUCCUCAAUAAGUUUGGGGGUAAGCUACUAUCUAUGUCAUUUCCAAAGUCAUGAGAUCCAUCUAAGCACAUGCCUCACUCAAGUGGAAAAUCUGAGUUUGCAGCAGUUUCAUUCAUGUUAUUGAUAUCUGAGGACUCAUAAUAAGCACCGAGGAAUAUACAAAAGAAUGUAUAAAUUUAUGAAUGAUUAUUUACAAUAUGAUUAUGAAUGAAUGUUGUGGAAGAAAAUCCAACAGAAUGAAAUAAUCAAAAAUAAUUAUUAAAAAGAAUGAAAGAAUAUUGGCUCAAAAAGGAACGCAAAGAUGUAUUUUAUUAGAAUAAUAACGUUCAGACAUUAGCCUAUUUCACAAAGGAAUUUCUAUCGCUUCAGGCUAAAAACAGCAAAAAUGUUCUGAACAUUACUCUAAAUAAGCUCUAAAAACUACAGGGAUUUAUUCUACAAGCCCAUUGCUUGGAACACUCCAGGUUUAUAAGGGCAGACAUCUAACAAGAUCCCUUUUCAAUUAUGCCUUCAUAUAUGGUAUUGAUGUGAAAACUUCCCAACACUUUCUCAUAUAUUGCGUUCACCCCAUUGUUAAUCAUGAUUGGGUGGCGAAUUUUCUGCAUUAGAUGAGUCACCAAACUUGACGACACCCAUGUUGAUGAGCUUUUCAACCAGUUUCUUGAAGGCUAUGCAGUUCUCUAUGGAAUGCCCCGUAUUUCCCGCAUGAUAUUCGCAAUGUGCAUUCGCAUCGUGCCAUUUGGGGUACGGUGGCUGUGGAGGUUUUGAGUAGAAAGGAGAAACAAUGCGUGCAUCGAAUAACUUUUGAUACAGCUCAUUAUACGACAUCGGGAUUGGCGUGAACUGGAGGUUCUCAGUACCUUGUUUCACACUAAUUUCUUGUCUAGAUGAACCUUGCUGACUAGCAGUCACCUUUCUUGGCUGUGUAAUCGAUUUGUUGUAAGUGUUGACAUUGCUCACAUCAUUUUCCUUCUUCUUUAAGUCUGACCUUCUAUUAUUCUCCCCAGCAUCAAUCUUUCCACUUCUCACGGCACUUUCAAUCAUUUCACCGCUCAUGACUAUGUCUGAAAAACUCUUCGAAGCACUUCCUAACAUGUGGGUGAUGAACGGGGCCUUCAAUGUGUUGAUGAAGAGCAUCGUCAUUUCUUUCUCUAGGAGUGGCGGCUGAACUUGGAUAGCGACCUCCCUCCACCUUUGUGCGUAUUGCCUAAAACUUUCAUUAGGUUUUUUCUCCAUAUUUUGCAGGGUUAUUCUGUCAGGGACCAUAUAAGCUACAUGACUGUAUUGUUUCAUAAAGGCUUGUGCUAAAUCCCUCCAAGAACUAAUCUGGAUACGCGUCAAUUGAUUGUACCACUUAGACGCUGUCCCUGUGAGGCUAUCUUGAAAGCAGUGUAUGAGCAGUUGGUCGUUGUUGACGUAUCCGGCCAUACGCCUACAGAACAUAGUAAUAUGAGCUUCUGGGCAGCUGGUCCCAUUAUAUUUCUCGAAUUCCGGCAUCUUAAAUUUGUAAGGGAGCACCAAGUCCGGAACCAAGCUCAGAUCCUUUGCAUCUAUUCCAUAGCUUUCGAUGCUUUCUAUUGCCCUAAACUUCUCUUCUAUCCAUUUCCAUUUCUCCUCAAAUUGUUUUGGAAAUUCCUCCUUCGCCUUAUCCUUUUCAACCAUCUCGUCAAGAUCUGGGACAGCAAUAUUAUUCGGGCUAUCACCGGGAUUAAAGCCCGCUCCGGGUUGAAAAUUCAUUGGAAUUGAAGCAUCGCCUUGGAACUGCUGGGGCCUAACCGACACAGAGGGUCUCCGCGGAUGCAGCUCAGUCUGUACUUGCGCAUGCGGAGGCGUGAAACCUGGAGGAUAAAGUGGUUCACCAUUGUUUUCUUCUUCACUAACAAUCACAGGACCUUUACCCUUGUCUACUCCCUUCAAUAAUUGCGUCAUCUUAGCCACCAGAUCAUUUUGGGACUCCUCCAUCUUUUGCACCAUGUCACGCUGAAUCUUUUCUAUUUGCUCUUUCAUUUGCGCCUGCAACUGGUCUUGCAUUUCUUUUUGAAGUCGCUCUAGCUUCUCCAACCUUUGGUCCAUAAUUUUUGUCUUAGCUCGGGUGCCGUAACUUUGUUGGUUUUCCAGGUUAACUGAAAUGAUUUUAUUCGAUUAGGUUUUUAAUGGUCAUUAAUGCAUGUGAUGUGAUGCAAUGCAUGAAAAGAAUGCAAAGAAAAAGAGGCACUGAUUCUAAUUCAACUUCAUUAGAAAACUUUACUAGAUAAAGAGUUUCUUUACAUAAAAUAGACUACAUAUAUGGCUUUGCCCUCACACUCAAAGCCUUAACCUUUCUAAGAAGCCAAGCUAAUUCUCGGCCCCUGUCCGACUCUGACUCAUACUUCAAACUUAAUAGAUCAGCCUGAACCGCUAGAGUUUGCAGAUGAUCAGCUACUUCGCGCACUUGAGUCACCGCCUCUCCCAUAAUAUAAUCUCUUUCUCCAAUCUGCUCUUGAGACCGACGGAAUUGUCUUUGCCACUGCUCAUUACUUUCUUCCAGAAGCUCUAUCCGGAUUUCACUAUUUUGUAAUGCAUUCUCUAGCCCUCAUAUCUGUCUUUUUAAUUCUUCAAUUUUGUCUAAGCUCACCCUUAAUUCAACCGUAGCAUUACGAUUACAGUACUGGUGAAGCGAUCUUUCUAGUUCAGUUAUCCGGACCUUCAACACCGUCUUCUCGUCUUGGCAAACUAGUAGACUCUUUCCCAAGGCGACUUCUCGAGCCCGAGUAUCCUGAAAUUUCUUUUCCCAUUGAUUAGCUUUUGUCUUUUCCUCCUGAAUUUCUUGUCGCCAUUGUUCUGGUGUUUUACCCAAGCCAGCGGCUCUUACCGACUUACGCAACUUCUUGUAAUCUGUCUUCAGGCUGUCCAAAUCUUCUUCUGCCUUGUUCUUUCCUUUUCUCAAUUUGUUGGCCUCUAAUCUUUGAAUGUCCACAUCCAGUCCUAACUGCAUUUUUUCUUCCUCUAGUUGUUCUAUCUUCUUCCCUAAUUCUAAACUUCUUUUUUCGAAUUCUUGUUUGAUGAUUUCUAUUUCAGAAGGCAAAACUUGUAAGUGUUCCUCUAAAGAUCGAGCAGUUUCUGAAUUUGACGCCGGGAUGUUGUCAUUGAUCCUUUGAUCACGCCACUGACCAUACUCGGGGGUAAUUGUCGGACCCACGGCUAAGAUCUUCAUUCGACGAGUCUGGUUCCAGGCACUAGAUAUUUCUCGAACCUUCUUCUUGUAAUUGUCCUUCCUAUAGGAAAAAUCACUAUAAGCCAACCCCUGGGUUGCUGGUAUGAAUUGUCGUGAUCUAUACUGUCUUGAUACGAGUAGAGGAGCAUAUCCGAUAGCUCUCCAUAUCCCGAGCAGCGGAACCCAGUCAAAAUCUCCACAUCGGUACAAUAUCUCAUCAGGAAUUAACCAAGGAGCCCUCCAUUCAAUAUCUUCAUCUUGGAGAUUCUGGAGUAUCUCUAUCCAUUUUUCUUCUGAAAUAUCAUCUCGUCUUGGCGUGGCCACCAAUUCUCCUAGAGGGGAGUAGCUAUCAGAGAAUACCCGAUAAGAGACCUUUUCGACUUUCCAGAAGUGGCUAUGGAACCAUGCCAAUAAGAGCUGCGCGCAUCCAAUAAACCUUCCCUCCCCUACUUUUCGACACGCAUUCAAUGAUCUAAAAGUUUCAGCGAGUAUUGCCGGAACCGGUGUAACCCCUUUACUAAGCCGAUCGAACAAAUCAGAUACAGCCUCGUCUAUGUGUCCUAAAGCUUUGGGGAAAACCACUAGUCCAUAGAUACCUAAAGCGAAAACAUCGACCCUUUUCUUUAAGUCAGGAUGUACAAGCACCAAAUCUCGCAAACUUUUCCAAGGAACACAUUUACUGUCGCCCUUCUGUUGGAUCCGGGCAGCGACCCACUGCUCGCUCAUUCCAGUGAUGUUCAUUAAUUUCUUUAACAACGGAGGGACACAAGCAGCUCUGGAAUAAGCCUUGUCGACUUGAAUCUUUGGGCACCGAAGCAAGGUCGUAUACUCCUCCACAGUAGGCGUCAAAUCUACCUUCCCAAAAGUGAAACAACUGUAGGCAGGAUUCCAAAACUGAGCAAGGGCUCGGAAUAAAUACUUGUCCACUUUGACACUAAGCAGGUAAGGUAGGUCACCGUAGUUACAAUAGAACAGCUGCUUGGCCUCGACAUCCCAUUGAUCCCAGACUUCUUUCAUUUCUCGAAGGUCAUUUUGGAUUACACUGAUACGGGUAAAAUCCCACAAUUCUGACACGUACCCUUCGGUAAGACUAUCGCCUUUCUCCCGUUGUGUCGUUUCAGCCCAUAUUCGCACAGCCGCAUUAUCCUCUACUUUAUCAACAAACCCCUUUUCCAUGAUAAGCUUUCUACCAAGAAACUGAACGUAAAUCGACACCUCUUUUAGAAUGAAGAUGCCAUGCAAUCACAAACAAAGUAAAUUAGCAUUAAACACAGAAUAAGAUUUAAAAUAAGCGACAAAUAAAUACAACAUUCAUUUAGGUAAGCACUAAAAAUUUAGAGUAGCUCUACCUAGGUUGGUUCCUAUGGCUCAUUACAUGUGGUUUGGUUCUAAAGUAGGGUACCUGAACCAGCAAAUUCCUCGAUCCUCACCCAUUAUAGGCUCAUACGGACCAAGUUCGAUUCAGGGGGAUACAUUUCCCUAUGGCCAUGCGGAGAUGAAAAUCUCACGAAGACAUAGGUACGGAUGUAUCCCGAAAGCGAUUCACUAUCCCAUGCGGAGGUGAAAACCUCACGAAGGCGUAGUUUCUCACUCCCACUUAAAAGGGUGUGACCAACGGUCAUGCAAUGCAAUGUGCAGAAAGAUACAAAAACUUAAACUAACACAACAAUUAUAAACCACAACGAUGAAAAUUGUAAUAAAGAGCAAUGAAAUGCGAUGAAAGGAUCGUAUAUUUAAACCAAGUUUUGAUUUUCGACAAAAAGACAAAAAAUAAUCAACUCGUGGCCCGACUCACUUAUUGUGGUUGUCCCCAGUGGAGUCGCCAAGCUGUUGACACCAUUUUUGGAUUAAAAACGGGGUCGACUUGGGUUUUGAAAAUGAAAAUGAAUAGAGGAGUCGCCACCAAUCCUUUUUGAUGAGGUGCGAUCGGGUCACCUCGAAUUAAUCAUUUUAAUAAAAGUUAAGAUUUACUAAAACGAUAAUUUUUUUUGGUCUACGAAAAUCAGAAAAUGAGUUCGGGAGUCGGUUACGCACGAGGAAGGAUUAGCACCCUCGAUACGCCCAAAAAUUGGUACCUAGUUGAUUAAUUAGUGUCUUAGUUUCGAAAAUUGAAAACUUAAAAUACUUUGAAAUACGAUCCAUCUCUUUGUAAAAAAAACUCAAAUAUUAAAGACCUUCUCAUCUCUAAGUGAUAAAAUAUCACAUCCAGUAAGUUAGGACACGACAUCUCGAGCUUUUGAGAGUGAGUUUGUCUUUAUUUAAAAUUCAUGCAUUUUAACUUUUUUUUAAAAAGGAUGUUCGGUUAUUUAGGGUAAACGAAGAAAGUCGAAACCCAGUAAGUUAGGGUACGUUUUCUCGAAUUUCCUAAAAACGAAAUAUUGCCUUAUUUUGAAUUUUUUUUUGAAUAAUAGCAAAUGCAACAUUUAGAUAGUGUGCAUUAUUUGUUUGGAUUAAAAUAAAACAAUUUAUUGGAUAAAUGCAACGAGACUUGAUUCAUGAAGCGAUGAUAUAAAAUAAAAAUAUAGUAAUAAGCCUAGAACAAUGAUACAUGAACACAACAUUAUAUGGAUGAAUCACAAUAAUGCAAAAAUACGAAAUAAACAAAUUAAAAUACACAAAGACAAUAAUCAUACAACAUUUAAAUAAUAACAUCGAUAGAUAAAAGACCAAUGAAUUAAAUAAUAAUUUUUUAAGAAAAUAAAUGGCAUAAAAUAAAUUAAAAUAAAUAAUAUAAAACAUUUUAAAAUGACAAUAAUAAGUUUGAAAUAAAUAAUGUGAAAAAGGAAAUUUAAAAAUCAAUAACACACUAAACGAUAAAAAAUAUGUUUAUACAAAAAAUUAAGAUAAACAGUAUGUAUAUAUAUGUAUAAAAGUAUGAAGUGAAUGAUAUAAAAAGAGCAAAUAAUAGCAGUAAAACAUUUCGAAAUAAAUAAAUAGGAUUCAAAAUAAGAUACGUAUAACAAUUUAAAAUAAGCAAUAUAUAAAUAAAUAGAGUUUAAAAUAAAUGAUGUAAAAAAAAAUUUUAUUUAAAAAAAAGGAACAAUAAUAUACGAAAAAGAAAAAAAGAUAUAUGAAGAAUAGAAAAUAUUUAUAUAAUAUGUGCAAAGAAACCAAAAUAAAUAAUGUAUGUAGAGUAGUUUAGAAUAAACAAUAUAUGCAAAACAACUUACAACUUUGAGUAAUUGAUACAUAAAAUUGGUUAAAAUUAAUAAUAUAUGAAAAUGAACCGUAUAUAGAAUAUUUUAAACACAUACAAUAACAGUUCCUUUUUUAAGAAAAAGAAUUAAACAGGUGAAGGAUUAAUUCGAAAACAAUACAAAAUUCUAGGUAAAAAAUAAAAAGAUACUGCCAGGAUUAAAAUGAAGUGCACCUAAAAUCAUAAGGACCAAAUGGGAUAAAAACCAUAGCCCUAACAUGCGCAUGAGGCCCGACAGAUCAAAAGACUGAUUUAAAAAACAAGCAAAAUCUAACAACUAAAUUAAGAGAAAAAGCAAAGAUAAAAUAGGGCCUGAUCAAAGGACGCUAAAGAUGGAGGGACCUCGUGUGCAAAUAUCCUAAUAAUUGAGGAUACAUGAAUCCCCAUCCCCACCAACGGCACCGUUUUGUUUGGUGUUUAAAACACCCAUUCUCUUUAUUAUUUCAGCCCUAAUUUCAUAGAAGAAAAGAAAAAAAGAACAAAAAAAAUAGAAUGUUAAAGCUUCUCUCCCUCUCCUCUCUUACUGAAUCGUGAGCCCGUCGCCGUUGCAUCACCGCGCCCCCACCGUAUCGGUGGCUGGCGAUGCUCAAGGGUGGGUUUUUAGCCCCCGAUUCAACCAGGUAUGAAGGCUAAGAUUUUUUAACCAAGAAAACCCGAAAAUGAAGGGAUCUCCACCCGUUUUGGGUUCGGCUCCGACGACUGAGGGAACCGCCGACGGUGUGACCCAGGGGUUCGGGUAAGUUUUCUCCCCGUCUUCUUUUUAUUUCUUGUUCUUGAAGCUUAAAAGCAAAAUCAAAAAUGAAAAAAGAAAAAAAGAAAUCAGAAAUUGAAAAAACGUAACCUUUUUCUUUUGUUUUUGCUCUUUUAUUUCUGAAAUAUGCGUGUGUACAAGAAUGGGGAUCCCUUUUUUACAAUUGCUUUCGGCUUCUGUUUUUAGCCGAAUGAGAUAGAAUCCAAAAUCUCCCCCUUUUACAUUGAAAAUGAAUGGCUCUUUAUAGCCGAUUAUACAAAGUCCUAUUGUUGUUUUGUUACUGUUUGCUGCGUUUCUGUUUCUGUUGCUGCUUCCGUCAUGUUUGCAGGUGUUCAAGGAGGUGAUGGGAGCAGGUGGAGGAGAGAUGGCGAUGGGACGUGCGGCUGACAGAGAGCAGCGGCAAGUGGGAUACUAGGGUUUCAGUUUCUGAAACCCUAGUCUGAUGUGGGCUUGGCUGUUGGGCCAGGGUGCUGGGCCUUUUAUUUCUUUCUUGGGCCCGGGCAAAUGGGCCUGCAACAGGAAUCCCCAAGUUUCUAGAUAUGUUGCUAGCUAUGUAUGAGUGAGUAGACCCUAUGUCUAUCAAGGUAAUAUAUAGUACAUCAAGAAUAAAGAACGUACCCGUGAUGACGUUCGGAGCAUCUCUAUUCUCUCGGCGACAAGCAACAUAUACUAGGGCCGACUGCCUUGCCUCAGCCUGUCCAACACCUCUGCUUCGGUGCUCUCUACCUAUGACCCAUACCAUUACCACAUCUGGCCUGUCUAUGGCCCCUCGGUGGUUACUGUACUACCUUUUAUAACUAUACCGUACCAGUACCCGAAGUUUUCAUCUGAUCGGCCCUUAACGAACACUCCUUACAGUACUCUAAUGACUCAUACCGCAAGCACACCUCAGUCUUUCUCUAACACUCGCCCUGAUGGCGUCUACCACAAUCAGUACUUAGCUGCAGUUCAGUAACAGUAACAGAGGGCCCAGCUCUAACCGACCCAUCAACUCUGCCCUUUUUCUUAGGCCUCUGUGCAGAACUCGAAGGCUCUAAAUCCCUCUUAUUCUUACCUCUCUCACAGUAAUAGUUCUGGCGCUCAGCGCGCUUAAUCUCAUCGGUGAUCUUCGCCUUCUCCACUAGUGUAGAAAAAUCACCUCUCUCUACGGAGCUAUCAAGACUCUCAAAUUAUCUCUGAGCCCAUCCUCAAAACGAAUACAUCGCUCAUACUCAGAGGCCACCAUACCUCGCGUAUAGCGGCUCAGUCACAGGAACUCAGCCUCAUACUCGGCCACUGAUCAAUUUUUCUGAGUCAAAUUUAAGAAGUUCCUUUUACGGGUAUCCACGUAGCUCGCCCUCACAUAUUUCCCCUAAAAGGCAGUUUUAAAGAACUCCCAGGUUAGAUGUUCGGGCUGAGUGCCCUCCUUAACAAUGAGUCAUCACUGAUAAGCCUCAUCCCUCACCAGUGAGACUGCACCCUUUAAUUUCUGCUCUAGGGUGCAGUCUAAGUCAUCCAUGAUCCUCUCCGUGGCCUCAAUCCAGUACUCGGCCAUAUUAGGGGCAACUCUAGUGACACCCCUGAAAAGCUCAACUCCAUUGGACUAGAGUCGUUUCGUAUUCGAUCCUCGGACCCCUAAUCUAGUAUUGAUCCGAGCGACCCUCUCCAAAAUCCUUAGCAUAGCUUGGGAUAAUGCGUCGUCCUCAGCCAUGCGAUCUUGAGACCCAGUCUCAGUAGUAGGCGACACUAGCGUCUCACUAGUAUCCAAAUUCGGUAUGCUACCCAAUGAAGAGGACUCAGAUCGAGCUCCUUUGUGACCUCUACCUCAGCCUCUAGUACCCCGUCCACAGAUACAUCGUAUGCUCAUUGUCUAAUCACGUUUAUCUGUAUUAACAGUUUUAUGAAUCAGUUACGGUUUCAGUGUUUAUUAACAAAUGUUUUAUGUAAAAUAGUAUCGGUUAUUCAAAGUUCGUUUUGUAAAUCACAGUCUUACUAUAGUUUUUAGUUUUUUUACAAUUUUUAUUAUACACUAACUAGAGUGUUUUCAGUACAGUUUACUACCUAUAGUAGAUUCAGAAUAUACUAUCCAUAACAGUUUCAGUUUAAAACAAAUCACAGUUCAAAAUACUUACAGAAUCGACACCGGAGACUCGGUGUACCACUUACUUAGUACAAACAUUUCAAAUCAUUUAGAAAUUAAUCAACUUUUCGAAAGCUCAAUUUUUACAAAACCCAUAAUCCACUAUCGAGUUCUGUAACUUGGCUCUGAUACCACUAAAUGUAACACCCCAAACUCGGCCUAGACGUUAUGGUCGUAUCUGUUAAUGUCACAUGAUAGUGUUUUUGAAACCUCGUUGUUACGAUGAAAACAUUUCAUGUUAUUAUCUUUAGUAAACCUUUGUUAGAACUUAGAAAGUUGUCUUUAUUCAUUUAAAACAUUUUUUUUGAAACAUCCCUCAUUGCAGAAGCUUUAAUAAAAUAGUCUAGGUGAUCAUGCGUUUAGAAAAUAUAACUUUAUGAAAACUGAAUUUCCUACGACCAGCAGGUAUAAAUCUAUAAAGUAAAAUAAAUAAAUAAAAACCCAAAUUUAAAACCAAAGUCUCAAAGGGUCCUUAAAUUACAACCCAAAUAAUCAAUAAUAAUCAAAUCAUAUAUCGUAAAUUGAAAACCAUGAACUCAAAAAAUUACUAUAGUCACCGUUGAGUCCUUCGUCGCACCGAUCUGUCUAAGUUUGGGGAUUACCUGUGAACAUUAAACAAAAAGGGUGAGUUUACGUAAACUCAGUGUGUAAUCUCGUAGAAAUAAACAAAUAAUCAGUAUUCACAGUGCACAGUUGAAUAGUCUUGGGCCUAAGCCCUUUUCAGUAUUAGUCAUAGUUUGGGCCUUAGCCCAUCUCAGUAUAGUGUUAGAAAUGCAAUAGGGUCUUAACCCAUCAUAGUAUCAGUAGUAGUAACAAUUAUGCAGCAGCAAAAUCCUACCCAACCAGCCUCUACACACCAUUUUCGUCUAACCCUACACUCCAUGUGGGGAUAUAAUCAACCCACCCAUCCCUACACUCUAAGUAGUACUAAAUGCGACACAAAACAGUAGUUUGCAACUGAGCUGCUAGUAAAUUAGGCUAAAAGCCUUUCAGAACAUUUCCUCCGAAUAACAACCCCUAACCUAAUGCAAUGCAACAUACAAUAGAUGACAUGCUAUUAUGCAAUUUCAGUACAUAUAUUCAGUUCAAAUAUUAACAUGCUCAGUACAUAUAUCAUUCAAUCAAUUUCACACAUUUAGGUGUCUAAGUAGCGCUUAUCAACCCUACAGUGGGUUCACAGUCGACUUGGGCGACCCGUGCAAUCUUACAAACAUUUCGGUGAAAAUAGGCUCACACGCCCAUGUAAUCUACCCGUGUGGCCCACUUGGCCCAAAUUGGCCUUGGCCGUGUGAUCCAUUUUUAAUGUAACCCGUGCUAGCUAAAUAUUCAUACAUGUUUUCACUAUUUACUUAUAUGUUCAUUCAAAAUUGUCUACUUGAGUCAUUGUCACUAAAUUAUUUAUAUCUUGAGCUACAGAAUUCCAAAUUAAGAUUCGCUUGAUGUUUUUGAAACUAGACUCAAAUACCUUUCUACCAUAAAAAUUUUAGAAUUUAUAGUUUAUCAAAUAAGUACAGUAAAAUCUUUAAAUUUAUCCCACUUCUGUUGUUUGACAGCUUCAACCUUUCCUUACUAAAAAUUAUUUAUCUCUUAGUACGAAUUUGGAUGAUGUUUCUAUUUGUUUCUCUUGAAAAUAGACUCAUUAAAGAUUUAAACAUAAAAAUUUAAGCCCAUAAAUAUUUUUUAAAAAUUUUUGGUGAUUUUCCAAAGUCAAAAUAAGGGAACCCAAAAUUAUUCUGACAUUGUCUCACAAAAUUUAUUAUAUCUCAUAAUUUAAAAUUCCAUUGAUUACACUGUUCCUUACAUAAAAGACUAGACUCAAUAAACUUCAAUUUCAUAUUUGAUUCAACCUCUAACUCAAUUUCUACUAUUUUUGAUGAUUUUUCAAAGUUAGACUACUGCUGCUGUCCAAAACUAUUUUAGUGCAAAAUGUUGAUUUCCAAGUUUAUAACACCCUUAUUUCCUUUUUCUAUAAUUUUUUGCAUCAUUUUCUCUUAUUUCUCUUAUGUCUCGACAGCAAACAAUUUUAGCUUUUCACUGAAUCUCAUUUUUUGCAUUUCGAGUACAUAACUGGUAUCGUUUCGCUGUAAAUACGCUCCCAAACACUCUAAGACCUAAAAAUCGGUAAUUAGAGCCCAAUUUAGAUCACUAACUAAAACUCAAAACUGAAAAUCGUCUACAUUGAAAUCGAUAGCGAACCUAAACACUUACCUGCAACGAACCAAAAUUUCUAAUGCUCAAUUUUCUUGUGAAGCCGCAUCUGAUUUCUGAUUUUCGCCUAAACCAAGAGAGCCAAAACAAUCUUUUUUAUAAACUAGCUAAAAAGCGAUAAAAUAGAGAAAGUCAGAUACUUACAGAAUGAGUGUAUACAAUUUCUGGCUGGAAAGUAGGCUAGUAGAAAAAUCAAACAAUGAGGGUGGACUAGGGAGCAAAAAUUUGGCAAAGCAAAGAAGAAGAAGACGACAGAAAAAUUGGGGAAAAGAGGAGAAUGCCGAAAUUUGGGAAAAUAAAAACCAAAUAGAAACUUAGAUGAUAUCGUUAGCUACCCCACAUCCCUAAAUUUUUUCCCACUAAUCCUACUAACCUACAACCACUCCAGAAUCCCACUCUGCCGAAAUACUUGUCCAUCACUGCGCAAAAAUAACACCUAUGCUCGAACAUGGAUUCAAACUCAGGACCUCAUGCAAUCAAACACUCCAUUUAACCACUAAACCAGCAAGCCCAUUUUGUUAUUUAAUUACCAACUAUUAAACUUAAGCCCUUUAGGCUAGGUUAAGGCUUUAUUUAUAAAAGUACUAAAAUUUACCCAAGUCAUGGCUUGAACUUGGGACCUCCCACACACACCCAAAACACUUAAGCAUUGAAGCAGACAAAUACUUAAUAUCACAUAUACACAAAAACAAGAAUUAAAAAUUUUGGGGCGUUACAAUGAGAAGGAAAAACUUAACGAAAGAAAUUGAAGUUUCUUGGGGCUACCUUUGUAGAAAUAAGAGAUCAAUAGAGUUUCUUGGAAUUGAAGUUACAGUUUCAAAUUGUAUUAGCUUUUAUGUAGUACAACAUCAAUAUCAAUGUCCAUCAUCUUAUGUACUUUUUUAUUUGUUUACUUUUGUACAUUGAGUUGAAUGUUAGUGGUAUAUGUUAGUGGUAUACAUUUUAGCUAAAUGUUAGUGUAUUUUAAUUGUUGGAUCGAUUUUUGUAGUGAAUAUUAAAUCUUUAUUUUAAUUUUAAUUUUAUAUUUUUUUGUUGUAUUUAUAGCACAAUUCCUAUCAUUAUUCACUGUAAAUAUUUAUAAAAAUAUAUUAAUAUUGAAAUAAUAAAAAAUAGAAAAAAUUACAUUAUACGUGUCUAUUCCAAUCUUUUUAAGAUUACCUUAGACGGGUUUAUCCCAACCUUUUUUUAAAGGUUGCCUUAGACAAGAUUUAUCCCAACCUUUUUAAGGUUGCUCUAAACGGGUCUAUCCCAACCUUUUUUAAAAGUUGCCUUAGACAAGGUCUAUCCCAACCUUUUUAAAGUUGCCUUAGACGGGUCUAUCCCAACCUUUUUUAAAGGUUGCCUUAGACAUGGUCUAUUCCAACCUGUUUAAGGUUGCCUUAGAUAGGUCUAUCCCAACCUUUUUUAUAGGUUGUCUUAGACAAAGUCUAUCCCAACCUUUUUAAGGUUGUCUUAGACGGCUCUAUCCAAACUAUUUUUAAAAGUUGCCUCAGACAAGAACUAUAUCAACCUUUUUAAGGUUGUCUUAGAUAGGUCUAUCUCAACCUUUUUCAAAGGUUGGCUGUAACUAGGUCUAUCCCAACCCUUUUUAAUGGUUGGCCUUGACUAGGUCUUUCCCAACCCUUCAAUAAGGGUCGGCUUAUGUUGACUUAUGCUGACGUUUUUUCAAAAGUGUUGUGGAGCCUACGCCAACUGUAUUAUAGACAACCUUUUCGAAAGCAUCAGGAGAACCGUCGCGAAACUUAUGCCAACCUUUUUUACGUUGUCUUAGGUCAAAAAAAAGUGUCACGAUAGGCUUAUUUUAUUGUAGUGAUAGUAAUAUUUUUAGCUCUUAAAAAUCUAAAUUAUAUAUAAUAUGUAUUUACAACUCUAAAUAUUAAAGCUUGAUUAGAUAUAGGUUAUUUGAACUUUUCAUCUUAAAUAAAUUUGAGGAAAUUAAAUAUGGAAAUUUUAAUUAAAUUAUUUUAAUAUAUAUACACACCAUUAUUUUCAUUCAUUAAUAAUUUUAAACUAACAUUUUUUCUUCAGUAAAUUUCACUUUAAUCCCUUUCUUUACUUUUCUAAUGUUAUUUUUAUUUUUUUGUCCUUUAUUUUUCUUCUAUUUUAUAAAUUCUUUGAUCUUAUAUGUUUCAAGUAUCAAAGUGUAAAUAAAUAUAAAUAUUAAAAAAUGCCAAAUGUAACUCUAUGUGAUAUUAUUUAAUUGCUACUCAUUUCUUUUUGUUUCAAAAAACAAUGGAAAACUUAAGAAUUUUAAAGUUUUUGGUAUCAAAUAUAUAUAUCUAUACAUUUACAUUUUAAACUCCAAACUUAAAUAAAUAGAGAAAAUCUAAAAAUUUAAAAUAAAAAUAAAUAAAAAAUGAAUAUUUAACUUUUUUAGUACACAUGUAUCAUUCAGACAAUUUUAAUAUAACAAAUAAUCAAGUAAUUGGGAUUUAAUAUUUAAUUAAAAAUAUUCUUCUAAAAAUUGUAAAUCGCAUAACAUUGAAAGUCUUUAAAUAAUAUACUAAAGGGGUGAGCAUUCAAUCAAAUCGAAUGAAAAAAUUUUGAGUUAAUCGAGUUGACGAAUAAUAUUUUAUUAUCCUAACUAGAUUUAAAUUUUUCUCGAAUAGAGUCUAGUGAGAUGGAACUCGAAUCGAAUCGAAUAUAUUUGUUCGAGUUAAAUUAAGGUCCUUGUAAUCAUUGUCACCCACCGCAAUCAGAUUUGUUAUUAACUUUCACUCCCUCAUAAUUUAUUUAUUAAUCUUUUAUAUAGGGUUAGAUUCUUUGCUUGCUUAGUUGCUUCAAUUAUCUUCUGAUUUUGUCACUAUGUAUUCUGAAAUUUAAAAAUAUAUUAAAUGUAAAAAAUGUGAUUUUUUUAAUAAAAAAAUAUCUUAAAGGUAAAAUAUAAAAUUGAUACCAACAUAAAAUUUUAGCACGAAUAUUUUAUGCCAUCAUCAAUAAUUUAAUUUUAACAAAAAAAAUUAUAAAGAUUCAAUAUGAUAAAAUAAUUCAAUAAUAUUGAUAAGCUAUAAAAGUAACAUAUUUUAAUCUCAAUCUUAAUGUGUUUUUAGAUGAUUAAUUAUGCAAAUUAGUGAAUUUAAUGCUCCUAAUCCAUUAAAAUAAUGCAUGGUACUUUUGAUAUUGUAUAGUUCUUUUGAUGUCAAAAUAAUGCAUUAAAAUUUAUUCAACUGUCAAUUUAAGUGGAAAAAGUUGGAGAUGAAAUUUGUAAUUAAACCUUCUUUAAUUUACGUCUUUUUCCCUAAAAAUAUAUUUUUUAAAAAUAUUAAAUGUUAUAAAACUUGGGACAAAUAUUAAAUGUUGGAAAGUGGUUAAGAAAAUCAUUAUCAUUAUAAUUCAUCCUCAUUAUUGAUCAGUGUCACUGAAGCAAUGAAUUUCAAUGGGUUUGGUAAUGGAUGAGAGUUUGCUAAAAAUCUUCCUUUUGGUUUGUAACCAUUUUCACUUACAUAGUCUAGGAUAAGAAUGUUAAAAACCUAUGUUAUAUCCAUAGAAAUUGAGGGCUAUAUUUCUUAUCAUCACAACAAGCGCAAGCAUUGUUGGGGUAUAUCCACUUGUCUUAAACCACUAGAAUGUACAAGUAGCAAAAGAUAAUAAUGAUUAAAAGCUUGGGUAAUUAAUUUUGUAGUAUAUAGUCGGUCCAACACUGACUUAUAUCUAAGCAAAGUGCAUGCAUCAACUACAACAUUUUUUCUCUGAUUACCUUCUCCUUUCUUCUAUCAUUCUAGAGUGUAAACAAUUCACUCAAAGGCAAACAAUUUAUAGAAUUGUCUAACCAUGUGUAUUGCUGCUUUCAUUUGGCAAGCUCAUCCACUCUACCCUCUACUGCUUUUACAAAACAGAGAUGAAUACCACAACAGGUAUGUUUCCAUUUCACUUCAAUCAUUCUUCUCUUGAAAAUAUAUUUAUCUUAUUAAUAUAUAUGGGUGGAAUUGAAGGCCUACGAAGGCACUUGCAUGGUGGGAUGUUGAUGGUUGUGAGAUAUUAGGAGGAAGAGAUGAAGUAGCAGGAGGGACAUGGUUGGCUUGUUCAAGACAAGGCAGAGUUGCUUUUCUCACCAAUGUGUUGGAGCUUCAUCCCCGUCCCGACGCCAAGACCCGCGGUGAUCCCCGUCCCGACGCCAAGACCCGCGGUGAUCUUCCACUUCUUUUCCUGGAGGUAAAUAAAUCUAUAUGCCUUUUUUUUCUUCUUUUUAUUUGGUCGAAGCCAGCUCACCUAUCAAAAACGGUGGUCAUUCAUUAAAAGUAAACACACUGUUGUUGAUACAGAGCACAAAGAGCCCCAUGGAAUUUGCGGAGCAACUGGCCACCGAUGCUCAUCAGUACAAUGGAUUUAACCUCAUAGUGGCUGAUAUUCCUUCCAAAUCAAUGGUUUACAUCUCGAACAGGCCAAAGGGGGAACCCAUUAACAUUCAACAGGUUUCUCCGGGGCUUCAUGUUCUUUCAAAUGCCAAGCUUGACUCUCCCUGGCAUAAGGUACAUUAACUUGUUUCAUGUGUUAUAUUCCUAUAAAGUUAUGCCCAAAGGCAGAUGGACGCUGGAGAAUUGAUUCAUCCACUCCCAUUGUGCAGGCUUGGCGGUUAGGUAAAGGCUUCAAACAGAUGCUCAAUAGAUACGGUAAAAAUGAAGUAAACGUGAAAGAAAUGGUUGAGAAACUUAUGAAAGAUAAAGUGAAAGCUGAUAAAAGUAAGUUACCUGGCAUAUGUGAUCUCGACAUGGAGUUCAACCUUAGCUCCAUAUUUGUUGAAAUGGACACCCCACUGGUAAAAUUCCAAGUUCUAAACCAUCCUCCUACUAAAAUUUAUGUAGAACAAUGUUGAAGCCAAUAAAAAUUGUGGUUGUUUCAACUUACAUAUCCAUCUAUUUUCCGGAAUACAGGGGCUUUAUGGAACAAGGAGUACUGCAGCAAUAACCGUAGGUGCUGGUGGGGAAAUUAGCUUUUAUGACGAGUAUCUAGAAAAGGGUGUGUGGUUUGAGAGAACAGUCAAUUAUCAUAUCCAGAAGCUCAAGUAGAUUGAAUCCAUGUCAAAGCAAGGGAUUUUACUACUCAAGUUAUUUAUUGAUUUGCGAAUGUUAUAAGCAUUUUAAGUUUAUACUAAUUGUAACAUAGGAGUGAUGUAUGAUGUAUCUCAUUCUUAAUACUUUACAUUUUCACUUUAAACUCCAAACUUAAAUAAAUAGAGAUAAUCUAAAAAUUUAAAAUAAAAAUAAAUAAAAAAUGAAUAUUUAACUUUUGUAGUACACAUGUAUCAUUCAGACAAUUUUAAUAUAACAAAUAAUCAAGUAAUUGGGAUUUAAUAUUUAACUAAAAAUAUUCAUCUAAAAAUUGUAAACCGCAUAACAUUAAAAGUCUUUAAAUAAUGUCACAUACAUGAUUUUUUUUUUGUAAAUAUACAUGGUCUGUUUUUAUUUAUAAAACUUCCUUUUACCUCAUUUUUCUUCAUUAAUGUCUACAAAUUUGAAGGGAGUCAUGUACCGAUUAAAUUUGAAUCCUAUCAAGAAUGAGCUUUUGAUUGUUAUAUUUGAUGUUUUCCUAUUAGUUUAAGAUCCCCAAUAAUUAAGCAUGCUUUCUUAAUAAUUGGAAAAUAUUUAUUUAAAAUAUUACUGUAACAGCUUAAUUUUAGGCCUAGUCGGAACAGUAGUUUCGGGACCACGAAUCUGACGAGGAAAAUUUUAUUUUUUAUUAUAUUUUUAUAGUCUACAAUUUCACAGAAUGAUUUCGUGAAAAUUUUGUUCAAAAAUUUCGACGUUUGUGCACUCAAUUUAGCCAAAAGGACUAAAUUGUAAAAAGUGCAAAAGUUGAGUUCUACAUGUUAGAAGUGUCCAAUUGUUAUGAAAUUUUAAAUUGGAGGUCCUUAAAUGGUAAUUAGACCAUUGGUUAACUUUUUGGACAAAAAUGGACAAGAGAUAAGUGAAAUAAGAUAUUUUUAAGUUUGGGGCAUUUUGGUCAUUUAGUAAUUAAAAGAAUUAAAAAGGCCAAAAUAGCCAAAAAUUUGUCCAUCUUCUCCAUGGUGAACGAAAUCAGCAAGGGGAAGCCAUGGUUAGGGUUUUCAAGCUUCCAAGCUCCAUAGCAAGUGAUUCCAAGCCCCAUUUUUAAUGUUCUUUACAUUUUUGGAGUCUCAGUAACUUGAUUUAGCUUAUUCUAACAAUAAUUUAACCUAGGGUUCAUAUUUGGAAAAAUACCCAUAGGUGAAAUGUGUUUAUUUUGAUGUUUUAUGGUAGUGUAUGAAGCUUGAAAUUAUGUUAAAUAACUUUUGCUAGCCGAUUUUAAGUGAAAACGAGUAAAUUGACAUAAUCGAUAAAAAUACCUAAUGUUCAUAAGUAAGUGUUAGAGUGAGAAUUUGAUGUUGCCAUAGAAGGGAAAAAUGUUCAGCAUGUCAUAAAACAUAAGAAAAAGGAAUAACGUUUAAUCUCCGAGCCUAGGGGCAAAAUUAUAAUUUUGUAAAACUUUAGGGGCAAAAAUGUAAUUUUGCCAAAAUGUGAUUUUUGGACUGGAUUGAAUAAUGUGAGUGUUAAAUAAGUUAAAUAUGUUAUUAUAAGUCAAUAAAGACAAGGAAAUGACUUUGAUUAGUGAAAAAGAAAAAAAAAAGAAGAAAAACUGAGAAAUUUCCCGAUUGAACAUUCGGAAUAAAAAGGGAUAUGAAUGAAGUGACAGAAAUGAUCACAUGCGUGGCAUGGACUGUGUGUAGGCCACUAUGUGAAAGUGAAAGUGAUGGUCACGUGUGUAGUACUAUGUGCAGGCUACUACGUGUACCAGAAUGAUAGGUCGCAGGUGUAGUACUAUGUGCAGGUUACUAUGCGUACCGGAUAGCUUCGAUCACGUGUGUAGUACUAUGUGCAGGCUACUACGUGUAUCGGAUAGUGAUGGUCACGUGUGUAGUACUAUGUGCAGGCUACUAUGUGAACCGGUAUCAUUAAUUAUAAGGUGGUUGCUAUGUGUUAAUCCCACAAGAUAUCAUUGAUUACAAAGGGUAGUUGCUGUGUGCUGAAUCCAUCGUAUAUAUGUUAUUAUUCUAAACUGUUCAUCAGGAAAUUGACUAAGUGAAAAUACAUGAGAUCAUGUAAUGAUUAAGUGUGAUUGAAUGAUGAAUACAUGUGUGGAAUUGAAUUGAAUAAUGAUUGAAAGUGAAAAGUGAAAUUAUGAAAAAGUAAAACUAGCAACAAAUAGUUUUAGACAGUAACAAUAGUGUGACUUUGAAAAAUCACCAAAAAUGGUGGAAAUUGAAUUAAAGAGUGAAUAAGAUAUGAAAUGAAAGCUUAAUGAGUCUAUUUCUACAUAAAAGAAACAGAGCAAGCAAAAGAGUUAUAUAUUUUGAGAUAUUUGAAUUUUAGUGAGGCAGGGUUGGAUUGAUUUUGGAAUCCCCUAUUCUGAAUUUGGAAAAUAAUUAAAAAUUGUAAAAAUAAUAAUUAUGAGUUAUAAUUUAUAUUCUUAGAAUCCUUAAUGAGUCUAUUUUCAAAGGAAAUAAACAUAAAUAUCAUCUGAAUUCUGUAAAAUGAGAUAAUUUAUUUUUAGUGAAGAGAUGUCAGAGAUGCUAAGCAGUGAAAUAGGGGUGAGUUUAAAGAAUAAACUGUACUAAUUGGCUAAGAAAAAAAUUCUGAAAAUUUUAUGGUAAGAAUAUAUGUGAGUUUAGUUUUGGGUAAAAUUAACGGAACUUAAUUUGGAGCUUUGUAGCUCAGGAUAAAAAUAAUUUAGUGACUGUAACUCGACUAGAUAGCUUUUGAAUUUAAAUAUAAGUGAAUAGUGAAAUUAUGUAUAAUGCUAUUUAAGCAUGUUAUAUACAUAAAGGAUGUGGGAUGGAGAGGAGGAGGAGGACAAUAAAGCAUAUGCGUGUGGUAGAUUAGCAUGAAAUGAUGUCGUGAGUGGCUCAUGAAUUAACUCAUGUUGGUAAGUUGAUGCAUAAUUAUAGUAUUCAAAUAUAUUACAUAUUUGUAAUAUUUUGCUAUGUGAUUCGGAAAAAGGGGAAUAAAUAGCAUAAUGAAAAUUCGGCCAUGGUGCUAGUUUAUGUUAAAGGAGUGUUUUAUGGCAUAUCUUAAGUAAUGGAAUGUUAUGAAUUUUGAGAUUAAUUUGCUAGUCAAAUAAAUGACAAAUGAAUUGAUUGCGUAUUCGUAAUUUUGACAUAUGCUUGGUAUAUGAAACGUAAUAAUAUAUGCUUGAACAAACUUUAAGUAUUCGAAUGACAUGGAUUUGAUGGUGAUAAGAUUCGAACAUUGAAUUCAUGAAGCACAAGUGAUGUAUUAUUGUUGUGUGAUAGCUUGGUUUGAGAAAUUGGUUAGGUAAAUGGUAAGUUAAAGCAUUUAUGGAUAUAGAAGAAAAUUUGGAGUGAAUAUGAAAUUUAGCUCAAUUAAAUGAUUUCAUCAAUUAAACAUUGUGUAUACCAGAAUGUGUUAGUGAAUUACAUAUUCAUAAAUUGACAUUCGAAGUUCAGUUAGUGAUAUAUGAAAAUAACAUGAAAAGAUUUAUGAUUGUGAUUAAUAUUGAUUCUAACUUAAAGUGGAUUCUUCAAUAUUGGAUUGAUUUAACGGAUAUAUUGAGCAUAUGAAUGGGUAUGUAUUGGGCCUCGUAAACCUUAAUUAGCGACUCAAAGAUAAUAAUUUGAAAGUUUUUAAUUUGAAUGAAAUUUUAUAACUCAGUUUAAUAUGUUUAUAAGUGUAUUUAUUCUAAUAAUGCCUCGUACCCUAUUCCAGCGUAGAAUACGAGUAAGGGGUGUUACAAUGUGACAUCACUAGAUUCGGCCCUAAUGUUUAGGCCGGGUUUGGGGUGUUACAAUUACUUUUGAAAGUAUUUCUAUGAAGCGUGUCUCGUAUUUUCGGUCAAGCUAAAUGGCAAAGCAAAGGCAACAUUGAGACAUGGAGCAUAGGAUGUCACAAUGACGUGACGACAUUCGAAACUAAAUCGAAGCAGGGCCGACGUCACGAUGAGGGGACCUACGAUGUCGUGACGAUGCAACGAGGCAGCCACGUCUCUUGACAACUUAAUGGAUUUUCCUUCUCCCAGUUGAACUUUGAUUUUCGGUUCUCUUUUCUCAAUUUAACUCUAACUAUUCUAGGGAUAUUUUUGUAAUACCCUAUAUGUAGCACCUUUAACCCGUAUCCAUUGUCAGAUUAGAGUUACGAAAUAUUACCGAGUAAAACAAAACAUUUAACUUCACAACAGAAACAAUUAUAUUAAUUAAAUGUAAUCAUGGUAAAAAUAUAAUUACGGGUCUUAACUCGAGUUUACAGGGCCUUAAAAACAGUUUUGGAACAUUCAGGGAUCAAUUCGAACAAAUCAGAAAAUUUAAAAAAACAGGAAAAUUUUGAAAACAGGAAUCACACUAUCGUAUGACAUAGUUCAGAUCUUGUGGACAUUCGAAGUCUAGACACACAGCUUAUCCCAAGCCGUGUGAGUAUUCGGAAUAAGGCUACACGGACAUGUCAUAUGUCGUGUGCCAAAUCAUGUGUACUGUAAUAACCAAUUUUACCCGAGCUUAUUAAAAUUAAAUUAAAAUAAUAUAAAAAUCAAAUAAUAAUAAAAUGUCCAAUAACAGUCCAAUAAAAUAAACCCAUAAACCGAAUACACCCCAGCCCAAUAACCAAUUACAGGCCCAAUUCAAACCUAAUACCCAAAUUGCAACCCACAAGCCCAAAAGCAAGAAAAAUAGAAAACCCUAGACAGUAGCAGCUUCCAGCGCCGUUCUCCCUAUGUAGCCUCCGCGCGUGCUACGCCACCACCACGCGCGUUCCUCACAUGUGAACUAGGCCUCCACUCCAGCUUGCACCUGUAACAGACGUAACAAACUAGUAGAGAAAGCAAAGGAAAAAUGACAGCAAGGAAAAGGCAACACAGCAAAUAGGAAAGCAGUAAAUAAAAAAUGUAAAAAAUAUAUUUCGAUUGAUUUUAUUUUUAUUUUUAUUUUUAAGGAUUUCGGUUAUAAAAAGGCCAUUUGAGCACUAUAAAUGUGGACGCAUACAGAGAUUGAAUACAAAAAACAAAAAAAAAAUUCAAAGAAAAAGGUAAAUAGAGUUUUGUAAGAAAAAAAUGACAUUCUGCAUUCAUGCAAACAUCAUUCAUACAUUUGAAUUAUACAAGUCAUGUUCCCCCAGAGAACAAACCGGUGAAACUAUAAAGCCUGAGCAGCAGUGGAAUAGGUUGAAAAUAGCAGAUCUUGUUUUUCUGUACUGGCAGCGAAGCAGAUCGAAGAUAACAAGUCUUAUCUCCCUGACUUGCAGCGGAGCAGACUGAAGAUAGCAGAUCUUGUCUUCCUGUACUGACAGUGAAGUAGAUCGAAGACACCAGUCUUAUCGCCUUGAUGUUGCAAUGGAACAGAUUAAAGCUAAAGAUAGCGAAUCUUGUGUCCCUGCCGUUGCAACGGAGUAGAUUAAAGCUGAGGGCAGCAAAUCUUAUCUCCUUAGCGUUAAGACUUGGAUUAGCUGAAGUGGAGCAGAUUAAAGCUGUAGGCAGCGAAUCCUAUCUAUUUGGCAUUACAGUGGAAUAGAUUGAAGCUACAACAGCGAAUCUUACUUCCCUGGUGGUGUAGUGGAACAAAUUGAAGCUACGAUGGCGAAUCUAGUUUCCCCGACACUGCAGUUAAAUAGAUUGAAGCCAUAACGGUGAAUUUUACUUCCCUGGCGGUGUAGUGGAACAUAUUAAAGCUACGACGCCAAAUCUUGUUUCCCCGACAUUGCAGUUAAAUAGAUUGAAGCUACAACAGCAAAUCUUACUUCCCUGGCGGUGCAGUGGAACAGAUUGAAGCUACAACGGCGAAUCUUGUUUCCCCGACAUUACAGUUAAACAGAUUGAAGAUGGCGAAUCUUAUCUCUCUAAGGUUACAGUGGAGCAGAUUAAAGCCAAUAAUCCUAUCUCUCUGAGGUUGCAGUAGAGCGGAUUGAAGUGAUGAUCUUAUCUCUCUGAAGUUACAGUAGAGCAGAUCGCAUCCAAUUUUAUCUCCCUAAAGUUGUAGUGGAGCAGACAGAAGAAACCAAUCCUAUCUCCCUGAAAUUGCAGGGGAGCGGAUUAAAACUACAGAUCUUAUCUCUCUGAAGUUGCAAUAGAGCAUAUCACAACAGACUUAUCUUUUUAAAGUUGCAGCAGGACAAGUUGAAGCUACAAGUCUUAUCUCCCUGAAGUUGCAAUGGAGCAGACUGAAGAUAGUAAAUUUUUUUCUUUUGAAAAGACUACAAGUUACAAAUUGCAUCUCCCUAAUGUUACAGUGGAGUAUAUUGAAGCACCAAUUCCUAUACUUCUAAAGAUGCAGUAUGAUGGAAUGAGGCUACUUGAAGAAGAAGAGCACCAAGGUCCAGCAUGACCAGGCAAAAUUGGUCAUUUUUAAAGUCUUUGCUUUGUUCCCGUUACACGACAACAAGCAAAGAAGGGCAGCUGUAAUAACCAAUUUUACCCGGGCUUAUUAAAAUUAAAUUAAAAUAAUAUAAAAAUCAAAUAAUAAUAAAAUGUCCAAUAACAGUCCACUAAAAUAAACCCAUAAACCGAAUACACCCUAGCCUAAUAACCAAUUACAGACCCAAUUCAAACCUAAUACCCAAAUUGCAACCCACAAGCCCAAAAGCAAGAAAAAUAGAAAACCCUAGACAGCAGUAGCUUCCAGCGCCGUUCUCCCCAUGUAGCCUCUGCGCGUGCUACGCCACCACCACGCGCGUUCCUCGCAUGCAAACCAGGCCUCCACUCUAGCUUGCACCUGCAACAGACGUAACAAACUAGCAGAGAAAGCAAAGGAAAAAUGACAGCAAGGAAAAGGCAACACAGCAAAUAGGAGAGCAGUAAAUGAAAAAUGUAAAAAAUAUAUUUCGAUUCAUUUUAUUUUUAUUUUUAAGGAUUUCAGUUAUAAAAAGGUCAUUUGAGCACUGUAAAUGUGGACGCAUAUAGAGAUUGAAUACAAAAAACAAAAAAAAAAUAUUCAAAGAAAAAGGUAAACAGAGUUUUGUAAGAUUUUUUUAAAUUUUUCUUCACUUUUCUUUGUUUUUUUUUACUGCUUUGUUCAUUAAUAAUAUGUGUAAGGCCCAAUUUUUGUCCGGCCUGUUACAGAAAUAAAAAACCAAACAAAACCAAAAUGUUUCAGUCCAAUUUUGCUAAGCCCAAUAACCCAAUAGCACAGCCCAAAUCAAUUUAUCCUAAAACUAACCCAGCUACAAUCACCGAAACCCUAAAAUCCCUUAGCCACCGCCUCCAGCAAGUGUCCAAUCAGCGCACGUUUCGGAACCAGCCCUCUUCUCCGCGUCGUGCUCUCCACGUCUACCUGCGAAAACGGACUAAAAGAGUCCCAAUAUUGUAAAAUAAAAAUACAAAGUAUUUUCUUAGGCUAUAAAAAGCCUAACUUGUACACUGAUAAAAAUAAAAGAAUAGAGAACAGAAUAAAUAUUUUUACAAAGGUGAUUUUUUUUUGUUUUAUUCCGCAGUGACCAUUUUUUAUUUACAUAUGUUUUAUUUUCUUUUAUUUUCAUUUAUUUCGUAUAAAAUAACAAAGAAAAAAGAAAAGGAAAACAUACCUUUUGUCGGACUUGCCGGAUUGUUGCCAUCUCCAGCGCUAGGAGUUAGGGCUGAAAACCCUAGCAGAGGGCAUUUAGUUUUUUUUUUCCUUUCAUUCUGCUGCAAAUGUUUUUUAGAGAAAAAAAUUGUUUUAAAUAACAGAGCAAAACGGCGCCGUUUUACCCAGGCAUGACCCGCGCGGUGACCCGACCCGGAGGGAGGAUUCGCGCGUUUUGGUCGAAGGGAAAAUUUGCGCAAUUGGUCCCUCCCUUUUGCAAUGCGCUUCAAUUAAACCUGUUUUGUUUUUUUUAAUUUGGCCGCAUAUUUUAUUUUUGUUUCAAUUUGGUCCCUUGCUGCGCAGCAUUUUGGAGGGUAGGAUUAAUUUCCCUUCUAGUCCCCCAUUGUUGUUCGCGCGUUCAAGUUGGUCCUUUUUUUAUUUAUUUUUGAAUCUACCCCAUCUUUUCGUUUUUAAGUUCAAUUUAGUCCAUUUUUUAGCUUUUUCUUUUUUAUGUUUGUCAUUGUACCAUUAUUAUUAUUAUUAUUAUAUUAUUUGCUAUCAUUAUUGUUAUUGUAUUUUCUAUACAUAUAAAUACGCAUAUUUUUUAUAUAUAAUAUAUAAGCAUAUUUUUAAUAUAUAUAUUUAUAAGUACGCAUCUAUUUUAUACAUACAUACUUUUUUUUUUAUUUCCUAACCUUUAUGUACACGUAUAUAUACUUCUAUAUUUUGGUUUCAAAAUUUUUUAUACAUAUGCAUGUUCGUUUUUUCUUAUAUAUAUUAUUUUUCAUUUUUUUUACAAAACGUAUAUAUAUGUGUAUACAUACACAUUUUAAAAUACACACAUGUUUCCCAUAUUUUACAAUUCAAAAUACACAUUUUUUAUAUUAUAUAUAUACAUUCUUUAUAUUUUUGAGUUAUUAUAGACAUUUUUAUUAUUCUAUAUAUACUCCGUUAUUUAUGUACAUAUCAUACAUAUAUAUAAAUUUUUUAAUAUAUGUAUACAUAUUUUCAUGUUUUACCAAUACAUAUAUACUUAUACAUUUUUUUUCUGUAAAUAUAUACACAUAUACAUACUUUUAUAGUUUUAUUUUAUUUUCACGGUUUUCAAAUGCACAUACGUGCAUUUUUUAUGAGUUUUUGAUUGAUAUAUUCCAUUCCAUUUUUUUAUAUGUAUCCUUGUAUAUGUGUGUAAAAUAUAUGCGUACACAUAUUUUCAAAUUUUCUUGUAUAUUGUACUUGUAUGUAUAUAUUUUGUAAAUACAUAUUCAUAUAUGUUUUAAAUUAACGUUUUGUUUCAUAUUGUACGUUAACUUUUAACAUACCUUUUGGGAAAUAUAUUUUGGUUUUGUCAGUAUAUCAAAAUCAUUUUCUCUUGAUUCAAAGUUUUUUUGAAUAAAAGCAAUAUUCAAGUUUGAGAUUUUUGAGGAAAAUUGAGCCCUAACGUAUUGGGUUCUGAUUUUCUUUGUUAAUCUUAAAUAACCGAGGAUAUUCUUUAUUCAAAAUGCAUGAGUAUAAAGAUCAUUUUUGGGAACUUAACUUGUUGUGUCCUAAUGUAUUGGGCGUGACAUAUUACUUUCUCAAAAUGAAGAUUUUCACAUAAAAUAAAAGUGAUAUUCAAAGUUCGGGGAUUUUGAGAAAUUGUACCCUAACGUAUUGGGACUCGAUUUCUUUACAUGACUUGAACAAUUGAUUAUCCUUUUCAAAUUUCAUCAUUUAAGUUGUUUUAAAAAAAAUUAGCCCUCGACAUUAAGACAUUAAAUAAUUAAUUUGGUACAGAUUUUGGGUGUCACGAGGGUGCUAACCCUUCCUCGUGCGUAACUGACUCCCGAACCCAUUUUCUCAAAUUUCGUAGACCAAAAUACGUUUUAAGGUGAACUGAUCACACCUCAAUAAAAGAUCGGUGGUGACUCCAAUUUUGUUUUUUUAAAAAGUCGACAACUACAUUUUUGAUUUAGAAAUGGUUUCGACAGCUUGGCGACUCCACUGGGGACACUAGAGAGUCGAGCCAUAAAUUGAUUAUUUUUGUCUUGUGAUUGAAAAAUCAAAUUUGUUUUAAAAUCAUGAUUUCCCUUUACAUUCAUUGAUUUUCAUCAUGAUAUAUUUGCAUGAUGGGUCCGAGUCGAUUAAUUUGUAUUUGCAUUAUGCAUUGCAUUGGUUGGUCAGUGUUACCUCUUUAAGUGGGAGCGAGAAACUAGUCCUUCGUGAGGUUUUGACCUCCGUGCAGGGUAGUAGACCGCUUUCGGGAUACAUCCGUACCUAUGUCUUCGUGAGAUUUUCAUCUCCGUGCAGCCAUAGGGAAAUGUAUUCCCUUGAACUGAACUCAGUCCAUAUGAGCCUAUAAUGGGUGAGGAUCGAGGAAUCUGCUGGUUCGGGUACCUUUGCUCUAGAAACUAAACCUCAUAUACUGAGAUUUAGGGACUUGCCCUAGGUAGAGCUAUACCAAACCCUAGAGGAGUCCUGAAUAGGUUUUAUUAUUUCCUAUGUACGUUGAAUUAUGAUUUUAUGCAUGAUACUAACUUGUGUGUUUUGUUUUGGCGGUAUGGCAUUUUGACUGCAUGGCAUUUCAUUAUAGAAAAAAAAUGUUGAUUCAUGUUUGGUUGUUAAAUAGAGAGCUUGCUACGGAAAAUAGAUUUCUUGAUAAGGUGAAAGAUAAUACGGUUGUCUGAGUAUAGUCUAAGAAAACGUGACGCGAAAGGUAAUAGCGUAACAAGAGGAGUAUACGACUUUGCUGCGUUGCCCAAGGAUUCAAAUUGUCAAAGAUUAUUCAAGAGUCAUCAAACGUCCUAACCUCUUAAAGAAGCUCAUGGGCAUGAGUGAGCAAAGAGAUACGACCUAGAUCAAACAAAAUGGAGCUAAGAUUCGCAAAAUGCAUCUUAAUGUUCGAAUGGUCGAUGCCUUCACUUGGAGUACGAGCACAAAGCCGUAUAUAUAUAUCCGCUUUGUGUAAAGAGAUUUGUUUUCUAGUGAAGUUUUUCUAAUAAAGAAUUGAACUAGAAUCAACGUCUCUUUUUGCAUUUAUUUCAUGCAUUUGCAUUACAUUACAUCACAUGCAUUAAACACCGUAAAAGGAUCCUAAUUAACUAAAUCAUUGCUCAGUUAACCUGGAAACCAACCAACCAACCAAACACCAUUAUGACACUUGAGCAAAGAUUAAAGAUAUGGAUCAGAGAUUGGAAAAGCUCGAAUAGUACCAGAAGAAGAUGCAAGACCGACUUCAGCUGCAAGUGCAAGAACGGUUGGACAAGAUGCAAUAGGAUAUGUCAGAGAAGAUACAGGAAUCCCAAAAGGAUAUGAUGGCGAAGCUGACCCAACUAUUGACUGGAGGAAGUGAUAAGGGAAAAGGGACCUGUAGCUAAUGUCGAAGAAGGCAACGAGGAUGAACCUCUCUAUCCUCCAGGCUUUACUCCUCCACAUGUACGAACUCAAGCUGAGGUAUACCCGCACAAAUCUAUUGUCACAAUCAGGCCUCAGCAGUUCCAGGCCGGUACUUCAAAUUUCCAAGCUGGAUCGGGCUCUAACCCCGGGAACUACCCUAUUAACUCUGCCAUUCCUGACUUCGAUGAAAUGGCUGAAAAGGAAAAAAUAAAUGAAGAGUUACCAAGGCAGUUAGAAGAGAGGUGUAAAUGGCUCGAAGAGAAGUUCAAGGCGAUGGAGAUCACUGAAAACUAUCGUGGGAUCAACGCUAAAGAACUGAGUCUAGUCCUAAAUUUGGUACUCCCUCAUAAGUUUAAGAUGCCGAAAUUUGAAAAAUAUAAUGGGACAAGUUGCCCAGAAGCACAUAUCACCAUGUUCUGCAGGAGAAUGGCUGGAUAUGUUAACAAUGACCAGCUACUGAUUCAUUGUUUCCAGGAUAGCCUUACAGGGGCAGCAUCUAAAUAGUACAAUCAACUGAGCCAUACCAUGAUAGGUUCAUGGAGGGACUUAGCACAAGCGUUCAUGAAACAGUACAGUCAUGUAACAGACAUGGUUCCUGACAGAAUCACCCUUCAGAAUAUGAAAAAGAAGCCAAACGAGAGCUUUAGGUAAUAUGCACAAAGGUGGAGGGAGGUGGCUGUUCAAGUUCAGCCACUGCUCUUGGAAAGAGAAAUGUCAAUGCUCUUUAGAAAUAUAUUGAAAGCCCCGUUCAUUACGCAUAUGUUAGGAAGUGCUACAAAAAGCAUUUCUGACAUAGUUAUGAAUGGUGAAAUGAUCGAAAAUGCUAUAAGGAGUGGGAAAAUCAAUGCAGAGGAGAGUAACAAGAGGCCAGUCUCAAGAAGAAGAGAAAAUGAGGUGAACAACACGGGUUACUCUAAAUCAGUUACUAUGAGUCAGCCAAGAAAGUUGGUUGCUAACCAACAAGGUUCAUCAAGACAAGAAGAUGGUACAAGACAAAACACUAAGAGGCCCCAAUUCACGCCAAUUCCGGUGUCGUAUAGGGAGUUAUAUCAAAGAUUUUUUGAUGCACAUGUUGUUUCCCCUUUUCAUGUAAAGCCUCUACAACCUCCGUACCCCGAAUGGUAUGAUGUGAACGCACAAUGUGAAUACCAUGCGGGAAUUACGGGACACUCAAUAGAGAAUUACACUGCCUUCAAGAAGCAAGUUGAAAGACUCAUCAACACGGGUAUUGUCAAGUUUGGUGACUCAUCUAGUGCAGAAAAUCCGCUACCCAAUCAUAUUGAUAAUAGAGGUGAGAUUUUCACAUCGACGCCGUAUGUGCAGACACAACCAAAAGGGUUAUUGUUAGAUAUUCACCUGGAAGGUGCUAUAAAUAAUGGGACUGCAGAGGAAACCCCUAUAGUAUUUAGAGUCUGUUAGGGUAAUGUUCAGAACACACUUGUUGCUUUUAGCCUAGAAGCAAUAAGAACUUCUUUGUGAAAUAGGCUCAUGUCUGAACAUUGUUAUUUUAAUGAAAUACAUUAUUGCAAUCAUCUUUGAGCAAAUGUUCUUUCAUUCUUUACGAUUCUUUCAUUCUUUUGGAUUUUUUUUGCCAAACCAUUUUUUUCAUUCAUUCAUAUUAUUUAUAAAUUCAUACAUUAUUUUGUAUAUUCUUUGGUACCUACUAGGGGUCCCCAGAUAUCAAUGACAUGAGUGACGCUGCUAUAGACUCAGAACUUCCUUUUGAGUGAGACAUGUGUUUAGAGGGAUCUCAUGACUUUGAUGAUGACAUAGAUUGCAGCUUAUCUCCAGAUUUGACGAAGGUGAUAGAAUAAGAGGAUAAGAUAGAUCAUACCUCAUAAGAAAUUAUUAGAAAUUGUAAGCUUGGUGAAGAUUAAAAUUGACAUGACCACAAAGACGAAGUGGGACCUUAUGAAUUACCCUAAGAAUUCAAUGAUGUCUUCACAUGGUCAUACCCAGAUAUGCUCGGGUUAAGCACUGACUUUAUAAUCUGAAUAACAACAUGAUGUCAGAAAUUUGCAGUAGGUUCAGCAUUAAUGUUAUGAACGAUGCAGUGAAAUUUCUUUAUUGGGGAAAUGUCCUUCUCUUUGGCUUAUCAUAGCUUUGCUCAUUGAAGUUGAAUUGCCAUUUCUCUGUAUUUUUAUCCUAAGAGGAAGAUCUGAAGGUUCGUCCUAGAGAAUUUCACAAGGGGGAGCUAGUGUUGAAAAUGAUCAUUCCUAUACAAAAGGGAUUUUAGAGGAAGAUAGAUGCCAAAUUAGGAGGGUCCAUAUGUUGUAAAGAAAGUCUUUUCUAGGAAAACUUUGAUCCUGAGUGAGAUGGAUGGUAAAGAUUGUCCAAGCCCUGUAAACUCAGAUUCAGUUAAGAAGUACUUUUCCUAAAAAAGGGGACCAAGGUGAAAGCCUACAAAGGGCGCCUUGAGUAAAAAAAAAUAGAGAGGCCAAGGUGAAAACCCGCGAAGGGAGGCUUGAGACCAAAAGGAUUUUAGUUGAAAACCCAAAAAGGGCGGCUCAAAUGUUGAUCAAAAUGGCAUUUGAAAUUAUCAGAGCAGCUCAAAUACUGAUCAGAAUGGGGCAUGCAGUGGUCUUGCUAUACCUGAAUCAACAGGAAAGGGGUAGGCAACAUCUUGGGGCAUCGACAAAGCACUGUUGAUUUCCUAAACACAUGUUAAAAUCAGAAUGGUCUUCAGAAAGUUUGCACAGAGAAGUUCAGGCUGCGAUACCUGGGGCACCGAAUCCUUAUACUAUUUUUGUUAUACUUGGAACACUUCAUUCAUUUCCAAGACACGCAUUCUUAAAUUAAUUUCUUUAUUAUCUUUGACAAUUUAUUCAUUUCGAGCUAUGUUCAGAACCAACUCUAUUCUUAUCCAUGAUCUUUUUGCAAGCAUGUUGCAUUAGAAUAAUGAUUAAUGGACUAAUAAAACUUUCACAAAGGAAGUUUUGCAUAUUACUCUAGAAAUUUCUAAAUAAUAUAGGAACCUGAAACAGGACUAUUGUUUAGAACACACCAAGUUUAAAGGUUGGAAAUCUGAUAAGGAGGAGUCUAAAUUAAGACUAUCCUUUUAAAUUUUGUUGUCUAAAACAUUGUUUGAACAAAAUGAUAAGAUGUCAUAUUGGUGACAAAGCUUAGAUGAAAGAAAGUAAUGAUCACCGAAUAAUAAGAAGAAGUUGUUCUUGGAGAAUAAAAUUUUUCAUUUGUGCAUUGGCAUUUGGUAUGACACCCAUAGAAUGGUAAAAGACCAAAGAGCUUCACAUUCUACAUCCUUGAAUUGUGAUAGGAGAGGAUUGAGAAAAUGCCAGAUUUUUCUUGGGUUACAGCGGGAGAAAGAUGGUACAAAUGUUACAUCCUAGUGGAUUGAGCUUUGAAGUUCACAGUGGGGGCAAUCUGGUCAAGUGUUUCUUUGGAGACGUUAGCCAAGCAAAAGGUGCUAUAGCACAUUAGCGAUAAAAUUUUAAUAAACUUUGAGUAAUGAUAACCUAAGUGAUAAGGAGGAAUCAUUCUCGAAAAAUGACAUUCUGUAUUCAUUCAAAUGUCAUUCAUACAUGCCUAGUUAGGAGCAUUUGAUUCAUUCUGUUCAUGACAUCCUAAUCAUUAGGUAUAAUUAGGUUCAUAAAGUGAAUUAUACAGGUCAUGCUCCCUAGAGGACAGAUCAGAGAAAUCAUAAAGCCUUAUCUCCCUGAGCAACGGUGGAGCAGGUUGAAAAGCAGCAGAUCUUGUCUUCCCGUACUGGUGACGAAGUAGAUCGAAGAAAGCAGAUCUUGUCUUCAUGUAUUGGCGUGAAGUAGAUCGAAGAAAGAAGAUCUUGUCUUCCCAUACUGGUGGUGAAGUAGAUCGAAGAAAGCAGAUCUUGUCUUCAUGUAUUAGCGUGAAGCAGAUCGAAGAAAGCAGAUCCUGUCUUCCUAUAUUGGUAGCGAAGUGGAUCGAAGAUAGCAGAUCUUGUCUUCAUGUAUUGACGUGAAAUAGAUCAAAGAAAACAGAUCUUGUCUUCAUGUAUUGGCGUGAAAUAGAUCGAAGAAAGCAGAUCAUGUAUUGGCGUGAAAUAGAUCGAAGAAAGCAGAUCUUGUCUUCAUGUAUUGGCAUGAAGUAGAUCAAAGAUAGCAGAUCUUGUCUUUCCAUACUGGUGGCGAAGUAGAUCGAGGAAAGCAGAUCUUGUCUUCAUGUAUUGGCAUGAAGUAGAUCAAAGAGAGCAGAUCUUGUCUUCCCAUACUGGUGGCGAAGUAGAUCGAAGAUGACAGAUCUUGUCUUCAUGUAUUGGCAUGAAGUAGAUCAAAGGAUAGCAGAUCUUGUCUUCAUGUAUCAGCAGUGAAGUAGAUCGAAAAUACAAGUCUUAUCUCCCUGAAGUAGCAGUGGAGCUGACAGAAGUAACCAAUCCUAUCUCCUUGAAGUUGCAAUGGAGUGGAUUAAACCUGCAGAUCUCAUCUCUCUGAAGUUGCAGUAGAGCAGAUCGCAUCAGAUUUAUUUUUAAGUUGUAGCAGAACAAGUUGAAGCUAUAAGUCUUAUCUCCCUGAAGUUGUAGUGGAGCAGAUUAAAGAUAGCAAUUUUUGUUCUUUUAAAAAGCUACAGUGUACGAACCCUAUCUCCUUGACAUUGCAGUGGGGUAGAUUGAAACACUAGUUCCUAUACUUCAGAAGAUGUAGUAGGAAAGAAUGAGGUUACUUGAAGGAAAAAGAACUGAAUAAGUCGAGGCUCAGUAAGACCGGGCACAAUUGGGCUUUUAGUAUUUGCUCUGUUCCCGUUACAUGACAACGAGCAAAGAGGGGCAGCUAUAGGGCCCAAUUUUUUCCUGGCCCGUUACAGAAAUAAAAAACCAAACAAAAACCAAAAUGUUUCAGUCCAAUUUUGCUAAGCCCAAUAACCCAAUAGCACAACCCAAAUCAAUUUAUUUUAAAACUAACCUAGCUACAAUCACCGAAACCCUAAAAUCCCUUAGCUACUGCCUCCGGCAAGUGUCCAAUCGGCACACGUUUCGAAACCAGCCCUAUUCUCCGCGUCAUGCUCUCCACAACUACCUGCGAAAACGGACUAAAAGAGUCCCAAUAUUGUAAAAUAAAAAUACAAAGUAUUUUCUUAGGCUAUAAAAAGCCUAAGUUGUACACUGAUAAAAAAAAAGAACAGAGAACAAAAUAAAUAUUUUUACAAAAGUGAUUUUUUUUUGUUUUAUUUCGCAGUGACCAUUUUUUAUAUACAUACGUUUUAUUUUCUUUUAUUUUCAUUUAUUUCGUAUAAAAUAACAAAGAAAAAAGAAAAGGAAAACAUACCUUUUGUCGGAGUCGCCGGAUUGUUGCCAUCUCCAUCGCGGUCGGAGCGUCGGCAUGGGCGAACGGCGGCGCUAGGAGCUAGGGCUGAAAACCCUAGCAGAGGGCAUUUGGUUUUUUUUUCCUUUCAUUCUGUUGCAAAUUUUUUUUAGAGAAAAAAAAACUGUUUUAAAUAACAGAGCAAAACGACGCCGUUUUACCCAAGCAUGACCCGCGCGGUGACCCGACCCGGAGGGGAGGAUCCGCGCGUUCUGGCCGAAGGGAAAAUUUGCGCAAUUGGUCCCUCCCUUUUGCAAUGCGCUUCAAUUAAACCUGUUUUGUUUUUUUUAAUUUGGCCGCAUAUUUUAUUUUUGUUUCAAUUUGGUCCCUUAUUGCGCAGCGUUUUGGAGGGUGGGAUUAAUUUCCCUUCUAGUCCCCCAUUGUUGUUCGCGCGUUCAAGUUGGUCCUUUUUUAUUUAUUUUCGAAUCUACCCCAUCUUUUCAUUUUUAAGUUCAAUUUAGCCCAUUUUUUAGCUUUUUUUUUAAAUUCUUUUUUAUGUUUGUCAUUAUACCAUUAUUAUUAUUAUAUUAUUUGCUAUCAUUAUUGUUAUUGUAUUUUCUAUACAUAUAAAUACGCAUAUUUUUUAUAUUUAAUAUAUAAGCAUAUUUUUAAUAUAUAUAUUUAUAAGUACGCAUCUAUUUUAUACAUACAUACAUACUUUUUUUUAUUUUAUUUCCUAACCUUUAUGUACACGUAUAUAUACUUCUAUAUUUUUGUUUCAAAAUUUUUUAUACAUAUGCAUGUUCGUUUUUUUUAUAUAUAUUAUUUUUCAUAUUUUUUUACAAAACGUAUAUAUAUGUGUAUACAUACACAUUUUAAAAUACACACAUGUUUCCCAUAUUUUACAAUUCAAAAUACACAUUUUUUUUAUAUUAUAUAUAUACAUUCUUUAUAUUUUUGAGUUAUUAUAGACAUUUUUAUUAUUCUAUAUAUACUCCGUUAUUUAUGUACAUAUCAUACAUAUAUAUAAAUUUUUUAAUAUAUGUAUACAUAUUUUCAUGUUUUACCAAUACAUAUAUACUUAUACAUUUUUUAUUUCUGUAAAUAUAUACACAUAUACAUACUUUUAUAGUUUUAUUUUAUUUUCACGGUUUUCAAAUACACAUACGUGCAUUUUUUAUUAGUUUUUGAUUGAUAUAUUCCAUUCCAUUUUUUAUAUGUAUCCUUGUAUAUGUGUGUAAAAUAUAUGCGUGCACAUAUUUUCAAAUUUACUUGUAUAUUGUACUUGUAUGUAUAUAUUUUGUAAAUACAUAUUCAUAUAUGUUUUAAAUUAAUGUUUUGUUUCAUAUUGUACGUUAACUUUUAACAUACCUUUUGGGAAAUAUAUUUUGGUUUUGUCAGUAUAUCAAAAUCAUUUUCUCUUGAUUCAAAGUUUUUUGAAUAAAAGCAAUAUUCAAAGUUUGGAAUUUUUGAGGAAAAUUGAGCCCUAACGUAUUGGGUUCUGAUUUUCUUUGUUAAUCUUAAAUAACCAAGGAUAUUCUUUAUUCAAAAUGCAUGAGUAUAAAGAUCAUUUUCGGGAACUUAACUUGUUGUGUCCUAAUGUAUUGGGCGUGACAUAUUAUUUUCUCAAAAUGAAGAUUUUCGCAUAAAAUAAAAGUAAUAUUUAAAGUUCGGGGAUUUUGAGAAAUUGUACCCUAAUGUAUUGGGACUCGAUUUCUUUACAUGACUUGAACAAUUGAUUAUCCUUUUCAGAUUUCAUCAUUUGAGUUGUUUUAAAAAAAAUUUUUUAGCCCUCGACAUUAAGACAUUAAAUAAUCAAUUUUGUACCGAUUUUGGACGUCACAAGGGUGCUACCCUUCCUCGUGCGUAAUUGACUCCCGAACUCGUUUUCUCAAAUUUCGUAAACCAAAAUACGUUUUAAGGUGAACUGAUCACACCUCAAUAAAGGAUCGGUGGCGACUCCAAUUUUGUUUUUUUAAAAAGUCGACAACUAUAUUUUUUAUUUAAAAAUGGUUUCGACAAUAUGAAAUAAAAGAAAAAUAGAGAGUAGGGAGAGAAAUUUACCUAAAAGCUGAGACGUCGUUCGUCUGUCGUAAUCGAAGUCGGACGAGGAAUCGGGGCCUCCAAACGCUGGUUUGUUGAGCGGCGCACGGAGGAAAAGUUGCUUAGGGUUUGUAGAUCUAUUAAAAUGGCUUAAUGCCUUGGUUUUUUUAGGUUUCAUGCGUGCAACGAAAUGGCACCGUUUGAACCCCGUUCUAAUGGCUCCAAAGCGAUGUCGUAUUGAGGCUCGACCCGAUUCGAACUAGGUUCCAGAUCUGCGUGUUUUACCUCAUAGGGGAGAAUUUCGCGAAUAGUCCUCCGCUUUUAUAGAACCUUCAAAUUGAUCCUUUUAUUUCUUUUAAAUUUGGCUGCUCAUUUUGUGCUUCAUUUCAAUUAGGUCCGUGCAAGGAUGCUGCGUUUUGAGGGAAGGGAUAUUUUCCCAUUCAGUCCCCAAGUUAUUCGCGCGUUCCUUUGUGGCCCUUAAUGUUAUUUUAUUUUUAUUUUCUCUUUUAAUUUUGAAUUAAAUGCAGUUUAGCUUGUUUUUGUUUAAUUUAAUGUAUUCAAUUUUUAUUUUAUUUUUAAUAUUCAUCAUUCUUUUUUAAAAAAUAUUUAAUUUUACAUCUAGAUUAUUUUAUGUUUAAAUUUAGUAUAUUUUAAAUUUAUUAACAAUAUUAUUUUAAUAUUAUAACAUAUUAUUAUUCUAAAUGUAACAUUAACAUUAUUUUAAAUUUAUCAUGUACAAUCUUAUGCAUUCUUGUUGUAGUUUCAAUAUAAUUUAUAGAUUUUUUUACAUUUUUAUUUUAUAAUACAUUUUUUAACUUCACUUAUAUAGUUCUUUGCUUUAAGAUUUGUACAUUAAUAUUCUUACAUAAUAUUUUUCUAUACAUAUAUAUAAUUUGUGUUAAAUUAUUUUUUAUUAUAUAUAUAAUAUAUUACCGAUUUCAUAUUAUUACAUAUCUUUUUACAUAUUUUUAUAUAUACAUAAUUUAUUUCUUUUAAAACCCUACUUUAUUAUGUACUUUGUUUAUUUCAACUUUUUAUAAUAUUAUAUAUAUUAUUAUUAAACUUUUCAUUUCAUAUAUAUAUUACUUAUUUAGAUUAAUGUAUGUAUAUUAUUUGGUAUAUUACAUAUAUAUAUAUUGUAGCAACGUAAAAAUUUUAGCUUAGCUUGGUCGCUAAUUGUGGCGAUUUAUUGAAAUUUUUUUUGAAAUUUGACGUUUGAUUUUUGAAAUAAAUAGGGAGUUGCCACCGAUCCUUUUUCCUAGGUGUGAUCGGACACCUAUUAGAUCUUUUAUUAAAACAAAUAAAAGGCUAAGUUUAGGUCUACGUUAAAAUCCAGAAAAAAUUUAGGGUUCGGGAGUCGGUUAUGCACGAGGAAGGUAUUGGCACCCUCGCGACGCCCAAAAUUGGUAUCUUAUUAAACACAUGUUGUCUUGAUUUUCAAAAAUACGAAUUCAAUUUGACAUUUAAGUGUGAUCCGAUUGAAGGAAAUGAGAAGUUGCAAGUUUUUUUGUUUUUUAGAAGGACGUCCCGUUUUUAACACGAGCCGAUUAAUUUCACCCAACAUAGGAUGAAAUCAAUGACUUAAUGUUAAAAUCGGUACAUUGCCUUAUUCUUAAAAUUAAAAUGUAAAAAGUUUUUAAAAUGAUAGUAAAAAAAAAUCCAAGAAUAUUAUUGUCAAAAAAAUGCGAAUAAUGAUGUGAAUAAUAAAAUAUAUAAAAUAUAAAAUAUCAAAAUAUCAAAAUAUUAGAAUAAUAAUAAUUAAUAUUGAAAAAUAAAAAAUAAAAUAGAAAUAAAAAAAAUGUACAUAAUAUAUAUUAGAAAUAAUAAUGAUGUUUAAAAAUCAAUACUAUUAAUAAUACUACAUUAAUAUGUACAUAUAUAAAAAAAAUACGUGAUAAUAUUAAAAAUAUGUACAUAAUAUAGUGUUAAAAAUACAUACAUAAUAUAGUUAAGAUAUAUACAUAAGAUAACAUGUAAAAAAAAUAUAUAAAUAAUAUAAUAUUAAAGAUAUAUACAUAAAAUAGUAUAAAAUAUAUAUACGUAAUAUAGAAUUUAAAAUAUACCUAAUAUAUUAAAAGAAUAUAUAUAAUAUAAUAUUAAGAAAUAUAAUAAUAACAAAAAAGGAGAGAGAGGGAGAGGGUGGAUGAUUUUCGGCCACAAGGUCGGCCAUCGUCCGGUCACUGGACCGCCGCCGGCGCCACCGUACACGGCAGCCGGACCUCAAAAAAAACUUUUUCGGUAAAAAUGGGUAAGCUUCCUCCUUUUAUUUUUUUUCACUUUCGUAUAAAAGAAACAAAAUAAGAUUGAAAGGAAAACAAUAAGUAAACAAAGAACUUAAAAUGAGAAUAGACAAAGAAACCUCUUUUGCUUUGAUCUUUAAUUAAUCUUCAAAAAAACUAGCUUCUCCAAAAACUAGCCUUCACAAUAACUCUUCUCCUUAAUUACUUUAAAAAGAAACCUCUCCAAAAAUCCUUUACAAUAACUUUCUCUCCCAAAAACUUUCCAAAAAAAAAUCCCCCCCCUUUUACAAAAUAUGAUAAGGCUUAUAUAGCUAUUUACAAAAUAUUUUUUUAUUGUUUAUGUCUUCAUUUGUAGGUACAAGUGGUGGUGGAGCAAGUGUGGUUAGUGGAGUAGGUAAUGGAGCAAGUGUGGCUAGUGGAUUUGGUGGUGGAGAAGGUGUGGCUAGUGGAGUUGGUGGUGGAAAAGGAGUGGCUAGUGGAGUUGGUGGUGGAAAAGGUGUGGCUAGUGGAGUUGGUGGUGGAAAAGGUGUGGCUAGUUGAGAAAAGUUUAAGUUGUGGGCUAGGUUUUUUUAUUUUGAUUUGGGCUUAGGGUUUGGGCCAUUGGGGUUUUGAUGUAAAUUGGGCUUUGGGUAGUUAAGAUUUUGGGUUUUGGGUUUAAUUUUGGUGGGUUAGGUAAGGCUAAAUUGGGUUUUGAUGUAAAUGGGCUAAAAUUGGCCUACAACAGCUGCCCCUCUUUGCUUAUUAUCGUGUAACGAGAAUAGAGCAAAGAUAUAAAGAAAGGCCAAUUUUGCCCGGUCUUGCUAAGUAUGGACUUCUUUGGUGCUCUUCUCAUCCAGGUAGUCUCUUUCCAGUCCAUCGCAUCUUGUAGCUUUGGUUCAAUCCACUGCAAAUUCGGAGAUAUGCCUUAUAGCUUCAAUCUGUUCCAAUGUAAUUCAAUAUGCUCUUCUAUCGCUUCAGUGAGAUAAGGUUUUGGGUCUUCUCUUCUGCCACUUUAGAAAGGCAAGAUCUGAUAUCCUCGAUCAACUCCACUGCAACUUCAGGGAGACAAAAUCUGGUGUCUUCAAUCAGGUCUAAUAUUGAUUCUUUACUCGGCAUGUGAUCCUGAGCUCAACUCAUUUCUCGCAAUAUGAAUUGACUCUGUAAAACUAGACAUUAAAAACAGAAAUUGAAAAUAGCUCAGCACGUGAGCCAAGGCUCAACUCACCUCUCGCAAAAGUAGAUUUUGAAAAUACCUCGACAUGUAAACCCAAGGCUCAACUCACAUCUCGCAAUAUGAGUUGAUUUUUGAAAAGCAGAAAUUGAAAACGCCUCAGCGUGUGACCCGAGGCUCAACUCACCUAUCGCAAUAUGAGUUGAUUUUUUUGAAAAGCAGAAAUUGAAAAUAGCUCAGCACGUGAGCAAAGGCUCAACUCACCUCUCACAAUAUGAGUUGAUUCUUUUGAAAAGCAGAAAUUGAAAAUAGCUCAGCACGUGAGCAAAGGCUCAACUCACUUCUCGCAAAAGUAGAUUUUGAAAAUACCUCGACAUGUGAACCCAAGGCUCAACUCACAUCUCGCAAUAUGAGUUGAUUUUUGAAAAAUAUAAAUUGAAAAAAAUAGAAAUUGAAAAGCAGAAAUUAAAAAGACCUCAGCAUGUGAGCCGAGACUCAACUCACCUCUCGCAAUAUGAGUUAAUUUUUGACAAACAGAAAUUGAAAUUACCUCAGCGUGUCCUGAGGCUCAACUCACCUCUAGCAAUAUGAGUUGAUUUUGAAAAACAAAAAUUAAAAGUACCUCAACGUGUCUUGAGGCUCAACUCAUCUCUCGCAAUAUGAGUUGACUUUCCUUGAAAAGCAUGAAUUAAAAACAUCAAAAUACCCAAAACCUAUCCUUUGGUAGAACUCGGGUGUCUUUUCCUUUGAUUCAGUGCGACUCUCAUUCAAGAUUUCUUGCUCUACUGGAGUACCUGUAUAUGCUAUGUAUGAUGUUAUCAUGAUAUGCACAUGUUUGUCUUAAAUGCUUUUAUGCCUACAUGAUUAUGCAGUGCUCCUUAAGCAUGUUUGUCGUAUGUCCAUUUAGCCACGAUUGUUGAGGGUCUGUGUUCAUUGCUUUGAUUCUCGACUUUCUCCUCAGGCCUUAUACCUACCUUCAAGCUUCACGAGUAAUCGACGUUCCUCAGAUAUCACUCUUCUGCCCCCGAUUGAACUUUGUUCUUACUUUGAGACUCUUGUGCUUAUCAAAUUUUCAUCCAGGUAAUGCUUAACAUUUCUCUUGUUUAGAGUAUGUCAUUUCUCCAUUUAUCAUGUAAAUAAACACAUAAUGAGAUGCAUGAAAAAGGUCAGGUAGGGAAAAAUGAUAUUUCAUAUUCAUCUAUUUCAAAUGUGGCAAACAAAGCAAGUUAACCAAUUAGAGUAAAAAAUGUCAAAAAGAAAGAAAGGAUCGUAUUCAACGGAUGCAAAUACUUUAGAUAUUCGACACAUGAACUCUUCCACGUUCCUCAAUCAAGAAUCUUUUCGAGUCUGGCUCUUUGCGUAGAAGAUUUCGAGCUUUCAGAAAUGCUUCAAAUACUGUAGUCUCACUGUUUGACCCGCUGUUAAAACGCCACGCUCUUUAAGCCAGGUUUACCUCAUUAGGACGCCCUCUCGGGUUUUCAUCCUAAUCUUUUGUGCUAAUCAAGACGCCCUUUGCGGGUUUUCGCCUUGAUCCCUCUUUUUUUUUGGAUGCCCUUUUCAGGUUUUCAUCUCAAGCAUAAUAUUUCUUCACAGCAUCUGAGUUCACUGGAUUCGGUAACUUCUUUCCAUCCAUCUUGGUAAGGAUCAAAGCUCCUCCUGAAAAUGCCUUCUUUACGACGUAUGGUCCUUCCCAAUUUGGUGCCCAUUUUCCUCGCAGGUCCUUUUGUAUUGGGAGAAUCUUCCUCAGUACGAGUUCUCCUUCGUGGAAUUCUCUUGGCCAUACUUUCUUGUCAUGGGCCGCGAUCAUUCUCUUCUGGUACAUCUGCCCGUGACAAAUUGCUCUUAGACGUUUUUCUUCGAUGAGGUUCAACUGAUCAUAUCGAUCUCAAACCCAUUCUGCUUCUUCUAACUUUAAUUCCAUUAAGACUCGCAGGGAGGGGAUCUCAACCUCAAUAGGUAGCACAGCUUCCAUUCCGUAAGCCAGAGAGAAAGGAGUUGCUCCCGUAGAUGUUCGCACAGAUGUGCGAUAUGCAAACAAAGCAACUGGAAGCUUCUCGUGCCAAUCUUUAUAUGUUUCAGUCAUUUUCCCAAUGAUCUUCUUAAUAUUUUUAUUGGCUGCUUCAACAGCCCCGUUCAUCUUUGGGCGAUAGGGCGAGGAGUUAUGAUGCUUUAUUUGGAACUGCUCGCACACUUCUUUCAUCAUCUUAUUGUUCAGAUUCGUGGCAUUAUCUGAAAUGAUUCUUUCAGGCAAACCAUACCGGCAAAUGAUUUCCUUUUUCAAAAACCUGCAAACUGCAGUCCUCGUCACAUUGGCAAACGAAGCGGCUUCUAUCCAUUUUGUGAAGUAAUCGAUGACCACAAAAACGAAUCGAUGUCCAUUUGAUGCUUUUGGAGAAAUUGGCCCUAUGACAUCCAUGCCCCACAUAGAAAAAGGCCACGGAGAAGUCAUGACAUGAAGGGGUGAAGGGGCUACAUGAAUUUUAUCGCUGUAGAUUUGACAUUUGUGGCAUUUUCUGGCAAAAUUGAUGCAGUCAUUUUCCAUUGUCAGCCAAUAAUAACCGAGUCUCAUGAUCUUUCUGGCCAUAUUGAAACCAUUGGCAUGCAUUCCGUAAAUUCCCUCAUAGACCUCUUCAAGUAUUUUUCUGGCUUCAACAUCAUCCACACAUCUCAAAAGCAUCUGAUCCUUUCCUCUUUUAUAUAGGAUAUCCCCAUCAAUAACAAAUCCCGCUGCCAUUCUUCUAAUUGUUCUUUUAUCGUUCUCAUUCGCUUGUUCGGGAUACCUUUGAUUCUUGAUAUAUUCUAAGAUAUCAUGGAACCAAGGUCGUCCGUCUACUUCUUUCUCAAUGCUACAACUGUGUGCAGGGACCUCGUAUAUGCUCAUUUUGAGGGGCAUUAUUUCUACUUCUCUACUUGCUUUGAACAAUGAAGCCAAAGUGGCCAGGGUAUCAACCAGUUGGUUCUCUUCUCGUGGGAAGUAAUGAAAAGUUAUUUCUUUGAAUUCCUUGAUCAAUCCAGCUACUAAAUCGCUGUACUUAAUCAAUUUUGAGUCCCUCACUUCCCACUCUCCACGGAUUUGGUAAAUCACUAGGGCUGAGUCCCUGUACACCUCUAAGAUCUUGAUGUUUCGUUCGAUAGCUGCACGAAGCCCCAUGAUACAGGCCUCAUAUUCUGUGAUAUUAUUGGUACAGAAGAAGUUCAGUCUUGCGGUGAACGGAUAAUGAUUCCCGUCUGGUGAUACCAGGAUUGCUCCUAUUCCUUGUCCUAAAGCAUUUGACGCACCAUCAAAGCACAUCUUCCAUGACUUCUCUUUUGAUGACUCGGAUUCUAUUUCUGUGAUGCACAUUAAGUCUUCAUCUGGGAAAUCGAAUCUUAAAGGCUCAUAUUCCUCUGUCGUUCGAGUUGCUAAGAAGUCAGCUAUUGCGCUCCCUUUUAUCGACUUCUGACUUACAUAGGUAAUGUCAUAUUCCGAAAGGAGGAUCUGCCAUCGUGCCAUUCUUCCUGAUAGUACCGGUGAUUCCAUCAUGUAUUUUAUUAGGUCCAGUUUUGAAAUUAGCCAUGUCGUGUGAUACAACAUAUAUUGUCUGAGUCUCCGAGCUACCCAAACCAGAGCGCAACAAUAUUUCUCAAUGGACGAAUAUUUUACCUCAUAUUCAGAGAACUUUUUGCUGGGGUAGUAGAUCACUUUUUCUUUCUUUCCUGACUCGUCGUGUUGCCCUAGUACGCAACCCAUUGAACUUUCAAACACAUUCAAAUACAAUAUCAAUGGUCUUCCAGGAGUUGGCGGUACUAGCACUGGAGGACUGGACAAAUAUUGUUUUAUCUUAUCAAAGGCCACUUGGCAUUCCUCGUUCCAUUCUCCCGGGUUAUGUUUUCGAAGAAGCUGAAAGAUUGGGUCGCAUUGGUUGGUAAGUUGAGCGAUAAAUCGGGCGAUGUAGUUUAAUCUCCCUAAAAAUCCUCUAACUUCCUUUUGCGUGCGCGCAUGUGGUAAUUCUUGGAUGGCUUUUAUUUUAUCUGGAUCAACUUCGAUACCUCUUUCACUGACAAUGAAGCCUAGCAACUUUCCCGAGGUAGCCCCAAAUGUACAUUUGGCUGGAUUAAGCUUUAGCUAAAACUUUCUCAGCCUUUCGAACAACUUCUUGAGGUUCACUACAUGCUCUUCUUCCCCUCGCAAUUUAGCAAUCAUGUCGUCGACGUAGACCUCUAUUUCUUUAUGCAUCAUGUCAUGGAAUAACGUUACCAUAGCCCUCUGAUAUAUUGCCCCAGCAUUCUUUAACCCGAAUGGCAUCACCUUGUAGCAGAACGUUCCCCACAUCGUUAUGAAGGUAGUUUUCUCCAUAUCCUCAAGGGCCAUCUUGAUCUAAUUAUACCCCGAGAAUCCAUCUAUGAAAGAAAACAAUGAAUGUUUUGCUGUGUUGUCCACAAACGUGUCAAUAUGUGGCAAGGGAAAAUUAUCUUUUGGGCUUGCUCGAUUCAGGUCACGGUAAUCCACGGACAUUCGUACUUUGCCAUAUUUCUUUGGUACUGGGACUAUGUUAGCCACCCAUUCUAGAUAUUUGGAGGCUUGUAGGAAGCCAGCAUCAAAUUGCUUCUUGAUUUCUUCUUUUAUUUUCAACAGCAUUUUGGGUCUCAUCCGUCUUAAUUUUUGCUGGAUGGGCUUGCAUUCUGGCUUUAAUGGGAGCUUAUGGACCACUAAAUCUUCAUCUAGCCCUGGCAUGUCCUGGUAUGACCAUGCGAAAACAUCUUUGUAUUCGCGGAGUAAAAUGAUCAAACUAUGUCUAGUACUCUCUGAAAUAGAAGUCCCAAUCUUCACUUCUUGUUUCCUCUCUUCAAUGCCCAAAUUUAUUAUUUCCACAGAUUCUUCAUGAGGCAAAAUCUGUUUAUCCUCUUGUUCCACCAUUCUUAACAAUUCAGGAGACGAGACAUAAUCUUCAGCAUUUUCUUCGGCUUCAAAUUCUCCUAAGCAAACAGCCUUCUCAAAAUCAAUUUCAAGAUUCGUAACGGGCUUAUUCAUAUCGUCAAUAUCUGAGCACCUGAAAGUUGAAUGGAAAAGGAAGCUAUAGAGGGGCAUCCAAGUAUUGGAAUCAACAAAGAAAUGUCAUGUCAUGGCAAUGAGGCAAAUGUGAGUAUAGGCUAUGAAAUGAGAAAAUGAUUAUGAAAUUAGUGAUAAUGCGAAAAAUCGUGACAAAAUGCAUCUUCAUUGAUAUUCACUUAAAUGAUAAAGAGCGAAUGCAAGCUCCUACAAAAGAAUUCUAUUAUAUCUAAGGACACAAUAGAAUGUUAAUGUUUGAGCAUUACUCUGAAGACUUAUAAACUACAAGAAGGUCCUCGGCAGUCCAAUUGUUCAACAUGAAACCAGGGGGACAAAGGCGUAUCCUUGAGACAUCUUUACUUGUGUCAGCUCCUUUGUCAAUGACAUUUAUACUGAUGUUCUGAAAACCCUUUUCGAUCAUUAACAUUGUGCCUUGUGCAUUGUCCUGCCUCGGGUAUAUCAUUCCCACAGACGUAAAUGUUCUUGACAAAGGAGGGAAUUCCAUAGGCUCCCAUUCUGGUUCUCGGCCUAAGGUUCUCGCAAUCCUUCUUUCUUGAUCUUUCUUCCACUGUCUUCUUCUUUGACGCAUGUCUGGCUGGAACCCCAAACCGUAUCGGGCCUUAUGAUGCACUGGUUUUAGAGCCCUGACUAUUCCUUGUAGAUAUCUCCCUAAACCUCUUCUCACUCGAGCUCCCCUUCCUACAGUCAACUUGACACCCAUUCUAGUAUUUCUCGACAAUUUAGGCACGGGAAUUUUGUUUCCCUCAGUGAAGAAUGUGGCAUUGACGAAUUCAAGGGAUCGGAAGGAGCAUUCCACUACGUCCUUGCUCACUUCAAGGUAUGGCGCAUCAGCAGAGAUAGAUGCGACAAUGUCUUCUUCUCCCUCGACAGUGACCAAACAGCCAUCCAUGAUAAAUUUCACCUUUUGAUGGAGGGAUGAUGGGACCGCUCUAGCAGAAUGGAUCCAGGGUCUUCCCAAAAGGCAGUUAUAUGAGGAUGUAAUGUCCAUGACUUGGAACUCGACAUCAUAUAUGUAGGGACCCACUUCCAGAGGGAUCUCAAUUUUUUCCAUGACUUCAUGCCUUGUCCUGUCGAAUGCCCUUACCGUAGAAUGACAGGGCCUUAAAUGGGACAGAUCCAUCGAAAUUCUGGAAAGUGUGGCCAAAGGCAUAACGUUGAGUGCCGAACCAUUAUCGAUGAGCACGUUCGGUAUUAUGUAGCCCUUGCAACGGGUUGUGAUAUGCAAUGCUUUCACUGAGCCUCUACCAUUGGGCGGUAUUUCAUCAUCACUAAAAGAAAUGAAAUUAUCCGCAUUCAAGUUGUUCAUCCACCUAUCCAGUUUUUCAAUGGAUACAUUGUUUGCCACAUAAGCUUGAUUUAACACUUUCAGCAGAGCGUUUCGGUGUGGUUCUGAAUUCAACAGCAGAGAUAAUACCGAGAUUCGCGCUGGCUGCUUACUCAAUUGUUCUACCACGUUGUACUCACUGUGUUUGAUAAAUUUUAAGAAUUCCUGUGCUUCCUCCUCGUCCACAGGAUUUUUAGCUUCUUGUUCAGGCGCAGUUUCAUGCUCAUCAUCGGUCACAUGCAUCGGUGCUUUUCCUUUCCGUUUCAAGUCACUGUUCUUCUUUAUCUCCUUCGAAUAACAUCUUCCACUAUGAGUGAAAUGACCUAAUUCCCCGAUUCUUCCAGUCAUGGCUUUGGGUUUUUCAUCUUCAGGUGUGACGAUAUUAAUGUCAUAUUUCCAUGGUACUGCUUUAUUGUCCUUGUAAGGGAAAGAAGAUGGUACUUCAAUUAUCAUUUUUGGUUUCACCGGCUCUUUCAUCGCAUCGUAAUAAAUUACUAACGGUUGAUCAGCGCUAUAAGGGGGACCUGAUGACUGGCUAUCAGAGGCGCAUACUUCUCUUUCAUUGGUCUCUUCCCUUUUGUUAAGGAUCUUAAUCUCCUUAUUAUCCAUCCGGUCUUGAAGCAACCUUUUAAAUUCCUCACACGACUGAAUGUCGUGUCCCACAAUUCCAUGGAAAUUGCAAAAACUUUGACCUUCUUCUCCGAGAAUUCUAUCGGGGUGACAAAGCAAUCAUUUCUUAACCAGUACCUCCCAGAUUUUCUGCAAAGGCGUCCUUAUUUCCAAAACACAUCUUCUGACUUUCCAUUCGUCCACUUUCCCCACUAUACUCACAUCCCUUUCGAUAUGGUUAGGGAAUGGGUUCCCAGUUGCAUUACUGGCACUAUCGAAUCGUAGGAUACCUGCAUCAAUGAGUCCUUGAACUCUUCUCUUAAAGGCUAGGCAGUUUUUCGUGGAAUGUCCCUGGUUUCCCGUAUGGUAUGCACAACUAGCGAAUUGUAUGUUUUAACCUCAGCGAACGAGUAUGGAAUAUGCAAUGAAUGAAUGAAUGCAUGAAUGUCAAAUGACUGUUAGUCAUGAAAGAAAUGCAAGAAAUUGGUGUUAAUUUCAAGAUAGCCCCUAUUUAGGCAUUUCCUUAAUCAAAAGAGUCUAUUACACAACGUUUCGGUCACUCGUGUAAUUGACUCCUCUAUCAGAAACCCCUUUUUGGCAACCAAUCUCUAAUCAACCCUUUCCUAACAAGAUGUAUAUGAUGCAUGAUGAAAAAUAGAAAUACAGACAAACAACAUUGGUUAGCAAAACACAUAUGAUCAGAGAAAAAUUGUGGAAAAUCUAACAAAUUAAGCUACUUGGUCCAAUGGACUCGAUUCCCUUGCAUAGAAAGUGAAAGUGCAAAAGGUAAGAGGCGUUCCUCCCGUGCACUUAUUUUGGUGACUACUAAACGGACGGAGGUUCAGCAUGGCUCUAGUUAGGUGGCUCGUAUGGUUCAUUAUAUGCGGUUUUGGUUCUAGAUAGGUACUCGAAUUGCCCGUACUAUCAUCUACUAAGAUUAACACGGAGCCUCGGUCAUAGCCUAUCACAGGCUCACGAGUUCAAUUCGAGGGGUUACAUUUACUUAUGCCUAUGCGGAGGGACAAGUUAACUCACGAAAGCAUAAAUCAUAUGUAACCCGAAAGUAUUCACUAGCCUGUGCGGAGGGACGAGUUAACUCACGAAGGCGUAGUGUUUACUUUCACUUAAACGGACGGAGCCCGGGUAGAGAGCUCAUGUUAUGCGAAAAUGCAAGUGCACGGUGUGUGGGGAACAACUCAUAAACCUUUACGUUUCACUUAAAGAAACUAAACCAAAAUUAAAACCAUAAAAAUUAAAAACUGAAAAACAACCAAAUAAGCAAGUUAGAAGAAAUAUUUACAGCACGAUACAAAUGCAUGAAUUUUGAAAAUGAGAUUUUCGGAUCACGACCAAAUAUUUACUUUGAACAAGGAAAUUUGAAAAUUUUGACAAAACGUGUUUAAUUCCAGACACGACUCUCAAAAAGGCUUUCCCCAGCGGAGUCGCCAGCUGUAGCGACGUAAAAAUUUUAGCUUAGCUUGGUCGCUAAUUGUGGCGAUUUAUUGAAUUUUUUUUUGAAAUUUGACGUUUGAUUUUUGAAAUAAAUAGGGAGUCGCCACCGAUCCUUUUUCCUAGGUGUGAUCGGACACCUAUUAGAUCUUUUAUUAAAACAAAUAAAAGGCUAAGUUUAGGUCUACGUUAAAAUCCAGAAAAAAUUUAGGGUUCGGGAGUCGGUUACGCACGAGGAAGUUAUUGGCACCCUCGCGACGCCCAAAAUUGGUAUCUUAUUAAACACAUGUUGUCUUGAUUUUCAAAAAUACGAAUUCAAUUUGACAUUUAAGUGUGAUCCGAUUGAAGGAAAUGAGAAGUUGCAAGUUUUUUUGUUUUUUAGAAGGACGUCCCGUUUUUAACACGAGCCGAUUAAUUUCACCCAACAUAGCGAUGAAAUCAAUGACUUAAUGUUAAAAUUGGUACAUUGCCUUAUUCUUAAAAUUAAAAUGUAAAAAGUUUUUAAAAUGAUAGUAAAAAAAAUCCAAGAAUAUUAUUGUCAAAAAAUGCGAAUAAUGAUGUGAAUAAUAAAAUAUAUAAAAUAUAAAAUAUCAAAAUAUCAAAAUAUUAGAAUAAUAAUAAUUAAUAUUGACAAAUAAAAAAUAAAAUAGAAAUAAAAAAAAUGUACAUAAUAUAUAUAUUAGAAAUAAUAAUGAUGUUUAAAAAUCAAUACUAUUAAUAAUACUACAUCAAUAUGUACAUAUAUAAAAAAAAUACGUGAUAAUAUUAAAAAUAUGUACAUAAUAUAGUGUUAAAAAUACAUACAUAAUAUAGUUAAGAUAUAUGCAUAAGAUAACAUGUAAAAUAUAUAUAUAAAUAAUAUAAUAUUAAAGAUAUAUACAUAAAAUAGUAUAAAAUAUAUAUAUACGUAAUAUAGAAUUUAAAAUAUACCUAAUAUAUUAAAAGAAUAUAUAUAAUAUAAUAUUAAGAAAUAUAAUAAUAACAAAAAAGGAGAGAGAGGGAGAGGGUGGAUGAUUUUCGGCCACAAGGUCGGCCAUCGUCCGGUCACCGGACCGCCGCCGGCGCCACCGUACACGGCAGCCGGACCUCAAAAAAAACUUUUUCGGUAAAAAUGGGUAAGCUUCCUCCUUUUAUUUUUUUUUACUUUCGUAUAAAAGAAACAAAAUAAGAUUGAAAGGAAAACAAUAAGUAAACAAAGAACUUAAAAUGAGAAUAGACAAAGAAACCUCUUUUGCUUUGAUCUUUGAUUAAUCUUCAAAAAAACUAGCUUCUCCAAAAACUAGCCUUCACAAUAACUCUUCUCAUUAAUUACUUUAAAAAGAAACCUCUCCAAAAAUCCUUUACAAUAACUUUCUCUCCCAAAAACUCUCAAAAAAAAAAUCCCCCCCUUUUACAAAAUAUGGGAAGGCUUAUAUAGCUAUUUACAAAAUAUUUUUUUAUUGUUUAUGUCUUCAUUUGUAGGUACAAGUGGUGGUAGAGCAAGUGUGGUUAGUGGAGUAGGUAAUGGAGCAAGUGUGGCUAGUGGAUUUGGUGGUGGAGAAGGUGUGGCUAGUGGAGUUGGUGGUGGAAAAGGUGUGGCUAGUGGAGUUGGUGGUGGAAAAGGUGUGGCUAGUUGAGAAAAGUUUAAGUUGUGGGCUAGGUUUUUUUAUUUUGAUUUGGGCUUAGGGUUUGGGCCAUUGGGGUUUUGAUGUAAAUUGGGCUUUGGGUAGUAAGAUUUUGGGUUUUGGGUUUAAUUUUGGUGGGUUAGGUAAGGCUAAAUUGGGUUUUGAUGUAAAUGGGCUAAAAUUGGCCUACAACAUAUAUAUAUAUUUUAUUUACUUUAAAAUUCAUUGUGAUACUAUAAUUUCACAUAGUAAUUCUUUUUAUCUUCCUUUAAAUCUAUUUCAAACUCGUAUAUAUAUUGUUUAUGAUAAAUUUUAUGCAUGUAAUUUAUUUUAUAUUAAUAAUUUUCAAUUUCCUCCCUUGCAUGUUAUUCUUUUUUUUGUUUUCAUUUUUUAAGCUUGUUCGUGUUAAUUUACUUGAUAUUCCUUUUAAUUCUUUAGCUUUUAAUAUUAAUAUUUACCCAACAUAUAAUAUGAGAUUCUUACUAUUGUUAUAUUGUAUUGUUUAUUUAUAUUUAUUGAUUGUUUGACAUUCAUUAGUAUACGCUUUAUUUUAUGAAUCAUCAUCUCGCAUUGUAUAUUAUUAUUCAAUCGUUUUUAUUCGUUCAAAAGAUUACGUUUAAUAUCAUUUAAGUAUCGAAAUUGAUUUAUUCAAAAACUUUCAAGAUAGCGUAAUAUUCGGUAUUUGGGUUCUUUGAUAGAAUUGAGCCCUAACGUAUUGGGUUCCAAUUUUCCUUGUUGAAUCUAAAUAAUCGAGAAUAUUCUUCAAUCAAAAAUACAUAAAUAAAAAGCUCAUUCUCGGGAAUUCAAUACGUUGUGUCCUAACGCAUUGGAUAUGACACGUUGUUUUCUUGAGAUGAUGAUUUUUCUAAAUAAAAAUAAAGGCAAUAUUUGGUAUUUAGGAAUUUUGUGAAAUUGAACCCUAAUUUACUGGGUUUUGAUUUUUCAUUUGACCAAAUAAUCAGAUAUCCUUCUCAAAAUGCAUAGGUUUUAAAAAAAAUCAAAAGAUAAACUUAAUUUUGAAGAUAAAAAAUGUAGCGCCCUAACUUACUGGGUGUGACAUUUUAUUUCUUUAAAAUAAGAGUGUCUUAUUAUUUAAUUCAAUUUAUUCAAAGUUAAAAGGAUCGUAUUUUAAAACCUUUUCAAAUUUUUGACACUAAGACAUUAAACAAUCAAUUCGGUAACAAUUUUGGGCGUUACGAGGGUGCUAACCCUUCCUCGUGUGUAACUGACUCCCGAACCUGUUUUCUCAAAUUUUGCAGACCAAAAUCGUUUUUAAGGUGAGCCGAUCACACCCCAAUAAAUGAUCGGUAGCGACUCUCAUCUUUGUUUUUAAGUCGACUACUAAUUUUUGUUUUUAAAAAGUGGUUUCGACAUGUACAUUCAAUGUAGAGUCACAUACAGCCUGCGACAAAAAUAAUAAUUAUACACCGCUGUGUGGGGUGACCGAAAAUUCAUAUAUAGACUUAUUUCGAACGUUCUAAUUUUCCAUUCCGAAUGUUCUAAUUUUCCACCAAAAACAAAGUCGCUUUGGAAUUAAAAUUUUGGUCCUAAGGCCCGCUGGAUUUUUCACAACCACUAUCAUUAGACUAAAAUUAUCUCUCCACGUAUGAUCGGGUUUAAAAAAAUUUAUUAAAAUUAUUUAUUUAAUUUGUUAUUAUUGUUUAUAAUAGAAUAUAAAGUCUUAAAAUAUAAUGAUAUCAUCAUGGAGAAAAAUAUUUUAAUUUAAAAAUGUAUAAAUUUUAUAUAUUAUCUUUUAAAUAAUUUAAAUUAGGGAUAAAUCUCGAAAUCAUACAUGGAUUUGAUUUAAUGUGUAAUUGUAUACAUGAACUUUAAUUUGAUUUAAUAAUUUACAAGAAUUUGGUCAAAAAUAAAAUUUCAUGUAUAAAAUUCUACAAAAUCAAAGUUCAUAUAUAUAAUUGCACAUUAAACCAUAGUUCAUAUAUAGUUUUGAGAUUUAUCCUUUUAAAUUAUAAUGAUAAUUUUUAUAUAUUAAAAUUAAUAUAUUUAACCUUCCUUUAAAUGAAAGAAGCUACUUGUUGAGUUAUUAUAUUUAUUAUAUGUGAUUUAAUUUUAAAUUUUAUUUAUCAAUCUUCACAUAAUUAUUAGAUGCUUUGAGUAAUUUAAAAGAGAUAGACACGAACUGGAAUGAGGUGAAGGAAUUUAUGGCCAUAAAGAGUAAAGGUAUAUGUAUCAACUAAAAAAUAAAAAAUCAUUUAAAAAUAUAAAACUCUCACGGAAGGACAAUAUCUUUAGUUAUUGAAGGGAUCUGUUGAUUAUCAAAUGAAAGAUAUUUUAAAAACUUCUCUUAAAAAAGUCUGAUAAUCAACAAUGCUGAUAGACCAAUAAUUUGAAGCAGUCAAUGAACUUGUAGAAAGGGUAUAGCAAGAGGGAUGGAAGCUUGACGCCAAAAGUUAAGAGAUAUCUCCAUAAUGGUCACUUGUGUUGAGUGGUCUUGGGUGAUUGAAUUUUCUACAAAUGCCAUUAAAUUUCCCACAAGAAUUUUUCUACAAAUGCUUUUCAAUUUUGAAUCAAGUUGGUUUAUGAUUGGAAUUACUUGCUGUAAUAAGUUAGUUAUUUCAUUUUUUUUAUUUAAUACCAAAAUUAAAUAAAUUUUUAUUAUUAUUCUCAUUAAAAACCCAUUAAAGUUUCAGUUUUUCUAUUUAAUAUUGUAACUUUAAUUCUAUUGAAUGUUUAGGUUACUCUUUGUUUUUCAUUAAUACUUUUGGUUUUUUUUUACUAUAAAAAGCUAUUAUAUAUUAGAUAUUACUUAUUAAGAUAUCAACAUUGUUAGAGCAAAAAAAAAAUCUGUGUGAUGGUACAUAUGUUUUUUUUUUGGUGAAGUAAAAUAACAAGAUAAAAUCCGAACAAUUAACGCGACUCGAAUCCAGGUCACACUUGAGGUGUAAUUAGGUGAGAAAGACAUUUUAUAUAAUAAAAUACAUGUGAAAAAAAAUAUUGUUUCAUUAAUUAUUAAUAAAACAAAAAUAUGAUUCAUUUGCAUUUGGUAAAAUUAAAUUAAACAAUAAAAUGUUUUUUUUUUAAUUCUCGUAGAAGUAUAUUUCAUUGAAUAAUUCAAUUGCUUUUAUUGAAAUUAUCGUGGUAUAUACGAAUGUUGCUUAGAAGUUUUUUUGUAACAAAUAUUUUUCAUUGUCAUAUAUUGCAUAUGAUAUAAAGGCAAUAUUUGAAUGGAGCAUUGGUUAGUUUUUCACGGUGAAUCCUCCACAAUAUUCCUUUGUUUGAAGUUGCGGAAAUAUAUAUGUCUCAUGUUUUUAUAAGAUGCAUGUAUUUAAGUUGCGGAAAUUGAAAAGUCUUGACCUGAGUAGCAAUGGAAUUGUAGGUGUUGUGAAUAACCAAGGUUUGUUGCUUUUCAUCUCUGCAAUGAUUAAUCUCUGAAAUUUAAUUUAAGUUUUUAUAAUUAAUUCGUUUAUUUUACUUUUCUAUAUUAGAACAGUAACUUUCUCUUGCAUGCAGUCUCUUUAUCAUCUGCUUUCAACAACUUAGAAAUCCUUGACUUAUCCCACAAUAACUUCGAUGCCAGUAUCUUAUCAAGUAAGCUUCAUCUCUCAAUUUCUAUCUAUGUCUAGUAACUAAUUGUAAGUUUAUGCAAAAAUAAUAUAAAAAUACCUACAUAAUUAACGGGAGAUUUGAAAUGCAUUUUACUAGUUUUUUUUUUUUAAAUAGUUAAAGUUGAUAUUUAUGUAUAUGGGAUAAACCCAAAUUUACGACCAACAAGAAAGAAUAGAGAAGAUUAGGCAUAUAAAUUUAUGUGGGAAAACUCUUUCAAUCAACAGGAUAAAAAAGGAGACUUCAAUAAUGAGCAAACAAACGAAGAGAAUAAGAUGGAGAUAUUCAAAAACAAACCCUAACCCUAAAAACAAAGUUCUUUGGCUAAAAUACAAAAUUCCCUCAAAGCUCUCUCGAAUUUUUCUCUUAAUCUUCUCUCAAUCUUGAUGUUAUGUGUAGAGCCCAAUUCUUGCCCGGGCCUUAACACAAAAAAUAAACAAAAUAAACCAAAAAAAAAAGUCCGUUACAGCAGUGGCCCAAACCCACAAAAUUAACCCUAGCCCGAAGCCCAGUAGAGAAGCAAACCCUAAUUUCCCUAAGGGCGCGCCACACGCUCUGUCAGGCUCCCUCGCGCACGCCACCGCCACCGUCGUCGCUUCCCAUCGCCACCUUCCCAUGCGCGUCAGAACACCUACAAGAAAACUGUAACACCCCUUAACCUCAAACCGUCGCUGAAACUGGGUUACGAGGCACUACCAGACAUAUCAAACAAUUUACAAUUAAUUCCUAGAUAAAUAACUAACAUAUUAAAAUAAAACAUAAAUUCUUAUAAAUUUUAACAGUUGACUUCAUUCAUUUUUUUUUAUAAAUUUCGGCAGCAUUUCUGCUUAUUUUUACAUAAAACCCCUGCAAAUUUCAAGAUUAUAACCUGACCAAUUCCAAUGUUUCAACCAACAUUUAUAUCCUCAAGCAUAAUUAAAAUCAUACUUAACAUUUUAACUACUAUCAUAUAGAUUGCAUAAAAAGAUUAAUCAAAUAACAUAUAUUACAUCUAGACUAAAUACUUUGUAACAUAAUACAUCAAAAUUAAGUCUUCCAUACAUGCCAUAAUUUUCGAGUGAUGAUUACAAAAUACCAAAAGUUGUGGAUAGUGUAGAUGAGUUCCCGACGAUUUCCCGAAUUCCAAGCUGAACUGGUAACACUAUAAAACUGGGAAAAACAAAGAGAAAUAAGCAUAUAGCUUAGUAAGUAGACAUAUGACAAAUAAACAAAUUUUUAACAUGAUUCCAUAGAAACAUAAUUUUAUUCACACAUAAAUUUCCUUGCUUGUUCAAUUUCCAGCAAGCUGUUUUUCUGUGUCACGGUCACUAAUUUAUUUUUAUCUGGAGCUGCUGGGCUCCAAAUUAAGUUCCGUAAAUUUUCCUUGAAACUAUACUUACAUACCUUUCUAUCAUAAAAUUUUUAGAAUUUUCGGUUUAGCCAAUUAGUACAUUUUAUUCUUUAAACUUUCCCUGUUUCACUGCUCAAUAGCUCUGACCUCUCUUUACUUAAAUUUACUUAACUCUUUGUACAGAAUUCAAACAAUGUUCUUGUUUGUUUCUCUUGAAAAUAGACUCAUUGAUAAAUUCAAGCAUGUAAAUUACAAGCCAUAAUUAUUUUUGUACAAUUUUUUGUAAUUUUCCAAAUUUGGAACAGGGGAUUUCGAAAUCAAUUCAACCCUGUCUCACUAAAAUUCAAAUAUUUCAAAAUAUAUAAAAUCUUUUGCUUGCUCUGUUUCUUUCAUGUGAAAAUAGAAUCAUUUAGCUUCAAUUUCAUAUAUUAUUCAUUCUCUAAUUAAACUUCCACCAUUUAUGGUGAAUUUUCAAAGUCGCUCAACUGCUGUUGUUCAAAACUGUUUUAUUUCAAAAUUUACUCUUUUGUAGUUUUGAUAUCUCAUACCAUCUUAUACAUGGGUCGAUUAAGUAUCAAACUCACUAUUCCUCACAUUAUCUUGUCCAUUUCAUAUAUACAUUCACUUUUCCAAUUUCCCUGUUGAACACUCGGAAUAUUAUCCGUUACUCGGUGGAUUAAGCACUUAGCAACCACCUUAAAUUCAGUGAUACGUGGAAUCAGCACAUAGCAACCCCUUUCACAGUCAAGGAUACGGUGGAAUCAGCACUUAGCAACCACCUCUAUAUUCAGUGAUACGGGGAAUCAGCAUAUAGUAACCCCUUUCACAAUCAAAGAUACGGUGGAAUCAGCACUUAGCAACCACCUCUAUAUUCAGUGAUACGGGGAAUCAGCACAUAGCAACCCCUUUCACAAUCAAAGAUACGGUAGAAUCAGCACUUAGCAACCACCUUUGAAGUCAAUAAUUCAGGGAAUCAACACUUAGCAACCCCUUGGGAAAUCUGCACUUAGCGACCCCUUUUUAUUCAAUGUUUUCCGAUCUAUUCCGAGUGUUCAAUCGGAAACCUUGUUUUUCAACACUUUAUCACCUUUCUCAAACUUAACCACAUUUUUCUGAUCUACAUCAAAUAUUUAUUCUAUAUUCAAUCAAAUCUCAACAAUAUAUUGAAUAACAUUAAAAUAACGCAUUAAUUCACAUGCAUACUUACCUUGGUGUAAAAUAUUGUAAUUUUGCAAUUUACUUCACGAUCUUUUCUUUUCCCUGAUUGAGGUUGUCUUUUCGUCUUUCUUGAUCUAUAAUAGAAAUUUUAGUUUAUUUAAUAUUCACAUUUAUUACAACAGUCCUCGACUCAACUUUUUGCAAAAUUAUGAUUUUGUCCCUAAACUUAUCAUAUUUACAUUUUUCCCAAAGCUCGAAAAUUAAAUUUCACUCCUUAUUCUUAUGUUUUACAACAUGCUGAACACUUUUUCCUUCUAUGGAAACAUCAAAUUCUCACUCUAACACGUACUUAUGAACAUUAAAUAUUUUUACCGAUUAUGACAAUUUACCCGUUUUCACUUAAAAUCGCUUAGCAAAAGUUGUUUAACAUAAUUUCUAGCUUCAUAUUCUACCAUAAAACAGAAAAAUAAACACAUUUCACCUAUGGGUAUUUUUCCAAAUAUAAACCCUAGGUUAAAAUAACAGUAGAAAUAGGUAAACCGAGCUACGAGAAUCUUAAAAAUGCGAAGAACAUUAAAAACGGGCUAGGAUGCACUUACUAUGAGCUUGAGAAAGUGAAGAAACCCUAGCUAUGGCUUCCUUCAAAUUUCGGCAGCAACUAAUGAGGAUGAACACCAUUUUUUCAUCUUUUUCCCAUUUUAAUUCUAUUUAUUUACUAAAUGACUAAAAUGCCCUUACUUAAAAAAAUCUAUUUCACCCAUUUCUUAUGUCUAUUUUUUUCCAUCAAUUAGCUAAUGGUCUAAUUACCACAUAAGGACCCCCAAUUUAUAAUUUCAUAACCAAUUAACACCUUUAACACAUAAAAUUCAACUUUUGUAUUAUUUACAAUUUAGUCCUUUUGACCAAACUGAGUGCCCAAACGUCAAAAUUUUUGAAUGAAAUUUUUACGAAAUCUUUCCGUGAAAUUGUAGACCAUAAAAAUAUAAUAACAAUAAUACUUUCCCUCGUCGAAUUUGUGGUCCCGAAACCACUGUUCCAACUAGGCCCAAAAUCGGGCUGUUACAAAAACAACAAAACAGAAACGACAAACGUACAAUCCAAAGCACAAAAAGACAAAAGAAGAGAGAUGUAGUUUUUUUCCGGUUAUAAAAGGCCGAAUGGGGCGAUUGUAUUUCUUCUUCUGUCAUUUUUGUUACAGAUUAGAAAUAAAAAGGAAAACAAAGGUUGCCUUCUGGUUUCUCUGAUUUAUUCAUUUAUUUCUUUUAUUUAUUUUUAAUGAAUCAGUUUUUUUAAAAAAGAAAAAGAACUCUUAAAAAGUAAAAAAUGAAGAGGAAUACCUGGGGUUGCCUGCGAAAUCCAUCGUCGGAGCCAUUUCGUUUGCCGAAAUCGGACGAAAAGGGGGGCAUGGGGGCCUUUCCUUCUCUCGGUCUUAAGGCCCAAAAGGCUAAGCCUUUGGGCGUUUGAAAAAUGGGCCAAAAAUGCGAUCUCCGUGUCGCUCCGACCACCGCUUACGGUAGGGUCACGGCGGCACAAGCGACGGCCCUAUUGGCCGGAUUUGAGGGCUGCGUGGGAGAGAAUGUUUGAGCUUUCUAUUUUUUUUAAAUAAGGGUCAAACUAUUUUUUUUUAUUUUUAACAUUUAUAUUGGGAAUAAAACGACGCCGUUUUGGGUUUAGGCAACAAUGGCCAAAACGACGUCGUUUCACGCUUGACCCGAAUACUCAACCCGUUUAGCAGAGGAUCCGCGCGUUUUCAAGGCCGAAUGGGCUAUUUGCGCUAUGGGUCCCUCCGCUUUGAUGCUUGGCUUCAAUUCGGUUAUUUUGUCCCUUUUUAGCAUUUUUAAUCUGACCCCGUAGAUUUUGUACCAGUUUUGAUUUGGUCUAACGCGAAACGACGCACUUUAAGGGUUAGGGAUUAAUUUCCCAAUUGGCCCCUGCAUCUUUGUGCUUGCUCCAAUCGACUCCAAAUUAUUUUUUUAUAUUUCAAAUCUAACCCACUGAUUUUAUUUAAAUUCCAAUUCAAUCCUUAGUCAAUAAAAAUUCAAAUUUCACCCUUUUUUAAUAAAAAACGAAAAUGGUCAUUAAAUAUUUUAUUUAACAUCCGUUUAAUUAUUUAUUUUUAAUUGCUAACCAAACUUAUAUAUCUUUCAUUUCAUUUAUUAUUCAUUUUUAUGUGUAUUGAUUUGUAUGUAUUAUUUGUGCCUUUAUUUUCACUAUUUAUUUAUUCGUUAUUUUCAAAUAUUUUCAAAAUUUAGAUUCAUUAGUAUUAUGUUUAUUGUGAUUGUAUUAUUGUUAUUGUUACAUUAUUACUUGCAUUAUUAUUAUUCAUGUAUAUUAGCAUUAAGAUUUAUUAGUAUUAAUGUUAUAUGUGUAUUUUAUGAUGUAUAUUAUGUCAUAAUUAUUUCGAAUGUAUGUUGUAUUAUCGUUAUUAGUCGUGCACGACCCUUUUUCUGUUUUAAACAAUUUCUCCUUCAACACAAUCAAAAUUACACGAAUAUUAUCUUUAUAUAUUUUAUUAGUUCUUACUCAAAUUCAAAAAAAGGAAAAUUUUUAUAAAUAAGGCAAUAUUUUACGUUUGGAAAUUCGAGAAAACGUACUCUAACGUGCUAGGUUUCGAUUUCUCGUUUGACCAAAUAGCCAAGUAUCCUCUUAAAAUUUCAAAGUAUGGGUUUUGGAAACCAUAAGGUAAUUUUGGUUUCUAGGGUUUAAAGUAUCGUAUCCUAACGUGCUAGAUGUGAUAUUCUUUCGGAACAAGAGAAUCUUAAAUUCCAACCCAUAUUAUUUGAAAUUUUUUUUAGGAUUGUAAUUUUUAAAACUCUUCAAAGUUUUCAAUAUUCGACAUUAAGACACUAAUUAAUCAAUUAGGUAUCAAUUUUGGGCGUUACGAGGGUGCUAAUCCUUCCUUGUACAUAACCGACUCCCGAACCUGUUUUUCUGAAUUUCGUAGACCAAAAGCAUUGUUUUAAUAAAUCCAAACCAUUUAUUAAAAACAAUCGUUUUAUGAGGUGACCUGAUCACACCUCAUUAAAAAAGAUUGGUGGCGACUCCAAUGUUCGUUUUUACUUUCAAAUACCAAGUCGACCCCCUUUUAUAAAAAAAUGGUUUCGACAUUAUGAAUAUAUUUAUUCUAGGGUUACUAGUGCCCUUUUUAUAGGCUAAGAUUAGAGUUCUAAUAUUACUAAAAUAUCUAUAGAAUAAUCACAGUUUAACUAGGAAAAGUAACCCUCUUGAAAGUCUAAUAACACAGCUACUCUAAGUUAGAAUUUGUCGCGUUAUCACGACGUACCAAGCUCCCCGUUGUGACAUCGCCUCAGCUUUGCUCUUUUUCAAACAUUGUCGUGUCGUUGCGACAUCGCAUGAUUCCUCGUCGCAAUAUCACCCUUACUUUGACUCUGAUCCGACCCGAAAAUGUGAGACACAUUCCACAAUAUCUAAAUAUAUAUUGAAUUUAAAAAUAAUUGUACAAAGGAUAUGUAAUCCUUGAAGAUUAGAUACAAGUAAUUACCAUUUUAUAUUAAAAGUUAGAAAUAUAAAUUAAAUAUUCUAAACUUUUUUUUAUGUGAAUAAGUCAUGUGUUGAUAUAUUUUAUUGCUCUUGAAUAGAAUUGAAGAGUUUGAAAAACUUGAAGACGUUAGAUUUAAGCUUCAAUGGAAUCAGAAGCCUCCGGCACUUUCAAGGUAUAUCUAACUUUGAUAUUUUAUAUACAAUCAACUAAGUCCUAUAAAAAUAUAUUUAUGAACAAGUUAAAAUGAAUGCUUGAAACAAAUAAUUAUUAUUUGAUAUUAUACAAACAAAUUCUCCUUGAAAUUGUAUUACAUAAGUAUUUUACAGAUGAGAAAUUGCAACCCAUGAUGAGUUUGGAAGUGCUUGAUUUGGAUGGUAAUUUCUUGAAGAACAAUGAUUAUCAAGUUUAAAGUCUUUGAUUAUUAGCCAUAACGAAUUGGAAAUUUUCAUAAAAUAAAAAUAACAAGCUAUAUGUAAAUUACAAUUUCAUCAACCUUUUUUAACUGUUAAAAGAAUUAUAUCCAAAUAUAUUCGUUCUUUUGGUAUUUAGCUUUUUAGGUUGUAAACUAAAGUCAUAAUGAUUUUUUGUCCUCCAAUUUUAAAAACAAAAAAUCAUUUUACCUCUCAAUUUAAUUUUUCAUCUCUUCUAGUCAUUAAACUUCAAUUUUUUUUUGUCAAAUCACCCCAAAAUGAAAAGAAAAGUUAAUAUUUGUUAAUUUUGCUAAUGUGACAUAUAUGUGAAUUGUCAUAUAGAUGACAUAUCAACAUUUAAUUAAUUUUUAAAAUUUAAGUAUUUUUUAAAUAUUUUUUAUUUUUUGAAAUUUAUUUAAAAAAUUAAAUAUUGAUGGAUCAUCCACGUGACAAUCCACAUGUAUGCAAUAUCAACAAAAUUAAAAAAAAUUGUUAAAUUUUCUAUUCAUUUUAGGAUGACUUGAUGAACAUAAGUUUAAGAGAUUAAAAAUCAAAAAAUUAAAUGAAAACCUUUUUUAAGUUAAAAAGAGUUAAAUAAAUUAUUAAUAACUAAAAUAAAAUGUUUUUAAUAAUUUUUUUAUGGAGAAAAGUAGUUGAAUUGCAUGAACCAAAAUUACUGAUUUUUUGUGAUAUAACUUUGUUUGACUGACAAAAAGGGUAUUUGAUUUAUUUGAAUAGCAUUCAAUAAUCUCACAAAAUUGAAGAAGUUGGAUAUGAGUCGCAAUUAUGUUGAGAGACUUGGUAAGUGUCCAUAUAUUUUACUUUAUCAAAUUGCUACAUUUAUUAUACUAAUAUCUAAAUGCUUUGUAGAUGAGGAAAGGUAUAAUUUGACGAAUUUAGAAGUGCUUAAUUUGAAUUACAACUCUUUCGGAAAAAGCUCAUUGGCACAGCUUAGUGGGUUUUCCAAUCUAAAGGAAUUGAGUAUGCAACAAAACCAGGUGCAAUUAUUUAAUAUAUUUAAUUUUCCUUUAAACAAAAUUAACUAUUUAUUAAGUUAUAUUUAUUCUCUAUGAUUUACUUUUAAAUUUUAUUUGUCGACUUUUAGAGAUUGAACAAUUUAGAGAAGCUAAACAUUAGAUAUCUAAUGAACUGAUGUCAACCACUAAUUUGACUCUCAAAAAUGGAAGUUUAGAAAAGCAUUUUAGUAGUUCUUUUAAGAAAAAAAUUAUGUCUAAAUAUAUAAUGAGUUUAAAAAUAAUUGUAUUAAAAUCUGUAAUCGUUGAGGAUUAGAUACAAGUAAUUGCGACUUUAAUAUUAAAAGUUGGAAAUAUGUUGUUAUUUUAAAAUUAAAUGUCCUAUAUUAAUUAUUUUUAUAUGAAUAAGCCUUGUGUUGAUAUUUGAUAUAUUUCAUUGCUCUUGAAUAGAAUUGAAGAGUUUGACAAAGUUGAAGACGUUAGAUUUAAGUGGCAAUAGAAUUGAAAGCCUCAAGCACUUUCAAGGUAUACUUAAAUUUGAUUUUCUUUAUACAAUCAACUAAGUCUUUAAGGCGUUGACCUUAUAUAUUUAUAAACAAGUCAAAGAUGCAACUUUGAGAUAAAUAAUUAUUCAUUGAUAUUAUACAAAUAAUUUUUUUCUCGAAAUUGUAUCACAUAAAUCUUUUACAUUUAUUAAAAGAGAGAACCGAAACAAACUACUUGUUCAGUUAUUAUAUUUAUUUUAUGUGAUUUAAUUAUAAAUUUUAUUUUUCGAUAUUCACAUAAUUAUCAUAUGCUUUGAGUAAAUUAGAGUCAUUGAGAAAAAUAUUUUAAAUUUAAAAAAAAUGUAUAAAAUUUAUAUUUUAUCUCUUAAAUAAUUUAAAUAAUAAUAAUUUUUAUAGAUUAAAAUUAAUAUACUAUCUCUUUUGAAAUAAUAUAAAAAUUAUAUUAAUAUAUAAAAAAUAAAUUAUAAAUUGAAAACUUAUCUCUUAAAUAUAUAAAGUAAAAUAUAUGUACCAAAAUAAUAGGAUUUCAAUUUUAAUUUUUUUUCUAUGUGUUAUCAAUUCUUUAAAACAUUUGACUAUUAAGUUCAAAAAAUUUUAUUUUAAUUAAUACUUGUGCAUUUCACGGAAAAAAAACUAGUUAAUAUAUAUAACCAGCUUUGUAGAUGUGGAAUUACUUAUUUUACAUUCUAUAAAUAUAGCAGCACCUAUAUAAAGUAUACAGUACGCCUUUUAUUAAAUUAGUUCUUUAUAAUAAUUUGUUGUCUUAAAUUUUAGCCUAAUAAAUUCUAUUUCUAAGUGAAAUAAAAUUAAUAAAUUUUAAUUAAGAUAUUAUUUCAAUAAAAUAUUUAAAUUUCAUAUAAAAUAUAUUAAUUAUAUUUUAUUAAAUAAAAAUAGUUUUUAAUAAAUGAAGUUACAUUAGUAAAUUUUAUUAAAGAUACAAUUUAAAUCUCAUUAAUUAAUUUUUAUUAAUAUAUUUUAGUUUUUUUAAUUUAAAAAUUAAAAUAUGAUCUAAAUAUUAAAUGUUGUUAUAAGUGUAUAAUAAUUACUUAUCUAUAACAUCCAAUAGUGGCAAUAUAAAAGUUGAAUAUAAGUGAAUUUUUGUGACUAACAAAAAAUGUAUUGAAUUUAUUUGGAUAGUAUUGAAUAAUUUGACAAAGCUAAAGCAGUUGGAUUUGAGUGGCAAUAAAAUUGAGAGCCUCCAAUCUUCUCAUGGUAUGUGUUGAGAUGUUUUACUUUAUCAUAUUCUUACAUAUACAUACCACUAUCUUAUUUAAUAUUCCAUUAGUAAUAAAUUUGUUUAUCUCAAUGCUUUGUAGAUGGUGAGAGGCCACUUAAUUUAACCAAUUUAGAAGAGCUUAAUUUGGAUUUCAACUCCUUCACAAACAGCUUAUUGGCACAACUUAGUGGGUUUUCCAAUCUAAAGUCACUGAAUAUAAGGAAUAACCAGCUUAAAGGAUCAAUAAAUAUUAAAGGUGGAAUUACUUAAUAUAUUUAAUCUUCCUUUAAAUGAAAUAAACUACUUGUUGAGUUAUUGCAUUUAUUCUAUGUGAUUUAAUUUUAAAUUUUGUUUGUCAAUUUUUACAGAAUUAUUAGAUGCUUUAAGCAACUUAGAGGAGCUAGACAUGAGCGAGAAUGAGGUGAAGGAAAUUGUGCCCAUAAAGAAUAAAGGUUUAUGUAUCAACUAAAGGAAAUCUUACUAAUUGUUUUCCAUUAGAUAUCUAGUGAACUGAUGCCAACCACUAAUUUGACUCUUAGACAAUGGAAGUUUGAGAAAGCUAAAGGUUGCUUCAUUAAACCGUGUGUUCACCGAUGGAACUGCUUCUCUAAUACAGCUUCUAGAGACAUUCUCAUCUGUUAAUACAUUAUAUUUGAGUGGCAAUUACUUCAAAGACACAUUUUCUACUCAAGUUAUAAUAUAUAUGUAUGUGAAUAUAUAGUUUUAUAGUUUGGUCCCAUUUAAAAAUAUUAUUUACUUAACGUAAAUCAUCUAAAUAACGCUUAUAAAUUUGUAAAGAUCAACUGCAUGUAUCGAGCAAAAUAGAGGAAUUGGUGCUGGAUUAUUCAUCUCUCAGCAACAACAUUCUUCAAAGCUUUGGUGGACUGGCUUCUCUCAAAGCCUUGUAUUUAGGUUCCUGUGGGUUGUCUGGGACAUUACAUACCCAAGGUAUAUUAAUAAUUAUGACAUAAUUAUUUAGGCAGUCUCUUGAUUAAUUAUUUUUUUAUCCUCUUAGAAAAUUGGAGUAACUUGCACAAAUUUAUUUUAUAGGAUGGUGUGAUUUACGGAAGCUUGAGACGUUGGAUCUUAGUGAAAAUUCUCUUGGGGGAGCACUCCCUUCAUGUUUGGAAAACUUGUCAUCUCUUCGUUAUUUGGAUAUUUCCGGUAAUCAAUUCAUCGGAAAAGGUGCCUCCACCGCUCUAGCCAAUCUCACAUCGCUUAGAUUCAUGUUUCUUUCACGAAAUCUAUUCGAAGUUCCAUCAAUUUUCAUGUCAUUUGCCAACCACUUACACCUCAAAGUCCUCUUUAGCGAUCAAAACAAGUUAGUCAGAGAGCCUACCAUUCAAACAUGGGUCCCAAAGUUCCAACUAAAAGCCUUCCUUUUCUCGAAUUGCACAACAAAGGAACUCCACAUUGAAAUUCCAAAAUUCCUCUACUACCAAAAUGAUCUGAGUAUGGUUGAUCUUUCAUACAAUAAUUUUUUAGGGAAGUUUCCUUUUUGGUUGUUAGAGAACAAUACAAGAAUGGGAGCAUUUUUAAUGAAGGGUAACUCUUUUAUGGGCCAUCUCAAUCUUCCAUCUCAUCCGAAACCAAAAAUGUCCCUUGUUGAUAUAUCUGACAACAAACUAGAAGGUCCAAUUCUAGCAAGCAUUUGUUCAAUCUUUCCACAACUAAAUGGGUUAAACCUAUCAGACAAUUUCUUUCAAGGAAAUAUUCCUCCUUGUUUAGGUAGUUUGAACACUACAUAUUUAAUAUUAGAUCUGUCACAUAAUCAUCUAUCUGGCGGAAUACCAGAAAUGUUAGCUCAAAGUGACUCGUUGGAGCUUCUUAGGUUAUCAAAUAAUGAUCUAAGUGGGAAGAUAGCCCCAACGAUCUUUUGCUCAUCUUCAUUACAAUUUUUAUAUUUAGAUGGCAAUAAGUUUGAUGGAAAUAUACCUGACAUUGAUAUCUCAACUUGUCAUCCGUAUCCUCUUAGUGAUAUGGAUUUAAGUAACAACAAUUUGUCUGGAGAGCUCCCAAGAUGGAUAUGGAAUAUGUCAUCUUUAAAUGCAUUAUUAGUAUCCAACAAUCAGCUCAAGGGUCUUAUUCCGAAGGAAUUGUGCCAUUAUUCCCUUCAAAUUUUGGACCUUUCAAAAAACAAUUUUUUUGGCCCAAUACCAUCUUGCUUCAAUGUACACAGUAUCAAACAUCUCCAUUUGAGCAAAAAUAGGUUAAGUGGUACCUUGACAAAUGCAUUCUUUAAUAGCUCUUCCUUGGUGACUUUAGAUCUUAGUGAAAACCAGUUGACUGGUGAAAUUCCAUACUGGAUUGGAAAUCUUUCAACUUUGAGUGUUCUCCUUCUAAAAGCCAAUUAUUUUAUUGGAGAAAUUCCCAUUAAGAUAUGUAAAUUGUAUUCAUUAAGCAUCAUUGAUCUUUCUCAAAACAAGUUUUCUGGUCUGAUACCUUCGUGUUUGAGUCGUUUAACUCUUGAGCCAAAUGAUAAAAAUCUUCGACAAUAACCUAUGGGUUGGAUUUUGAUGGAAUCUUGGAGGGAGCUAAUUAUAUUGGAAUGACCAGAUUGGAUUUGUCCGAUUUUGGAUUCAAUCUACAUUUCUUUAUUGAGAAUCUAGAAGAAAAGGUGGAUUAUACAACAAAGGGAGCAUCUCGCACAUACAAAGGAAACAUUCUUGAGUACAUGUCUGGAAUUGAUUUAUCAUGUAAUAGAUUAACAGGUGAAAUUCCCAGAGAGAUUGGAAAUUUGAGUGAAAUCCGAUCACUAAACUUGUCGCACAACAAUUUGACUGGAUAUAUACCGUCAACGUUCUCAAAGCUCAAGCAAAUUGAGAGUUUGGACCUGUCUCACAACAACUUAAUUGGAAGAAUACCUGUUCAAUUGACGGAGUUGUACGCCUUAGCAAUCUUCAAUGUGUCAUACAACAACUUGUCAGGGAGUAUUCCGUCUCCGAAAUUUCAAUUUGGAACCUUCGACGAAAGCAGUUACGUGGCGAAUCCUUUCCUCUGCGGGUCUCCCCUGCAUAAAAAUUGUAGCAACCUUGAUUCACUCCCGACAGCAGCACCAAAGAGCUCAAACGAGGAAGAAGAAAGUGGUUUGAUGGACAAGUAUGUUUUCUGGGUGACCUUUUUUGUUUCUUACGUAAUUGUGUUACUGGUUAUUGUUCUCAUCCUGUACAUAAAUCCUUAUUGGCGACAAGCAUGGUUCUCUUUUGUUGAACACUGCAUCAAGACCUGCCAGUAUUUUAUUGAGGACAAUCUUCUAUGAUUUUCCAUCUUCAAAAGAAGCGGGUAGCCUUGUGCUUUGGUGGUUUACAUCUGUAUGUAAAUUUUUUCAUGUGUUUCUAUUUUUCAAAGUUUGAUUGGGUUAUCUGCUUUUAAGUUUUUAGAGGUAGAAUACAAUAGCUCUGUGAUGUAAUAAUUGCCAGUUUAGUAUAAGAAAACAAUAUAUAAAACUAUGCAUUUUCAGUUAAAACAUUUAAUAUUGCUUUAUAAAUUUUAGUGUUGUGAUAGUAUAAUGUUAAAUUCAAUAUAUGUUUCCUUUUCCAUGAUUACGUAAAAGCGAAAUAUACAAAUCAUAUUAUAUUAAUAUAAUCCACAUUCUUUAAAUCAUAUGCUCAAUUGAAACUUAUAUAUAUAUAUUAUCAAACAUGAAUGAUAUAAACAGUCUUCGAAAAAAGUAUGAUUUUCAUGUUUAGUUAUUAUUAUUUAAUAUUUAAUUGUUUUACUAUUAUUUGAUAUCAAUAAUAUUUAUAUGUUUGUGAAUGUUGUUUGUUAUUGUCUCGUGAAAUAUUAUGUUAAAGAUAAAAGAAGUACUAAGUAAUAGUUCUUUUUAGGUGAAAUUUUGACUCAAGUUUGAAUGGUGAGUUAUUUUAUCUAAUUACUUACGUUUGGAUAGCAUAAAGUAAUUAAAUGGCACUUUUGUAAUUACAAAGAUUGUACUUGAUAGAUGAAAGAACUAGGUAAAGGAAGAAAAUAACUAUCCAAACAGAAAGAAGCAGAGAGUGAAAUAAUAGAAUAAACUUCUUGUUGUUUAUUCAAAUUUGCCUACCUCUUAAUUCUUAAUGUACAGUAUAUAAAGACUUUCUGAAUUAAGUAACAACCUCACUAACUGACUAACUACUUCUAUUCUCUAAUAUUCAUCCAUAUUCUCUAUAGGCAAGACCCGUAGAAAACUCCAAAAACGAGUAAAACUCGAUGACGAAAUUGGCUUAGUGAGAACAUCAGCGACCUGAUCACACGCUGGAACUUCUCCAACAGCAACCGUGCCAUCAGCAACCUUUUCACGAACAAAAAAUAAAUCUAACUCAACAUGCUUAAACUUUGAAUGAAGAACAGGAUUUGCAGCAACUGCAACCGCCCCAGGACUGUCACACCAAAUUUGAGGAACACUAUUAGACUGAACAUGUAAUUCUUUAAGUAGCAACAAAAGCCACGUAACCUCACUAGUAACUGCAGCAAGACUUCGGUAUUCUGCCUCAGCAGUAGACCGAGCAACAACCUGUUGUUUCUUCGUACACCAUGACACAGGUGUAUGUCCGAAAUAAACACAGUAUCCAGUAGUAGACCUCCGGUCAUCAAAAUCUAAUCCCCAGUUGCAUCAGCAUAUCCAACUAAGGACAAACUAGUGGAUGGACGAAACACAAUUCCAAAAUCAAUCGUACCACCUAAAUACCUCAAAAUGCGCUUCAGGGCAGUCAUAUGAAUGGAAGUAGGACAAUGCAUAAAUUGACAUAUUCGAUUAACAGCAUAGGCAACAUCAGGCCGCGUAAGAGUGACAUACUGUAAUGCUCCUGCAAGACUCCUGUAUUCAGUCGGAUCCUGUAGCCGCUCACCACCAUCGCGAGUCAUAACAGAGGAACUAACCAUCGGUGUAUGAACACUCUUCGUAUUCUCCAUCGAACAACGUAUAAGAAUAUCACGUAUAUACUUCUUCUGACAAAGAUGAAGGCAACCUGACGAAGAACGAUUAACCUCUAUCCCAAGAAAAUAAUGAAGAUCACCCAUGUCCUUAAGCGAGAACUCACUAUUCAGCAAAUUAACAAACCACUCUAUGACAGAAGGCAUAUCUCCAGUAAUAAUAAUAUUAUCAACGUACACAAGCACAUAUAAUGUUGACGCUGGUACAACUCGAACAAACAAGGAAGCAUCAGACUUUGAAACUACAAACCCCACGGAGACUAGAAAUCCUUUUAGCCUUUCAAACCAGGCACGAGGAGCCUGACGAAGACCAUACAACGCUUUCUUCAAGCGACACACCAAAGGUCUGCCAUCUGAGCCAUAUUGAACAUAACCGGGAGGUUGAUGCAUAAAAACUUCAGUGUCAAGGUCACCAUUUAGAAACGCAUUAUUCACAUCCACUUGUCGAAGCGACCACCCCCUAGACACAGCAAUAGACAAAAUAACUCUGAUAGUAGCCGGUUUGACCACUGGACUAAACAUUUCCUUAAAAUCACAACCCGGAACUUGAGAGCAACCUUUUGUAACUAAUCGAGCCUUAUAUCGAGCAAUAGUGCCAUCAGAAUUCUUCUUGAUUCGGAACAACCAUUUGCACCCAAUGACCUUACGAUUAUAUGGAGCAGGAACGAGCUCCCAUGUGGAAUUACGCAUAAGAGCAUUAUACUCAUCUUGCGUAGCAGUGCGCCACUCAACAGUAGCCAGAGCUUCUUCAAUUGUAGUCGGUUCAACAGCUUCAACACUUAAAACCUUAGGCUUGUAAACCCCUGCUUUAGCGUGAGUAACCAUUGGGUGAGUAUUGCCCACAGCUGUCCUAUUAAUCUGACUAGACAGUCCCAUAUUAGACGAAGAGAGAGCAUUGGUAUCACUGGAGAAUCCUGAGCCAUGCUCUGAUGGAAGAUCACUCAACUCAGUUCCAUCAUUAGCUGAAUAAUCAUGAGCUGGAAGACUACCCAACCCAGUCCUAACAUCAGUUGAAGGAUCAUGAAACUGGGGCUGCUCCACACUAACAUCUAAUACAGGAUCAGUAGGCUGAGACGACACCCCUUGUACCGACGGUGUCAUCAUGCAUGGCUCAAGAGUCGAGGAUGAAGGUGGCCACACAAGAGGAACAACUGUCGAACUAGUCUGACCGGUUGUUGAUACAGACUUGUCUGAACUAGUCUCGGUAAACAAAAACCUCUGCUCAUCAAAGACCACAUGCCUUGAAAUUAUAACCUUACCAUCUGGUAAAAGACAUUGAUACCCCUUGUGACGAGGACUGUAGCCCAAAAAAGUUGACGGCUGAGACCGAAAUUCCAACUUACGACCUACAAACGGACGUAAGUAAGGAUAACAACAGCAACCAAACACUCGAAGAUGAUCAUAGGUCGGAUCACUUCCAUACAGUUCUUUAAACGGAGAACUAUCCUGAAGUACAACCGUGGGAAGUCGAUUUAUGAGAUGAACCGCACAACAAAACGCAUACCCCCAGUAUUCCAUAGGCAAAUUUGCAUGAGCCAACAACGUAAUCCCCAUUUCAACAAUGUGACGAUGUUUUCGCUCGGCUACUCCAUUUUGUUCUGAAGUAUACGGACAGGUCAGUCGAUGAAUGAUCCCCUGAGAUUCUAAGACAGACGUAAACCCACGAUAUUCACCUCCCCAAUCGCUCUGAAACUGCUUAAUAGACUUGCCAAACUGUGUCUUAAUCAACUGUUGAAACUGAGUAAAACAUUCAAGUGCUUGAGCUUUUUGACGUAAAAGAUAAACCCAAGUAAACCUGGUACACAUAUCAAUAAACGAAACAUAAUAUCUCUUAUCACCACAUGCAACAGGUGCAGGACCCCAAAGAUCAGACACAACCAAUUCAAAAGGACGAUAGCUAGUAGUCGAAUGGGAGAAAGGCAACUUAUGUGACCUGCCUUUUUGACACGCAGUACAUAUACCAUCCAGACCAAUUUUAUUUGAAACAACAUUACAUUUAUUUAGAAUAUUUUUGACCACAGAAGUCGACGGGUGGCCUAAACGAUUAUGCCAUAAAGUAAAUACAGAAGUAGUUGAAACUGUAUGUGGAACUUGAGAAUGAGCAACAAACGGAGUAGUCGUAGGCAACGUAGAAACCGCUGGGACAGAAAACUGAUAUAGACCAUCAUGAAUGCGGCCCGUCAGCAAUAUCUCCUGAGUCAUCGUAUCCUUAAUAACACAAUAGGUAGGGUGAAACUCAAAAAACACAUCAUUAUCACGAGCAAACUAUGAGACAGAUAAGAGAUUUUUCCGUAUACGUGGCACACAUAAAACAUUUGAUAACCGUAACGAUUUAUCUUGAGUAGGUAAAAUGGCCGUACCAAUUGAUGAAAUUAUCGUAGGAGUACCAUCACCCAUUAAAAGAGAUGACUUACCUGAGUAUGGCGUGACAUUACGUAAAGCUGACAUAUCACGACAGACAUGAUGACUCGCUCCCGAGUCAGGAUACCAAGACGUGGUGCCACUGCACACUGGAAUGUACGAAUCAUCAUUACCAGUACUAGAUGCAAGCUGAGCCGUAUUAACAUGAGAAUCUGAUACUGAAGGAUCAGAAUAAUUAGACGCAUGUAAAUCCCCUAGCCGUGGAAGCCCAAUACAUGGAUUAGAUUCGGUAUAGACCCGAGCACGCGGUUUAGUAAAUUUCAGAACCGGACCACCAACACCUAGUCCAUCACCAAUCGGUUCAGGCGAGCCGGGAUCAUCUUGAUCAAGUUGAACAAAAUUAGAGGAUGGUACAAUAUUCGGCCCAGCAUUAAACUGAACAUUCAGUCCAUGAGAAGAGUGUUGAACAUUCGGUCCAUCAUUAAACUGGACAUUUUGUCCAUGGGAUUUGUUUCCACUAGAACCGCGCCACUGUCCAUUUCCAGUAGUGAACCCGUGUAAAGUGUCUCCACUAUACCCUUGCCCAGCAUCAUGACCGAAUUUAGACAAGCUGGGCUUGUAGGCAUCAUUUUGUGCAUUGGACACAUGUGGCCCACGUGGUAAUGGCCUAUUUUGCAUGCCAGCACACACAUUUUGACUAACAUAUCUAUUUUGACCAGCAUGACUCCCUUGACCAUAAAAAAUUCUUUGACUAUUCUGAUGAGGAGCAACCAUCUGUUCAUCACCAUUUUGCACAAAAGUUCCAGAAUCACAACCUUCAACACCAGACAUUUCAUUUGAGUCUCGGUGAUACCGAUAAUAGCACUUUUGAGCCACAUGACCAAACCGACUACAGAUCUGGCAUUGAACACAAGAUCUGAUAAACCGGCCACGACCACGAACAGACGCACGACCUCCACGACCGGCCCCUUCUACCGAUGGCUCAUUUUCAACAAGAUUCGCGUUCAAACUGACCUCCUGCAACACUCGAUCUUGACGACUCUCACAAUCGACUAGCGCAUCCACCAGACGUUGCAACGGUAGAACUACAGGCGACAAACGAGUAGAGGAGAUAACCGCCUCAAACUCCGACGGCAAACCCGCAAGCACCACUUCGAUCUUUUCUUCAUCGGAGAUACGAGAGCCAGAAGCAUCUAGCAUACCACAUAAAUCUUUAAUCCGAGCAACAUAAGCCUUAAUCGAAAGAUUACCUUUCUUCAACGAGUGAAGUUCAUGCCGAAUCCUCGACUGCUUGGCGCCCGUAUCAACUGCAAAAAGAUUACCGACCAUGCUCCAUAUGUCGCACGCCGUGCAAGCAUCAUCAAAGGAGGAUUGAUGAGAGGAAGUUACAGUAGACAGAAGCCAGGACAUUAGCAGUUGAUCUUGCUGCGUAAAGACUUGAGCCGCCGGAUUUGGAGCACGAGAUCCACCGGGUAGAGCGAUGAAUCGCAACGGCGGAGCAACAGUGCCAUCUAAAAAACCUGCGAGUCCAUAGCCAUUAACAAUCAGCUUUACCUGUUUACGCCAUUGAAGGUAAGUACCUUCAUCGAGUUUGACCACUUCAUGUCGAGGAAAAACUGUUGUGACUCGAUCGGCAGCAAAUACACCGGAGCUAGGUUCACCAGACGCUGAAUCAGCGGAAGCCAUGAGAAGCAAUGACCAGAAUCACUUGGCGAAUGAUACCAUGAAAGAACUAGGUAAAGGAAGAAAAUAACUAUCCAAACAGAAAGAAGCAGAAAGUGAAAUAAUAGAAUAAACUUCUUGUUGUUUAUUCAAAUUUGCCUACCUCUUAAUUCUUAAUGUACAGUAUAUAAAGACUAUCUGAAUUGAGUAACAACCUCACUAACUGACUAACUACUUCUAUUCUCUAAUAAUAGACGUGUUUGAGUGACACAAUUCCCUAUGUCAUGUUUGUUAAUAUAAAUUGUAAUUACAUAGUUACAUUAUAAAAUUUUUGGUGUUAAAUUUCGCAAAAUUCUGAUAAAAUAGUGAGGUUAACUGAGAAGCGAAUUUAUUAUUUUUGGAGCUUGUUAUUAUUUUUGAAAUUUUUAGUUAUUAAUGGGUAAUGAUGUCGACUAAGAAUCGAAUUGGCCCAAGGGACUAAAUUGAAAGAGGAGUGAAAAGGGAAAGUUUUUAAGUACUAAUAAGCCCAAGGGCUUAAUGGCCAAUUGGCCAUAGUCUUUUAAAGCACUAAAAAUCACGUCCUUUCUAGCCCUUAUUUUCAACUUCUCUCUUUGGCCGUCUGUCUACACUUGCACCGUUGAAAUCCCUUCAAAUCCUCGCCACUUUGUGUCUAAAUACCAUCAUCGAUUGCCACCACUGAUAUCAGCUGCAAUUGCUCUAAUUCACUGCGGACAAUUGCCUUAAUUUGUAGAUGCUCAUUAUUCACAUUAAAGUUUAUUUCUCUAAUGGAAUUGAUGCUAUGGUUAGUCUUAUUUUCAAAGAUGAUUAAGUUUCAUUUGAUUAGAAUUAGUUGGAAUAUGUGCGGUUAACUUCUAAUUAAAAUUAUUUAGUUUAAGAUUCAUUAAUAAAUUAUUUUUACCGUGGUUUCUUUGAUUUAUUGCUGUAAUUUUUUGUUUACUUUUAUUUGUUGUCAAAGGGUAAAUUAUCUGAUACUUUUACAAUGAACUUAGAAUUAUUUUUGAUGAAUUCGAAGCGAAAAACUAGAUAAUUCGAUGAAAGUGAAGCUGGUUGUGAAUUAAUUGCUCCUAAGCUACAAACACUAAGAAAUUCAGUUUGUUACCUUUACGUUUUAAAAUAUCUUAAUGUUGUUAAAUUAUUAGCUUUGUUGUGAUUCUUGCAUGUAAAAUUUUACUUGUGUAGUUGUUUAUUAAAUUGUUUUUAAUGAUGGCUCCUAUUGUUAAAUUGAUAUUCUUUAUUAAUUGAUUAUUUUCCGAAAAUUAUUGUUAAAAGUACGAAUUUAAUAAUUGACUAAAUACUUGAUAAAGUUAGUUGGAAAUUCUUCGGAUAUAAUUAGCAUGUUGUAGAGUGUAGAGGUCUCCAUCAUUGUUUGUUGUUCAUUGUGUGGAUUGCCUUAAGCAUAUGGGAGUAUUGUCAUUGUUGCCUCUUUGCGCAUAUAGUGUGAUGGUAGGUCAUUGAUUAAGUUGCAUUUAUUACGCAAUGCAGUACUGUCAUUGUUGACGCUUGUGCCAUUUUCAUUGACCGUUUGGUGUUUGGUUGGACACUCUUUUGUCCGAAUGUCUUUCCUUCUUGUGUUACUUAGGCAAAAUAAUUAAAUGAACUUAAACAUUAAAUUGAAACACUAUCAUUAUUUAUUGAAUGUAUUGCUAAUGUUUCAUUGUUAUUUUAAAUUGCUACCUUGUGACUGACUUGUGAUUGUAUUGUGUCUUUGAAAAUUAUUUUAAUUAUACACUUUGGUAGUUUAAAAUGUAUUGGAUUACUACUAAGCUGUAAAAAGGCAUAGCACUUGGGUUUUUAAUUUCUUGUGCAAGUAAUAUUUGGAUCGCAUAGUUUGUGAUAUCGUGAUCGAGCAACAUCACCAAAGAGUUUAGCAUGUACUUAGGUGUUGUUAAAUUGGUCAACUUGUUUACUUUAGUUUUAUUUUAGAGCUUAUUGAUUGAUUGAGCAUUGUUAAAUUAUUUUAUUAUUUGACUUUACACUAAUGUUUAAAUUUUAUGAUUUUAUGUGAAAAUGAUUGAAUGAUUGAUUAUUUGGGUCGCUCAGGUGACCGUUGUGACACUUUCGAUCCAAUUGAACUUUUGAGUCGGGUUUGAGGUGUUACAAACAUAAUUUAUAUUUUUUAAAAAAUAUUAAUUAGUAUAAAAAUUAUUAGUAUGAUCAAAAAUAAUUUCUAAACAAAUUGUCAAAACCAUUUUUUUGUAAAACGGGGGUCGACUUUUAUUUUGAAAACGAAAACGAACACAGGAGUCGCCACCAAUCCUUUUUGAUGAGGUGUGAUCGGGUCACCUCGAAAAGUUUUUAAUAAACGAUUUGCUUUUAUUAAAAUAACGAUUUUUGGUCCACGAAAUAAAAAAAAAACGGGUUCGGGAGUCGGUUACGUACGAGGAAGGAUUAACACCCUCGUAAUGCCCAUAAUUGGUACCUAGUUGAUUAAUUAGUGUCUUAGUGUCGAAGAUUGAAAACUUUGAAGAGUUUUUAAAAAUACGAUCCUUAAAAAAAUCGAAUAACAUGGGUUGGAAUUUAGGAUUCUCUUGUUCCGAAGGAAUAUCACAUCCAGCACGUUAGGAUACAACACUUUAAACCCUCGAAACCAAGAUUACCUUAUGGUGUCCAAAACCCAUACUUUGAAAUUUUAAGAGGAUAUUUGACUAUUUGGUCGAACGAGAAAUCGAAAUCCAGCACGUUAGGGCACGUUUUCUCGAAUUUCCAAACGCAAAAUAUUGCCUUAUUUUUAAAAUUUUCUUUUUUACAAAUUUGGGUAAAAUUAAUGUAAUAGUUAAUAAGAUGUACUUUUAAUAUAUGCGAACAUGGUGUGAAGGUGAAAAAUUUUUUUUACGCAAUAUAUAGUACAAUAAUAAUGAAAUAACAUAAAAUAACCAUAUUAGUAGAAUAUUUAAAAAGUAAAUAAUAAAUAAUGGAAUACAAUAAUAAUGACGUAAUUAUAAUAAUAACACCAAAUAAUAAUAACAAUAAUCAUAUUAGUUACUAUUCUAAUACUAAAAAAAUAUAAAAAUGAAAUAAACACUAAUAAUGAUGAUGAUAAUAAUAAUAGUGAUAAUGAUAAUGAAAUGUAUAAAUAAAGGAAUAAAUAACAAUAUAAAUACUAAAUCAAGAAUAGUAAGGAAAUGGAUAAAUGAAUAUGUAUAAAUAAAUAAAACUGAACGAAAAAGAAUAAAUAAAUAAAUAAAAGCUUGAAAUUAAGCGAAUAAAGGAAUAAAUUGAGGUUAAAAUAAAAUUUUAAGUCUAGAUUAUAAUAAAAUGGAUGGAUAAACGUAAAAGGGACUGGAUCAAAUUUUGAAUGGAAUUUAAAGGUAUAAAUCGGAAUAAAAAAAUGACGUAAAGGACCACAUUGAAAAGCGCGAAUAACAUAGAGGGGCCAAAUGGGAAAAUAUUCCCGCCCUUCAAAACGCAUCACUUUACACGGGGCUAAAAUGCAAUAAAAGCAAAAUUCUAGGGCAAGAUCAAAAAAAGAACACAAAAAAAUUCAAAUUGAAGCGGGCCGAGGAAGCGGAAAGACUGAACAAGUAAAUAUCCCUUCCACUUAAAAAAACACGCGGAUCCUUAUCCUGGAGCGGGUUGGGUCAACCCAUUUCGCAUCAAAACGACGCCGUUUUGAUAAGUUAUAUAAACCAAAUUUUUACCAAAAGUUUUAUUUUGCCCAUUAUUUUAAAAAAAACUUUAAAAAUCUUUCAAAAUUUCUCUCAAGCCUUCCCGCGUCUGGCCAUAACUCCGACCAGUCGUCACCGUACCGUAACCUUAUCCUUUCGACCCUCCUAAAUCCAAAUCUGGGUUCAAAAUUCCCAAAAUAUUAACAAAAAUACCUCAAAAGCUCAAGAAACCUUUCGAUUUUCGGUCACCUAUCCUCAGAGGUGACUUCCUCAGCCAUCCACGGUGUUGAAAAACUCGAAUACAGGUUAGUUUGUUACUCCCUUUUCAUUUUGUUUUACUUUCGUAUGUGUAAAUAUGAUAAAAAUAAAAUAACAGUAGACCAAAAAUGAAACGAAGAUUUAGAAAAUAGCAGUAGAUGUAAACCUUUCGGGAUUUUUCUAAUUAUUUUGAGUUUUUCGAGUAUUCGAUCCCUUUUUUUAUUACAUUGAUUGAUGGGGCCUUUUAUAGCCGAUUUACAUGCUAUUUUUUGUUUGCUUUCGCUUUUGUUCUUGUUGAUUCUGUGUCUGUCUCUUUUUUGUUCUGUUUGCAGGUCUUGGCAAGGUCAACAGAUGUUGAAGGGAUAACCCCUGCCAUUUUCGUACAAGGCUGUAGACGCCUGUCAGGCUUCGGGCGACGAGUGCGCUAUAGGGGCACGAAGAGGGAGUGCGGCACACAUGGAGCACUAGGGUUUCUGUUUUCCUCUGAAAGCAGUUAGGUUGUGGGCUGAAUUGGGUUAGGUUUUCUUUUUUAUUUUGGGCCAUACCAGGCCUGGCAUGUAAUUAGGGUUUGGGUUUGUUAUUUGAGUUUUGGGCCCGGUCAAAAAUGGCCUAUUACAGCUGCCUAUCUUUGCUUAUUGUCGUGUAACGGGAAUGAAACAAAGACUUUAAAAGGGCCAAUUUUGCCCGGUCUUGCCGAGUCUUGACUCCUUUUAGUGUUUCUCUUUUCAAGUAGCUUCACUCUAUUCCACUGUGUCUUGUUGCUUCAAUACACUCCACUGUAACUUCAAAAAGAGAUACGACUUGUAGCUUCAAUCUACUCUGCCAUAAUUUCAGAAGGAUGAGAUUUAUGGUUUUAGUCUGCUCCACUAUAACGUCAGGGAGAUAAGACUUGUUGCUUCAACCUACUCUACUGCGACUUCAAGGAGAUAAGGUCUGUUAUGGUAGACUUAAUCUGACCUACUGCAACUUCAGAGGUAUAUGAUUCAUCGUUUUAAUCCGCUCCACUUCAACUUCAGGGAGAUAGGAUUAAUAGCUUCAAUCUACUCCACUACAACUUCAGAGAGAUAAGAUUUGUGGCUUUAAUCUGCUCCACUGCUCUACUGCAACUUCAGGGAGAUAAGGUUUGAUGUGAUCUGCUCUACUGCAACUUCAGGUUUCAAUCUGUUCCACUGCAGCUUUAAGGAAAUGAGAUUUAUAGUUUGUCUUCAAUCUACUCCACUACAACUUCAGGGAGAUAAGAUUGGUUUAUUUUUUAACCUGCUCCACUGCAACUUCAAGGAGAUAAGGUUUGAUGUGAUCUGCUCUACUGCAACUGCUCCACUACAACUUCAGGGAGAUAAGGUUUGAUGUGAUCUACUCUACUGCAACUUCAAAGAGAUAAGAUCUGUAAUUUAUAGCUUAAAUCUGUUCCACUACAACUUCAGGGAAAUGAGAUUUAUAGCCUGUCUUCAAUUUUCUCCUCUACAACUUUAGGGAGAUAAGAUUGGUUUAUUUUUUAACCUACUCCACUGCAACUUCAGAGAGAUAAGGUUUGUCAAGAUCUUCAAUCCAUCCCACUGCAACUUCAGAGGCAUAAAAUUUGCCGCUUCACUAAUCUAUUAUGCGGUGAACUUGACCUGUGGAAUCCAUUUCAUAGACCUAUUUAUGCCUAGUGAUUAGGAUGUCAUAAAUCAGAAUGAAUCAAAUGCUCCUAACUAGGUGUGUAUGAAUGAUAUUUGCAUGAAUGCAGAACAUCAUUUUUUGAGAAUAAUCCCUCUUUAAUGUUUGGGUUAUCAUUGCUCAUUGUUCAUCAAGGUUUUAUCGUUAAUGCAUUACCCUACCUUCUUGUUCAACUGGUGUCUUUAACAGAAAAUCCAAAGAAAUAGUCACAAUUUAGACUAUUCUUUUUCAAAUGUUUCCAACCCUCAGGUUUGGUUAGUUCUAAACAAUAAUCCUGUUUCGAGUCCUCGUAUCAUUUAGAAGCUUUCAGAGUAAUAUGCAGAACUUCUUUUGCUUGAAUAUUAUUGAUCCAUUAAUUAUUAUUUCAAUGAAAAAUGCUUGGAAAGAAUUAUCACAAUGGACAAGAUGGAAUUUCAUUAGGAGCAAAGCUCGAACUGAAUGAAUUAAUCAAGAUAACAAGUUUUUUCCAAAAUUACAAAAUGAGAAUCAAGACAACGUAUUUUGCCAAAAUAAAAAAUGAAUGAAAUGGAAUAGGUGCCUUAGAUAUCGUAGUAUGAACUUCUCUGCACAAAGCCUUUGGAGGACCACUUUAAACUUGAUAGAUGUCCAGGAGGUCCGCAGUAUUUCGUUGAUGUCCCAAGACGCAUAAUCUCUCUUUCUUGUUAAUUCAAGCAUAGUAAAAAUUGUCGCAUGCCCCACCUUUGAUCACAAUUUGAAUUGCCCUUUUUCCCCAGGUUUUCAAUUCAAAACCCCUUUGGUCUCAAAGUGCCCUUCAUGGGUUUUCGCCUUGGCCUCUCCUCUUUUGUUUUAGGCGAGGUACUUUUUCAUUGAAUUCGAAUUCACAGGAUUAGGCAGGAUUUUUCCAUCCAUCUCAGUCAAAAUUAACGCUCCUCCAGAAAAGGCCUUCUUUACUACAUAAAGUCCCUCACAGUUUGGCAUCCACUUUCCUCUAAAGUCUUUUUGUAUGGGAAGGAUCUUCUUCAGUACCAAAUCCCCUUCAUGAAAUUCCCUAGGACGAACCUUCUUAUUGUAAGCUCGUAUCAUUUGCUUCUGGUACAUUUGACCAUGACGGAUAGCUCUCAACCUCUUUUCUUCGAUCAAGUUUAGCUGAUCAUAUCAAGAUUGGAUCCAUUAUGCUUCGUCUAACAUUAGUUCUGAAAAAACUCGGAGAGAGGGAAUUUCAACCUCAAUUGGCAGUACUGCCUCCAUUCCAUAAACCAAAGAGAAAGGCGUUGUCUCGGUAGAGGUCCUGACAGAUGUUCGAUAAGCAUAGAGGGCAAAUGGUAACUUCUCAUGCCAAUCUCUAUAAGUCUCAGUCAUUUUUCCCACAAUCUUCUUGAUGUUUUUAUUGGCUGCCUCCACUGCGCCAUUCAUUUUCAAGCGAUAUGGCGAUGAAUUGUGGUGCUUGAUCUUGAAUUGACUACAGACCUCCGCUAUCGUGUUGUUGUUCAAAUUCAAAGCGUUGUCAGAUUUAAUCCUUUCGGGUAUCCCAUACCGACAUAUGAUCUCCUUUUUUAGAAAUUUACUGACGGUCGAUUUUGUGAUGUUGGCGUAAGAAGUAGCUUCUACCCACUUAGUAAAGUAGUCAAUUACUACGAAGAUGAAUCGAUGCAUGUUUGAAGCUUUUGGUGAUAUUGGUCCAAUGACGUCCAUGCCCCACAUGGAAAAAGGCCAUGGAGAAGUCAUGACAUGAAGAGGUGAAUGAGGCACAUGAAUUUUGUCCCCAUAAAUCUGGCAUUUAUGGCAUUUCUUAGCAUACUUGAUGCAGUCCCUUUUCAUGGUGGACCAAUAAUAUUCGAAUCUCAUGAUUUGCCUGGUCAUUGUAAAACCAUUAACGUGUGUUCCAUAGACACCAUCAUGAACCUCUUCUAAGAUUUGCUUAGCCUCAAUAGCGUCCACGCAUCUUAGCAACACUUGAUCAUUUCCUCUUUUAUAUAGGAUCUCUCCAUCCAAGACGUAGUCAUUAACCUGCCUUCUUAACGUCCCCUUGUCAUCCUCGCUUUCUUGGUUUGGGUAUUCCUGACUCUUCAUGUAUUGUAAUAUAUCGCGAUACCAAGGGUGAUCACCCUUUUCCUCUUCUUUGUCGACAUUGCAACAGUGGGCUGGUGCUUCAUAAAUGCUCAUUCUGAUGGGCCUCACAUCCUUUGUUUAUUUACUUUGAUCAUAGAAACCAAAGUAGCCAAAGCGUCGGCCAUCUGGUUUUCUUCUAGCGAAAGGUAAGAGAAGGUGAUGUCAUCAAACUCGUCAAUUAGCCCUAUAACCAGCUUUCGGUAAUUGACUAAUUUGCGAUAUCUUAUCUCCCACUCCCCUUUGAGCUGAAAAACCACCAGUACAGAGUCCCCAUAUACCUCUAACACUUUAAUCUUAUGUUCCAUGGCUGUACGAAUCCCCAUAAUACAUGCUUCGUACUCGGCCAUAUUAUUUGUGCAAUCAAAACCCAAUUUACAGGUGAAUGGAUAAUGAUCUCCGCUUAGGGAUACCAAAACUGCCCUAAUUCCGUUGCCUACAGCAUUUGAAGCCCCGUCGAAGUUUAAUUUCCAAGCACCGCUUUCUUGAGUGUAUUUUUCAACAGUUCCCACAUACAUCAGAUCCUUAUUUAGGAGAUCAAAGUUCAAAGGCUCAUAGUCUUCUAGAGCUCGACUAGCUAGAAAAUCUACUAUCGCGCUUCCUUUUAUAGCUUUUUGAUUCACAUAGACUAUGUCAAAUUCAGACAGUAGAAUUUGCCAUCUGGUCAUCCUUCCAUUUAGAGCGGUUUACUCCAUCAUGUAUUUCAGAGGGUCUAGUUUCAAGAUUAACCAAGUCGUAUGGUACAACAUGUAUUGUCGCAACCUCCGAGUAGUCCAGAUUAAGGCGCAACAUAAUUUUUUGAUUGGGGAGUAUCUUGUCUCACAUUCGGUGAACUUCUUACUGAGAUAGUAUAUUGCUUUUUCUUUUCUUCCCAACUCAUCAUGUUGGCCGAGCACGAAUCCGAUGGAGUUUUCAAAUACUGUUAAAUAUAGUAUCAGGGGCUUGUCUGGGCAAGGCGGUGUUAGUACUGGAGCGUUGGACAAGUAAUACUUGAUCUUGUCAAAGGUUUUCUGGCACUCCUCGUCCCAUAUGCCCGGAUUAUGUUUCUUAAAGAGACGGAAGAUAGGGUCACAUUUUUCAGUUAACUGUGAAAUAAACCGAGCAAUGUAGUUUAGUCUUCUUAGAAAACCCCGGACUUCUUUCUGAGUGCGUGGUGAAGGCAAUUCUUGUAUGGCCUUGACUUUGUCUGGGUCAAUCUCAAUUCCCCUUUCACUGACUAAAAGUCCUAGCAACUUUCCUGAUCUAGCCCCGAAAGUGCAUUUGGCUGGGUUAAGUUUUAGCUGGAACUUCAUUAACCUUAGGAACAGUUUUCUCAAUACUUGCACAUGUUCUCCUUCUGUCCUAAACUUUACAAUCAUGUCAUCAACACAGACUUCUAUCUCUUUAUGCAUUAUAUCAUAGAACAAAGUUACCAUGGCUCUUUGGUACGUUGCCCCUGCAUUCUUUAAUCCGAAUGGCAUCACCUUAUAGCAAAAUGUUCUCCACAUAGUUACAAAUGUGGUCUUAUCCAUGUCUUCAGGAUGCAUUUUUAUCUGAUUAUACCCCGAGAAGCCAUCCAUGAAGGAGAAAAGUGAGUAACCUGCUAUGUUGUCCACCAGAGUGUCGAUAUGGGGUAACGGAAUAUUGUCUUUUGGACUAGCUUUGUUCAAAUCUCUAUAAUCUACGCACAUCCGUACCUUCCCAUCUUUCUUAGGGACAGAGACUAUGUUGGCUACCCAAUCCGAGUACUUGACCACUUGUAAGAACCCCGAGUCGAACUGCUUCUUGACCUCUUCUUUUAUUUUUAACAAAACAUCAGGCCUUAUUCUUCGUAGCUUCUGUUGCACCAGUUUACAUUCUUCUUUUAUGGGCUGUCGGUGUACUACAAUAUCAGUACUUAGGCCAGGAAUGUCUUGAUAGGUCCAUGCAAAGACAUCUUUAAACUCUUGAAGUAAUCCAACGAGGUCUCGUUUUGUUUCCUCAGUAACGCAAGCGCCAAACUUUACUUCUUUCUCUUCUUCUAAACCCACUACUUCCACGGAUUCCUUAUAAGGUAAGAUUUGUUUCUCUUCUUGCUCCACCAUUCUUAACAAAUCAGGAGAUAAUACGCUGUCUUGGUCAUCUUCAAAACCCUGACGAUCAUCCGUACUCAUGUCUUGUUCAAAUAGGGACUUUGAGUCAGUAACAGCGUCGCUCACAUCAUUGAUAUCUGAAGACCUGUUAUUGGGAGAAAGGAAGGUCCAAAGAAAGAAGAAUCUAAGCAUAAUUGUUUACACAGUAUGAUUAUAAAUUGAAUGAAAAGAAUAGAAGAAUAUUUGCUCAAAAUGAGACUGAAUGAUGUGUUUUCAUUGAAAUAAGAUUUUGGACAUGUGUCUUUUACAAAAUAUUCUUAUUGCCCCCAGGCUUAGGGCAACAAGUGUUCUAGAUAUUACUCUGAAUUAGUUCUAAAUGUUAUAGGGAUCUCUUCUGCAGUCUAGUUGUCUAGAACACUUCCAGGUUCGUAAGGGCGGAUGCCUGAUACACUUCCUUCUUCGAGUUCUUUUUUGAAUAUGGCAUUGAUGUUCAGGUUUUCUAACAUUUCCUCCGUAGUAUCCCUUCUUGGUGUCCUUCGUUCAGGAUAAAUAGUUCCCCCUGAUAUAAAGGUCCUAGAUAUGUGGGGGAAGGUCAUAGGUUCCCAAUCGACUUCUUUUCCACUCAAACGCGCCUUCCUCUUCUCUUGUCUUUUUUCUAACUCUUUCCUUCUUUACUUCGCAUUUGGCUUAGAUCCUAAACCAAAGCGGUCUCGUUUAUCUUUUAUCAUUGGUACCUCUAUCCUUCAUUGAAGACAUCUUCCGAAUCCUCUCCCAGACACUGCUCCUUUUCCAAUCGUCAUUUGCAGUCCCAUCCUCGUAGUUUUGGAUAUGCUAGGCAUCGUGAUCUUAUUCCCCUCAACAACAAAAGUUGCGUUCACGAAUUCUAAGGAUCAAAAGGAACAUUCAAUCGCCUCAUCAUUCGUUUCUAAAUAUGGUGUGUCGCUGGUUACCGAUGCAAUAAUGUCUUCUUUAGCGCUUAUAGUAACUAGUCGGCCUUCUAUUACCAAUUUCAACUUCUGGUGCGAUGAUGAAGGCACUGCUCUAGCUGAAUGAAUCCAAGCUCUUCCCAACAAGUAAUUAUACGAAGGUUUGAUAUCCGUCACUAGGAAAUCUACCUUGUAUGUAUUCGGGCCAAUCAAGAGAGGUAUUUCUAUUCUUCUCGUUACUUUUCUUUCAGUGCCAUCAAAUGCUCUCACUAUAUUCUGGCAUGAUUUCAUGUGAGAGUUAUGCAUCGGUAACCUGUUUAAGGUGGAUAAGGGUAAGACAUUCAAGGCCGAUCCAUUAUCAAUUAACACCACCGGAAACGUGUAUCCCUUGCAGCGAGUGGUGAUAUUUAGGGCUUUGGUGGCUCCUCUCCCCCCCCCCCGAUGAUAUUUCAUUAUCAUUAAAGAAGAUGAAGUUGUCGGCACUUAUAUUGUUAACCAAGCAGUCUAACUUGUUCACCGAGAUAUCGUUAGCGACAUAAGUUUCAUUUAGUACUUUUAUCAACGCAUUACGAUGUGUCUCUGAACUUAGAAGCAACUUAAGCACCAAGAUGCAAGCUGGUUGCUUAUGUAGUUGUUCCACCACGCUAUACUCACUGUGCUUUAAGAAUUUUAGAAAUUCUCUAGCCUCAUUUUUAGUUACCGGCUUGUUAACAUGCGAUUCAAUUCUAAUCGUUUUUGCUUCCCCUCGCUCAACCGCUAAGGUUUUUCCUUUUGUGGUUUCCACUCUUGCAUUUGUCGAAUCGUAGCAUUUUUCGCUUCGUGUAUAGAAGCCUAUAUCAUCACCCUUUUUUGAAGUAUUUAUUGGGUUCUCUUCUCCCGGGAUCGUCACGUUGCACUCGUAAUUCCAAGAAACCCAUUUGCUAUUCUUAUAAAGAAAUUAUAUGGGUUUUUAGAUUAUGACCCUUGGCGCUAUUUCUAUUCCAGAUUCUGUGCUCCUUGGCCUUGAAAUAAUCACCACUGAGUGAUUAACCCUUUGGGCUUCCCCGUAGAUUCUUCCUCCGAGGUGUAAAUUUCCCCUUCUUCUAAUCCUUCAACCUUUUCAUAAAACUUCAACUCUUUGUUAUCCAUUAAGUUUUGCAUCAUGGUUCUGAACUCGGUGCAUUUUUAAGUGUCAUGGCCCUCUUCAGCAUGGAACUCGCAAUACUUCAUCGUCCCUUUGGGCCUCUCCGUUGAAUCUUGCUUGAUAAAACCUCCCUCUAUCAUUCGUUUCCAAACCCAUUUCAACGGGGUUUUUAUCUCUGCUACGUCAGCUUUAACUCUCCUUCCCCACUCUCGAUUAUUGCGUUUACCUCUUUAUCAGAAUGAUUGGUUAACGGAUUCCCUGCUACAUUUGGUUCUGGUGGGUCGUCAAACUUUACAAUCCCCAUCUUAAUGAAUCUUUCCACCAUCUUCUUAAACGCAGUGCAGUUCUCAAUCGAGUGUCCCGUUAUCCCUGCUUAGUAUUCACAUUGGGUAUUCACGUCGUACCAUUUAGGGUAUGAAGGUUGCAUGGGUUUCAGAUAAAAUGGAGACACGACGUGUGCAUCGAAUAGAUUCUAAUACAGUUCUCUAUACGUCAUUGAGAUACGUGUGAAUUGGGGUCUUUCUACAUUCGACCUUGGAUGGGAUUCCUGCCUUAAAAAGCCUUGAUGGCUAGUGGUUAUUGCUCUUGCUUGUCCCACCGUGAUUGGUUUAGAAUAGCCUUUGUUAAACAUACUUGCAUUGUUUAUCUCGUGCUCUUUCUUUCUUGGGGCUGACCUCUUGGCACUUUCCCCCGCUUCUAUCUUGCCGCAUAUUAUUGUAUUCUCUAUCAUUUCUCCAGACAUCACUAUGUCUGAAAAGCUUUUAGUGGCGCUGUCUAACAUGUGAUUGAUGAACAGAGCCUUCAAAGUAUUGAUGAAAAGCAUGGUUGUCUCUUUCUCCAGAAGUGGUGGUUAGACUUGCAUUGCUAUUUCUCUCCAUCUUUGGGCGUACUGUCUGAAGCUCUCACUAGGCUUCUUUUCCAUGUUCUGUAAUGUAAUUCGACCGGGUGCUAUAUCCUUCACAUGACUGUACUGCUUCAUAAAAGUCUGUGCCAAGUCCUUCCAUAAAUUGACUUUAGUCUGGCUCAAUUGGUUGUACCAUUUAGCCGCCGACCCGAUCAAGCUGUCUUGGAAAUAGUGCAUCAAUGUUGAUCAUUAUUGAUGUAUCCUGUUAUCCUUCGACAGAACAUAGUGAUAUGAGCUUCAGGACAGCUAGUCCCGUUAUACUUUUUAAACUUUGGCAUUUUGAACUUAGGUGGAAGCACCAGAUCAGGAACCAAACUCAAGCCUUUGGCGUCAAUUCCACAAUGGUAGUCGGCGUUCUCCAUGGCUCUAAAUUUCUCCUCUAUCCAUCUACACGAUCCUCAAGUUGUUUUGGCAAGUCCAUUCUUACCUUUUCUAUUUCUGCCACGUCAUCGAGAUCAGGGACCACGGGAUUGGUAGGGUUAUCCCCGGGAUUAGAACCCGAGCUUAUUGGAAAGUUCAUUGACACUAGGGCCCCAACCUGAUAUUGGGAUCUGAUAGUGACAGGUACCCUUCAUGGGUACACGUCCGGUUGCGCUUAGAUGUUAGUUAGGGUAAAACCUGGAGGAUAGGCAGGGUCUUCAUGAUCAUCCCCAGAAUUGACCACAGGGCUCUUCCCUUUAUCAUUUUCUCCAGCCAUUAACUGUGUUAACUAGCUCAAUAAAUUUCUUUGGGAUUCUUACAUGUCUUGUUGCAUUUUAGCUAGUUUUUCCUGCAUCUGAACUUGCAUCUCUUUUCACAAUUGUUCCAAUCUUUCUAAUAUCUGAUCCAUUACUUUUGUCUUGCGGCGGGUACCGUAGUGAUAUAUAGUUGGCUGAUUUUUGUUGGUUUCCAAGGUAACUGUCAUAAUUUUAAUUAAUUAGGGCUCUUUUUUGAAACUUUAAUGCAUAUGAUGAGAUGUAAUGCAAAUGAAUCAAAGCAAAAAGAGGCAUUGAUUCUAAUUCAAUUUCAUUAGAAAAACUCGAUUAGAAAACAAAUUUCUUUACAUAAAAUGGAUUACAUAUAUGGCUUCGCCUUUAUACUCAAAGCCUUAACCCUCUUAAGGAGCCAAGCUAACUCUCAACCUCGGCUUGAUUCUGAUUCAUAUUUUAAACUCAAUACAUCAGCCUGAACUGCUAAGGUUUGCAGAUGAUCAGCUACUUCCUGCACUUAAGUUACAACUUCACCCAUAAUGUAAUCUUUAUCUCUAAUCUGACUUUGGGAAUGAUGGAGCUGUUCUUGCCACUGUUCGUUACGCCUCUCAAGAAGUUCCACUCGUAAUUCAGAGUUUUGCAAUGCGUCUUCGAGCUUUUCUAUUUUCCCCUUCAAUUUUUCGAUCUUUCCUAAACUUGCUCUUAACUUGAUCAUUGAGUUGCGACUACGGUACAGGUGAAGCGACUUUUCUAACUAUACUACCCGAGCUUUUAAUCUCGCUUCUUCAUUUCAACAUUCUAACAAGUUUUUCUCUAAAGCUCUCUCUCGAGCUUGGGCGUCUUAAAAUUUCUUUUCCCACUGAUCAGCCAUGGUCUUUUCUUCCUUGAUCUCCUGUCGCCAUUACUCCGACGUUUUACCUAAACCGACAGUUCUUAUUGACAAACGCAGCUUCUUAUAAUCUAUUUUUAGACUAUCUAAAUCCUCUUCAGCCUUGUUCUUCCCUUUCCUUAAUUUUUCGAUUUUUAACUUGUGGAUAUCGACAUCUAGUCCCAAACGCAUCUUUUCCUCUUCUAGCUGCUCUAUCUUCUUUCCUAACUCUGAACUUCUUUUUUCAAAGUCCUGUUUGAUGAUCUCUAAUUCUGAUGGAACUUCUUGUAGAUGGUCCUCUAUAGAUCGAAUGCAUUCUUUUCUCGACCCGGAGAUGUUGUUAUUGACCCUCUUACUCCAACACCCAUAAUAUUCGAAAGUUGUCAUUGCUCUUACGGUAAAUCUUUUCAUCCGGUGAACUUGUUUCCAAGCGCUAAACAUUUCUCGAAUCUUUCUCUUGUAGUUAUCACCCUUAUAAGAAAACUCACACUGAGUCAGCCCUUAUGUUGUCGGUAUGAACUAUCUUGAUUUAUAUUGUCUUAAUACGAGCAAAGGGGUAUAUUCGACAGCUCUCCAAAUUCUAAGUAAAAGGACCAAGUCGAAGUUUUCACAUCGAUAUAGGAUAUCGUCGGGCACCAUCCAAUGAGCUUUCCAUUCAACAUCUUUCUCUUGAAGAGUUUGGAGAAUCACCAUCCAUUUCUCUUCUGUGAUGUCGUUUCAUCUUGGUGUAGCCACUAGUUCCUUUAAUGGGGAGUAGUUUUCUAAGAAUACCCAAUAGGAGACCUUUUUCCACUUUCCAAAAGUGUCUAUGGAACCACACCAAUAAUAGUUGCGCGCAUCCGAUGAACCUUCCUUCACCCGCUCUUCGACACGCAUUUAGAGAUCUAAAAGUUUCAGCCAAUAUUGCUGAGACCGGUGUGACCCCCUUGUCAAGCCUAUCAAACAGAUCUGAAACUGCUUCAUCCACAUGCCCUAAUGCCUUGGGGAAAAUAACUAAACCAUAAAUGCUCAAGACAAAGAUAUCAACUCACUUGGUGCAAAAAUCAUGAAAAACCAGCUUGAAUAAACCCUUAGGACGUUUUUGGCUGAUGAGAAUGCAGAAAAAUAAAGAGAAAUCUAGAUAAUUCCACUUUAGUCCUAACUUUUAAAGUAAAUUUUUGCAAUAUUCUAAUUUUACCCUUAAUUCUCCAAUUCUCCUUAUUUUUCUCAGCUUGUGCCGCCCAAAAUAUCUUCUUUUGGGCUUAUUUACAAUUUAUGUCCCUCCUUAUUUAACAAUGGAGCUAUUUAAUCCUUCUAGUAACUUUUACACCUUUUUUAAUUUAGUCCUUUUCACUUAAUUGACUGCCCAAACAUUAAAAUUUUCUAACGAAAUUUUAAUACCAUAUUACUAACAUUUCAUAAAUAUUUAUAAAAAUAUUUUUGACUUGGUUUUAUGAGAUCGAUGUCUCGAUACCUUGUUUUUACCCAAUUUCUUCAAUAAUUUCUUUUUCUAACUAACCACUAAAUCGGUAAAAUUUUUCUAUCGAUAUUUUCAUACGAUUUUCUAUCAUAUCAAUAUUCAUGCAAAAAUAUUAAAAUAAAUUUCUUUUAAAAUCGGAUUUUUGGUUAUGAAACCACUGUUUCGAUAACCUUGAAUUUAGGCCAUUACAACUCUCCCCCCUUAGGGAUUUUCGUCCUCAAAAAUCUUACCAGUAAAGAGGUUCGGGUAUUGUUUCCUCAUUGCCUCCUCUGAUUCCCAUGUCGCUUCCUUAAUCCCGUGCUUUUUCCAUAAUACUUUCACCAAAUUUAUCUUUUUAUUUCUAAGCUCAUUUAUUUCCCGUGCUAAUAUCUUAACCGGUUCUUCACUAUAAGUCAUAUCCGGCUGAAUCUCCACUUCUGUCAGAGAAAUAACAUGUGAAGGAUCUGAUCGAUACCGUCGUAGCAUAGACACAUGAAAAACAUUAUGAAUUCUAUCGAGUUCCGGUGGUAAUGCCAAUCGAUAAGCGACCGCGAGUUCCGGUGGUAAUGCCAAUCGAUAAGCGACCGGUCUAAUUCUUUCUAUAAUUUCAUAUGGCCCAAUAAAUCUUGGACUCAACUUACCCUUUUGACCGAAUUGGAGAACUUUUUUCCAAGGAGACACUUUUUUGGAAUACCUUAUCACCCACCUAAAAUUCAAUCUCUUUUCGUUUAAGAUCAGCAUAUGGCUUUUGACGAUCGAAAGCUGCUUUUAGACUAUCUCGAAUCAUCUUGACUUUUUCUUCUAUUUCCCGGAUCAAAUCAACCCCAUGUAUCUUCUUUUCACUAAGCUCUGUCCAAUAUAAUGGUGUUCUACAUUUUCUACCAUACAAAGCUUCAUACGGAGCCAUUUUAAUACUGGACUAAUAACUGUUAUUAUAAGCAAAUUCAAUCAAAGGUAGAUACCUCUCCCAAUUACCUUCUAACUCUAAUAUACAACAUCGGAGCAUAUCUUCCAAUACCUGAAUUACACGCUCAGAUUGGCCAUCUGUCUGAGGAUGAAAUGCAGUGCUGAAAUACAAUUGAGUACCCAAGGCUUCUUGCAAUUUGUCCCAGAAACGAGAUGUAAAUCGGGGAUCUAUAUCUGAUAUAAUAGAUAUUGGCACUCCAUGUAGCUUGACAAUCUCAGAUAUAUACAGUUCAGCCAAUUUAUCUAAAAAAUAAUCCAUAAGUACUGGGAUAAAAUGUGCUGAUUUUGUUAAUCGAUCAACGAUCACCCAAAUGGCAUCUUUCUUAUUCGGUGACAAUGGUAACCCAAAUACAAAAUUCAUAGUAAUUCUUUCCCACUUUUAUUCCGGUAUAGUGAUUGGCUGAAGUAACCCCGAAGGUACCUGAUGUUCAACUUUAACCUGCUGACAUAUUAGGCACUUUGAUACAAACUCAGAAAUAUCACGUUUCAUACCUGGCCACCAGUACAUCUUCUUCAAAUCAUUAUACAUUUUAUUACCUCCCAGAUGUACGGACAUAAUACCACUGUGUGCCUCGUGUAAAAUCUUCUGUACAAGCUCUGAAUUCUUCGGUACACAUACUCUGCCUCUGAAUAAUAAACAACCAUCAGUCCCAAUUUGAAAUUCUGAAUCAUUACCUGACUCACAUUGUACCCAUUUAGCCUGUAGCUUUUCAUCAUUUUUCCGAGCUUCAUAUAUUUGUUGUAGAAAUGUCGUUUAACUCUCAACUCAGCUAUGACUGAACCAUUAUCAACCAAAGACAAUCGGGUAUUCAUAGCUCGCAAAGCAAACAAAGAUUUUUGACUCAGAGCAUCAGCUACAACAUUAGCCUUACCCAGAUGGUAAUCAAUAACCAAAUCAUAGUCUUUUAUCAGUUCAAGCCACCUGCGCUGUCUCAAAUUCAAAUCUUUCUGUGUCAUCAAAUAUUUCAGGCUUUUAUGAUCAGUAUAAAUAUGACAUUUUUCACCAUACAAAUAAUACCGCCAUAUUUUCAAUGCAAAUACAAUAGCAGCAACUUAGAGAUCAUGUACCGGGUAAUUUCUUUCAUGUGGCUUAAGUUGUCUUGAAGCAUAGGCUAUUACUUUACCUUCUUGCAUCAAGACACAGCCUAAACCAUUUAAUGAUGCAUCACUAUAAAUAAUAAAUUCUUUACUCGGUUCAGGUUGUACCAACACAGGUGUUUUCGUCAACAAAUCUUUCAAUCGGUCAAAACUCUGCUGGCAUUUAUCAGUCCACUCAAAUUUAACAUCUUUCUGUAAUAAACGAGUUAUCGAAGAAGCUAUCAUAGAGAACCCCUGUACAAAUCUCCGAUAAUAACUGGCUAAACCCAAGAAACUUCUAACUUCAGAUACAUUCUUCGGUGGACUCCAAUUGACAAUAGCUGAGAUUUUACUCAAAUCUACCUUGAUGCCUUCUGCGGAUACAAUAUGUCCAAGAAAACCCACUUCUCGAAGCCAAAAUUCACAUUUACUGAAUUUAGCAUAUAGCUACUUCUCUCGCAGAAUUUGCAACACAAUUCUCAAAUGUUCUGCAUGCUCAUUUUCAUCUUGGGAAUAGACCAAGAUAUCAUCAAUAAAAACUACCACAAACCUGUCUAAGUACGGUCUAAAUAUCCGAUUCAUCAGGUCCAUAAAUACUGCAGGUGCAUUAGUCAGCCCAAACGGCAUAACAAGAAACUCAUAAUGCCCGUACCUGAUUCUAAAAGUUGUUUUCGAUACAUCUAACUCCUUUACCCGUAACUGAUAGUAGCCCAAUCGGAGAUCAAUCUUUAAAAAUACAGUGGCACCCUUCAACUGGUCAAACAGAUCGUCAAUCCGAGGCAAUGGGUACUUAUUCUUUAUAGUGACUUUAUUAAGUUGUCAGUAAUCAAUACAUAAUCUUAAGGACAUGUCCUUCUUUUUCAUAAAUAAAACUGGAGCACCCUAAAGUGAAUGACUUGGUCAGACAAAACCCCUGUCAACAAGUUCUUGCAACUGUGUCUUUAACUCCUUUAAUUCUGUAAGAGCCAUACGAUACGGAGCUAUAGAGAUUGGAGUAGUUCCCGGAAUCAGAUCUAUAGAAAAUUCCACUUCUCUUUCUGGUGGCAACCCUAGUAAUUCCUCUAGAAACACAUCAAAAAAUUCACAUACAAUUGGCACUGCCUGUAUAUUUAAUUGGCACUGCCUGUAUCUUUAACUCAGAUACCUUAGUGUUUAACACAUAUGCCAAAUAAGCAUCAUACCCUUUUCUGACACACCUCUGAGCUGUCAUAACCGAAAUCACAUUAGAUAAUUCUUCUGUCUGAUCAAAUUUAACCCGAAGUAAUUCUCUAUUCUAACACUUCAGCAUAAUAUAUUUCUGUCUACAAUUUACUACUGCAUCAUGCUGAGUUAGCCAAUCCAUACCCAAUAUCACAUUGAACUCAUCAAAAGGCAAUAACAUCAAGUCAACAGGAAAACAAAUACCUUUUACCAUCAGUGGACAAUUUUUACAAACUUUAUCCACCAUCAUAAACUGGCCCAGUAGGUUCGAGACUUUAACCACAAAUUCAGUAAGUUCAACAGAUAAAUUUUUAACAAAUACUAAUUUUGUGCAUAUGUAUGAAUGUGUAGAGCCAGGAUCAAUUAAUACAGUAAUAUCAGUAUCAAGUAAAGAAAAUGUACCAGUAAUAACAUCGGGUGCUGAGGCAUCUUCUCUAGCACGGAUGGCAUAUGUCCUAACAGGUGCUCGUGCCUCAGACCUGCCUGCAGUCUCUUUCGUAACUCCUCAGCUACCACUAACAUUACCAGAUGGUCGAGGUGGUCUACCCCUCGAAACUGGAUUACUCGGCUUCGAUGUAUGUUUAGCUUCUUUUUCACCCCUUUCUAGACAAUCUCUGAGGAAAUGAUCGGAAGAACCACAUCGAUAACAAGCCCCACUCUUUAAUCGACAUUCACCAAAAUGAGUUUUAUUACAGUACUGACAUCUCGGCUUAGGGGUACCAACACUACCAGCACUGGUCACUGAUGGAGUGGAAGGUCUUGGAUUAGUGCGUUGAAAACCUCGCUCUCUAAUCGAAUACCCACUGGCUGAGGUUGAACGAUCCUGGUAUUUCUUCAAUUUCUUUAAAGUAAAAAACUGGGAUUUUUCCAUAGAUGUUUUACUGAAAACCCGAGCUUCUCUUUCAGCUUGUUUCUUUUCUUUGCUCAAUUUUUUUGCUUUAUAAGCUCACUCUGCAAGGGUAGUAAACUCUCGAAUUUCAAGAAUUCCGAUCAAUAGCUUAAUUUUUUCAUCCAACCCUUCUUCAAAUCUUUUGCAUAUUCCAGCUUCUGAUUGUACCCAUUCCCAAGCAUAUUUACUCAAUCGGACAAAUUCUCUUUCAUACUCAGAUACUGAUCUGUUAUCCUGUUUCAGCUAAAAAAAUUCUUUUCUCUUCCGAUCGAGGAACCUCUGACUGAUAUAUUUCUUUCUGAACUCGGUCUAAAAGAAUUCUCAUUUAAUUUCUUCUUUUGGAACCACCGAAGCUUUAGUGUUUCACCAAUGAUAAGCUGUGUCUUUUAACAAUGAUACUGCACAUUUCAGACACUCUUCUGGCGUGCAAGAUAAUUCCUCCAAAACCCGAGUAGUAUUCUCUAACCAAAACUCAGCCCGUUUGGGAUCAUCAUCAACUGCAGCUCUGAAUUCUUCUGCCACAUAUUUUCUGAUUUUAUCAACCGGAGCUUUCCCUUUUUUGCUAGGUUCAAUACCUGUACCCUGUGAAAUCUCGGGAAUCGGUGGAGGAGGAGGAGGAGGAGGAGGAGCUUGAGCUUGCUGCACUAUAGGGUUAGUUUUUAUAUAUUGAGUAAAUCAUUCAUUCAUCAUUUGAUAGAAGGCAAUUUUAGCCUCUUCACUUUGGUCCCUUAUCUCGGACCUUCUACUACUAGUAGCUUCAACUUCUCUUUGUUCUGAAGCCGGAGCAUGACUCUCGGCUUCCUUGGGUUGAACUUGGUCGGCAGACAUUUACUAUAAGAAAAUCACAUUUCAAAUGGUCAGGAGAUAUCACACUAUCAAUAAGAAUUUAAAUCCCAUGUAUAGCUAAUCCAGUAUUUUCUACAUCGGUCCGAGAACUGACUAAAUCGUAGCUCUGAUACCAACAAAAUGUAACACCCCUUAACCAUAUCCGUCGUUGAAAUAGGGUACGAAGCAUUAUCAGAUUUUAUCGAAUUAAUUUUCUAUUAUUACGAGUUAAAUACUAUUCAUUUAUCGAAACAUGUCAUGACGUCCCUUGAAUGGGCCUCCGAAGCCCAAAACAUACAUCGAGACCAAACCGGGAUUAAAUCGAAACCAUAAGAAAUUUUUCGCAAAAUCCCAAAGUUUUUUUUUUAAAACUCAAUACAACCCCUUUAUAAAUAUCUAAUCUUCCCUGCAAUUUUAAACCAAGACCAAUCCAACACAACCAAUCCAUUUCAACAUACUUUCAAAAUAGAUUUAACAUAUUCAUAAGAUAACCUCAUCACAUACCAAAACCAAAAUUUGUUAGCCAUACCAAUGGCUAACCAUUCAUUCAUUUCACAUUAACAUUUACUUUACUAGCUUAUACAUGCCAUUGAUUUCUAAAAUAAAGUUUCUUUAUAUACCGAGAUCUUGAGGUUGAUAGUGUGAUGCGUCUCCGACCAAAUCCGACCUCCGAGCUCUUAACACUACAAAACAGGGGAAAAGGAAACAGGGUAAGCACUUUGUGCUUAGUAAGCUCAUGUAAUAAGAAUUAUACUUACCUAAUAUUUUCAAUACAAUACAAUACAAUACAAUAAACAUUCAUACAUCCAUUCAAUGCAUUAUUCCCCUAACAUGCACGAACUCAACAUUCAAGUUAGUUCAGUAAUUUCCAUGUAUCAAUAAUAUAUAUAUCACGAUUGAUAAGCUCAUCAAUUCCAUGAUUUCCAUUCCCUUGUUAUUUUUCCAUAUUUAUCCCGUUGAACUACUUGGAAUUUCGAUGGAUUUUCAGGGGUACACCUAAGUGUACAAAUCUGGGUUCGUCAAUUCAUAUUCAUGUGCGCACAUUUUCAUUUCAGAGAGCACACUCCCGUGAACCUCAUCCUUACAGCGGGAUUACCAGUCCAGGCUAAAUCCCCUGUAAUAUAAACUCAUAGAAUAUUGUCGGGAUUACCAGUCCAGGCUAAAUCCCCUGCAACGACAAUUACUCUAAUGAGCUUGGAUUUGAAUUACCAGUCCAAGCUAAAUUUAGACCCUAAUUUGGAAUACCCGUCCGGGCUAAAUUCAUUUUCCACAUAUUCUUUGAGAGGGCUGUAUCAGAAUAGGAUCACCCAUCCGGGCUAGAUCCUUUUUACCGUCAAUUCCUUUUCAGAGAUCCAUCGAAUUUUCCUUUCAUUCAACCGGGAUUUAUUUUCUCUUUUCAUCAAGAAUAUCAAUACUUCUUCAAUUAUCAUACAAUAAACAUCCAAAUCAUAUUCACAUCAAGAAAAAUAUAUUUCAAGCAUUUAAGAAUAUAAUUCAAGUUACACGAACUUACCUCGAUACUUGUUCGUAAAUAAAAAUCUACUAAUUCCAAACUUUUUCUUUUCCUCGAUCUAGCUUUGUAUUUGAAUUUUCUAGAUCUAAAUAAAUAAAUUUAAUCAUUAAUCUAAUACAUUUCAUGUUCAUAUGUAACAUUCUCUAUAAUUCCAUUAUUAUUUAUAGUUCAUUCAAAGCUGUCUCAUUGAGUCAUAGUCGCUAAAUUAUUUAUAUCUUGAGCUACGGAAUUCCAAAUUAAGAUCUGCUAAUUUUUCCCAAAACUAGACUCACAUAUCUUCUUACCAUAAAAUUUUCAGAAUUUUUAGUUCAGCCAAUAAGUACAGUUUAUUCUUUAAAGUUUCCCUUGUUUCACAGUUCAACAGUUUCGCCCCCUCUUCACUAAAAAUUAAUUAUCUCAUUGUACAGAAUUUGGAUGAUGUUUCCAUUUAUUUAUUCUAAAAAUAGACUCAUUAAGGAUUCUAAGCAUAUAAAUUAUAACUCAUAAUAAUUUUUUUACAAUUUUUAAUGAUUUUCCAAAGUCAGAACAGGGGAACCCGAAUUCAUUCUGACCUUGUCUCACAAAACCUAUUAUAUCUCAUUAUUUACAAUUCCAUUGACUACACUAUUUCUUCUAUAAGAAACUAGACUCAAUAAGCUUUAAUUCUAUAUUUUUUUCAUCCUCUAAUUCAAUUUACAAAAUUUAUGGUGAUUUUUCAAAGUUAACCUACGCAGCUGUCCAAACUGUUUUAAUGCAUGAUAUUAAUUACCAUUUUCCCCUAAGCUUUCAAUAAAUGAUAAUUUCAUCCUUACUCAAUUAACCUCUCAAUUGAGCUGAUUUUUCUCAAUUAACACAUUAUUCCAUCACUUUAAAGUACUUUAUAACCUUUGGAAAUCAGAAUUUUAGCACUAGACUUUAAUUCCAAACUUUUUCACAAUUAGGUCCUACAAAUCAAUUUUUAUUGAAAUUACCUAAUAAAAUCAUCUCAUAAACAAAUUAAAGCUUUAAUUUCAUGCUAUAUCAUCAUAUAUUUCCAGCACAUAUUCAUAGCAACUUUCAAUUUAGUAAUAGGACCUAGUUGUAAAAGUCUUAGGAACAUAAAAAUUACAAGAAAAAAAGCAAGGAUUAACUCACUUGGUGAAAAAAUCAUGAAAAACCAGCUUGAAUAAACCCUUAGGACAUUUUUGGCUGAUGAGAAUGCAGAAAAAUAAAGAGAAAUCUAGAUAAUUCCACUUUAGUCCUAACUUUUAAAGUGAAUUUUUGCAAUAUUCCAAUUUUACCCUUAAUUCUCCAAUUCUCCUGAUUUUUCUCAGCUUGUGCCGCCCAAAAUAUCUUCUUUUGGGCUUAUUUCAAUUUAUGUCCCUCCUCAUUUAACAAUUGAGCUAUUUAAUCCUUCUAGUAACUUUUACACCUUUUUCAAUUUAGUCCUUUUCACUUAAUUGACUGCCCAAACAUUAAAAUUUUCUAACAAAAUUUUAAUAUCAUAUUAAUAACAUUUCAUAAAUAUUUAUAAAAAUAUUUUUGACUCAGUUUUACGAGAUUGAGGUCUCGAUACCUUAUUUUUACCCAAUUUCUUCAAUAAUUUCUUUUUCUAACUAACCACUAAAUCGGUAAAAUUUUUCUAUCGAUAUUUUCAUACGAUUUUUCUAUCAUAUCAAUAUUCAUGCAAAAAUAUUAAAAUAAAUUUCUCUUUAAAUCAGAUUUGUGGUUACGAAACCACUGUUCCGAUAACCUUGAAUUUAGGCCAUUACAACUCCGACCAGUCGUCACCGCGCCGGCCGCCGGUCACCAAUGACGGCGCCGCCGUAUUCGGUGGCUGAAAAAAGGUAAAACCUCCAACCCUAUCCUUUCGACCCUCCUAAAUCCAAAUCUGGGUUCAAAAUUCCCAAAAUAUUAACAAAAACGCCCCAAAAGCUCAAGAAACCUUUCAGUUUUCGGCCACCUAUCCUCGAAGGUGACUUCCUCAGCCGUCCACGGCGUUGAAAAACCCAAAUACAGGUUAGUUUGUUACUCCAUUUUUCCUUUUGUUUUACUUUCGUAUGUGUAAAUAUGAUAAAAAUAAAAUAACAGUAGACCAAAAAUGAAACGAAGAUUUAGAAAAUAGCAGUAGAUGUAAACCUUUCGAGAUUUUUCUAUUGAUUUUGAGUUCUCUGAGUAUUCAAUCCCUUUUUUUAUUACAUUUAUUGAUGGGGCCUUUUAUAGCCGAUUUACAUGUUUUUUUUUCUUUCGCUUCUGUUCUUGUUGCUUCUGUGUUUGUCUAUUUUCUGUCCUGUUUGCAGGUCUUGGCAAGGUCAACAGACAUUGAAGGGAUAACCCCUGCCAUUUUGGUGCAAGGCCGUAGACGCCUGUCAGGCUUUGGGCGAUGAGUGCGCUGCAGGGGCACGAAGAGGGAGUGCGGCGCACAUGGAGCACUAGGGUUUCAGUUUUCCCCUGAAAGCAGUUUGGUUGUGGGCUGAAUUGGGUUAGGUUUUUUUAUUUUGGGCCAUACCAGGCUUGGCAUGUAAUUGGGGUUUGGGUUUGUUAUUGAGUUUUGGGCCCGGGCAAAAAUGGCCUAUUACACAAAUAAUAAAAAUUAAAAUCAAAUCAUCAUAUUUAUUAUAUUAGUCUAAAAAGCAACUGAUAAUAUAAUUGCUAAUAAAAGCUAAAAGAAAAAUCAACAUUGUAUGCAAUUUUAUCUAAUUAUUCUAGUGCAUAUUUGUUGCUUUAUUCCCUCUUCAAAAUUUAACAUAUGCUCCUUAUUAUCGUCUGUUGGUUUUUGAUCAAAUUCGUCAUCACCAAAAUUUGAAUUUGUAUCAUUAAGAUUAUCAAGAUUUCCUUCUUUCAUGUACUCUUUGAAGUAUGGAUCAUCUUGAUUCUACUUAUAAUUCAAGUUAUGAAAUAUGCAAUAUGCUAGUGUCAUGGGGUUAGACCUUUCAUCUCGCAAAUUGUGUGGCCUUAGACAAUUUCUUCGCUUCAAAUGUGUCUAAGUCAGCCUAACUUUCGCAAAGUGAGAAUUCUCGCAGAAUUCCUCUCUAAGGCAUUGAAAAUAUAGUGGAAGCAAUCUCAAAGACAAAAGAAAGCUAAAAAAAAACAUAAUAGCCACAAAAAAAGUAAAAGUACACCAAGUUAAAUGUUCUCAAUUAGUAUUUACUAAUAAAAAAAUGAAAUACAAUGGAUGAUUACAAAUUAGGGGAGGCUCUCUAUUUAUAGUUGAGUUCUCCCAAAACGGAAGAUAUAGAUUGAGUUACAUCGACGGAUGAGAUCGAAGCAUAUCUACAAUUAAGAGAUAAUCCCCAAGAUUACAAAAUUAAAUCUUAUCAUAUUACAAAUCUUCUAAGAUUUAUUUCCCUAUUUACCAAGGUAACCCUAAUUUUCCAUAAGUGCUUUGUUAGGCCACCAAGGCUUUAAGUAGAUGGGUUUCGUCACUUGUUCUUCAAAUUGGACCAAUUCAAGUGGGUUAAAUGAGGCCUAUUUUAUAUGUAGACCUCAAUAGGAUGCUCUUUGUGCCUUGGUCACGAGCUUUGAACCGUGGCCUGUGACACUAGUAUGAUCCAAUCUUUUUUUUUUAAAUGUUAUAUAAAUAUGAAAAAUAUUUUUUUUAGAAUAACAAAUGUCUUCUCAACUAAAAUUUGAAGUAGUGGUGGAUCCUAGGACAAAGUUUUGGGGUCAAAAAGAUCUUAGGAGUUUAAUAAGGAUUUUUUUUAAAAAAAUUUGGGAACUAAUUAAAUUUUUUUGAGAUUGAUGAGAAUUUUCAAAAUUUUGAGGGGGUGUGAUUAAAAUUUUCUAACAAUUUCAAGAGAGAAAUGAACAAAAAAAAAAAAUUUCUUCCUUUUCUUCUAUGUUGCAUCCAUUGAAAUGAGCAAAAAGGAAUAAAUCAAUUUUGAUUUUAGGGUUCCAAAUCUUAAAUGAAAGUAAGAGUUUGAAAACACAAAAUAUUAAUUUCCUUACUACAGGUUGAAAUUACGUGGAAUUAUUAUAAUUAGGUACCAAAAUGAAAAAGAAACCAUACCAAUAUUUCGUUAACAAAUUAAUAAAGAGUGGUUAAAAGAUAACCAAAUGAUAAUAUUAAUGAUGAAAGUGAAAGUUUUUUCGUAGUUCGAUGAUCAAAAUAAGAAAUGCUAAUAAUUAAGUUUGGAAGUAAUAAUAUUUAUAUGAUAAUAAUAAAUUUCAAAAGAAAAUUAUUUUUAAAAAAAUUGUAAUUAUAACAAUUUAAAUAUAUAUAAAAAAAGCAUCCAACAAAUAUAUCGAAAUAUUGCAAUAAAAGGAUGAAGAAAUCAUAAUAUAACCAUACAUGAAUUAGAAAUCAUUUUAUUUCAAAUAUAAAUGAAAUUUGAUAAUGAAAUAAAUUAAAUUAAACAAAUUAUAAAGUAAGAUAUGAAUAUAUAUAUAUAUAAGUUGUGAAAAAUUUUAAAAUAAAAUAAAAAAUUGUUCUAGAAAUCAUUGACUCUCACGUUCCACCCUCUUUUAUUUAUUAAUUAAUUAUAUUUUUUACUCUUCCACGGUCCUUUAUUUUUUGAAAGGAAAUCUCAUUUGGCUUGACACAAAAGUCAUACAUAAUAUUUGUUGUAUAUAGACUUAUUUCAAAUGUUUGAAUUUUCCAAAAACACACACACACAAAGUCGAUGUGGAAUUAAAAUUUUGGUGCCAAGGUCCACUACAUUUUCCACAACCACUAUAAUUAGACUAGAAUUAUCUCUCCGCGUACACUUGGGUUUAAAAUUUUUAAUUAAAAUUUAUUAUAAUCUUAACAUAGAAAUUAAAUUUGUGAUUAUUUUUAUAAUAGAAUAUAAAGUCUUAAAUUAUAAUGACAACAUAGUUGAGAAAAAUAUUUUAAUUUUAAAAAUGUAUAAAAACUGUUAAUUUUUUUAUUUAUUUUGGGACUAUUUGACAAAAAAACGUAAAUUUAAGGGCUAAAAAAGGUAAAAUAAAUAAAAAUAUAUGGAGACCUAAAAUGAUUUUUUUUAAAAAUAAAACUUUCAUAUUGUUAGUUUAAUGACUAAUGUUAUAAUUUAACCUUUAUUUUUGAAAGGGAAUCUCACUUAAAACGAUCCCACCACUUAGACUACAGUGGCGAAACUAGGACUGGUAAGGGCCCCUUAAAAUGAAAAUUUUUUCAUAUAGUCCCUUUAAAAUUUUUAAAAUUUUAAAUUAGUAAAGGUAAAAUUGUACUUUGGUCUCAUUUAAAAAUAUAAAAAUUUGAUUAAUAAACCUUUAUAUUAAUAUGUACAAAUAAUUUAUAAAUUAAAAAAUUAUCUUUUUAAAUAUAUAAAGUAAAUUUAUAAAUUAAAAAAUUUAUAAAAGAUGGAAUUACUUAAUAUAUUUAAUUUUCCUUUAAAUGAAACAAAUUAUUUGUUGACUUAUUACAUUUAUUCCGUAUGAUUUAAUUUUAAAUUUUAUUUUUUAAUCUUCACAGAAUUAUUAGAUACUUUAAGCAACUUAGAGAAGCUUGACACGAAUCGUAAUGAGGUGAAGGAAUUUGUGCCCAUAAAGAAUAAAAAUAUAUGCAUCAACUAAAUAAUAUAAAUUAUUUAAAAAUAAAACACUUUUCAUUAUUUGAUAGAUUCAUUGAUUACCAAAUAUACGAUAUUUCAAAAAAAAAACAAUUAAAGAAAUCCAGCACUUGAAAGUGCUGAUAGAGCAAUAAUUUGAAGCAGUUAAGAAACUUGUAGGAAGGGUAUAGAAAGAAGGUUGGAGGCUUGACGCCAAAAGUCACCAUAGUGGUCUGCUUAGAUCGUUUGGGGCGACUGAAUUUUCCACAUUGAAAACGAAGCCACUAUUGCUACGAAGACCCUUGAAUUUUCCACAAAGAAUUUAUCCCAUAAAUAGAAUUUAUCAUUACAUUAUAUCAAAUUAUGAAUAAUUCAGAGAUUUGCACAUGUACCUUUUUAUUUUAUUUUAUUUUUUCUUUUUUAUUAUUAAAUUCUUUUGAAGCAAAUAAAGAUAAAUUUAUUAUUUUAAAAUUAAUUAAUUAAAAUACUCAUAUUUUUAAAAUGUUAUCAUGGAAGGAGACUCUUUCAUUGUCAAAAUCCAAACAAAAGGAGGAAGAUUUCAUAGAUGGACAACUAGAACUAAACCUGUUUAAUUAUAAGUCGGAUCAGGCCUGCUCAAAAAGUGAGAGGGUUUGAGUAAAAUUAUAACCUUAAAAAAUGGGUUUAGACAAAAAAAUAAUGUCUGUUUAAAAACGGAUCAGACUUCAGGUAAGGCAUUUUUCACCCGAGUCCAAUCCGAAUUCACAAAAUGACAAAAAAAUCUACUAUUUUUUGUUAUUUUAAUUCUAUUUUCUUGUUAUUUUCUUCUUAUUUUGUUACCAUUUCACUAUUAUGUUAUUACUAUUUUGUUGUUAUUGUUUGGAUAUUAUAUAACACUUGUUUUAUUGUUAAUUUUGUUAUUCUUUUAGAGGCAUUUGUUUGUUAAGUUGCAUCUAUCUUAGUGUUAUUUAAGUAUACGUAUUUUUUAAAAUUUAUUUUUACUUUGUUGGAAAAUAUUUAAUUUAAUGUUUUUAGUAUUUUUGAUGUAUUAUAUAUAUUUAAAAAUUAUAUAAAAAUAAUAUAAAAAAUUAAUAUGGGCAGGUUGGGCCCGGGCCUAAAUUUUUGUUUGGGCCCAGUCGAACCCAACCCAUGAGCAUCUCUAUGGAGAAGCAAGAAAUGAAACUUUAUUGAUAAGUGUCAAAAGUAACAUAUUUUAGUCUCAUCCUUAAUAUUUUUUUUAGGUGAUUAUGUGACAUUAAUUGUGAAAUAUAUAUUUCUAAUCUUUUAUAUUCAUGUUUUGAUACUUAAUAAGGCGCUUGAAAAUAAUAUGAGUGAUAAAUAGUGGAAAUUAGAACUUUGAAGUAUUCCAGACGCUACGCACAUGCAUCAAAUUUUCACACAAACAAUUUAUGAUUUUUAAGUUUUUUUAGCAUUCUAACAACAUAUAAAUAAGGAAAUAAGAAGGGAGGAAGACAACCACGAAAUUACCUUCAGAACAUUAUUAAAGCCUAUUAAAUUAAAUUUUCUAACUCCUUUUGAAUUUGUAUUAGCAAAUUCAAAUAUAUUUACUCCAAAAUUAAAUUCGUCGUUUUUCUCUUCUAUUUUAUUUUAAUUUCUAACAUCUUAUUAAGUCUUUACAAUCUUGUUAUUAUUUUUCAAUCCAUAAUUUGUUAUUGAUGGGUGUCGAUUCCACCAAUAUAAACCUACGCCUAAUUUGCAAAUUUAAGCAGUAUAGGAAGUAGAGUUGAUCCCUUAGAGACUGGGUUUACUGCAAAUUAUUGCUCUCUUGACCAGAUUUAUAUCGGGGCAGUUGUCGUGCUCAAGAAGUUCGGGGGGAUAAAAUUUGAAACCUGAAAUAAAUAAAUAAAAUGCGUAAAAAGUAAAAGUUGAAAAUAAAAUAAUAAAAAGCAGUUAAAUAAAUCUGAAGAAAAAUGAAUUAAACUAAGCUCAGCUUUAGGCACGGGUUUUUCUCGUCUUUGAACUGAUCCUCGAAAUUAGAUGAACUCCUCUUUUCCAAUAAACUAGUUAUAGCUACCAAGGACGCCUCGGACACCAACUCUUCCUUGUGUAAAUUAGUUAAGAAACGUCCAAUAACUAACCCUUACCGAUCGAACAACCAACGAAAUGUUCAUGAUUUAGAACUCCGGCAGCUUUGCGUUCUAGAAGAUUCUAGCUCGAACCAAUGCCCUCAACCGCGUGGGACAUUUAAAUCUGGUUACUACUUCCCUUAACGGAACCAAACAGCAAUCCCCACUUGGCACGCCAAUGUGUUCACAGAAAACCGAUUAGACAAUCGAUCCUUUCGAAAUUCCAACUGUACGUCUAACCACACUAACUCAAACGACGUCUUUUUUGACUUAGUGUUGAUUUGACUUUGUGAGUUGACGAAGUCAUACUCUUAAUCCGGAGAAAUAAUAAGUACUGGAAUUUAGGAGUCAAAUUGCUCGGGUUCGUAACUCACGGAUCUUAACGAAGUUAACACCGGCCUAAAGCUGAAAUGGAUACUUAAUAAAAAAAUUGGUAAUUAAAAACUUGAUUAAUGACUUGAUUCAAGACUUGAUUCCUAAAUGAACAAUGUAGCCCCCUAUUUAUACUAGUGGCUUUGCUAAAUUAAGAGCCACUAGCCAUAGAGAAUCAAGGAAAUAAAAUAUUCCAUCAUAUAAAAAUCCCUACAUAAUCUCCCACUAAUUAAGUCAACAAAAAUUUCAGCUAAUUAUAUCUUGGAAAAUUUUUGCUUUGGCCCGCCUUCUUUGCUCUUUUCUUCAAUCUAGCCCAAUUGCUUCUCCUUUUUCUCUUUUGACCCCAAAUUGUACACCUGUGUAAAAUUUAAGUUAAACAUGGAAAAAUUAGUGGUGCACUCUCGUAAAUUAACCAAUUUAAUUACAUAAAAUAUGUAAUUUUAGCAUUUAAUCAAAUCCCUCUACUUAUUUAAUGCUAGUCCUCGAGCAUUAUGCAUGUAUCUACAAAAGGAAAAAUUUCUUCUAAAAUAGGACUUGACUCCCAUGGUUUGCACAAUUCAACAAUUUAAUCCUAGCACAUUAACAUCUCAAAUAACCUAGCCUAAGAAGGAAGUAAAUAUAUUUCAGAAUUUAUUAGAGCUUGAUAGACUUACCUUUCAUUUUAUUAUUUUUGUACUUGGGACAUUUUCGAAUUUUUUGACGCGAGACAUGAUGACAACCCAAGCACCAUGUUCCGGUUACUUGAUUCGGAUGUCUCUAAGCGGGAUAUUUCACCCUACUCGUGAUAGCUUGUUAGCGGAGUGAGUGCAAAGAAAUUGGACAGCCACAUGAACCUUUUUACGUGAGAUGUGAUGACAACCCAAGCACCACGUUCCGGUUACUUAGCCCGAUGUACAACCCCAAUUUUUCACUCUUAACAUUCGUAUCAGAGGAGUAUUAUUAUUCAUUUUUUCUUUUUUUUUUCCUUUUUUUUAAGACAAGAAGACAGAAAAUUGACAUGUGAUAUAAGGUAGGCAGUCAAGCAAACUCAUAAUUCGUAAAAAUUUCUUACCCACUAAGUCUAGGUUAUUGAAAAGUUUAUGUGUAAAGAACUAAAUGGCUAAAUAGGUCAAACCAUAAGUGUUCCAUCCCAAUUUAUCAAAAGAAAAAAUUUUACCUUUCACGGAAAACAUGCAAAAACAGCGACAAUGGAUAAGCAAAAUAGAACCAAUAUAUGUUCCUUUCCCCCUACUUGUUUUACAUUGUCCCUAAUGUAAUUUGAAUUGAAUUAAAUGAUAAAAAGUAAAGGUAAGUAGGGAAAGGAAAAAGAAACUCCCCAUGUAUUUCAACGUCAUGGAGGGUUGCCUCGUAGGUGUGUCCACGGUGUUAAAUAGUGGGUAGGUGGAUUGGGCCUUGGCUGAAAUUAAAAGAAUUUUAUGGGCUGACAUGGGAGAUUUAAUUUUGUCUUGGAAUGUCUCCCAAGUCUUCCCUUAGACAGAACUGAUCCUCGACAUGCAUUUUCAUUUUCCGUUUACCAAAAAUUUUAUUUGCAUAAAGGGAAAAAUUUGGGUUGCCUCCCAACAGCGCUUUGUUUAACGUCGUUAGCUCGCCGAUCUGUUAUUCAAAUUCUGGGCUCCCCAAGAACAAUUGUAAGUGUUGCCAGUCCCCAGCAACAGCGCCAAAACUGAUGGGUGUCGAUUCCACCAAUAUAAUCCUACGCGUAAUUUGCAAAUUUAAGCAGUAUAGGGACUAGGGUCGAUCCCUCAGAGACUGAGUUUACUGCAAAUUGUUGCUCUCUUGACCAGAUUUAUGUCAGGGCAGUUGUCGUGCCCAAGAAGUUCGGGGGGAUAAAAUUUGAAACCUGAAAUAAAUAAAUAAAAUGCGUAAAAAGUAAAAGCUGAAAAUAAAAUAAUAAAAAGCUGUAACACCCCUUACCCGAGACUGUUGCUGGAGUCGAGCACGAGGCAUUACCUGACUUACUUACUAAUUCGGAGCAUAAAAUUUGCUUUUAAAAUUAAUUCAUUCACAAUCAAUCCAUAUGUCCCUAAAAGAACUCUCGAGACCCCAAAAUCAUGUAAUAAAAAUGGUUCGGGUCCAAACCGGGAACAUUUAUAAUUUUCCGAAUACUUAAUCAAAUUAAAACAAUUUAUUUCACUAUUCACAAUAAAACUGUCCACCUGCGCAGCAGUCACUUAUUUAAUUAUAACUCGAGUUACGAAACUCAAAAUUUAGAUUCGUAAAUUUUCCCUGAAACUAGAAUCAUAUAUCUUUUUCACUGUCCAGCCAAUUAGUACAGUUUAUUCUUUAAAUUCUCCCCUGUUUCACUGCUCGACAGCUCUGACCCCUCUUCACUAAAAAUUAAUUAUCUUAUUGUACAGAAUUCAGAUAAUAUUAUCGUUUGUUUCUAUUGAAAAUAAAAUCACUAAGGAAUCUAGGCAUAUAAAUUAUAACUCAUAAUUCCUUCUAUACAAUUUUUAAUGAAUUUUUAAAGUCAGAACAGGGGACUUCAGAAACCAUUCUGACCCUGUCUCACUAAAAUUCAAAUAUCUCAUAAUAUAUAACACUUUUUCUACUCUAUUUCUUUCAUGUGAAAAUAGACUCAUUCAGAUUUAAUUUCCUAUCUCACUCAGGUUCUAAUUCAAUUUAUUCUAUUUUUGGUGAUUUUUCAAAAUCACGUCACUGCUGCUGUCUAAAAACUGUUUCAUUGCAAAUUUUUACUCUCUUUUUUGGUGAUUUUUCAAAAUCUGAAGAAAAAUGAAUUAAACUAAGCUCAGCUUUAGGCACGGGUUUUUCUCGUCUUUGAACCGAUCCUCGAAAUUAGAUGAACUCCUCUUUUCCAAUAAGCUAGUUAUAGCUACCAAGGACUCCUCGGACACCAACUCUUCCUUGUGUAAAUUAGUUAUGGAACGUCCAAUAACUAACACUUACCGGUCGAACAACCAACGAAACGUUCGUGAUUUAGAACUCCGGCAGCUUUGCAUUCUAGAAGAGUCUAGCUCGAACCAAUGCCCUCAACCGCGUGGGACAUUUAAAUCCGGUUACUACUUCCCUUGACGGAACCAAACAGCAAUCCCCACUUGGCACACCAAUGUGUUCACAGAAAACCGAUUAGACAAUCGAUCCUUUCAAAAUUCCAACUAUACGUGUAACCACACUAACUCAAACGACGUUUUUUUUUACUUAGUGUUGAUUUGACUUUGUGAGUUGACGAAGUCAUACUCUUAAUCUGGAGAAAUAAUAAGUACUGGAAUUUAGGAGUCAAAUUGCUCGGGUUCGUAACUCACGGAUCUUGACGAAGUUAACACCGGCCUAAAGCUGAAAUGGAUACUUAAUAAAAAAGAUUGGUAAUUAAAAACUUGAUUAAUGACUUGAUUCAAGACUUGAUUCCUAAAUGAACAAUGUAGCCCCCUAUUUAUACUAGUGGCUUUGCUAAAUUAAGAGCCACUAGCCAUAGAGAAUCAAGGAAAUAAAAUAUCCGAUCAUAUAAAAAUCCCUACAUAAUCUCCCACUAAUUAAGUCAACAAAAAUUUUAGCUAAUUAUAUCUUGGAAAAUUCUGCUUUGGCCUGCCUUCUUUGCUCCUUUCUUUCUUCAAUCUAACCCAAUUGCUUCUCCUUUUUCUCUUUUGACCCCAAAUUGUACACCUGUGUAAAAUUUAAGUUAAACAUGGAAAAAUCAGUGGUGCACUCUCGUAAAUUAACCAAUUUAAUUACAUAAAAUAUGUAAUUUUAGCAUUUAAUUAGUUAUUUAUUAGUUUAGAUUUUUUUCUAUGUUGAAUAUAUUUUAGUAAAUAAUAUUUCAUAUUUAACUCUAAAUUUGUUUUUUUAAUAAUAUACACUAGUUAUUCAAUAUAAAUUAAUGUAUCUAAUAAAAUAUAUUUUAAAAUCUAUAUUUUAAAUAUUUUAAGAUUAGAAACCUAAUUUAAAUUUAUUCAAAAGGACAUUUUAAUUAUUAAGUAAUUUAAUUUUAUAAAUAAUUAUAUAUAUCUAUUUGAACAACAAAUACAUAGUAUAUUUAAAAUAUAAUUAAUUAAUUAAAAAUAUUAUUUUCUAUCAUUGUUUUUAUGUAUCUACUUAAAUUUAAAACUAAAAGGAUGUAUGAUAAUGAAUAAGAAAAAUAAUCAAUUAUUUUAUUGAAAAUAAUUCAACUCUAAUUUAAGAUUAAAUAAAGACAGAUGAAGGCUAUUAUAUUAGAAUUAACUUUUUUUUAGUUUUUAUAUAAUUGGAAUUUACUAAUAUGAAGUAAAAAAAAUGCAUUUUAAUAUUGUAACAUUCAUUUACUUUAUAUCAACAAAAUGUUCAACCUUGAAAACAUUAGUUAUGAUUUUUUUUUUGAUAUAUUUACUCAAAUGAUAAAAAUAUUAAUUGAUGUAAAUAAAUAAAAAAUGAUGCAUUUGCAUUUGGUAAGAUUUAAUUAAACAAUAAAAUGUUUUUUUUAUUCUCAUUGAAUAAUUUACUUAUAAAAAUAAUUGUUUCAAAACAUGAAUAUCAGAUCAUAUCUAAUUACCUACAAUAUGAAAUGAGAAAAUUCAUAAAUUUAUUUACUUCAAUUGAAUAAAUUCAAAAAAAAAAUAAACUAAAUAUUCUUAUAUAAAACAUUUACUUUAUAAUUUUUUAAUAAAUUUCAUAUAAUUAUUUGUAAUUAAAUCUAAUAUAAAUAAAAAGACAAACCCGCAGAGCGGGGUUAUAUCCCUAGUAUAGUAAUAAAAUCAAUGCAAUGGGACCCAACUUUUGGAAGAAGAGAGGAUUUCAAGUUGUCUAUAUAGGCUUUGGUUGAUUGAAAUGCAGGAAGGUAUCAAGUGAGUGGUUUGUUGAUUUAGAGAAGAUGGAGGCUAAAUCGUUGUGGGUACUACUCGCUACACUUGUGUUUAUCAUACAAGGGUGGCCACAGACUGAGGGGUGCUUGGAGCUGGAGAGAAUUGCUCUCUUCCAACUCAAAUCUAAUUUCUUCAAUCACCCUUCAUAUUUGAAGGACUGGGUAGAUGUGAAGGGUUCGAAUUGUUGUCAGUGGGAAAGAAUUGAGUGCAACAUCACCAGUAACCGAGUAAUUGGUCUCUAUCUUUAUUCUGUACGUCAAAGUGAUACAUAUGGGUAUCUCAAUAUCUCUUUAUUUCUUCCAUUUGAAGAAUUAAAGAAUCUUUAUUUGAGUGACAAUAAAAUUACAGGUCUUGUGAAUAACCAAGGUUUAUUGCUUUUCUUCUCUCCAAUGACUGAUUCAUCUUUAAAAUUUGAUUUAAUGUUUUCUAAUUAAUUCGUUUAUUUUACAGAUGAGAAAGUGCAAUCGAUGAUGAAUCUGGAAGUGCUUGAUUUGUCUCGUAAUCUCUUGAAGAACAAUGAUGUGGCAUUUCUUAAGGGGUUAGCUAGUUUAAAGUCCUUGAAUAUGGGAGGAAACCAAUUGGAAGGGUCAAUAGGUAUUACAGGUAUGUAAAAUUUCGUAAAAUAAAAAUAACAAGCUAUACGUAAAUUACAAUUUCAUGAAUCUUUUUAACUAUUAAAAAAUUAUAUCCAAAUAUAUUUCCUUCAUAUAGGUAGUAAAAUAAAGGCAUAAUGAUUUUUUUGACCUUCCAACUUUAUAAAAAAAAAUCAUUUUUAGUCCUUAAUUAAAUUUUUUGUCUAUUUUAGUCUUUACACAUGUUUUUUUUUUCAAAUCACGCCAAAAUAGAUGGUUGGUAAUGUGGCAAACAUGUGGAUUUCCAUGUAACUGACAGAUCAUUUAAUUAAAUUUUUUUAAAAUUUAAGUUUUUUUAAAUUUCUAUUUUUUAAUAGUUUUAAUGAUGUUUAAUUUUUAAAAAUACUUUUUAUAUUUUUUUGAAUUUUUCAGUUUAAAAAAAAAUUAAAUGCUGACGUGUUAUCCACAUGACAAUCCAUGUGUAUGUAAUGUCAACAAAGUUUUAAAAUGUUAAUUUUUUUAUUCACUUUAAGAUAAUUUGACAAAAAAAUACAAGUUUAAGGAUUAAAAACAUGAAAAAUUAAAUGGAAGCAUAAAAUAAUUUUUUUUUAUAAAGUUGAAAGGUUAAAUAAGUUAUUAUGCUUAAAAUAGAAUGUAUUUGAUGACUUUUUUUUAUCAAGGAAAGUAGUUGGAUUUCAUGAACCAAAAUUACUUAAUCUUUGUCAUAUGACUUUGUUUGAGUGACAAAAAAGAUAUUUGAUUGAUUUGAAUAGUAUUGAAUAACUUGACAAAGCUAAAGGAGUUGGAUUUGAGUGGCAAUAAAAUUGAGAGCCUGAAAUCUCCUCACGGUAUGUGUUGAUUUACUUUACUUUCUCAUAUUCUCGCAUAUACAUUCCAAUAUCUCAUUUAAAAUUCUAUUAGUAAUAAAUUUGCUUAUCUAAAUGCUUUGUAGAGGGGCUAGUUAAUUUGACUAAUUUAGAAGAACUUAAUAUGGAUUACAACUACUUCAAAAACAACUCAUUGGCAUAGCUUAGUGGGUUUUCCAAUCUAAAGUUAUUGAGUAUAAGCGAAAACCAGCUUAAAGGAUCAAUAAAUAUUAAAUGUGGAAUUACUUAAUAUAUUUAAUCUUCCUUUAAACAAAGCAAACUAUUUGUUGAAUUAUUGUCUUUAUUAUGUGUGAUUUAAUUUUAAAUUUAAUUUGUCUAUUUUUAUAGAAUUAUUAGAUGCUCUGAGCAAUUUAGAGUCACUGAGAAAAAUAUUUUAAUUUUAAAAAAUGUAUAAAAUUUAUAUAUUAUCUCUUGAAUAAUUUAAAUUAUAAUGAUAUUUUUAAUAUAUUAAAAUUAAUAUAUUAUCACUUUUACUAUUAUAUAAAAAAUUAUAUUAACAUAUAAAAAUCAUUUAUAAAUUAAAAAUUUAUCUCUCUAAUAUAUUAAGUAAUUUAUAAAUUAAAAAAUUUAUAAAAAUUUUGAUGUUGAGAGACUUGGUAAGUGUCCAUAUAUUUUACUUUAUCAAAUUGCUACAUUUAUUAUACUAAUAUCUAAAUGCUUUGUAGAUACAAUUUAAAUCUCAUUAAUUAAUUUUUUAUUAAUAUAUUAUAGUUUUUUAAUUUAAAAAUUCAAUCUAAAUAUUAAAUGUUGUUAUAAGUGUAUAACAAUCACUUAUCUAUAACAUCCAAUAGUGGUUAUACAAAAGUUGACUAUAAGUGAAUUUUUGUGACUAACAAAAAAUGUAUUGAAUUUAUUUGGAUAGUAUUGAAUAAUCUGACAAAGCUAAAGCAGUUGGAUUUGAGUGACAAUAAAAUUUGAGAGCCUCCAAUCAUCUCAUGGUAUGUGUUGAUAUAUUUUACUUUAUCAUAUUCUUACAUAUACAUACCAAUAUCUUAUUUAAUAUUCCAUUAGUAAUAAAUUUGUUUAUCUCAAUGCUUUGUAGAUGGUGAGAGGCCACUUAAUGUAACCAAUUUAGAAGAGCUUAAUUUGGAUUCCAACUCCUUCACAAACAGCUUAUUGGCACAGCUUAGUGGGUUUUCCAAUUUAAAGUCACUAGAUAUAGGGUAUAACCAGCUUAAAGGAUCAAUAAAUAUUAAAGGUGGAAUUACUUAAUAUAUUUAAUCUUCCUUUAAAUGAAAUAAACUACUUGUUGAGUUAUUGCAUUUAUUCUAUGUGAUUUAAUUUUAAAUUUUGUUUGUCAAUUUUUACAGAAUUAUUAGAUGCUUUAGGAAACUUAGAGGAGUUAGACAUGAGCGGGAAUGAGGUGAAGGAAAUUGUGCCCAUAAAGAAUAAAGGUAUAUGUAUCAACUAAAGGAAAUCUUACUAAUUGUUUUCCAUUAGAUAUCAAGUGAACUGAUUCCAACCACUAAUUUGACUCUUAGACAAUGGAAGUUUGGGAAAGCUAAAGGUUGCUACAUUAAACCGUGUGUUCACCGAUGGAACUGCUUCUCUAAUACAACUUCUAGAGACAUUCUCAUCUGUUAAUACAUUAUAUUUGAGUGACAAUUACUUCAACGACACCUUUUCUACUCAAGGUAUAAUAUAUAUGUAUGUGAAUAUAUAGUUUUAUAGUUUGGUUCCAUUUAAAAAUAUUAUUUACUUAACGUCAAUCAUCUAAAUAACUCUUAUAAAUUUGUAAAGAUAAAUUGCAUGUGUCGAGCAAAAUUGAGGAAUUAGUACUAGAUCAAUCAUCUCUCAACAACAACAUUCUUCAAAGUAUUGGUGCAUUGGCUUCUCUUAAAAUUGUCUUUGAGUGGUUGUGGGCUGUCUGGGACAUUACCUACCCAAGGUAAAUUAAUAAUUAUGACAUAAUUAUUUAGACAAGCUCUUGAUUAAUUAUUUUUUAUCCUCCUAGAAUAUUUAAAUAAUUUGUACAAAUUUAUUUUACAGGAUGGUGUGAUUUACGGAAAUUUGAGGUGUUGGAUCUUAGUGAAAAUGCUCUUAAAGGAACCCUCCCUUCAUGUUUGGCUAACUUGUCAUCACUUCAUUAUUUGGAUAUUUCCGGUAAUCAAUUCGUCGGGAAAGGUGCCUCCACUGCCUUAGCCAAUCUCAAUUUGCUUAAAUUCAUUUCUCUUUCACGAAACCUUUUCGAAGUUCCUUCCAUUUUCAUAUCUUUUGCCAACCAUUCACACCUCAAAGUACUCUCCAGCAAUCAAAACAAGUUAGUCGAAGAGCCUACCAUUCCAACAUGGGUCCCAAAGUUCCAACUAAAAGCCUUCCGUUUGUCAAAUUGCACAACAAAGGAACUCCACAUUGAACUUUCGAAAUUCCUCUAUUACCAAAAUAACCUGAGUAUUAUUGAUCUUUCAUAUAAUAAUUUUGAAGGAAAGGUUCCUUUUUGGUUGUUAGAGAACAAUACAAGAAUGGAAGCAUUUUUAAUGACGGGUAACUCUUUUAUGAGUCAUCUCAAUCUUCCAUCUCAUCCGAAUCCAAACAUAUCCUUUGUUGAUAUAUCUGACAACAAAAUACAAGGUCCAAUUCCAACAAACAUUUGUUCAAUCUUUCCACAACUAAAUGGGUUAAACCUAUCAGGCAAUUCCCUUCAAGGUAAUAUUCCUCCUUGUCUGGGUAGUUUGACCACUUGGAAUUUAUUAUUAGAUCUGUCACAUAAUCAGCUAUCUGGAGGAAUACCAGAAAUGUUAGCUCAAAGUGACUCGUUGAGGUUUCUUAGGCUAUCAAAUAAUCAUCUAAGUGGAAAGAUAACCCCAACGAUCUUUUGCUCAACUUCAUUACGAUUGCUAUAUUUAGAUGGCAAUAACUUUGAUGGAAAUAUACCUAGCAUUGUUAUCUCAACUUUCCUUUCAUAUUCCCUUGUUGAUAUGGAUUUAAGUAACCACAAUUUGUCCGGAGAGCUCCCAAGAUGGAUAUGGAAAGUGUCAAAUUUAAAUGCAUUGUCAGUAUCCAACAAUCAGCUCAAGGGUCUCAUUCCGAUGGAAUUGUGCUAUUUGGAUUCCCUUAAAAUUUUAGACCUUUCAGAAAAUAAAUUUUCUGGCCUAAUACCAUCUUGCUUCGAUGCACAAUCUAUCAUGCAUCUCCAUUUGAGCAAAAAUAGAUUAAGUGGCACCUUGACAAAUGCAUUCUUUAAUAGCUCUUCCUUGGUGACUUUAGAUCUUAGUGAAAAUCAGCUGAGUGGAGAAAUUCCAUACCAGAUUGGAACUCUUUCUGCUUUGAGUGUUCUACUUCUAAAAGCCAAUUAUUUUAUUGGAGAAAUUCCCAUUGAGAUAUGUAAAUUGUAUUCUUUAAGUAUCAUUGAUCUUUCUCAAAACAAGCUUUUUGGUCUGAUACCUUCUUGUUUGAGUCGUUUAACUCUUGAUCCAAAUGAUGAAAAAUCUUCAACAAAGACCUAUGUGGAGGGCUCUGGAGGAAUCUUUGAGCCGGGUAAUUACUUUGGAGUGACUGAAUUUGAAUUUUUCACUUUAAGAGGAUACUGAUGAAGUUGGUUCAGCAUGCAGCAAACUCAACAGCAUGCAGGCCAUGAAGACCAAGUCGUGCAGGAGCUGCUGGAACGAGCUGAACUAUUCCUAUUUUGUUCAUCUAGUAAUCUUAAGUUAAUGUAUUGUACUUUAGUUCAUUUAGAACUAUGUUAGGUUUAUGAUUGAUGUAAUUUUGAUGACAAUUGAGCUGUUAAGUCAGCUUUGUUUAAGUGUGUAAGCUUAGUUUUUCAAGUUUCAAUGUAUUAGUGGUAGUAUGUGAUGAUUAGGUAUCAUUAUGCAGAUUUUGACAAGCAAAUUGCUUGGUUUAUGUAUUGGCAUUAUGCCAUUGUUCAAUAUAUGGAUGAAAUCAGCUUUGUUCAUCAAUAUUCUCUCAAAUUUCCUCAGCUUAUUUUCUUCUUUCUUCAACUCGAAAUUGUUUGUUUGCUCAGCAAGAUUCGAGGCUUGCUCGACAAGAUACUUGCUGAGUCUGUUUGAUUCUGCUGUUGCACCAACAAUUGGUAUCUAGAGCUUAUUUCUUAAGGGACCUGUUAUACAAAUCCAUGGCUUCAUCAAGCUUUUCACCAGCUGCACCUCAAGUCUUCAAUGGGGAAGGCUAUCACAUAUGGGUGGUCAAAAUGAAGACCUACCUGCAGGCUUUCGAUCUGUGGGAGGUGGUCAACUCUGAUGUUGAACCAGAGCCACUUAGAGCUAAUCCAACGGUGGCUCAGAUCAGGCAGCAUGCUGAUGAAAGGACCAAGAGGCACAAGGCUAUGUCUUGCAUCCAAAACUCAGUGUCUGAUGUGAUUUUCACAAGGAUUAUGGCCUGUGAAUCACCAAAACAGGCCUGGGACAAGUUGCAGGAAGAGUUUCAAGGGACUGAGAGGACAAGGCAACAACAGUUGUUAAACUUGAGGAGAGAUUUCGAGAAUUUGAAGAUGAAGGAAGAAGAAACUGUCAAGCAAUAUUCUGACAGGAUUAUGGCUGUGGUUAACAGCAUCAGGCUCCUUGGAGAGCAGUUCAAUGAAGCUAGGAUAGUGGAGAAGGUUAUAGCAACUCUGCCUGAGAGGUAUGAGGCAAAAAUCUCAUCUCUCGAGGACUCAAGGGACCUGUCCACCAUCUCCCUGACAGAGUUGAUCAAUGCUCUAUAUGCUCAAGAGCAGAGGAGAGCAAGCAGACUGGAGGAGCACCAAGAAGGUGCCUUUCAGGCAAGAACAAAUACUACCUACAAAGGCAAGAAGGCCUGGAGAGACAAGCCAAAGGAUAAUGCUGCAAGAAGAGAAGGUCAGACUUGCAAGCACUGCAGAAAGGCUAGUCAUUCAGAAGAAAAAUGCUGGUUUAAUCCAGAUGCUGUGUGUCAGCAUUGUAAGAAAAAGGGUCAUGUUGAGAGAGUCUGUAAGAGCAAGGCCAAAUCAAGGCGCAAUCAGUCUCAACAGAUGAAAGCUGAGGCUCGAGUAGCUAAAGAGGACAGUGACCAAGAGGAGCAAGUCUUUACUGUGUCAUGCUCAGCUGCUCAGGAAAGGUCCUCAUCUGGUUGGCUCCUAGACAGUGGAUGCACCAACCACAUGACACCUGAUGCUGCAAUCUUUAAGUCUUUAGACAGAAGCUGCAGAACUAAAGUCAAGAUAGGAAAUGGUCAUUUUAUUCAAGCUGAAGGCAAGGGUGAUGUUCUGAUAUGCACCCUUACAGGUACCAAAGUGAUUUCAAAUAUGCUGUUGGUGCCUGAAAUUGACAGAAACCUGCUCAGCAUAGCUCAGUUGCUGGAAAAAGGUUACUCAGUUGUGUUUAAAGACCACCAAUGCCAAAUCAGUGAUCCAAGUGGAUCCAAACUGAUGGCAGUCCCUAUGGCUGAUAAGAGCUUUGUGGUUGACUGGACAAAAAAGUCAGACAUUGCCUACACAGCCACUUCAGAUGAAUCCAAGCUGUGGCAUCAAAGACUGGGACAUGCCAACUUCAGAUCGAUGGCCCGAAUGAUCAGAGAAGACCUGGCUGAAAACUUCAUCAACUCAGUAGACCAUGAUGAUGUAUGUGAAGUAUGUCAGCUAGGAAAGCAGGCCAGACUCCCAUUUCCCUCGAAUCAAGCCUGAAGAGCCUCUGAAAAACUCCAACUGGUGCAUACUGAUGUGUGUGGACCUAUGAAGACUGAGUCAUUGAGUGGAAACAGGUAUUUCAUACUGUUCAUUGAUGAUUUCUCGAGAUAUUGCUGGAUUUACUUCUUAAAACAGAAAUCAGAGGUGGCCACUGUGUUUUGGAAGUUCAAAACUGCUGCUGAGACUAAAACAGGCUGCAGGGUGAAGACCAUAAGGUCUGAUAAUGGGACUGAGUACACCUCAGCUCAGUUCCAAGCCUUCUGUGAUAAGGCAGGCAUCAAACAUCAACUUACCAACACAUAUACACCUCAGCAGAAUGGGGUAAGUGAAAGGAAGAAUAGGAGUUUGAUGGAUAUGGCCAGGUGCUUGAUGAUUCAGAAGAAUCUGCCUAAAGCACUAUGGGCAGAAGCAGUUAACACUGCAACAUACAUUCAAAAUAGACUUCCAACCAGGGCUUUGGAUCAAAAGACCCCAUUCGAGGCCUGGUUUAGCUUCAAGCCAUCACUGGCUCAUCUGAAGGUCUUUGGAUGCAUCUGUUAUGCACAUGUACCUGCUGUUAAAAGGGACAAAUUGUCUGAAAGGGCUCGACCUGGUGUUUUGGUGGGCUAUAGCACUGUUAAGAAGGGCUAUAGGAUUUUAGAUCCUUCAACAAACAAAGUGUCAGUAAGCAGGGAUGUGGUAUUUGAUGAGAGGUCAUGUUGGAACUGGGAAAGACAUGAACCUGAAGAAGUUUUUGAAGAACUUGCAACAGACCAAGCUGAGCCAGACCAAGAUGUCCCUGAAAUGGAUAUUGAUGAUGAACCAGUCAGAGGAACAAGGCCAUUGGCUGAAAUUUAUGAAAGGGCUCAUGUAGCCAUAGCUGAACCAAGCAACUUUGAAGAGGCUGAGGCUCAGAAAGGGUGGAAGCAGGCAAUGGCUGAGGAGAUCAGCAUGAUUGAGAAGAACCACACCUGGAAAUUGGUUGAAAGGCCAGUCAAAAGGAAAGUGAUUGGGGUGAAAUGGGUGUACAAAGCCAAGCAGAAUGCUGAUGGUACCUUGAACAAGCUGAAAGCAAGGCUAGUUGUCAAGGGGUUCAGUCAGAGGUAUGGCUUGGACUACCUGGAGACCUUUGCACCAGUGGCCAGGCUCGACACCAUCAGACUGCUGAUUGCCUUAGCAGCACAGCUUGAAUGGAAGAUCCAUCAACUUGAUGUGAAAUCAGCUUUUCUGAAUGGUUUCUUAGAUGAAGACAUCUAUGUUGAACAACCACAAGGGUUUGAAAUAGCUGGCAGAGAGCAUAUGGUCUACAAACUGAAGAAGGCCCUAUAUGGAUUAAAGCAGGCUCCAAGGGCCUGGUAUAGCAGAAUUGAUGGCUACUUGACUGAUCUAGGAUUCGAUCGAAGCAAGAGUGAGCCAACACUGUAUGUCAAGAAACAAGGGACACAAAUACAACUCAUUGUGUCCCUGUAUGUUGAUGAUCUUCUGGUGACAGGAGGAGAUCGAGUAGUGCUGGCUGAUUUUAAGACCAAGAUGCAGGAAGUGUUUGAAAUGUCUGAUCUUGGGGAGAUGUCAUACUUUCUUGGAAUGGAGGUGUCUCAAGUACAGAAUGAGAUAUUUCUAAGCCAGAGAAGCUUUGCCACAAAGAUUCUGACCAAGUUCUCCAUGCAAAACAGCAAGGCAACUAAAACACCUGUUGCUGUUGGAGAAAAACUAUCGAGCCAAGGUGAUUUUAAGAAAGUUUCUGAAACAACCUACAGGAGUCUAGUUGGUUGCUUGCUAUACUUGACUGCCACUAGACCAGACAUUAUGUAUGCUGUAGGAUUGCUCUCAAGGUUCUUGCAUUGCUGCAAUGAGAAGCAUUUCCAAGCUGCAAAGAGAGUGCUGAGAUAUGUCAAAGGCACUUUAAACUAUGGUUUGAAGUACAGCAAAGAAGGAAAUCUGAAGCUGGUUGGCUACACUGAUAGUGACUGGGCUGGCUCAAUAGAUGACAUGAAAAGCACCUCAGGGUAUGCUUUUAACCUUGGUUCAGCCAUGUUUUGUUGGAGCUCAAAGAAGCAAAGUCUAGUAGCUCAAUCUACUGCUGAAGCAGAGUAUGUGGCAACAGCAAGUGCUGUCAACCAAGCCAUAUGGCUAAGAAAAAUAUUGGCUGACUUGAAUGUGCAUCAAGAGGAAGCUACUGAGAUCUUCUGUGACAACCAAUCUGCAGUAGCAAUUGCUAAAAAUCCAGUGUUCCAUGGAAGAACAAAACAUUUCAGCAUCAAGUUGCAUGUUGUUCGAGAAAUGGAGCAAGCUCAGGAAGUAAAGCUGAUCUACUGUAAUUCAGAAGAUCAACUUGCUGACAUUUUAACCAAAGCUCUUAGUGUCACAAGGUUUGAAUAUCUAAGAAAGAAGCUAGGUGUUUGCUCCAUGCAAACCAAGGAGGAGUGAUGAAGUUGGUUCAGCAUGCAGCAAACUCAACAGCAUGCAGGCCAUGAAGACCAAGUCGUGCAAGAGCUGCUGGAACGAGCUGAACUAUUCCUAUUUUGCUCAUCUAGUAAUCUUAAGUUAAUGUAUUGUACUUUAGUUCAUUUAGAACUAUGUUAGGUUUAUGAUUGAUGUAAUUUUGAUGACAAUUGAGCUGUUAAGUCAGCUUUGUUUAAGUGUGUAAGCUUAGUUUUUCAAGUUUCAAUGUAUUAGUGGUAGUAGGUGAUGAUUAGGUAUCAUUAUGCAGAUUUUGACAAGCAAAUUGCUUGGUUUAUGUAUUGGCAUUAUGCCAUUGUUCAAUAUAUGAAUGAAAUCAGCUUUGUUCAUCAAUAUUCUCUCAAAUUUCCUCAGCUUAUUUUCUUCUUUCUUCAACUCGAAAUUGUUUGUUUGCUCAGCAAGAUUCGAGGCUUGCUCGACAAGAUACUUGCUGAGUCUGUUUGAUUCUGCUGUUGCACCAACAGAUACGAGUCAUUAGAUGUAGAUUUCGAAAUUGAGAAUCAAAUGGAAGAAAAGGUGGAUUAUACAACAAAAAGAGCAUCUUACACAUACAAGGGAAACAUUCUUAAAUACAUAUCGGGAAUUGAUUUAUCAUGUAAUAGAUUAACAGGUGAAAUUCCCAGAGAGAUUGGAAAUUUGAGUGAAAUCCGAUCACUAAACUUGUCGCACAACAAUUUGACUGGACAUAUACCGUCAACGUUCUCAAAGCUCAAGCAAAUUGAGAGUUUGGACCUGUCUCACAACAACUUAAUUGGAAGAAUCCCUGUUCAAUUGACGAAGUUGUACGCCUUAGCAAUCUUCAAUGUGUCAUACAACAACUUGUCAGGGAGUAUUCCGUCUCCAAAAGCUCAAUUUGGAACCUUCGACGAAAGCAGUUACGUGGCGAAUCCUUUCCUCUGCGGGUCUCCCCUGCAUAAAAAUUGUAGCGACCUUGAUUCACCCCCGACAGCAGCACCAAAGAGCUCAAACGAGGAAGAAGAAAGUGGUUUGAUGGACAAGUAUGUUUUCUGGGUGACCUUUUUUGUUUCUUACGUGAUUGUGUUACUGGUUAUUGUUCUCAUCCUGUAUAUAAAUCCUCAUUGGCGACAAGCAUGGUUUUCUUUUGUUGAACACUGCAUCAAGACCUGCCAAUAUUUUAUUGAGGACAAUCUUUUGUGAUUUUCCAUCUUCAAAAGGAGUGGGUAGCCUUGUACUCUGGUGGUUUACAUUUGUAUGUAAUUUUCAUCACUCUUUUUUUUUUUCAAAGUUUGAUUGGAUUAUCUGCUAGCUUCUAAGUUUUUAGAGCUAGAAUGCAAUAUAUCUGUUAUGUAAAGCAAUAUAUAAUGUAAUACCCAAUUUUAGACUGGGCUCACAAAAAAAAUAAUAAACCUAAAAUAAUAAAAUAAAGUCUAAGUCCAGUACAAAAUUAUAUCAUUUGGCCCGAUCGGAAUUGCCCAUUACUUGAAAAGGUUGAAAGUCCAUCUAUAAGCUUAUGGAAACAUAUUCUUCAAAGAUAUGCAAUCUUAGAUAUGAUAUGCAAUCUUAGAAGAUAUAAUUUUGUAAUAUUAGAGAUUUAAUUUGUAGAUACCCUUUAAUCUUAGCCGUUGAUGUAAUUGAUCUGUACCGUUGGAUUUGGGGAGGCUCAACUAUAAAUAGAGGCCUCUCCCUUCAUUAUAAAAAAAAGGGGGUAAUAAUAAUUCUUAAGAGUAUUCACUCAAAUUUCUCUCUCUCUUGCAUUCUUAUUUUCUUUGGCUUGUUCUUAUUUUGUUGAUUUGUGUAUAAUUUAUUUAUUGAUUUGUAUAUUGUUGAUUUCAAAUCUCUUUUUCCCUUAUUAUUCAUUUUCAAAUUCAUUAUUUUCAAAAUUGUUUACAUUUUAUUUUACCUUAUAUUUUUUAUUUUAUACUCUUUGUUUUAAAUUCAUUGGUCUUUGAUUAUUGAUGUUAUUUGAUCAUCUAUUUGUUAUUUUAGUUUUUUUAUUAUUAAAUUAAUUAUUUUAAUAUUAUUAAACUAUUAUGUGGCAUCAUUAAUCUUGUAUCAUAUAUAGUAUACAUAUACUUGUAUAUAUUUUAUACAUAGGUUUUUUAUUUUUAUUUCCUAACUUUUAUAUACAUAUAUAUAUACUUUUAUGUUUUAGUUUCAAUUUUUUUUUACUUUGAUAAAUAUGUAUAUACGUAUGUUUUCUUAUAUUAUUCUUCAUAAUUUUUUUAUUUUUUUGAUUAAUUAAUUUCAAUAUAUGUAAUUAUUUUUUUUAAAUUAUCCUUUUUUAUAAUCUAUAUAUAUGUAUAUAAUUAUUAUAUAUAUAUAUAUGUACAUGUAUAUAUUUAUUUUUUAAUGAAUAUUUUCAUAUUUAUAUGUAUAUAUUUGUGUUUUUUUUAAAUGAUUAAAUGCUUACUUAUUUUUUAAAACACGCCUAUUUUUUAUUAUUUUAUAUAUAUACGUAUAAUUAUAUAUAUUUUUUAUUUUCAUAAAUACAUUAUAUAUUUUGUUAUAUAAAUUCUAUAACUCUAGAUUUCAUAUGUAAAUCCAUGUGCAUAUUUUUUUAUUCUUCAUAGGUUCAAUGUAUAUAUUAUGCAUUUUCUUUUCUUUAUAUGUUUUUUGCUUAUUUCAUUCAUUUGUUUAUCAAUUUAUCUUUUUAUAUUUUUUAUUUUGCUCAUUUAUUUGAUAUUUUGCAUGUCAUUAUUUAUUUAUUUAUUUAUUUAUUCAUAUUAUUUCUAUAUAAUUGUUGUAUUUACUAUUGAUAUUUGUUAAAGAGGCAUUUAUUCAUACAUUCAAUAUAACAUUACAUCAUCCUUUUACUCAAAUUUAAAAAUGGAACUUUUCAAAAUAGAGAUAAUACUCGUAUUUAGGAUUUUCAAGAAAAUUGAGCCCUAACGUAUUGGGUUCCGAUUUUCUUCGUUAAAUCUAACAAUCGAGAUUUACUCUUUGAUCAAAAAUAAAAUGGCUUGUUGUUGGGAAUUUAAUGUGUUGUAUCCUAACGCAUUGGAUGUGACGUAUUGAUUUCUCGAGACAAAGAUUUUUAAAAAAUAUAUAUAUAUAUUAAUAAAGGAAAUAUUCAAUGUUUGGGAUGUUGAGAAAUUGUGCCCUAACGUAUUGGGCUGCGGUUUCGUCAUAAAUCUUAAACAAUUGAAUAUUCUUUUAAAUUUUAUCACACAAAUCUUUGGACAAACUCAUUUUGAAAAAAUAAAAUAUCGUGCCCUAAUGUAUUGGGUGUGAUAUUUUCUGUUUCAAAAUGAGGGCGUCUUAAUAAAUAAUUUAAUUUAAUUAAGGAUCGUAUUUUUCAACUCUCGACAUUAAGACAUUAAUUAAUCAACUUGGUACCAAUUUUUGGGCGUUACGGGGGUGCUAAUCCUUCCUCGUACGUAACUGACUUCCAAACCCGUUUUUCUAAAACUCGUAGACCAAAGUCGUUUUAGGUGGUCCAAUCACACCUUAAUAAAAGAUUGGUGGCGACUCCAAUUUUCAUCGACAACUAAUUUUUAUUUUUUUUUAAAUAAAAAAGGUUUCGACAGAUAAAGUUAUGCAUUUUUAAUUAAAACAUUUAAUAAUGUUUUAUAAUUUUUAGUGUACUGAUAAUAUGAUGUUAAAUUCAACAUAUUGUAGCAUAUAUAUAUUAAUAUAACCUAUAUUCAUCUAUACAAAUUUUUUAGUCAACCAAACCAUUGAUGUGGUGGCAAAAACUUCACAUUGUUUUCAAGUCUUCAUUGACAUUAGGUUGAGGUUUCAAACCCUAGCGUAAAAGAGGGGGGAGAGGGGUUGUCUGAACCAAAACUUCAUUUCAACAGAUAUCCUUUACCCACUAAAUCAUAUGCUCAACUGAAACUUUUAUAUAUAUAUAUAUAUCAAACAUGAAUGAUAUAAAUAGUCUUUAAAUUUUUAAAUGAUAUAAAUAUAUAUAUAUUUUUAAAAUGAACAAAAUUAUAAUAAUUAAUAUGUAGUUUCACUAUUUUAUUUAAACUCAAAAUAAUAAUAUUUAAAAAUUGAGUUUACGUGAUAUUUAUUUACUUUAAAAUUAAUAAAAUGUAAAUAUAAACUUUAUUUUAUUUUAUUUAUAUUCAAAUUUAAUAAAUGUUUAUCUAAUUUAUUUAAAUUUAAAUAAAUUAAAUAAAUGAGCACACAAUUAUUUUAGAGAAAGUGACUCUUUUUUAAUGAUGAGAUGUUAGAAGAUUUACCAUAUGUGUAAUGUGGAGACAAUAACCCUAAUAUGUAACUUUUGCACAAUAACCUUAAUUUAUAAUUAGUGAAUCAUCAAUUAAAAAUUAAUUACUUGAGUAUAUACACUUGUCCAACCAUAUUUUAUUUAAUAAGUGUCAUGGAUCAUGGGUCAAACAAGUGUCACAAUAAUCAGAGUAAUACCUGCAAAAAUUGAAUCCAAAUAAACAUAUCCAUAAAUUGUUAAUGAAACUUUGUUCGCAGCGAGAACGUUAGUUAAGGUUGGACGAAUUUAUAUGUUUUUUGUCUUUUUGUUAAAAUAAGUAUAAAACAUAUAAAAAAAUACAUUAUGAAUGUUCAUUUUUUUAAUAGUUCAAAAAAAUAUAUUAUAUAUAAUAUAUAUUACUGUUUUGCCUUGCUCCUCAAAGAAAAUGGAAACAAUCGUAAGCUUAUGGCAUCAUUAGAAACACCAUUAAUCUUGAUGUGUCGCAAAUCUCUAGAAAGUUAGCCAAAUGAGCAUUCAGAUCUUUAUCUUGCAACCUAUCAAACUGAAUAUAUUGUUGUACCAUCUGAAUUGUGUUCGACUUUAGCUCAAAAUUGUUUAUAGCAAUAGUCAAUCUGACAAUACUCGAUUCAACCCCAAUCAGAAUAGACUUAGCAUAAUCAUACAUAGUCUGAAGAGUAGGAGCUGCAGGAAGCUAUUGAUUAUUUUUAUGAUCAUCCAUCUCCACAGUAAUAUCCUUUUCCUCUCGAUCAUUUACUAAAAUCUAUUUAUCUUGCCUUUUUCUUUUCUAACCUCUCUAAGAUUUCUGCGAGCAGUCUUUUCAACUUCACUAUAAAAAAUUAAUGGUUCUGACGAGUUUCCUCUAGUCCUAAACCAACAUAACCUAUCAUAAUCAAACAAACGAAAAAUUAGAAUGUAAAAAUUACAUUAAAAACAAAAAUAUCAAAAUAAAAAUAAAAAUAAAAAUAGCUAAAUUAAUAGAAAUAAACUUUUCCUAAUAUUUUAGUCCCCCGGCAAUGGCGCUAAAAACAUGAUGCAGUCCUAAACCAACUAAAAAUCUGACUAAGGCAAGUGUACCUAUCAAUUAAUUGUAUAGUUACGAUGAACAAAUAAACCGUUCCCACGAAGAGUAAAAGUACUAGUAAUUACUGUCUUUCUAUUAUUUAAUCGAUAAAUUCGAGUAAUUGAUUAAAACUAAAAUUAUUUAAAUUAAUUAACUAUGAAUGUGACAAAUAAUAAAUCAGGAAAAUAACUGAAUAAUAACCAAGAAGCAAAACAAUACCUAGGAAAGAAUUCACCUAGAUUUGAUCUGUCAUUAUCAAUCUAAAUUCCACAAUUUCUUUACUUAGGAUCUUGAUUCAUAGAAAUCCCUAAAUCAUGCUAAUAUCUCUCUUCAAGAAUAAGAGCAACUAACUUUAGGUUGAUUAAUUGAAAUUUCUUUCUAAUUAAAACCCCUAUUAUCGUAUUAAAUCGCUUUAUGGAUUCCCCCAUUACAUUUGACUCUAAUCCGAUAGAUUUAUGUCAUCCUAUUUCUAAGAUUGCAUGCAACUCCACUCAAUUACGCUAGAUCUAUUCUUAAACAAGGUCUAUUUCUCCUCUGAUUUAAGCACAACAAACAUGGAUCAACAAUCUAGAAAUAUUAAACCAAGAGUAAAACACACAUAAUUGAGAGCAAGAUCUAAGUAUUUAUUGUGUAAAAAUAGAAAUCAAAUAAUAUAAUUCAUCCUAAGGUUCAUCUCUCUAGGUAUUUGGAAAAUUAGUUCAUGCUUGCAAAUAAAAACAUCCCAAAGACAAUAUUACCGAAAGAAAUAAAGAAGCUCAUGAUAAUCUCCUAAGAAAUCAACUGCUUGUCUUCAAUCUUGACUAAAAUUUGCUUCAGAAUCGGCUUCAAUGGUGUUUUUCGAGUUGUUUUAUUGAGUAUUCUAUGACGGCUCUCUCCCCUCUUCUUAUAUUUGUCAUAUAUAGGUCUUAGAAUACCCGAAAAACCUAAACAAAAGUGUUUUUCUGUAGGUUUGGAAUGUGACUCGUGAUUUCCACGCAGUCUCCCACAUGACCGUGUAGAAGCCCAUGUGGCCACACGGUCGUGUGUCCAGCCCGUGUGGCUCCUGAAACUUAUUCCAAUUUUCGCUUAUUUUUCGCUCCUUUUGCUCUCAAAUGCUACUAAGUAUAGAAACAUGAAUUUAAAGGAUUAGGAGCAUAAAAUUCAUCAUUUUAAAUCGAAUAAUAAUCCAAAAAUACAUUAAGAAUGAGGCUAAAACAUGUUACUUUUGGCAUUUAUUAAUUUUGCCAACACCCAAAAUAGUUGCUUAAAGGUACAAAUUUAAACAACCCAAAAAAAGGGUCAGUGUAAUCCAAAAACCGUUGUGUUGGGCUUUUCAUAUGACAACACUUUUAUAUAGUUGGGAAAUGUAUAACAAAAGUUGGCAUAGUGUUGGAUAAAACUGAUUCUUAUUUAAACGUUGCUUUAGGCAUGCAUGUCCCAACCUUUAUACAAAGAGUUGGCCAAAGCGUAUGUCGACCAGACUAUCCUAACACUUAGGAAAGUGUCAGCUUAGUGUUGGACAAACUCGAAUCUUAUUUAAGUGUUGCCUUAGGAAUGCAUAUCUCAAACCUUAUACAAAGAUUUGGCCAAAGCGUAUGCCGGCAAGUCUAUUUAUUAGCUCAAUAGAUCAAAUAGAAAUUGCUAAGAGGGGUGAAGUAGCAUUUAAAAAAAUGUGAAAGCUAGAAAGAAAAUUGAAAGAUGAACACAAUAAUUUAGAAUGGUUUAGCCUCAAUUGCCUACUCCACUACCUUAACUUUCCACAACUAAGGAUUUUUCCCAAAUUCGCUAAAUUGAUAACCUUUAAGGAUAAGGUUUAACCUUACAACUCUCUUAAAAUUUUUGUAACACCCCAAACCCAAUCUAGACGUUAUGGCCGAAUCUAGCUUUGUCACAUGGAAUGGGAUUUGAAACAUCUUUGUUUCGAUGAAAACAUUUUAUGUUAUUAUCUUUAGUAAACCUUUGUUAGAACUUAGGAAGUCGUCUUUAUUCAUUUAAAACAUUUGUUUUGAAACAUACCUCGUUGCGGAAGCUUUAAUAAAAUAGUCUAAGUGAUCAUGCGUUUAGAAAAUACUUUUAACUUUUUAAAAACUGAAUUUCCUAUGAACAGUAGGUAUAAAUCCAUAAAGUAAAAUAAAUAAAUAAAAACCAAAAUUUAAAACCAAAGUCCCAGAGGUUUCUUAAAUUACAACCCAAAUAAUCAAUAAUAAUCAAAUCAUAAAUCGUAAAUUGAAAACCAUGAAGUCCAAAUAUUUCUGUGGUCACCGCUAAGUCCUCCGUCGCACCGAUCCGUCUAGGUCUGGGGAUUACCUGUACACAUUAAACAAAAAAAACGGAGUUUACGUAAACUCAUGUGUAAUCUCGUAGAAACAAACAAACAAUCAGUAUUCACAGUGCAUAGUUGAACAGUCUUGGGCCUUAGCCUAUCUCAGUACAGUGUUAAAAAUGCAGUAGGUCUUUAGCCCAUCACAGUAUCAGUAGCAAUAACAAUUAUGCAGUAGCAAAAUCCUACCCAACCAGCCUCUACAUACCAUCUCCAUCCAACCCUACACUCCAUGUGGGGAUAUAAUCAACCCACCCAUCCCUUUUUAAUAUAACCCAUGCUAACUAAAUAUUCAUUUAUGUUUUUAGUAUUUACUUAUAUGUUCAUUCAAAGCUGUCUACUUGAGUCAUUGUCACUAAAUUAUUUAUAUAUUUAGCUACAGAAUUCCAAAUUAAGAUCCACUUGAUGUUUUCAAAACUAGACUCAAAUACCUUUCUACCAUAAAAUUUUCAGAAUUUAUAGCCUAUCAAAUAACUACAGUAAAAUCUUCAAAAUUAUCCCUAUUCUAUUGUUUGACAGCUUCAACCUUUCCUUACUAAAAAUUAUUUAUCUCUGAAUACGAAAUUUGGAUGAUGUUUCCAUUUGUUUCUCUUGAAAGUAGACUCAUUAAGGAUUUAAAUGUAUAAAUUUAAGCCCCUAAUUAAUUUUUUACAAUUUUUGAUGAUUUUCCAAAUUUAAAAUAGGAGAACCCUAAAUCAUUCUGACCUUGUCUCACAAAAUUCAUUAUAUCUCCUAAUUUAAAAUUCCAUUGCUUACAUUGUUUCUUCCGUGAAAAACUAGACUUAAUAAAAUUUCAUAUUUUAUUCAACCUUUAACUCAAUUUCCACUAGUUUUGAUGAUUUUUCAAAGUUAGACUACUGCUGCUGUCUAAAACUAUUUUAGUGAAAAAUGUUGAUUUCCAAGUUUAUAAUACCCUUAUUUCCUUUCUCUACAAUUUUUUGCAUCAUUUUCUCUUAUUUCUCGACAGUAAGCAAUUUUGGCUUUUCACUGAAUCCCAUUUUCUGCAUUUUGGGUACACAUCUAGUUUCGUUUGAUGCUAAAACAGUCCCCAAGCACUAUAAAGCCUAUAAUUGAACAAAUAACACUAAUUUAAUCUUACAUAGUGAUCCCAAAUUGAACUCGUAUCGAGGUUUUAAUCCAUAAGCGACUAAACCUUACCUUCAACUGAUGAACAAUAAUUCCUACACAAACUAAGACUCCGAUUGGUGAUUACGACCCUUGAAUCCUCCCUUAAUUGGCACAAACAAAACACUUUAGAAGAAAGUUAAAAAACAAAGACAAAUCACUUAUCUAAAACUUACCAAACGAUCAUAGACAAACGUGGAACGACACGAGGCAGAGUGGGAAAAGAAAAAUCAAGAAGAUGAAGGGUGAAAGAGAGCAGAAAUUCGACAGCAAUGAAGAGAAAAACGGCAAGAGGGUGGAGGGGUUUGGGGAAAGUAAAAAAAAAAAGAAAAAAAAAUGAAAAAAAUAUUUGAUAAUCACCCCAAUCCCUUAUUUCUCUCCAUCAAACUCCCCAAUAAAUCAACUACUCAGAUUUUUAGUCAAUCUCAAACUCUCCUAGACAUACGAGCAAAACUAAUACCCACGCCAAGAUUCGAACAUAGGACCUCCUUCACACCAACACUCCACUUAUCCACUAGACCAGCAAGCCAAUUCUAUUAAUUAUUUGCCAACUUUUACUUAAAAGCCUACUGACCAAAUAUAGAGCUUAUUCAUAAAAAGGCCAAAAUUUGCCCAAGUCCUGACUUGAACUUGUGACCUCCUAAACACACCCAGAACACAUAAUCACUAAAGCAGACAGAUAUUUUGUGUCACACAUUCACAAUACCCAAAAUUAAAAUUUUGGGGUGUUACAAUUUCUAUCUCAAAUCUUAAGACACAAACCUUCGCAAGGAAAUACAAAUAAGCAAAUAAAGAAAUAAUCCUUACAAAAUCAAAGUGUUUGUAAAUUAAGCUCAAAUAAAAUGAAAUACACUUGAGCAAAAGAAUAGGAGUAAAGCUCACAAGUGUAUGAAAAAGAAAUAUGGAAAUAGUAAACUCAAAGGUUGUUUGAUUGAUGAUUUUUUUGCUUGAAAGUGAUUUCUUGUUGUUGUAGAAACUUAAGAAGUUAGUAUUUAUACCCCCUAAUUGAUUUCCAACCAUUGAGGUUGUUGGUGACAUGAAUAAAACCAUUGGGAUGUAAAAAUCAGAGCAUUUAAUUCACCUGCAACAUCGAGUCUUGAUACUAUAUAAAAGGGUUUCGAUAAUUUUUGCUAUAAAUGCUAAAUUCAAUGAUCGUUGGAGUUUUGUUAUCGAUACCAAAAAAAAAGUUUAUCGAUACUUGUAAAAAGGUAUUGAUACUGUAUCGAUACUUUGUAAGUUUUGUAAGAAACAAAAUGCUAUUUUAGUAUCGUUUUUAAGAAGGGGUAUUGUAAUAGCCCAAUUUCAAUGAAAUCAGAACAGUGGUUUCGAGACCACAAAUUUGAGAUUAGAAGAAAAUUUAUUUUAAUAUUAUCGUAUGUCUGUAUUAUGAUAGAAAUAUUACAUGAAAAAUUUGAUAAGAAAAUUUUAUCGAUUGAGUGCUUAAUUGUGAAAAGGACUCAUAAAAUGCACAAGUUGAAUUCUAGCAGCUAAAAGGAUUAAAUAGCUAUGGGGUUCAAAAUGUAAGGUCCUUAUAUGGUAAUUAGACCAUAAAUUAAAAGUUAGUAGAUAUUUUGAGAUGACUCAUCCAUAGAAAUUUUAGAAAAAGGUAAGGACUAAAUUGGAAAUUAAAUUAAUUUAAUUAAUUAAAAGAUGAUAAAAGAAAUAUCAUCUUAUUUUAUGUCAUCUUCUUCCUCAAAAUGCAUGGAAACCCUAAGAGAGACAAAGGAAACUAACCAAGCUUGAUUAGGUAUGUUUUCUUGUAACACCCCCACCCCUUAUUCGUCGCCGGAACAGGGUUACAGGGCAUUACUGGACAUUUCAAAUCAAAUACGAGUAAUCACAUAUUUGUUUAACAUAAACAUCACAAAUUAAUCAAAAUGUCCUUUUUAUGAGCCCUCGAGGCCCAAAACAUGAAUUAGAAACAAAUCGGGAGUCAGAGAAUUUUUUGUGAAAUUUCAAAAUUUUUCCUAAGUGUAGGGCUCACACGUCUGUGCAGUUUAGAGAUACGCCCGUAUGAUCCUAAACACGCCCGUGCUUCAGGUCGUGUCCUACCUCGUGUAAUUCUCUGACUUAGAUCACACGGCCAGCCACACGCCCAUGUACAUAGUCCGUGUGCUUAACACGGCUGAGACACACGCCCGUGUCUCUGUGAUGCGGAAACCCAGAUCUAAACACAAGAAGAGAAACACAAAUUAGAAAUAAAAACGAGAAUAAGUAAAAAUUAGUUAAAUAAUAAUAAAAGAAAACAAAUAAAAGAAAAGAUUAAGGAUAGAUUUGCCCUAUAGAACCCUUGGUUAACUUGUAACCAAAAACUUCAAUGAUUGAGCGGCUCCCUACGAAACCCCUAGAAGAAGAACCUCUAGAAACACCGAUGAACGGGAAAGAAAUUUGAAUAUUUGUAACUCUGAAAUACCCUCGAAAGUAACAAACUCCAAACUAAAUAGCAAGAGAAGAAUCACUCUACUCUCAAAAAUUUGCCUCACACAAAUUUGGAAGAAAACAAAAUACUCUUCUUUUUUUAUUAAUCCCCUCAAUGUGUAGAAAGCAAGCCUAUUUAUAGGCAAAUUACAAGAGUAAUUGAAUCCUAAUUAAAACUCUUUCAAGAGUAAUUGAAUCCUAAAAACUCUUUAAAGAGUAAUUGAAUCCUAAUAAAACUCUUUAAAAUUAUCUAAGAAAAUAAAUAAAUAAUAAUCUAACUAAUAAAAUUACUUAACUCAUAAGUGAUGUGUUCCAACCAAUGAGAAUUAAGUAAAUAAUAAUAAUAAUAAGAUACAUAAAAGAUUAAUCCACCAAUUUAUGGGCUUUCACUAUUCCAAGAUUGGUCCAGUGAAUUGCAUUCCCGUAUUUGUCAACGUCACGAACAUGAUGAAUUAAAUUUGUAGUAACAAAGUCUUGGACAAAAGCAUUCAUCUUUGAUUUUAAUUGUCGUGCCUUGCUUCGAGUGAUUGGACCACUAGGAAAAACAACCCUUUGAGUGUCACCUCCUUAACUCGUAUCAUUCUCCCCUUCUUCAAGAAGAUUCGUCCUCGAAUCUGAACCUAUAUCAAAUUCAAAAGGAGAAAGAUCAGAAACAUUGAAAGUAGCACUAACAUUAUACUCACCUGGAAGAUCAAUGCGAUAAACAUUGUCAUUUAUUUUCUCGAGUACUUGGAAUGGUCCAUCUCCUCGUGCAUCAAGUUUAUUCUUUCUCUUAGAAGGAAAUCGUUCCUUCCUCAUAUGCACCCAUACUCAAUCUCCAGGUUCAAAUAAGACUUGCUUUCGCCCUUUAUUAGCUCGAUGUGCAUUGCACUCAUUCUUUUUCUCAAUGGCUUUACGAGCCUUCUCAUGAAUCUCUUUCACUAAAUCAGCUUUCCUUUCACCAUCUAAAUUAGCAAUCUCAUUCAAAGGUAAAGGAAGCAAAUCUAAAACAGUAAGUGGAUUAAAGCCAUAUACAAUCUCAAAAGGAGUAAAACCUGUGGAAGAAUGAACAGAACGAUUAUAAGCAAACUCAACAUAGGGUAUCCAUUCUUCCCAAGAUUUAACAUUCUUACCUAUUAUGGCUCUAAGCAAAGAUCCCAAAACUCGAUUUACCACCUCAGUUUGACCAUCAGUUUGAGGGUGGCAUGUAGUAGAGUAAAGUAGUUUAGUACCUAACUUACCCCAUAACACCUUCCAAAAGUGACUAAGAAAUUUUGCAUCUCUAUCGGAAACGAUAGUCCUUGGGAUUCCAUGUAAUCUCACAACUUCACGGAAAAAUAGAUCGGCAACAUGGGUUACAUCAUCAGUCUUAUGGCAUGGAAUGAAAUGAGCCAUUUUAGAAAAUUGAUCCACAACCACAAAGAUGCUAUCUCGACCACGCUUUGUCCUUGGUAAAACUAUUACAAAAUCCAUUGAAAUGUCAGUCCAAGGUGAACUAGGAACAGGAAGAGGAGUAUAUAGACCAUGAGGCAUCACAGUGGAUUUAGCUUGUUUACAAGUAAUGCAAGUAGAGCAAAUUUUCUCAACAAGUUUUUGCAUGUUAGGCCAAUAAAAAUGCUCAUGUAAAACAUCAUAAGUCUUAGUGACUCCAAAAUGACCCACAAGACCACCACUAUGAGCCUCUCGAACCAACAAUUCUCGCAUUGAACACUUUGGUAAGCAUAGUCUAUUAUUUCAAAAAAGAUAGCCAUCAUGCUUAUAAAAUUUGUGAAAUGCACCAUGUUCACAUGCGUCAUAAAUGCUUGCAAAAUCAGAAUCAGUGGCAUAUAAAUCUUUGAGAUACUCAAAACCUAAUAACUUAGUAUGCAAAGUACUAAGUAAAGUGUACCUCCUUGAUAGAGCAUCAGCCACAAUAUUAUCUUUACCUUUCUUAUACCUUAUAACAUAAGGAAAAGAUUCAAUGAAUUCAACCCACCUCGCAUGUCGCUUGUUCAACUUACCUUGUCCCUUUAAGUGCUUAAGUGAUUCAUGGUCAGUGUGAAUCACAAACUCCUUUGGUAAAAGGUAAUGUUGCCAAACUUCUAAUGCCCUUACCAAGGCAUACAACUCUUUAUCAUAGGUCGAAUAGUUCAAAUGUGCUCCACCAAGUUUCUCACUAAAGUAGGCUAGUGGUUUACUAUCUUGCAUGAGGACAACACCUAUACCUACACCAGAAGCAUCACAUUCAAUCUCAAAGGUCUUUUCAAAAUUAGGUAAAACAAGAAUAGGAGCAUUACACAAUUUAUCUUUAAGUUCAUUAAAUGCUAAUUCUUGCUUAUCUGUCCAAUGAAAAGAUACAUUCUUUUUAAUAAGUGCAGUCAAAGGCGAAGCAAUUGCGGAAAAGUUACGAACAAACCUGCGGUAGAAACCAGCUAACCCAAGGAAAGACCUUACCUCAGAAACAGUUUUAGGGAUAGGCCAUUCUUUAAUUGCCUUUACCUUCUCCUCAUCCACAUGGAUUCUUGUAGAACUUAUCACAAAACCCAAAAAAACAAGCUUAUCCAUACAAAAGGUGCAUUUUUCAAGAUUAGCAAAGAGUCGUUCAUGCCUUAACACAUCCAAUACUAAUUUAAUAUGCCCAACAUGAUCAUUCAAAGUUUUGCUAUAAAUCAAUAUGUCAUCAAAAUACACAACGAUAAAUUUUCCUAAAAAAGGUCUAAGUAUGUGGUUUAUUAAUCUCAUGAAUGUGCUAGGAGCAUUAGUUAAGCCAAAUGGCAUGACUAACCACUCAUACAGGCCAUACUUAGUCUUAAAAGCAGUUUUCCAUUCAUCACCUUGUUUCAUUCUUAUUUGAUGGUAACCACUUUUUAAGUCAAUUUUAGAGAAAAUGCAUGCACCAUUAAGCUCAUCCAACAUAUCAUCUAAUCGAGGAAUUGGAUAUCGAUACUUUAUCGUAAUCUUGUUGACAGCACGACAAUCAACACACAUUCUCCAAGAACCAUCUUUUCUUGGGACGAGAAGUAUAGGGACCGCACAAGGGCUUAGACUCUCAUGAAUCAACCCUUUCUCUAAGAGAUCUUCAAAUUGCCUUUGCAACUCUUUAGUUUCUUCAGGAUUGCUUCGAUAGACUGGUCUAUUCGGAAUACUCGAACCAGGCACAAAGUCAAUUUGAUGUUCAAUCCCUCGUAAAGGAGGUAAUCCUUUAGGCAUUUCAGAAGGAAAUACAUCCUCAAAAUCCUGCAAAAGAUCAACAAAACAACUAGGCAAAUGUGUAUUAGGGUUAGUCAAAACAAAGUUUUCCCUAAACCUAAUAAUUACAAAUGUUUGUUUUGUACAAAGAGCAAAUUUGAUAUCUCGAAACCUAGCGAAUAAACUCACUUUCUCAUCUCAUGACUUGUGUGUGCAAUCACUCACCAAUGUUGGGCCUUUAAGUUGGCUUUUAACACUAAGGGCCUCUUUACUCUCAGCAUUUUUCAAUGAUUUUACCUCACUUCCCUUACCCAUCUCACUAGCAAGUUUGAGUUGAUCAUUAUAGACUUCUUGAGGAGGAAGUGGAGCCAAAGUAAACUUCUUUCCAAGGAACACAAAGGUAUAUUGGUUAAGGAAACCAUCAUGAUUUACUCGUCGAUCAAACUGCCAUGGCCGUCCAAGUAAUAUGUGCCCAGCUUGCAUUGGAACAACAUCACACAAAACUUUAUCAGAGUAUCUACCAAUGGAAAAUGAAACUAAGCAUUGUUUAGAUACUUUUACCUCCCCACUAUUAUUCAGCCAUUGCAAGCGGUAUGGCCUUGGAUGCUUCACACAAGGUAGGCCAAGUUUCUCAACAAGGGAAGAACUUACCACAUUGGUGCAACUUCCACUAUCGAUGAUCAAUGAACUAGGUUGUCCACCAAUCAAACAUCUUGUGUGGAAAAUGUUAUCUCUUUGUUCGCGCGCUUCCUCUUUAAACUGGACAUUUAAAGCCCUCCGAGCAACAAGUGCUUUCUCACCAUACUCUAAAUAUUCUUCAUACUCAUCAUGAGCAUGCACAUCAUCAACAUCUUCUAAAGGAGGCAUCUCAUCUUCGUUAUCAGACUCAAAAUCAACCUCGCCAUCUUCUCGAAUCACCAAUGACUUUUUAUUAGGGCAUUCUCGAGCAUAGUGACCCCUUCCUUGGCAUUUGAAGCAGGUAAUAUCUUUUUGCUGCUUAAUGGCACUAGGAGAAGUAGAAGAAGAAGAUGGAGCUUGAUUAGUAGAAGUAGAACUUUUAAAUGAAUUAGGCAUACCUCUAUCUUUGGAGUAAGUUCUAGGCUCAUUUGGCUUGAACCGUGCAUCUCUCCCAUUCCACAAUCUAUCAUCUUGUUUUUGCCAAUUUCCUCUCCAAGUAGGAUUAAAAACUGAACUAGAACCCCUCGGUGUCCCUUUCUUUCGUCAUUGCUUUUCAAUGGUGAGUGCGGUUUGAAGCAUCUCUUCAACAUCCAUGUAGUGUUGUAACUCAAGUCGAUUUGCAAUCUCAGGCUUUAGGCCGGCAAGGAAUCUAGCCAUAGUCACCUCAGCCUCUUCAACAAGAUUGGCUCUAAUCUGAAUAGUCUCCAUCUCUUUGUAGUAGUCAUCCACAGAUCUAUCUCCUUGAACAAGAUGUUGGAGUCUUUGAUGGAGUUCUCGAUAAUAGUAUGGUGGAACAAACCGUUUUCGUAAGAUGCGCUUCAUUUCAACCCAAGUAGUAACAGGUUGCUCUCUAUAAAGAAUUCUGCUUUUACAUAAUUGAUUCCACCAUGUUAGUGCAUAAUUAAUGAACUCAGCGACAGCGUAUGUUACCUUUUUUCUCAUCAGAGUAAUUGUAACAAGCAAAGACUGCUUCCAUCUUUUCCUCUCAAUCAAGGUAAGCAUCAGGAUCAUUCUUCCCUGAAAAAGAAGGAAAUUUUGGUUUGGGGGUGUCAUUGUUUCGCUCCAACCUUUCUCUAGGUACAUACUCGGACUCAAAGUCAUCAUCAAAAACAUGGUCCUCCCUUCGUUUAAAAGUUUGAUCUCGUGAAUUUGAUCGGCUUAUAAAGGCUUCGUUCAACUUCUUGUAAUUAUCGGCAAUGUAUCUCUCUUGAGUUGUAAGUUUUGUAUCAAGAUACUCCCUUUGCUCUUGUAACAUCUGGGUCAUGCGAUGUUCGACUUGAGUUUGCAACUUUUUCAUCUCUUUUUGUAACAACUCGACCAAAGGAUCAUUCUCUCUUUUUAGCUCAUCCUCUUCAUUUUUACUAGUUUGGGAUCUAGUGAGCGGAAUGGUAUCUGUGAAAGAUCAAACAAACAGGAACAAGAAAAAAAAUAAUAAUAACCUCACUCGUUAGCUCUCAAAAGAAUAACUCUCUGAAUGAUUCAAAACCUGUAAAUAUGUUUGGAGAGGGUUACUAAUCAAGAUCAAAUAACGGAGGUGCAAACUUCAAAGAAACAAUGAAGACCCUAAUUGCUCUAAGAGGCCAAUAAACUUGACAAGGCAAUUUGUAAUGGAGGCUACACGGAUGAAGAAAUUUGUGAGUGCCUUUAAUAUCUGCUAACACAAGAAGAAACAAAGUGUUAGAAAGCGUAAGAGAAACAAAAAAAACGUAGACCUACAACGAUCCCUAACUCUAGAGUCAAAGAAAAGCUUUAAUAAGAAGAAAACUUAAGAAAAACUCUACCCAAAUUUUUAAAAAAAAAAUCGAAAACGUUUGGUGUCUUAAGAUUUUCAAAAAUUGAAGCUUUAAUUAUACUUGAGUCAAGAAAAGAAGAAGGAAAAGAAAUUCAAUUUUGGGAAAAAUAAAAAUAAUAACAAUAAUAGGAAAAGAAGAAACUUACGUAUGAAAGGUAGUCAACUUUUUUUUUGCUCUUUUUACUUUUUUUGUGCUGUUUUUUUUUUUAAAGAAUAAGAGGAGAAUAAACACAAACUUCAAAAAAAAAAGAAUUGACGAAACUGAUGAAAAGUGUUUUUGGUAUUUUGACUCGUUUCGGAUUUGAUUUUAGCUUAAAAAAUAACACCGAAUAACCUGAAACUGAUACCAACUGAUGCGGAAACUCGGAUCUAGACACAAGAAGAGAAACACAAAUUAGAAGUAAAAACGAGAAUAAGUAAAAAUUAGUUAAAUAAUAAUAAAAGAAAACAAAUAAAAGAAAAGAUUAAUGAUAGAUUUACCCUAUGGAACCCUUGGUUAACUUGUAACCAAAAACUCCAAUGAUUGAGCAGCUCCCUACAAAACCCCUAGAAGAAGAACCUCUAGAAACAGCGAUGAACGGGAAAGAAAUUUGAAUAUUUGUAACUCUGAAAUACCCUCGAAAGUAACAAACUCCAAACUAAAUAGCAAGAGAAGAAUCACUCUACUCUCAAAAAUUUGCCUCACACAAAUUUGGAAGAAAAAUACUCUUCUUUUUUUAUUAAUCCCCUCAAUGUGUAGAAAGCAAGCCUAUUUAUAGGCAAAUUACAAGAGUAAUUGAAUCCUAAUUAAAACUCUUUCAAGAGUAAUUGAAUCCUAAAAACUCUUUAAAGAGUAAUUGAAUCCUAAUAAAACUCUUUAAAAUUAUCUAAGAAAAUAAAUAAAUAAUAACCUAACUAAUAAAAUUACUUAACUCAUAAGUGAUGUGUCCCAACCAAUGAGAAUUAAGUAAAUAAUAAUAAGAUACAUAAAAGAUUAAUCCACCAAUUUAUGGGCUUUCACUAUUCCAAGAUUGGUCUAGUGAAUUGCAUUCCCGUAUUUGUCAACGUCACGAACAUGAUGAAUUAAAUUUGUAGUAACAAAGUCUUGGACAAAAGCAUUCAUCUUUGAUUUUAAUUGUCGUGCCUUGCUUCGAGUGAUUGGACCACUAGGAAAAACAACCCUUUGAGUGUCACCUCCUUGGCUCGUAUCACUCUGCCCGUGUGCAAUUUCUUAGGCAUUCUAUUUUGAAUUUUUAAGGUGCAAGGGACACACAGCCUAACCACACGCCCAUGUGUAAGCUGUGUGUCUCACACGUUCUAGUCACACGCCUGUAUGGUAGGCCGUGUAGACUCAAAAUAAGCAUUUUACAUCAAGUUUACCAACCUUGCAAAUCUUGAACAACAAGCAACUCAAUAAUCAAUCUUUCAACCAAUCCAAAACACAUUCAAAUACUUUUAAUACAUGCCAAAUUCAUUUAUUUAAGAACCUAACCAGUGUACUAACAUAGAUACUUUACAAAUAACAUCCAAAUCAAUCUAAUUAACUUCAUUCUAACCAAAUCUAAUUUCAUACCAAAACAUACUACUUAUAAUCUUAAUAUAGCACAUAAACUUAUAUAUAUAAGUCUCCAAUAACAUUUUGUAACAUAAUUUACAAACACUUCUCUAAAUAACAAACACAAACAUCCUAGGUACAUGCCAUUUACCAAAAAGAAAUGUACUUCACCACUUUGAGUUCCGAAACAGCUUUGGAUGCUGAUUGAAUGGUCUGACUUUAACCUAACCUAUGCACAGAAACAAACCGUACACUGAGUAUGAACUCAGUGGUAUUUCUAUAAUCCAAAUACUUUUAAAAUUAUGAUAAUAUAACAUGUAUAUUUAAUUAUAUAUUAACAAUAGUCAUUCAGUAAACAAUUCAUAAACAAAUAAUUUAUAACAUUUUCAUUUCCAAUUAUUUGUUAUUCCAAACACCUUUUCACAUUGCCAAUACAUAUAUCCGAUCAAUUGCUAUCCCAGAUAGCUUUUCACAAUGUCAAUACAUAUCUCGUUUGCAUUUUCACAUUCAAUAUUCCAAUAAUCACUUGAUGAACUUAUGGUUCAUACUUUUUCAUUUACACAUCACAAAUCAAUAUCUAAAUCCAAUUCAUAUUCAAAACCAUUCAAUAACAUUCAUAUCAUCAAUUCAUUAAUUACCCCUAUUAACAUGACUCGAACUUUGGCGGAUACACGGAUCUAACCAAAACACACCAGUUUAGCACCUAGUGCCUCAUCGGAUAAUUCGAAGCAAUAAGUUGACACCCAGUGUCUCAUCGGCCAUGCCGAAGUAAUUUGGUACCAGUACCUCAUCGAAUUUAUCUGAAGCAAUAGUUUGACACCCAGUGUUUCAUCAACUCAUGGUCGAAGUAUCCCUAAACUCUUCCAAUCCGAUGGCAUGCCAAGUAUAUCCAACUCAGCCCAAUACAGUUAAUAGGGUUUCCAAUUCACUUCCAAACACAACCAAUAUUCAAUAAUCAAUUGUCUCAAUAUUUACAUUUCAAUAUCAAUGCAUAUUUCAAACAAUCACAAAUUCUCAUAAUUCAACUCAAUUCAAUACCAAUCCUCACCUCAAUUCUACUUACCAUAAAUAUAAAAUAAUAAUAAACACAACAAUUAAUUAUCAGCUUUGGAUUAUAGAAAUACAAACAAUAAUUCUCGAGUCACUUCUGGUUAACCUUGUCUUUUCCUUUCUUAGUCGAGGUCUCCGGCUUGAUGUUAGCUACGGAAGUAAAAUAAUUAAAAUUCAUCAAUACAACACAAUUUAAUAUUGAAUAUUUCAACUUAUACACAACUUAUGCCUAAAUUCUAAUUUAGUCUUUAAAUCAAACUAACUCUUUUUCUUACAAAACUAAUUCCAUAUCUCAAUUCAAUUUCCACUUUAAUCUAAUUUCAACUUCUUAAUUUCAUCAUAAAACCCUAAUUUUGAAAUUCUUUCAAUUUAGUCCCUAUUACUCAAAACUUAUAAUUUAAUUUACAAUUCAAUCAUUCUUCUCAAUUCUAUCAAUUUAACCUCUAUUUCUUCAAUUUAUUCAACAUGAAGUACAUCUAAAAAUCCACUAAAUUUCAAAUUUUCAACAUAAAUCAAGUAGUAUUUUGUUCUAGGAUUCUCGAAACAUCAAAAUUAUAAGAAAAAAAGGCUAAAUUGCCUUACCAAAUUAACUUUGAAUCCUUAGAACCCUAAUUUCCCUUUUCUUUUUCUUUCUCUCUUUUCUCCCCUGUUUUCGUUUCAAUUCUAUUUUUUGUUUCCUUUAUUUAUUUGUUUAAUUAUUAUAAUAAUAUAAUAAUAUAAUAUUAAUAUAAUAUAUUUACUUAAAUAAUAAGUAAAUAAUAAUUAUUAAUAUAUGUAUAUUAUUUACACACAUGGAAUUUAUUUUUACCAUACACUUGUUAACACUUGUUAACUUUUGGCUUAAUUUCUUAUUUAGUCCCUCGGCUUUUCUCCAUUCUAUAAUUAAACUUUCACACUUUAUUCAUUUUAGUCCUUAUACCUAAUUAACCUUAAUUUAAGCUAAUUCACCUAACUAAAACCUAAUUUACCACACAACUAACUUUGUAAAUAUUUUUAAUAAAUAUUUAUGAAUCCAUUUUACGAAAAUGGAUACCCGAAAAUACACUUUCUAAUAACCGUAAAUUUCUGGUCGUUACAUUUCUUGUCCCAUUUUUAAUGAUUUUUAUAUUUUUUAGAUCUAGAUAGCCUAAUAUAUCCAUUUUAGAGAUUAAUUUGAAAAGUUAACAAAGUAUGGAAAUUUUGUCAUGGAUGAAUAUGCUGGAAAAUUGAAAUUUAUGGUAGAAUAUGAAAGAUUGUUGAUAGAUAAACAACUUUUACAAAGUGAAUUUUAAUGAAAACAUGAUUUAGGGACUAAAUUGAAAAGUAGUAAAAUUCAUAGAAAAAUUAUAAAUUUUUGUGAAUUGCGUGUGUUGUAAAAGUUAUGUUAAAAAAUUGGUUAGGCUUGGAACAAGGAUUAAAUUGCAUGAAUUUUAUUUCCAAGCCUAGGGACAAAAUUGGAAUUUAUGUAAAGUUUAGGGGCAAAAUGAUAAUUUUGUCUAGAGAGUAAAAUAAAUUCAAUUAAAUAUGAAAUGUGAAAAUUAAUGAUUAAAUUCAUUUAUAUCGAUCCGGAUAAUUCAAACUCGAAGCCUGAUCAGGGAAAGUAAAAGUUUAGAAUUAGUAGAUUUUUCGAAUACGAACCAUUAUCGAGGUAAGUUCAUAUGACUUAAUUUAAUAUAUAAAUAUGAUUGUAUUGAAUAUUGCUUUUGUAUUGAAUUUGAUAUUUGUCUAUGUGAAUUAAAUCAAUGGUAUAUAUAUACAAGACAUGAUUAUAUACUUGAAAAGGAUUAAAUCUGUUUGAAUAUUUGAUAUCGAUGGACAUAUGUGAUUUCCUUAUUGAAUGAGGUCCUGCAUUUAUUGCUGAAGGGAUUUAGCUCGGACGAGUAAUCCUAAUGACCUCAUUUUAGACGGUAUUUAGCUCAGAAGAAUAAUCCCUAUAUUAGCCCUCUCGAGUAUAAGUUGUAGACAGGAUUUAGCUCAGACGAGUAAUCCUGAUACAGUUCAGUAAGCAUUCUGAAUGGUAGUGUACUUGCAUAUGUUGCACAUUACCAAAGCUAUGAAUAAAUGAUUUGAUAUGUGACUCGAGAGUGUACUCUCUGGUUUAGUACCCUAUGGGUACCUACAAUCAUGAAUUGACGAUUUAUAGACUUGUACACAUUGAGUGUACUAUUUGAUUAUUCAUCGAUAUUUCCAAUAAUUCAACGGAUGAAAUUCUUGACAUGAGAAAGUGAUGAGAUAAAAAGUAUGAUAUCUUGAAUGCUUCUAAAUUGGUUGAUGAAAUGUACAUGAUGAGCUCAUCCAUGUUUAUUGAUAUACAUGAUGCCUAUGAAACUAACUUGUUGAUUAAGUGCAUUUGUAUAGGUAACUAUGCCAAGUUGAUGAAUAACAUGUUAUAAUAUGUUUGGAUGUUAAUAAAUUAGAUGGGUAAGUUUAAUUCUUGUUAUAUGAACUUACUAAGCAUAAAAUGCUUACUAGGUUUAUUUUCCUCUGUUAUAUAGUGCUCGAAAGCUCGCGAAGGUUGGAGUUUGGUUGGAGCAUCAUCACACUAUGCACUCGCUCAUUUUGGUAUUAAUGGAAAUCUCAUUUUGGGUAUAAUGGCAUGUAUAGGCUAUUUUGUCAAUAUUGGCAUGUAAAUGGUUAAAUGUAAUCUAGCCGUUAGAAUGGCUAGCAAUAAUAUGUUUUGGUUUAAUUAAGAGGUUUAUCAUGAUGUUGUCUCAUAUGCUCUGUAUGAUUGAUUAAAUUAUGUUAACAUAUAUGUUUACAUAAAGGUAAGAAUAUAAAUGUGAAUGCAUGAUACAAUAUACCAAGUUAAAAUAUGGAAAUUGCUUAGUUAUGAUGCUUGGAUUGGUUAGGAUACAAUUAUAAAGUUCUGUGUAGGUUGUUGGUAAAUUUGGGUGAGAAAGUAAAGAAGUAAAGCUAGGAAAUGGCUUUAUUUUAUCCACACGGGUAGACACAAAGGCGUGUGUCUUGACCGUGUGUGACACACGGCCUGGUACAUGGUCGUAUGGUUAGGCCGUGUGUCCCCUGCACCUUAAAUUCGAGAAACAGAAUGCCCAGUAUUGAGCACACGGGUAGAGACACGGGACACAAGCGUGUGACUUGGCUAUGUGAAAACUGCUUCUUCAUGUUUUGCAAGUCAAAAAGUUAACGGGUUAGUGACACGGCCGUGUGACCUAUGUCACACACCACACAACCUAGGACAUGGGUGUGUCACUUGGCCGUGGGCGUGUGACCCCUGUACAUGACAAUUUUUAAAAUUUUACAAAAAAUUUUAUAAGUUCUCGAUUUGGUCCCAACUCGAUUCUAAUGAUUACUUUGGGCCUCGAGGGCCCAUUCAAAGGAUGUUAUAAUGAAUUACGAAAAAUGUAUAAUAAUUGAUUUGAAAUAUAUGGAAAUAUUCUAUAAUCAUCGGUAAUGCUCCGUAACCCUGUUCUGGUGACGGAUACGGGUUAGGGGUGUUACAAGUAUUGAUAUUUUAGAAAAUAUCGAUACGUAAAAAAAAUGUAUUGAUACUUAAUAGGGUUUGUAAAAAACAAGAUGUCAUUUUGUUAUCGCUUUUAAGAAGGGAAUUGAUAAUUCAUAAAAUAUCGGUACUUAGCUAAAGAGGUAUUGAUACUUUUUGGCCUGAAGCUAUUUUGACUUGUUUGAAAAUUAUUUUAACUUGAUAAAAUGAUAAACACUUACUUAGUCAAAUUUCUUUUAACUUGAUUUUAGAAUUGCUUCAAAAAAAUUUCUAAGAGUUCAAAGUAGAUAUUCAAAAUUUUUAUCACUUAGACUUCAAUUUUAAACAAAUCAUUUUGUUAAUUUUGUUCAAUCUUAUAUUUUAUUCAAAAACACUUCAAUUUCUUAUAUCAAAGUAUUUUAGCAAAUAAAGCUUGGUUUAACACUAUCUCAAUACUUAAAAAAGUGUCGGCCCAAAAGUGUAGUCUUAGGACUAUCUUGUUGUAGUGUCUUGACGAUGUUGUGGAUAGCUCGGUUCAAGUUGAGGGUGCUUCUAAUAAUGCUGAUCUUUCUUCUAUUGUUCCAUCCGAUAGGAAUCCUUCUUCUAUUAGUGUAGCUACUGAUACUGUUAUCUUUACUUCAAUAUGAGAUGAGACAAUAUAGAUUAAGUAGGUCAUGUUUAGUCUUUCUGUAAAACUUUGGUAUUUAAUGCAAACUUUAGCCCUUAUUUGGAUUCCGUGUUUAUGUUAUGCUUCGUUGCAUUUCUUUAUCAACUUAUUGUAUUGAUCUUGUGUAACUUUAUGAAGCUUUUAUUUUUACUACUUGGAAGAUGUAGGAAAUUUUAUUCUUUCCUUAUUUGUUUUAUUGUGCUUUUAGAUUAACUUAGUGAUAAGUGCCCUUGGAGGGUUAAGUCCUUCAGAAGGCUAGUAGUUUUAUUUGCUACUAAUUUAAUGAGCAGUAUCCUUGGAGGGUUUAUGCAAAAUUAGUAGAGCAGAGGAUUGGUUGCACUGUCAUUUUUAGUUACGAUAUGACACCCCACACUCGUUCCGGACAGCAAAUUCAAAUAUAAGACAUUACAUCCGUUGCUAAACAACUUAAACAAAUAAAAACGUGACAUCGAACAUCGAUUCUUUUCACUUCGAAAUGGGUUGUCGUGACAUUGGACUUUGAAUAUAAUUUCUUAGGUUCGAAGUUGGAUGUCGCGACAUUGAUGGCCCUUUUGACCGUCAAAGUUGGAUGUUGCGACAUCCUAGGGUAGUCUACUGACUCCUCGACCUAAAACAAUGUCUUGCACACUUAAUCAACUUGUUAGUCUUUCCCUUAGGCCCAAUUGGCCCAAUAGGUCACAAAACAUACUAAAGUGCUUGUAACACCCCAAAUCCGGCCUAGACGUUAUGGCAGUAUCUGGCAAUGUCACACGAUAGUGUUUUUGAAACCUCGUUGUUAUGAUGAAAACAUUCCAUGUUAUAAUCUUUAGUAAACCUUUGUUAGAACUUAGGAAGUCGUCUUUAUUCGUUUAAGACAUUUGUUUGAGACAUCCCUCGUUGCAAAAAUUUUAAUAAAACAGUCUAAGUGCUCAUGCGUUUAGAAAAUACUUUAACUUUUUGAAAACCAAAUUUCUUACGACCAACAGGUAUAAAUCCAAUAAAUAAAUAAAAACUCAAAUUUAAAACCAAAGACCCAGAGGGUCUUUAAAUUACAACUCAAAUAAUCAAUAAUAAUCAAAUCAUAAAUCGUAAAUUGAAAACCAUGAAGUCCAAAAAUUACUGUGGUCACCGCUAAGUCCUCCAUCGCACCAAUCCGUCAAGUCUAGGGAUUACCUAUGCAUAUUAAACAAAAAGGAUGAGUUUACGUAAACUUAGUGUGUAAUCCCGCAGAAACAAACAAAUAAUCAGUAUUCACAGUGCACAGUUGAACAGUCUUGGGCCUAAGCCCUUUUCAGUAUCAGUGACAGUUUGGGACUCAGCCCAUCUCAGUACAAUGUCAAAACUGCAGUAGGACCUUAGCCCAUCACAAUAUCAGUAGCAGUAACAGUUAUGCAGUAGCAAAAUCCUACCUAACCAGCCUCUAUACACCAUUUUCGUCUAACCCUACACUCCAUGUGGGGAUAUAAAUAACCCACCCAUCCCUACACUCCAAAUAGUACCGAAUGCGGCACAAAACAGUAGUUUGCAGCUGAGCUGCCAGUAAAUUAGGCUUAAAGCCUUUCAGUACACUUCCUCCGAAUAACAGCUCCCAACCCAAUGCAAUGCAACAUACCAUGGAUGAUAUGCUAUUAUGCAAUUUCAGUACAUAUAUUCAGUUCAAAUAUUAAUAUGCUCAGUACAUAUAUCAUUCAGUCAAUUUCACACAUUUAGGGGUCUAAGUAGCGCUUACGGACCUUACAGUAGGUUCACAGUCGACUAGGGCGACCCGUGCAACCUUAGAAACAUUUCGGUAAAAAUGGGCCCACACGCCCGUGUGAGCCCAUUUGGCCCACUCGAACCCAAUUGGCCUUGGCCGUGUGAUCCAUUUUUAAUGUAACCCAUGCUAGCUAAAAUAUUCAUAUAUGUUUUCACUAUUUACUUAUAUGCUCAUUUAAAGUUGUCUACUUGAGUCAUUGUCACUAAAUUAUUUAUAUCUUGAGCUACAGAAUUCCAAAUUAAGAUCCACUUGAUGUUUUCAAAACUAGACGCAAAUACAUUUCUACCAUAAAAUUUUCAAAUUUUAUCACUUAUCAAAUAAGUACAGUAAAAUCUUCAAAAUUAUCCCUAUUCUAUUAUUUGACUGCUUCAACCUUUCCUUACUAAAAAUUAUUUAUCUCUUAGUACAAAACUUGGAUGAUGUUUCCAUUUGUUUCUCUUGAAAGUAGACUCAUUAAGGAUUUAAAUGUAUAAAUUUAAGCCCCUAAUUAAUUUUUUGCAAUUUUUGAUGAUUUUCCAAAUUCAAAAUAGGAGAACCCUAAAUCAUUCUGACCUCGUCUCACAAAAUUCAUUAUAUCUCCUAAUUUACAAUUCCAUUGUUUACACUGUUUCUUCCGUGAAAAACUAGACUCAAUAAAAUUUAAUUUCAUAUUUUAUUCAACCUCUAAAUCAAUUUUCACUAUUUUUGAAGAUUUUUCAAAGUUAGACUACUGCUGCUUUCCAAAACUAUUUUAGUGCAAAAUGUUGAUUUCCAAGGUUAUAACACCCUUAUUUCCUUUCUCUACAAUUUUUUUCGCAUCAUUUUCUCUUAUUUCUCUUAUUUCUCGAUAGCAAGUAAUUUUAGCUUUUCGUCGAAUCCCGUUUUUUGUGUUUCGGGUUCACACCUAGUUUCGUUUGAUGCUAAAACAAUCCACAAGCACUCCAAAGCCUAUAAUUGAACAAAUAACACUAAUUUAAUCUCGCAUAACCUGAUCCCAAAUUGAACUCGUAUCGAGGUUUUAACCCAUAAGCGACUUAACCUUACCUUCAACCGAUGAACAGUAAUUCCCACACAAACUAAGACUCUGACUGGUGAUUACGAGCCCUUGAAUCCUCCCCUAAUUGGCAUAAACAAAACACUUCCGAAGAAAGUUAACAAAUAGAGACAAAUCACUUAUCUAAAACUUACCGAACAAUCGCAGACAAACGUGGAGUGACACGAGGCAAAGUGGGAAAAAAAUAAGAAGAUGAAGGGUGAAAGAGAGCAGAAAUUCGACAGCAAUGAAGAGAAAAACAGCAAGAGGGUGGAGGGAUUUUGGGGAAAGUAAAAAAAAGAAAAAAAAUUAAAAGAAUAUUUGAUAAGCACCCCAAUCCCUUAUUUCUCUCCAUCAAACUCCCCACUAAAUCCACUACUCAGAUUUUUAGUCCAUCUCAAACUCUCUUGGACAUACGAGCAAAAAUAAUGCCCAUGCUAAGAUUCAAACAUAGGACCUCUUUCACACCAACACUCUACUUAUCCAUCAAACCAGCAAGCCCAUUCUGUUAAUUAUUUGUCAACUUUUACUUAAAAGCCUACCGACCAAAGAUAGGGCUUACUCAUAAAAAUACCAAAAUUUGCCCAAGUCCUGCCUUGAACUUGGAACUUCCCAAACACACCCAAAACACUUCACCACUGAAGCAGAUACACAGUUGUGUCACACAUUCACAAUACUUAAAAUUAAAAUUUUGGGGCGUUACAAUGCUUGUUUUAUUGAAUUAAACUAUAACCUUACUAACUUCAUAAAAUGCAUAAAAAACUAAUGCAUCACUUGAUUACAAACUCAUAUUCAAGCUUAAUUUGCCACAGUGAGUUGUGGUCAAUCAAUUGUUAAUAUGAAAAUUAUUUUUUUAGAACAACCAAUUUCUCUCAACCGUAUUUUGAAGCAGUGGUGGAUCCUGGGACAAAGUUUGGAGGGGAGGCUAGUAAAAUUUUUAGGAAUUAUAAUUUUUUUUUGCCAUAACUAUCUAAUACUCAUACGUGUUUAUGCUUAUAAUAUAAUUUUUGUAACUAGUAUAAAAAUAAAUUUUUAAAAUGGGAUUUGAGUGUAAUUACGUAUGUAAUCAUUUUAACUCUCACCCUAUGUAAUCAUUUUAACUCUCACCCUCCCCUAAGAAUUAGAAAGUGUAAUUGAGUGCUCUAAUUACAGCCAAUUCGGUGGGACUCACCAAUCAAUGGUUACCCAAACAUGUCAUCUUUGUGUAAUUACUAGCAAUUACACCCAAAUUCAAUUACUAGGUGGUUUUCCAAACAUUACCUUAAUAUAUUACUAUUGGUUCUUUCUCACUUUUGUUUUAUUUUAUUUUCUUCACUUUUAAAAUGUUAUUUUAUUAUCUUAAUUAUUUUUCAAAAUUAAUAGAAUUUUAUUAUAAAUUAGGAUAGUUCUCAUUUAAUUAACAAAUUUUUAUAUAUUAAAAUUAUAAAAAUACAUUACUUAGUAAAUUAAAAAAAUAAACAAAUACAUAGUUUCAUUAAGAGUACUUUUGUAUUUUCUCCAUUAUGUGGUAUUUUCCCUAUAAAUACAUAGUUUUAGAUUUAUACCUAGAGAUAGCCACCUUAGUAUUAUUUUGCUUUAGAGUUUUCUUUUCUCCAUGAAUUUCUAAAUCAUCUUUUCUAGUCAAAGGAUUUUGAAGUUUGAUUCUAAUAGUUUGUAAGAUCUAAUUGCUCUUCAUCUAUUCUUUGUUCUUUAGUGUUUGCAUGUGUUCUAUUUUAAUCACAAAUAUUCAAGUUUGUUGGAUAUUGGUACCAUAUUCAAUUGCUUAGAACAUAGUGACAAAUAACAUUGUAAUCACUGAAUUUUGUCCGGGAUUAAUUUCGUAUUUUUUUCAAAAAAAAAGAAUUUUUUAAAAAAAAUUAUUACAUUUUGACCCCUAAACUUUUCUAAAAUUAUAUUUUGACCCCUAAACUUUCUCAAAAUUUGACCCCGAAACUUCCUCAAAAUUACACUUUGGCCCCAAAACUUUUGCUGCAUUUACGAUUUAGUCCUUCUAGUAGCCACCAAUGCAAGUUGCACCUACAACGGCGGCGGCCGGCCUAGGGCAUAGCCCCCUCCCCCUCCCCACUUGCUACCUGCAAAAAGAACAAGAAAAUCAGCUAUAAAAAGGGCUUAAAACCCCAAAAAUUGGAACCCCCACUCAUGAAAAAAUUCAAGAAAAAAUAAAGAAAAAGAGAGCUUUUUUUUCAAAAAGAGGAGGAGGAGAAAUCGGCCACUGGAGAACCACUUGCGGAGGCGACUGCAGCAGCACGAGCAGCGAUGUCGACGGGACGAAGGAGGCCGAACGGAGAAGAAGAAGAAAAAAGAAGAAAAAAGAGAAAGAAAGAAGGAAGAAGAAGAAGAAGAAGAAGAAGAAAGAAAAAGAAAAAAGAAAAAGAAAAAAGAAAAAGAAAAAAAAUAAAAAUAAAAAUAAAAAAUAAUAUUUUUUUGAACAGUCGGGUCGACCCGACCAGACCCGACCCACGGGCCGACCCGCGACCGACCCAUCAGCAGUAGGCCAGCCCAAUUCCGAAGGCAGCCCAAAAAGAAAGGAAAAAAAAGGAGCAGAAAAAAAGCAGGCCAAGCAGCCCAAUCCAGCAGGCCCAACAGAUCCAACAGCAGGCCCAAUCAGUGCAGGCCCAGAAGGCCAUCUGCAGCAGGCCUGUGGCAUGCCCAUAAUCGGCAGCAGCCCAGUCCCUGCAGUAGCCCAGCAGCCCAGCAGAAAAAAAAAGAAAAAAAAGAGGGGCCCAAGUCGUGUGACCCGUUCAAUUUAGUUCAUAUUUUCGAGCUUUUAGGUAAUUUUCUUUUUUUUCAUUUUUAAUUUAAUUUGUGUACUUUUAUAAUGUCUCGUAUUUUAUAUUAUGUUUUUAAUAUUUUCUUUAUUUUUAUUUUAAUUUUACAAAACAUCAUUAUAUUUAUUAUAUUUAUUUAUUUUAAUUUUAAAUAAUUUUAAUAAAUAAGGCAACGAAUCGAUUUAACAUUAAGCCAUUGAUUUCAUCGCUAUGUUGGGUGAAUAUUACCGGUUUGUGUUAAAUAGGAGACGCCCUUUUAAAAAUUGAAAAUAUUCAAAAAUUCUCGUGUUUUAAUAAAAUCAAGAUUAAAUAUUAAGUUGAGUCGAUUUGACACUAAUUCGAUAAUUUCAUCGCUAUGUUGAGUGAAUAUCACCUGUUCGUGUUAAAUACAAUACAUCUUUUUUAAAAAAAAAAAUCGAAAAAUUCGUGUUUCAAAAAAUUCUCUUGUUUCAAAAAUUUUCGUGUUUUCAAAAAUUGUUGUGUUUUAAAAAUUUUCAUGUUUUUAAAAUUCUUGUAUUUGAAAAGUUUCCGUGUUUCAAAAAUUUUCGUGUUUCUAAAAUUCUCGUGUUUCAAAAAAAAUCCCGUGUUUUCAAAAAAAAUGUUGUGUUUCAAAAUUCUUGCGUUUUUAAAACAAGAAAUUCCUGUGUUUCAAUUGGAUCACGAUUAAAUAUUAAAUUGAACUUGUAUUUUUGAAAAUUAAGACAACAUGCGCUUAACAAGAUACCAAUUUUGGGCGUUACGAGGGUGCUAAUACCUUCCACGUGCGUAACCGACUCCCGAACUCUAAUUUUCUUUGAAUUUUAACGUAGACCUAAAAUUGACUUUUUUUUAGAAAAUUUGAAAAAUAAUUUUUCUUUUAAAAAGAGAGUUUAUUAGGUGUCCGAUCACACCUAGAAAAAAUAUCGGUGGCGACUCCUUUUUUUAAAUAAAAUCGAGACUCUGUUUUCAAAUUUUCAAUAAUCACUUCAAUUAGCGCCAAUGUACAAAAUAUUUAGGUCGCUACGAACAUGAUUACAUAUAAACUAUGUAUGCAAUUCAUGUUAUGUGGAUACCCGAUUUAAUCUAAAUGAACCCCGUUGGUGUGUGUUUGUUGGUCAGAAAUAAGUUUUAGUCAUUCUUAAUACUACCGAUAAUUAAGCUAAAUCCUAGGCACGAAGUUAUAGGACAUCUUGGUUAUCGAAAGGUAAUGAGAGAUUGUUUAUAGGGUUCUUAAUGCUAGGUGCGACAUGGGCAACUAUAACUAAUUUAUUAAAAACACUAAAAUUAUAUUUGGAUCAUUGAUCAAACUCACUAAUCAAAAUUGAGAUUUUACCUUGGUUAGACUCUCAUUAUAUUGAUUUUGCUAUAUUUUAUUUUGCAAUCUUUUUUUACAAAGUUUUAAUUUUAAUUUUAAAAAUCCUUAUUUUUAUUUUACUUGUUUUAUUAAAGAAUUAGAACAAUCACUAGUCUUUGUGGAUACGACUCUACUCACAGUCAUCUACAAAUUUAUUUAUUUUAUUAAGAAUUUAUUUUUAUAGGUCACAACAACCAUACAACUUUUGACACCAUUGUUGGGGAUUGGUGUCCAUAAUUUUAUUUCCUUUUAAAUUCAAAUAAGAGUUUUCAAGAAGAGUGAAUAAGGUAAAUAUUUCUUUUUCCUAAUAAUCAUUGAGACCAAACGAUAACAUUAAUGAUGAACUUGAUAUUUGUGGGUGUCGAAAUAUCCCUAAAAAAAUGUAUUUCAAAAAUUAAUUUUCCAGGAAACACAUUAUAAAUAAUAAAAUAUCUAAUAACAAAGUAAAAAAAAAAUCGAAGUUUUGGUUCCCCUAUAAUCGAGGGCACAGUUUGCCUUUAACGUGGAUGAUGAGGAAAGUCUUGACGAUGUUGUGGAUAGCUCGGUUCAAGUUUAGGGUGCUUCUAAUAAUGCUGAUCUUUCUUCUACUGUUCCAUCGACUGGGAAUCCUUCUUCUAUUAGUGUAGCUGCUGAUACAGUUACCUCUACUUCAAUAAGAGAUGAGACAAUACAGAUUGACUAGGUCAUGUUUAGUCUUUUUGUAAAACUUUGGUAUUUAAUGCAAACUUUAGCCCUUAUUUGGAUUCCGUGUUUAUGUUAUGCAUCCUAGCAUUUCUUUAUCAACUUAUUGUAUUGAUCUUGUGUAGCUUUAUCAAGCUUUUAUUUUUACUACUUGGAAGACGUAGGGAAUUUUAUUCUUUCCUUAUUUGUUUAUUGUGCUUUUAGAUUAACUUAGUGAGAAGUACCCUUGGCUAAGUCUUUCAGAAGGCUAUUAAUUUAACGAGCAGUAUCCUUGGAGGGUCUGUGCUAAAUUAAUAGAGCAGAGGAUUUGUUUCACUACCUUUCUUAGUUGCAACGUGACACCUCACAUUCGAUUUGGAUGGCAAAUUUAUAUAUAAAACAUUAUAUCCGUUGUCAAAGCAACUCAAACAAACAAAUUGCUGAUGUCAAAGCCAAAUCAAGAAGCAUAGCACAUAAUUCAUAAUUUUCAAAACGCUAAUAAUUAAUUUGUAACUUUUUUUAAUAUAGUUAAUUUAGUGACUAAUGUCGUAAUUUGUCUCACUUAAAAAGAGCCCACCACUUGACUUGACGCAGAGGUCAAGAGAUAUCUCUAAUAAUGGGAAGCAAUAUUUGAUGUUUAUGGUUGAUAUUGCUCUAUGUAAGGGUGUUCAAAUGAUUAAUUGAUCAGUUAACUAAAUCGAAUUAGUAUUUGAUUGAAUUAAUCUAACUUUUUAAUCCUUUAAUUGUUAAUUAAAUCAAUUUAUUUCAAAAAACAUUAACCGAACAAAAAUAUUUCGGUUAAUUCGAUUUGUUAACCAAAAUUUAUAUUUUUUUUGUUUAAAACAAAUAUAAAACAUAUAAAAAAAUUUGAUAAUGUUCAUUUGACCGAAUUAACCUAAUUAAUCAAAUUAGUAAUAGCCUAAUACAUAUGACAUAUAAUAUUAUUUAUUAAGUUUGGUUAAUUCGAUUAAUUACUCGAUUUCGAACCGAAUUAACCAUUAACUGAAAUUUCAAAAAUCAUUUAACCGAUUUCGGACCAAACUAGAUUAGUUAACUGAUCAAUUAACCGAAUUAAAUUAAUCUGAUCAAUUAAUUUAAUUUUAACAGAAGCUUAAACACCAAAAACCAAGUCUUUGUGGAAUUAAAGUUUUGUUGUUAAGACUCACUGGAUUUUUCACAACCACUAUAAUUAGAUUAGAACUAUCUCUCCGCGUAUGCUCAAGUUUAAAAUUUUUUAAUUAAAUUUUAAUUAUCUAUUUUUUAAUUAUUAUAAUAUUAACAUAGAAAUUAAAAUUGUGAUUAUUGUUCAUAGUAGAAUAUAAAGUCUUAAAUUAUGAUGAUAACAUCAUGGAGAAAAUAUUUUAAUUUAAAAAAUGUAUAAAAUUUAUAUAUUAUCUCUUUUACAAUUAUAUAAAAAAUUAUAUUAAUAUAUAAAAAUAAUAAAUUAAAAAAAUUCUGUUUUAAUCGUUUGCCAUUAGAUAUCUAGUGAACUGAUGCCAUCCACUAAUUUGACUCUCAAAAAAUGGAAGUUUGGGAAAGCUAAAGGUUGUUAAAUUAGACAAAAAGAAACAAGAAGCCAUGCCAAUAAUUCCGUUAACAAUUUAACCGGACCAAAGUAGAACUAAACGAUAACAUUAAUGUUGAAAUUGAAAGUUUUUUGUAGUUCAAUGACAAAACAAAAAUACGCUAAUAAUUGAGCCACUCAUUGUGUAAUUUAGCAUUAAUUUAUUUUUGGAAGAAAUUGUAUUUAUGUGAUAAUAAUAAAUUUCAAAAAAAUAAAUUAUUUCUUUUGUCAAAAAUUUGUAAUUAUAAUAAUUUAAAUAUAUAUAUAAAAAAGUAUCCAACAAAUAUAUCAAAUUAUUGCAAUAAAAGGAUGAAGAAAUCAUAAUAUAACAAUACACCAAUUAGAAAUAACUUCAUUUCAAAUAUAAAUGAAAUUUAAUAAUGAAACAAAUUCUAUUAAAGACAAGGACUAAACUAAAAAAAUUAAAACCAAUUAUAGACUAAGAUAUGAAUAUAUAAAUAGUGAAAAGUGUAAUCAUAAACUUUUAAAAUAAAAAUAUUCUAGAAAGCAAUUAUUUCUAAAAAGUAAAAAUCAUUAACUCUUCCACCUUCCGCCCUCUUUUAUUUAUUAUAUUUUUAUAUUGAAUAUACUAUAUUUUUUUACUCUUAGUCUUUACUUGUUGAAAAGGUUACAAAGUUAUCAUAAAUUUCCUAAAAUCUUAUGGCACUUUUCCAAAGAUCCAAUACAGAUUGAUACAAUAGCUGAAUUAUACCAUUAAUUAUUAAAUUAUAGAUAAUCAAACAAGAUUAUAAUUUAGUCAUUAAUAUUUUCAAAAUUAUUUUUAUGGUCACCUGAUUAUUAAGUGGCACUUUUUUGGUUGGUAUGAUAACAAUUUUAUUCUUUGAUUUUUCUAUUAAUUUGGCCCUGGUGCUAAAUAAAAAUUAUAAAUAAAUAAAUAAAUAAUUUCGAAAACAGUAGUCAUCAAAUUGUAACAUUUUUAAUUUAAUGACUAAAACAAAAACUUACCUAUAAUUAAUUUAAUGACUAAUUUCAUAAUUUACCCUUUAUUUUUUGAAAGGAAAUCUUACUUAAAAAGAUACCACCACUUGACUUACACAUAAGUCAAGAAAGGAAAGCAAUAUUUGAUGUUUACUGUUGAUAUUGUUGUAUGAAUGCCAAAAUCCAUGUAUAGACUUAUUUCGAGUGUUUGAAUUUUCCACCAAAAACAAAGUCGCUGUUGAAUUAAAAUUUUGGUGCUAAGACCCAUUGUAUUUUUCACAACCACUAUAAUUAGACGAUAAUUAUCUCUUCACGUAUUCUCGAGUUUAAAAUUUUUUAAUUAAAUGUUAUUUAUUUUUUAUAAAAUAAAUAGUCAGAGAUAAUAAAGAACAAUGAAUAUGAGAGAACAAAAGAGAGUGUGUAUUUUAUUGAUCAAUCAGAAUAUCUACAAACUUUCUCCAAAAUCUGUAACACCUCAAACCUGGCCUAAACGUUAUGGCCGAAUCCGGAGAUGUCACAAAGAAUGGUUUUGAAAACGGAGUUGUCUCGCCAAAUCAUUCACAUUUCAUACUUCACACGCAUUCCCAAUUUUACUGAAAACAUCAUUUAAUUAGUUUGUUUGCUAAAAUGUAUUACAGCAGAAACCUGAAAACAAUCGUUAUGUUUUUAGAAAUGCAGCCGCAUUUUUAGGAAAACAUUUGUUUGCGUAAAAGCUGUCGUUUUCAAUAAAACAUUUCGUCAAAGCAUGCAUACCAUUAACAAUCAAAACCAAAGCCAAAGGUUAAAAAGUCCCAAACAGUCCAGAGAGUCCCAGAAUUUACAAACUCUCAAUGAAACCAAAAUUUAAUAUAAAAUCAUAAAUUAAUAUUUGAAAACAGUUUACGAACGACUGGUCACCACUGAGUCUCCUGCCGCACCGAUCCGCCUAAGUCUGUGGAUUACCUGACAUAAUAGACAAGUAGAUGUGAGUUUACGUAAACUCAGUGUGUAACCCAGCAGAAUUAAGCAUGCAAUCAUACAGAAUCAUAUACAUAAACAGAAACAAAUACAAUACAGAUUCGGGCCCAGGCCCAUUUCAGAUACAGUAAACAGAAUCAGAUAAUCAGAAUCCUAUCCCCAUCCUCUACACACCAUCUCCGACCAUCCCAACACACUAUGUGGGGUUAAAAACACCCACCCAUCCCUACACACUAGGUUGUUCCAUUACAACACGUAUCAGAUAUAGUGCAGCCAAGCUGCCAGAUAAUAGGCGAUGAUCGCCAAACAGAACACUUCCUCCAUCAAUACAAAACCCACCUCACAAUCAUAUACAGGACAAAUACAAAAUAACAUACUAGACAUGCUCAACAUGUUAUGUACGGAUAUCAGAAUAAUCAGAUAUGCAUGAUAUUAUCAUACUCAGAACAAAUCAUCAGUCCAUCAAAUCUACAGUUUUAGGGUUAGGCUAGCCCUUACUGACCCUACGGUAGGCCCACAGUUGAUUGAGACGACCCGUGCAACCCUAGGAUAAAUUUUAAAAAUUUGGGUCCACAUGCCCGUGUGGCUUGCCCGUGUAGGCCUACACGCCCAGAUUGGCCCUUACUAUAUGGCUUGCCUGUGUGGCCCACACGACCACACUCGAGCCACCGCACGGUCGUGUUCUCGCACAUGGCCUACCACACGCUCGUGUGGCGUCGAUAGAACUAUUUUUUGGCUUUUGUUCAAACCUCUUUUUUUGCAUUUCGGGUAUACACCUAGGAUCGAUUUGGUGCAAAAUCACACUCGAGCCUUCCAGAACCUAAAAUCAAAAUUUCCAAAUUUUGAAUUUAGUAACACCAACAAAUCUCCACCAAGACAAUUUCACAACGAAACCUUACAACAUUAAUCAACGCACGCGAAUACUUACCGCUAACAAACAACAACCUUGAAAACUUAAAUCGUCGCAGGAACCCCAACCGAUCCUUGACCUUCGCCUAAAUUGAGAGUAACAAAACAAAUCCUUUCGUUAAACACUUAGCCAAAAAACGUUAAGAUUCUAACAAUACAAAACUUACAAAAAGAAUGCAGUCAAACGUUGCACAAAAAAAACGAGACCGAUUCAGAAAAGAAAUAAAACAGAAGUGGGAAAUAGAGAGACAAUUUUUCUACAAAGAGGAGAACAAAAAGAAUGUCAGUUUUUUUUGGAAAUCGAAAAUUUUGAAAAAAAAAUAAAAUAGAAUUAUCCCAAAUCCCCCCCUUUUUCUCUUGCUAACCCACUAACAUCCAACAUCCUCAGACAUGCAGUUCAACCGAAACUCCCUCCGACAACCGAGCAAAAAUUAAUUACCCAUGCUAACGCAAAAAUUUGAACACAAGACCUCAAACACACCACUCCCUUACCACCUGAACCAACAAGCUCAAUCUAAUUUAAAUUUACAGGCAAUAAAAUAUAUGCCCCCUUACCAAGGAUAAGGCUUAGAUUCAAAAAUAACCAAAAUUUGCUAAAGGUAAGGCUUGAACUUGAGACCUCUCACACAUACCUAGAACACUUAACCACUAAAGCAAACAAAUAUUUGUCAAAAACUUACAAAAACAGAAAUAAGAAAAUCAGGGCAUUACAAAAUCUCUAUUUAUAGGUAUAAAAAGUAUAAAUGAAGUAGAGAUCUCCUAAUGACUAUUAGAAUUUAAAGUACAUCAAAACUUAUCUUGAUCUUAAUGGACAUCCAUAUAAUAAUAUAUUCAUAACAUUUAUUUAUUUUUAAAAAUUAUUAUAAUAUUAACAUAGAAAUUAAAUUUGUGAUUAUUGUUUAUAAUAUAAUAUAAAUGAUAACAUCAUGGAGAAAAAUAUUUUAAUUUAAAAAUUGUAUAAAAUUUAUAUAUUAUCUCUUCAAUAAUUUAAAUUAUAAUGAUAAUUUUUAUAUAUUAAAUUUAAUAUAUUUAAUCUUCCUUUAAAAGAAAUAAAUUACUUGUUAAGUUAUUGCAUUUAUUCUAUGAAUUAAUUUUAAAUUUUAUUUGUCAAUCUUCACAAAAUUAUUAGAUACUUUGAGCAAUUUAGAAAAUCAUUUAAAAAUAGAAAAAUUCCAUUGAAGAAUGAUACUUUUGAUUAUUGAAAGUAUCUGCUGAUUAUCGGACGCAUGAUGUCGAAACCAUUUUUUGGAAUCGACUUUUAUUUUAAAAAAUGAAAAAUGGGAGUCGCCACCAAUCCUUUUUUUAUGAGGUGUAAUCGGGUCACAUCGUAAUUUAAUCGUUUUAAUAAAGGGUUUAAUUUAUUAAAACAACGAUUUUUUGGUCUAGAAACUUUGAGAAAUGAGUUCGGGAGUCGGUUACGCACGAGGAAGGAUUAACACCCUCACAACGCCCAAAAUUGGUACCUAGUUGAUUAAUUAAUGUCUUAAUGUCGAAAAUUGAAAACUUGAAAAGAGUUUAAAAUACAAUCCCUCUUUGUAUUAAUAUCAUGAUUACUUAAAAAAUCUUAAAUAAAUCGAAAAGUAUGUUAAAGACCCUCUCAUCUCGAGGUAACAAAAUGUCACAUCCCGUAAAUUAGGACACGACACUUCAAAUUUUUGAGAAUGAAUUUGCCUUUAUUUUUUAUUUGAAUCUCACAUGUUUUAAUUUUAAAAAGAUAUUAGGUUAUUUAGACCCAACGAGAAAAAAAUCGAAACCCUGUAAGUUAGGGCACGACUUUCUCAAGUUUCCAAAUACAGAAUAUUGUAUUAUUUUAAAAAUUUUGAAUAAUAACAAGUGUAAUAUUUAAACGAUGUGUAUUUUUUAUUUGGAUACAAUACAUCAAUGGACAGACAUAUCUAAACUUAAUGUAUAGUAGUGAUACAUGAAAUAAUAUAAAAUGACUAUAUUGAUAGAAUAUUGGAAUGAUAAAUAAUAGGUAAAUAAAUGAAUACUAUAACAAUAAUAGUAUAACCUUAAUAAUAAUAAUAAUAAUAAUAUUAACAAUCAGAUCAUAGUGAUAAUAAAUAAAAUAAUUUAAAAUAAAUAAGAACAUGGAAGAUGCAUGUUAGAAACUAAAGGUGCGUUUGGUUCGUUGUAUUGGAUUAGAGGUGUAUUGGAUUAGAGGUGUAAUAGCAAACCAACUGUUUGGUUGAAUGUAAUGGAAUAGAGGCGUAAUAGUAAUCUUGUGUUUGGUUGAAUGGAAUAGAGGUGUAAUAGCAUAAUGGAAAAAACUAAAAUGACUAGAAUACCCUUAGCAUAAAUUUGUUUUGGUAAAUGAUUAUUGUUAUUGUUAUUUAAAUUUUAAUAAGAUUAUUAUUAUCAGUAAUAAAUAUUUUAAUCAUAUUUAAACAUAAUUAUUAUUAAAUAUAUUUUAAUUAAAAUAUAUAAUUUAAUAAAAUUCUUAUAAUUAGCAGAUAUUUGUUUUGGUAAAUUAUUAUUGUUAUUGUUAUUGUUAUUUAAAUUUUAAUAAGAUUAUUAUUAUCAAUAAUAAAUAAUUUAAUCAUAUUUAAACAUAAUUAUUAUUAAAUAUAUUAUAAUUAAAAUAUAUAAUUUAAUAAAAUUCUUAAUAAUUAAUAUUCUUAUAUGAAUUUACUCAAAUCAUAAUAUAUGAUACUGUAAAAAUAUAAAUUAACAUAAUUAUUAUUAAAUAUAUUAUAAUUAAAAUAUAUAAUUUAAUAAAAUUCUUAAUAAUUAAUAUUCUUAUAUGAAUUUACUCAAAUCAUAAUAUAUGAUACUGUAAAAUAUAAAUUAACAUAAUUAUUAUUAAAUAUAUUAUAAUUAAAAUAUAUAAUUUAAUAAAAUUCUUAAUAAUUAAUAUUCUUAUAUGAAUUUACUCAAAUCAUAAUAUAUGAUACUGUAAAAUAUAAAUUAACAUAAUUAUUAUUAAAUAUAUUAUAAUUAAAAUAUAUAAUUUAAUAAAAUUCUUAAUAAUUAAUAUUCUUAUAUGAAUUUACUCAAAUCAUAAUAUAUGAUACUAUAAAUGAAAAUUUGAAAUAAUUAAUAUUAAAUAUAUUUUAAUUAAAAUAUAUGAUUUAAAAUAAUUUAAAAUAAUUAUAACUAAUAAAUUAUAUUUUAUGAAUUUGUAUAAUUUAAAAUAAUAAUUAUUACAUAUAAUUUAAUAAUUAAUAUUAAAUUUCAUAAAAUUCUUGAUAAUAAAUUUUCUUAUAUGAAUUUAUACAAUUUAAAAUAAUUAAUAUUAAAUAUAAUUUAAUAGUCAUAUAUAGUUUCAUAAAAUUCUUAAUAAUAAAAUGUUCUUAUAUGAAUUUACUAAAAUCAAUAUAUAACUUGAGAAUUAUAUUCUGCAUAAACAUAAUUAACUUAUAUUAAGAAAAAGUUAGAUGAAAAUGAAAUUGUACAUCAUAAUCCAUAUGUUAUAUAGUUUUACAACAUCAAAAAGUUUGAACAUUGAUAUUUAAUGGUGAGAAAGAAAUCUUCUGACCCAUUCCAAUCGGGCAACAGAAGGUAAACUAAAGAAAACGAUCAUUUGAGUUGGAUGAUCGGGAAUUUUACUCUAAGCAUCAUACCGCUGAUCGUCGGUUAAACCUUCAAUUGACCAUAAGGCUGAAUAUAAAUUUGAAGCUUUCUUUUCCAUCUUUUGAUGUUCUUCUGACUUCUGCUGAACUACCACCUCGGAUGCAAUACUCCUACUGAUUUGAUCGCCAACGGCCUGAAUUUUUCCCCCCAACAAAAUGGCAGCCUCCUCAAAUGAAGAAUACACAUUAUCACGAGCAUCAGAUUUCUUCUUUCUCUUGUUUGAAGAUGAGGAACCCCCUUGGUCUCUAUCUCCUCGCGGAUCCGUACCAGAAACAUCCAUGUGGUCUAAAGAGACGUCAGCUUCGCAGUCAUAGAAUGUGUUUCUCUCUUCAUUCAUAUCUGUAGUACGUUCAUCCUCAGCAUGUAUUUCUUCAAGAACAUCAGCAGCUGUUUGAGCGUCUUUCCCAGUCGCCCGAUCUCUUGCGUAUAUGGCAGUAAGCUGGUUGUAGUAAGGGAAAGAACGAUGUCUGAACUGAGAGGCUUCUUUGUGACUCUAAAAAAAACAAGGAAAUCAUAUUAGUUAUAAGUUUUGUAAAAAAACAAAUAAAUACUUGAAAUACAUUUUACCUUAACAUAGGAUUCCCAAACUGCAUCUUCAGCAACAACGAGCUGCCUAUGCUCGUCCCAACCAAAGCCGCUGUUGUUUUGACCAUUAAGCAUGUCGUAGACGACUGACCAUUCCCUUUUUAGGCACCUAAUCCGAGAUUCAAUAUUUGGUCUCGCCUUCAACAUUGCUCUUGGUAAAGCCUUUUCUAGCAUUUUCUCUAGCUCGUUCAAAUAACCGACUUUGAACCCGGUAUCAGCAUUAAAUGUUCCUACAUUGUGCAAAUCCACCAUGCAAGAAACCAAGGCUGCAUCCUCUUCUGGAACCCAUUUUAUUUUGCUUCCUCGAGAAGCUUGAGAAGAAGCACCCGUUGGUGGAACACCUGACAUAUUGUUCUUAAGAAAAAAAAAACAAAUUAACAUUAUUUACUAUUUUGAAUAUCAUGAAUCAAAAGGUGAACAAUUUAUAAUAUUAUAUCGGUAGUUCAAUACUAAAUUUAAAUUUAUAACACAUGCUGAAUGAAAAGAUAAUUAAAUUAUAAUUCAACAAAGUUUAGUACAAUACAGAAUUUUAAUCAAAGACCACCAAAGUUUCAUAAACUAGAUACAUAAAAUAACAUCAACAAAUCAAUUCAAACUCAAUUUGUCCCUAAACCUAACUAAUUUCUAGAUGCUUGCCAUUCAUCGAACAUUUGGUUGGCUAGUUCCAUCCUCCAAGUUGCCCAAGCAUCCGAUGGAUGAAUAUUUGUGAUAUUCAGCUCAUCGUCAUCCACAACAUUAGUAGGUAAUCCUUCUCCCACCUCCGCUUCAAUGGGAUCAAUACUCAUAUGGGUUCGAAUAAAAUUAUGGAGCAAACAACAUGCAAUAAUAAUUCUAUUGUUAGAAUACUAAUUUAAUUCUAAGUCAACUAAAUGUUGUACAAUCUAUAUAUAAAACUCAGUCUAAUACCUUAAACCAUUUCCACCUUGUGUCAGAAGAAUCGGCUGUAAUUGGCUCCGGCUUUUUAAAUAAGACAUCUUGUAAGCGUAUGACAGCAUUUAAAACACUAUGAAAUGCUCUGCUUGCAGUUUCCCUGGACCUUCUAAAGUGAUGCUUGAUAACUCGAUUUUUAAGGUGAUGGGAGAUGAUAUGUAAAAACAUUGCUACUUGCUCAUCAAGAAGCAUGAACCUCGACGACUUCAAUCCCCCUAUCGAUUCUAACAUCUCACAUAGUUUAAAAAAUGCAGUUCUAUUCAUCCUAACUUGUUCAAUACAAGUCUCGUCACUAGCAUAUACAAGCCUCUUCACAUAAUCCCGUUGUGCAUAAAAAUCUACGGUAUAGGACCUAAUCCUUGGUCUAUAAGUAUGUAGGCUAAGGCUGGCACCCAUUCUAAAUAAGAACCAAAUCGCGAUUCUACAGAUUUCCAACCAAAUUGUCAAUGCAGCACCGAUUCUUUUACGCCUCACACUUUGUGCAAUUAAGGGCAGACGAGCCAUUACUGCACCAUAUUAAAAUUAGAACUCAGUAUCAAUCGCCUCACACUUUAGAGAUGCAAAUUUAUUAAAAUAAAUAUCGUAUAAGAUAUCUUUUUCAAUUAAUAAAAUAGAUAAUUCAUUCAAUUUUUGUUGAGAUAUUGUUAAUCUUCAGUAAGAUUUUAUCAAUUUUAAUUUUUAGAGCAUUUUCUCCGUUGAUGCAACAAAAACAUGAGUUAUUAACAUUAUACGCAUUUGAAAAAGGAAUAAACUCUUUAUGAAUAAUUAUGUCAAUUGAGUGUCAUUUUAUAAUUUGAUAAUUUAUUUGAAAAUAAUAUUAUAAUAAUUUGAAUUAAAUAAGGAAUUUGAAUAUUAUUAAUUUAAUAACAAUUAUAUAAGCAUCGAAAUUGGAACUUGAUUGAUUGUUUAUAUAAGUACCGAAUUAUAUUUUAAUUAAAAUAUGCAGAUUUAAUCUUAAAUUUGGAUAUUAUAUAAGCAUCGAAAUUGGAACUUGAUUGAUUGUUUAUAUAAGUACCGAAUUAUAUUUUAAUUAAAAUAUGCCAAAUAUAUAUUAUUAUCAUUACCAAAUUUCUACUUGGGACUUGGGUGAUUACUUUUCUUUACAAUUAACUCUCUUCAACUUUUCAAUCUUUUAUUUUAUUUUAUUUUAUUUUAUUUUAUUAACAUUGUAGCCUUAAAACAACUACCUAUUUUAUAAUCGCUUUAAUCAACACGUAGUUGAGGUUCGGGAUUCGAGUUUUGAUUUAUUUUAACACAUGGGUUCUUCUUAAGGGUAAGCAGGAAAAUUCGAAAAACCAAAAAUUAACUUGAACUAAUGUGUUUGGACGGUUUAUGAAAUGCUAGUUUUAAAAUGUGAAACCCAAAUCAUUUCUAUUUUUAUUUAUUAUAUAAUUAAUUUUAAUAUUUUAUGAUAUAAAAAUAAAAUUAUUAUAUUUACAGUAGUGAAAAUAAUUUAAAAGUUUUUGAAAGAUUAUUAUUUUCUAGAAACAUUUAUGAAAAUGUUUUUGAAAUUUUGUCAAAUAAUAUUCAAAAAGCCAUAAAUAAAGCUCUUUUUGUUAAAAUAAAUCUAAAAGCUCAAAACAAAAAUAUUAUAAGUAAUAUAAUAGAUAGUUGAAAAAAUUCAAAAGACUCAAUUAAAUCAAACCAAUAGAACCCUAAUUUUCCCCAAAUUUAUUAUAAGUAAUCAGUAAUCGAGUUAUUUUGCAUUGAAGUUGAUUUAAAAAAACUAUGAAAAUUUUAAAAAAUAAAAACUUUUUUAAAGAAACAUAAUACAAUCUUAAUUACAAUACAAAAUAAUACACGUUAGAAGCAUUAGCCUUUCAAAUUUUCAAAAAUACAGAAUACAUUCAAAAUUAUUAAUAAAUGGUCGGGUAUUACGUUCCUAAUGGAAAGACUCAAAUUUAAACUUUAGAGACGACAUUAUUAAAAGAGAAAAGCACAAACUCUAAACAUAAAAAAAUAUAUAUAAUACAUUUAAAACUUAAACCGAAAUAAAUAUUAACUAAAAAUUCGCACAUGAAUGACAUAGGAUGAGACUCUAACAUAAAAUUUUAAAGAUUUUUAAAACUUCAACCAUACAAGAUACUGUUUAAUUUAAAGAAUUUAAAAAUAACAGUUGAAAGAAAAAGAUUACAUGUUUUUCCCAUCCCGUCAAAUCAAAUUAACUUUUUUUUUCUAUAAUUUUAUAGUAGUAGCAUAAUUUAUUGAAUCCACUCAUGAACAAGCAUGAUAAAAGAAUGCGAAAAAUUCAGCAAAAUCAUGCAAAUAACAUCAUUACGCAACUACCUUUAGAUUCAAGUAAAUUGGACAUUCAUGAUGACUUGGAUAAUAAAAUUACUAUAAUGAGAAAGGGCAAUGCUCAGAAAGCCUUCAAAGUCGAUACAUAUAUGAGAUGGAGAGUAGGUUAAAGAGUUACAUGCAAAUAAGACAUUACCAGAAUUAUAUUCUAUCCAAUAAUUGAAGCGGAGUGGGUUGAAGGAUGUUUUAUUAGAUGGGGCUAUCAAAGUAGGCUUUCUUAUUUCUUCUAAGGGAGCUUAUAAUGUUAGAACCAUGGAAGAAUGAUCGAAAUGACAAUAGGUAAUUAUUUUGGUAACUUGGAGUGCUGCUGGUUUUAUGUUCUAGUAAUGUAAUUUUUUAUGGUAGAGUUAACAAUCUUGCCAGUAUCAUAUUAGAGAGAAUUAAGUUAAAAGGCUCAUAGUUCUUCAAUACUAAUCUCAGUAACAGUAAAAAAAAUCAAAUAAUUUAAUUGCAAAAAAACUUACAGUGACUCAGUGAAUACAAGAGGCUUAGUUAUGGGUGGAGCAAGCAAGCCAAGGGACUAAGGGAGUAGUGCUAGUGGCCGGAGGCGAAGCAAGCAAGGGAGGUUGGGACUGAGAGGUGAAAAUAAAAAUACAAAUUCAAUAAUAAAAAAAGAAGAAGAAAAAGUAAAGCAAUAUGUUUGAAGAAGUAAAACAACAUGCCUAUAACAUAACGAAUAAGAAACACAUAAAUAACAUAACCCAACAAAGAAGAAAAAGCUAAAUAGGAAUAUUUCAUGAUGUGUAAUAGGAGAUGACUAGCACUUCGAAUUUAAAGGAAUUUAUGUUAUUUGGUUUCAUAGUUUAGGGAUUCAUCAGCUGACAGUUGGUCUAGAUCAUUGGUCCAGAUACAACUUCACGAAUGAGUUUCUAUUUGGUUUCAAUGAUUUUUAACUCGUCUUCAUUGUCUUGCUCUGCUUAGCUUUGUUACGGAAAAAAGGUUUCAUUUAACUAGAAACUCAUGGUGUCAGGGUUUAUUCCAAGAAAUCCACUAAUUACUUCUUCAACUAUGUUUAGAAAAAAUUAUAAAUAAGGACAUACAUUCUUAGUAAAAAUACAAUUUACUUAUCCAGUUCAGCUAGUAAUAUACACAUGACUAGAAAGCAAGAGGGCAAAGAAAUUAAGUAAAUUAACCUCAAAAAAUGUACUCUUACAGGAAUCGUAGCUUUUGAAGCUUGCCCAGAGUAGAUGGAAUGUGUCCGGUUAAAGUAUUCAAGUAAAGAUCCAAGCUCACUAAGUUGGUCAAAUUUCCAAGAUCCUCUGGGAUUAUACCAGAUAUGUUAUUACUAUAAAGCUCCCUGUCAUAAAAAAAUGGUAAUCUUCAGCAAAAGAAGUUUAAUAGAAGCACAUAAACCAUGCAUGUAUCUAUGAAAAUGCAACCAAAUCCAAUGGAAAGAUGACAACAGAUGCAAACCAUUGUGUAAUGACAAAAGCAUAGAACAUCAUUGUUUACAACUAUUUCUACUAGUAUACCUGAAUAACUCAGACAUUCUGGUCAGUUUUGGUUACUAGGAUGACAAAAGCAUGCUGGUGUUUUGUUUUUCCUUUAUGUAUGUCUCAAUAUUCUAACAAUGAGAGGUAGCAUGUAAGAAAUGAGUUAUCUAUUUUGGGGUCAACCAAAAAUAGACUAGGCCUACACUAUUGACUUACAAAUUCUGCAAAGCCGGAAGCUGUCCAAGCUGUGGAACCAAAUGACCAAACAGAUUUGCAUUCCCGAGGUCCCUAAAUUGAGAAGGAAGAAAGCGUUUACUAAAUGCUUAUCAGGAAUGAGUUUCUAUUUGGUUUCAAUGAUUUUUAACUUGUUUUCAUUGUCUUGCUCUGCUUUGCUUUGUUACGGAAAAAAGGUUGCAUUUAACUAGAAACUCAUGGUGUCAUGGUUUAUUCCAAGAAAUCCACUAAUUACUUCUUCAACUAUGUUUGUAGGUACCACUGAAAACACAUGAAAAGAAGUCUAUCUUAAAGUUUUUCUCAACAAUGAAAGUUAAAAAGGAACAAGAAUCAAACAUGGAACAAAGUGUGUGCGAUGAAUAUGUCAAAAAAAAUUUGCUGAAUAACUUAAAGGAGGAACCUAAAAGUACAGAUGAUAGACUUGCAUCCUUAACAGAUAAAAUCGUUCACCUCUUUUAGUAAGCAAUUCACCAUUCAAGUGCUUUCUUUUACACAACAAAUCAAUAAGAACAACAGAAGAACACAUGCAACCCCAAAUCCCCCUUAAAAACGCUUCUUUUCCUUUGAUUAAUUAAUGCUUUUAACAAUUUAAACCCAAAAUGAAACAACUUCCAAUUCCCUGUUAGAACGAACCAACAAAGCCUAUAUACUUAAUCAUGAAGUAAAGAAAAAAAAAAGAAAUCACCCACUAAUAAAAAACAUAAAGGUCUUUUUUUUAAAUGGUGCAAUACAAAACCAAAAGAGCUAAAAACCUCAGUAAAUGAAUGAUAUUAAGUUAUUAACAUACAAGGAAAAUGAUCAUAGUUUAUAUGAAGAAAAAAUACCUGAAACUAGGUUAAAACUUCUGGGUCUGUUACAGAAAACAAAGAAAGAAAGGAGAAGCCUUUGUAAAUUUUUACUUAGAAAGAGAAAAACAGAAGCAGCUCUCUUCUUACCUUUCUCUAUGGCAUGCUCGAGAAGAAUUUGGGGCUACUGGCCGAAGGCGAAGCAAGCAAUGAAGGAGAUAAAGGAGAGACAAACCCAGGAAACAGAGGGCAAAUUAGGGCGUGAAAACUAAAACGGAUGUAAACUGAAGAGAAGGCAAGGAUUAGAAAACAGAGAAUUCUGAGGAUUAGGGGCGUAACGUAUUAGGGGUGUAUUAGGCAAUACAUUGAACCAAACACCUACUUAAGAGGGGCUUAAGUGGGGCCCACGGAUUAGGGGUGUUUUGGCUAAUCCAAUACACCAAACCAAACAUAGUGUAAAUGACAUGAAAAUGCCAAAAAUAAUAAAAGAAAAAAUGAAGCAAUAAGAGCACACCAAAAAGUAAAAAUAAGAUAACAAUGACGAUAAUAAAUUAAAAAUGUGACAAUAAAAGCAUGUGUACAAUCCAAUUUACGAGUAUGUGUAAAAAAUAAUAAUAAUAAUAAAUAUAUGAUAAAUAUAUGGGUACUAAUAAUAAUAAUAAAUAAAAUAAUAAUCAUGAUAACAAAUGCACAAAAAGAAAAUAAAAAAUAAAAAAGCUAAAAGAAAAAAGAAAAAAAUCACGAUAAAGGAAAAUAAAAUAAAAAACAGUUUUAAAUAUUAAAAAAUGGUAAAAAAAACUAAUAAAUAAGUAAAUAAGCAAGUAAAUAAAUAAAUAAAGGACUCAAUCGCAACUUAAAUAGAAUUAAAAGUAUAAAUCAAGAAAAAUACAUAAAUAAAAUACCAAAAUGAAAAGCGUGAAAACAAACGAGGACCAAAUGAGAAAUUAUCCCAAUCCUCUGAACAUGCGUCCCUUCUCCAUGAGAUUAGCGAGCCAGGGACUAAAUUGAAAUGCGUGAAAACUUCAGUGGCCAAAUCUAUAAAAAAAAGAAGUAAAAAAGGGACUAUAUUGAAACGUGAUGUAAAAGCGGAAGGAUUGACUACGCAAAUAUGCCAAUUUUCAAAAACAAGCGGAUCCCAAGGGUUAAUGGAUCGGGAAAUUGGGUCGGCCCAAAACGACGACGUUUUGGGCAUCAGAAGCCAAUCCCAAAGCGACGUCGUUUUGGGGGGGCUUAUUUAAGUUAAUUUUUUUCAAAAAAUUUCAUUUCUCUCUUGCUUUAUAAAAAACUGCUUUCAACUCUUUUUUUUUCUCUGAAAUUUCCCUAGGGCCGGCCAUCCGGUCCAGUGGCCUCUCGUCGACCACCGGUCACCGGUGACAAUGCCGCCGUCCAUGGUGGUCGAAACCCCUAAAAAAUCCCUUUUUGGCCCUUUGUUUAAAAAAAACUUAGGUUUUAGAUCUAAAGGCAAAUGCCUAAAAAAUAGAAAAAAAGAACAAAAAGAAAUUCGGCCUCUGCCCUUUUUUUGCCUAUUUGCCCUAUCGUGUUCCCUUCUUGACGAAGGCCGAACGGUGCCCUAAGGACCUACGACAAGCGUGACGCGAGUAGACAGGUAAUAGAUUUUAUUUUUUUUAUUAUUUUCCUAUUUUAAGAAUAAAAAAAAAAGUGAGUCACCCAUUUUUUAAUCUGAUUUUCUUUUUCAAAAAAAGUCCCUUGAUACAAUCUGUUUUAUGGCUUUUAUAGCCAUCACAUACAUUUUUCUAUAUUUUUACUGAUUCUACUAUUCUUGCUUGGUUGUCUUUCGUCCUUUUUCACUUUUUUUACAGGCAUCGACGCGCGGUCAACAAUGGGGAGAAAAUGGCGCCCUUGCUAUUUUUUUGAAAUGGCAGCAGGGGCAUCAGACCUCGGGACGAGGUGCCUCGAGCGGCGUGCAUACGAAAGGGGGUGCGAGCUAGAGGCUAGGGUUUUUGUUUUUUUUCUAAAAUAGUUUAGGCUAUUGGGUCUAGGGCCAUAGGGUUUUUUUUAAUUUUGGGCCAUUUGGGCUUGUAACAUAUUGGGUUAUAUUUGUUGUAAAUGAACAGUUUUUUAUUUUGGACUUUAUUAUUUUUGGUUUAAAUUUUUGUAAUUUGGGCCUAGGCAAAAUUGGGUCAUUACAACUGCCCCUUUUUGCUCGUUGACAUGUAACGUGAAUAGAGCAAAGGCCUUAAAAGGGUCAACUUUGCCUGGUCUUGCCGAAUCUCAACUUCUUUGGUACUUCUCUUUUUUAAGUGGUUUCAUCCUAUCCCACAGCAACUUCAGGGGUAUAGGAAUUGUAGUUUCAAUAUACUCCACUACAACGUCAAGGAGAUAAGAUUUGUAGCUUGUAGCUUUAGUCUAUUCCACUGCAACUUCAGAGAGAUAAGACCUGCUAUGGUAGAUUUAAUCUGACCCACUGCAACUUCAGAGGUAUAGGACUUAUCGUUUCAAUCUACUCCACUGCAACUUCAGGGAGAUAAGAUUAGUAGCUUCAAUCUGCUCCACUGCAACUUCAGGGAGAUAAGAUUUGUAGCUUCAAUAUGCUCUACUGCAAUUUCAGAGAGAUAAGAUUUGCUAUCUUCGAUCCACUCCGCUGGAAUUUCAGAGAGAUAAGAUUUGUAGCUUGUAGUUUUAGUUUAUUCUACUACAACUUCAGGGAGAUAAGACCUACUAUGGUAGAUUUAAUCUGACCCACUACAACUUCAGAGGUAUCGGACUUAUCAUUUCAAUCUACUCCACUGCAACUUCAGGGAGAUAAGAUUAUUAGCUUCAAUCUGCUCUACUGCAACUUUAGAGAGAUAAGAUUUGCUAUUUUCAAUCCACUCCACUGCAAUUUCAAGGAGAUAAGAUCUGUAACUUCAAUCUGCUCCACUACAACUUCAGGGAGAUAAGAUUUGUAAUUUGUAGCUUUAAUCAAUUCCAUUGCAACUUCAGGGAAAUAAGAUUCGCUAUCUUCAGUCUGCUCCACUGCAACUUUAGGGAGAUAAGAUUUGUGGCUUUAAUCUGCUCCACUACAACUUCAGAGAGAUAAGAUUCACCAUGAUGACUUCAAUCCAUCCCACUGUAACUUCAGGGGUAUAAGAUUUGUGGCUUUAAUCUGCUCCACUGCAACUUCAGAGAGAUAAGAUUUGCCAUGAUAACUUCAAUUCAUUUCACUACAACUUCAGGGGUAUAGGAUUUGCGGCUUUAAUCUACUCCACUACAACUUCAGGAAGAUAAAAUUCACCAUGAUAACUUCAAUCCGUCCUACUGCAACUUCAGGGGUAUAGGAUUUGUGAUUUCACUGAUCUAUUACACCGUUCUCUAGGGAACAUAACCUGUAGAAUCCAUUUCAAGGGCCUAUAUUUAUGCCAAGUAAUUAGGAUGUUAUGGUCAGAAUGAAUCAAAUGCUCCUAACUAGAUGUGUAUGAAUGAUAUUUGCAUGAGUGCAGAAUGUUAUUUUUCGAGAAUGAUCCCCUUUUAAUGCUUAGGUUGUCAUUGCGCGUUGUUCAUCAAGGUUCUAUCACUGAUGUGUUUCCAUGCCUUCUUGUUUAGCUGGUAUCUUUGACAGAAAAUCCGAAGAAAUAGUCACAAUUUAGACUAUUCUUUCUCAAAUGUUUCCAACCCUUAAGUUUGGUUAGUUCUAACUAGUAGUCCUAUUUCAAGUUCCUGUACUAUUUAGAAGCCUUUCAGAGAAAUAUGCAAAACUCAUUUUACUUGAAUAUUAUUAGUCCAUUAAUCGUUAUUUCAAUGUAAAAAUGCUUGAAAAAGAUUGUAACAAUAGACAAGAUUGAAAUUUAUUGGGAGCAAGGUUCGAAAUGAAUGGAUUAACCAAAAUAGCAAACGUUGCUAAAAUACAAAAUAAGUAAGAUGAAAUUAGGUACCCCAAAUAUCGCAGCAUGAGCUUCUUUGCACAAACUUCUUGAGAACCAUUUUGAGCUUGAUAUGUGUUUAGGAGAUCCAGAGUACUUUGUUGAUGCCCCAAUACGUAACGUUCCUCCUCCUUGUUAAUUUUGAGAGGACAAGACUACCGCAUGCCCCAUCUUCGAUCAAAAUUUGAGCUGUCCUUUUUCGGGUUUUCAACUCAAAACCUCUUUGGUCUCAAGGUGCCUUUUGUGGGUUUUAGCCUUGGCCUCUCCUAUUUGUUUCUUUCUUUUUUUUUAGGUGAAAUACCUCUUGAUUGAAUCUGACUUCACAGGGUUAGGCAGGUUUUUUGCCAUCCAUUUCGGUCAGAAUCAGCGCUCCUCCAGAAAAUGUCUUUUUUUACCACAUAAGGUCAUUCCCAACUUGGCAUCCACUUUCCUCUGAAGUCCUUUUGUAUGGGAAGGAUCUUUUUCAAUACUAAGUCUCCCUCAUGGAAUUCUCUGGGGUGAACAUUUUUGUUGUAAGCUCGCAUCAUUCGUUUUUGGUACAUCUGAUCAUGACGGAUAGCUUUCAACCUCUUAAGUUCAACUGAUCAUAUCGAGAUUGGACUCAUUCUGCUUCAUCUAACUUCAACUCUGAUAAAACUCGGAGGGAAGGAAUCUCGACUUCAAUCGGGUCGGCCCAAAACGAUGCCGUUUUGGGCGUCAGAAGCUAAGCCCAAAACAACGUCGUUUUGGGGAGCUUAUUUAAGUUUUUUUUUUUUCAAAAAAUUUCAUUUCUCUCUUACUUUUAAAAAACUACUUUCAACUCUUUUUUUUCUCUAAAAUUUCCCUAGGACCGGCCAUAGGGUUCGGUGACCUCCCGUUGUCGACCACCAGUCGUUGGCGACGGUGCAGCAGUCCACUGUGGCAGGAACCCCAAAAAAUCCCUUUUUGGCCCUUUUUUUUAAAAAAAAAAACCCUAGGUUUUAGAUCUAAAGGCAAAAGCCUAAAAAAUAGAAAAAAAAAAAGAAUGAAAAGAAAUUCGGCCUCUACCCUUUUUCUGCUUAUUUGCCCUCUCAUGUUCCCUCCUUGACGAAGCCCGAACAGUGCCCUAAGGACCUACGACAGGCGUGGCGCGAGUAGACAGGUAAUGGAUUUUAUUUUUUAUUAUUUUCCUAUUUUACGAAUAAAAAAUAAAAAAAAGUGAGUCGCCCUUUUUUUUAAUCUGAUUUUCUUUUUCAAAAAAAGUCCAUUGAUGCAAUCUGUUUUAUGGUUUUUAUAGCCAUCACAUACAUUUUUUUAUAUUUUUACUGCUUCUACUGUUCUUGCUUGGCUGUCUCUCGUCCUUUUUCACUCUUUUUGCAGGCAUCGACGCGCGGUCAACAGCGAGGAGAGAAGGGCGCCCUUGCCAUUUUGGUGAAAUGGCGACAGGGGCGUCAGACCUUGGGACGAGGUGCAUUGGGCGACGUGCACACGAAAGGGGGGUGCGAGCUGGAGGCUAGGCUUUCUGUUUCUUUCUGAAACAGUUUAGGCUAUUGGGUCUAGGGCCAUUAGGGUUUUUUUAAAUUUUGUGUCAUUAGGGCAUACGAAAUGGAUAGUUUUUUAUUUUGGACUUUAUUAUUUUUGGUUUAAAUUUUUGUAAUUUGGGUCCAGGAAAAAUUAGAUCAUUACACAUGAUAUUUUAAAAACUUCUCUUAAAAGAGUCUGACCCCUCAACAAUGUUAUAGAGCAAUAAUUUGAAAUAGUCAAGAAACUUGUAGGAAGGGUAUAGCAAGAGGGUUGGAGGGUUGACGCCAGAAGUCAAGAGAUAUCUCCAUAAUGGUCACUUGUGUUGAGUGGUCUGCUUUUCUUCUAAGGGGUGAUUGAAUUUUCUACAUUGAAAACGAAGGUAGAGGACAAUUGCUUUUUUGUCACUAUUGCUACAAAUGCCAUUGAAUUUCCACAAGAAAUUUAUCCCAUAUUUAGUUAAGGGAACCUCACUUGACUUGACGCACAAGUCAAGAUAUAUCUCUGAAAUGUAAGUAUUAUACACUUUUAUUUUUCCUAUUAUAUCAAAUAAUUUUUUUUAUAUUUAUGUCAUGUAAUUAUAUUAUGCGGUAAAACGUAAAAUUCUAAUGAAUAAUGACUUUCGAUAUUGCCUAACGUGUCAUCAUGUCUAUGCUAUUUUUGUAUUAUCCUUGUUUUCAAGGCAAUAUAUAUUUAUAUAAAUUUUUUAAAUUUUGUUUUAGGUAGAUUUUUACAUGUUUUUUAUUCAUGUCAUGUUCAUUUUUUUAAUUUUUUUCAUAUUUUAUUUAUUGAAUGUUGGGCUUAAAAUAUUAUAAACGUUCCUAAUUAUAUAUUAAUUUUACAUUAAGUUUUAACAGAUAAAUUUAGCAUUAUUAUAUUAUAUUAUACUAAAUUUCUUAGGUCAAAAUUAUCUUUGAUUUUUUAUCCAAUUAGAUAUUCCUACACAUUUUUUUAUUUCUAAUAACAAAUUUAAAAUUAUCUAUAUCUAUCUAUAGUACAAACUAGCUCUUAAGAGAGUUUUAAGAGUAAAUGAGUUGAUAAUAGUGUUUUUCAAUUUUAUCUAUAUAUUAAUAUUUUUAGCUCUUAAAAAUCUAAAUUAUAUUUAAUAUUUAUUUACAACUCUAAAUAUCAAAGCUUGAUUAGAUAUAGGUUAUUUGAACUUUUCAUUUUAAAUAAAUUUGAGGAAAUUAAAAAUGGAAAUUUUAAUUAAUUUUUUUAAAAAAAUAACAUGAUUUUGAUUCAUUUCAAUGUAUAAUAAUUUUAAACUAACGUUUUUUCUUCAGUAAAUUUCACUUUAAUCCCUUUCUUUACUUCUUUUAAAGUUAUUUUUAUUUUUUGCCCUUUAUUUUUCUUCUCAUUUAUAAAGUCUUUAAUCUUAUAUGUUUCGAGUAUCAAAGUGUAAAUAAAUAUAAAUAUUAAAAAAAUACCUAAAUUUUAAAAUAAAAAUAAUUAAUAAUAAAUAUUUAGCUUUUGUAGUACAGAUGUAUAAUUCAGACAAUUUUAAUAUAACAAAUAAUCAAGUAACUGGGAUUUAAUAUUUAAUUAAAAAUAUUCAUCCAAAAAUUGUAAAUCGCAUAACAUUAAAACUCUUUAAAUAAUAUGUCACAUACAUGAUCCCUUUUUUUUUUUUUGUAAAUAUACAUGAUCUGUUUUUAUUUAUAAAACUUCCUUUUACCUCAUUUUUCUUCAUUAAUGUCUAGAAAUUUGAAGGGAGUCCUGUACCGAUUACAUUUGAAACCUAUCAAGAAUGAGCUUUUGAUUGUUAUAUUAGAUGUUUUCCUAUUAGUUUAAGAUCCCCAAUAAUUAAGCAUGCUUUCUUAAUAAUUGGAAAAUAUUUAUUUAAAAUAUUACUUUUGAAAGUAUUUCUGUGAAGUGUGUCUCAUAUUUUCGGUCAAACUAAAUGGCAAAGCAGGGGCAGCGUCGCGACAUUCGAAACUAAAUCGAAGCAGGGCCGAUGUCAUGAUGAGGGGACCUACGAUGUCGCGACGAUGCGACGAGACAACCACGUCUCUUGACAACUCUAUGGAUUUUCUUUCUUCCCGUUGAACUUUGAUUCUCGGUUCUCUUUUCCUAAUUUAACUCUAACUAUUCUAGGGAUAUUUUUGUAAUACCCUAUAUGUUACACCCUUAACCAGUCUCUAUCGUCAGAUUAAGGUUACAAAUAUUACCAAGCAAAACAGAACAUUUAACUUCACAACAGAAACAAUUAUAUUAAUUAAAUGUAAUCAUGGUAAAAAUACAAUUAUAGGUCUUAACUCGAGUUUACAGGACCCAAAAAACAGUUUGGGAACAUUUAGAGAUCAAUUCGAAACAAAUCAAAAAAAUUUGAAAAAACAUGAAAAUUUUAGAAACAGGGAUCACACGAUCGUGUGACAUAGCCCAAAUUGUGUGGACAUUCGAAUUCUGAACACACAGUCGUUUCCCAACCCGUAUGAGUAUUCGGAAUAAGGCUACACCAACAUGUUACAAUUAAGUCCUGUGUCAAACCAUGUGUGCAUUCGAUACUUUUGUCACACGACCUGUGAUGAAAACAAUAAUUAUACACGGAUGUGUAGGGUGACCGAAAAUUCAUAUACAGACUUAUUUUGAAUGUUGUAAUUUUCCACCAAAAACAAAGUCGCUGUGGAAUUAAAAUUUUGGUCCUAAGGCCCGCUGGAUUUUUCACAACCACUACUAUUAGACUAGAAUUAUGUCUCCACGUAUGAUCGGGUUUAAAAAAAUUAUUAAAAAAAUUAUUUAUUUCUAAAAUUAUUAUAAUAUUAACAUAGAAACUAAUUUUGUGAUUAUUGUUUAUAAAGAAUAUAAAGUAUUAAAUUAUAAUGAUAUCAUCAUGAAGAAAAAUAUUUUAAUUUAUAAAAAGUAUAAAAUUUAUAUAUUAUCUUUUGAAUAAUUUAAAUUAGAGAUAAAUCUCGAAAUUAUACAUGAACUUUGAUUUAAUGUGAAAUUGUAUACAUAAACUUUAAUUUGAUUUAAUAAUUUACAAGAAUUUGAUCAAAAUAAAAUUUCAUGUAUAAAAUUGUAUAAAAUCAAAGUUCAUAUAUACAAUUGCACAUUAAACCAUAGUUCAUGUAUAGUUUUAAGAUUUAUCCAUUUAAAUCAUAAUGAUAAGUUUUAUAUAUUAAAUUAAUAUAUUUAAUCUUCCUUUAAACGGAACAUGCUACUUGUUGAGUUAUUAUAUUUAUUCUGCGAUUUAAUUUUAAAUUUUAUUUGUCAAUCUUCAUAUAAUUAUUAGAAGAAGGAAUUUAUGACCAUAAAAAAUAAAGAUAUAUUUAUCAACUAAAUAAUAAAAAAAUAUUAAAAAAAUAAAAAAAUUCCUACAGAAGGACAAUAUCUUUAGUUAUUAAAGGGAUCUGUUGAUAAUCAAAGGAUAUUUUAAAAACUUUUCUUAAAAGAGUGGGAUCAUCAAAUGCUGAUAGAGCAAUAAUUUGAAGCAGUCAAUAAACUUGUAGAAAGGGUAUAGCAAGAGGUUUGAAGCAGGCAAUAAACUUGUAGAAAGGGUAUAGCAAGAGGAUGGAAGCUUGACGCCAAAAGUUGUGUUGAGUGUUCUGGGGUGAUUGAAUUUUCUACAUUGAAAACGAAGCUAGAGGACAAUUGUUUUCUUGUCAAUAUUGCUACAAAUGCCAUUGAAUUUCCCACAACAAAUUUUCUACAAAUGCUUUUCAAUUUUGAAUCAAGUUGGUUUAUGAUUGGAAUUACUUGCUGCAAUAAGUUAGUUAUUUCAUUUUUUUAUUUAAUACCAAAAUUAAAUAAGUUUUUAUUAUUAUUCUCAUUAAAAACCCGUUAAAGUUUCAGUUUUUCUAUUUAAUAUUGCAACUUUAAUUCUAUUGAAUGUUUAGGUUACUCUUUGUUUUUCAUUAAUACUUUUGGUUUUUUUUUUAAAUAUAAAAAGCUAUUAUAUAUUAGUUAUUACUUAUUAAGAUAUCAACAUUGUUAGAGCAAAAAAAAUCUGUGUGAUGGUAAAAAAAUAUAUACAUAUUCUUUUUGGUGAAUUAUAAUAACAAAGUAAAAUCUGAACAACUAACGCAACUAGUGCGACUUGAAUCCAGGUCAUAUAUGAGGUGUAGUUAAAUGAGAAAGACAUUGUAUAUAAUAAAAUAGAUGUGAAAAAAAAAUUGUUUCAUUAAUUAUUAAUAAAAUAAAAAUAUGAUUCAUUUGCAUUUGGUAAAAUUUAAUUAAACAAUAAAAUGUUUUUUUUAUUCUCAUAGAAGUAUAUUUCAUUGAAUAAUUUAAUUGCUUUUAUUGAAAUUAUCGUGGUAUAUACGAAUGUUGCUUAGAAUUUUUUUUUUGUAACAAAUAUUUUUCAUUGUCAUAUAUUGCAUAUGAUAUAAAGGCAAUAUUUGAAUGGAGCAUUGGUUAGUUUUUCACAGUGAAUCCUCCACAAUAUUCCUUUGUUUGAAGUUGCGGAAACAUGUCUCGUGUUUUUAUAAGAUACAUGCAUUUAAUUGGUUUCAAACAAUUCUCCUUCAGUAUUACAAAAAAUUAUGGAUAAAAGUAACUCUUUUAUAAAAUAGCUGCCGAUGUUGACGGAGAACUUCAUACUCCAAUUGCAAUGCAAAAGGCAAAGGUAAUGAGAAUUGUAAGCUACCAACCCGCCUAAACCUUAGAUUCGAAUUCGAAAGAUUAUAUUGGCUACUAAAAUGACUCAAUAAGGUAGCGGAAUUUAUAAAAUAGUCGUUUUAAAACAUUUGUUUAUCUUUAGAGGAAGUUUUGUCUAUUUUCAAAAAAAAAACUUAGCGUUUUAUUUCCCUUCUUACGAAAUAAUAAAGUUAAUCCAAAACUAAUUGAUUUAUAAAUUAGCUACUCGUUUAAAAAUUCAUUUUCCAACAAUGCAGCAGAAAAGUGAUACUAACAUAGUUUUAAUGAAAACCAUGUUUUAUGCAUUAUAAAAUAAAAUAAAAACUCAAGUUUUAAUAGCCUAAAAAUACCAUGCAUGCCCUAAAUAAACUCAAAACUAACUCUUGUGCCACAGUUUAAAAGUUCUCAAAAAAUAGGAACUAUAUUAAAUAAUAUUAGGUAAAAAAAUAUUUAUAUAUCUUUAAUCCAAGACUAGCCCUCCGAUUUCCCGAUUUUACUUCCUAACCUGAUGGAUUAUCUGUAAAUAUGUAAAUUAAAAAGGAGUGAGCUAUGAAGCUCAGUGUGAGUUCAGUCAUAAGAAAACUGGAACAAAACUGUAGGCAAAGCACAUCGGUUAGCAAUUCUGAGAAUAAUCACAAUCAUAAAGCAUUUCAAAUUAACAGUUUUUCAUAUCAUCACUUCACUAUUUCAUAAAUCACAAUUUUAUAUGCACAUGCUAAUGAAUGACAAUAUAAUUUCAAUUUGUUUGAAAAUAUCACUCUAGGUUGCGGAUGAACCAUCGUUGAUUUGCAGAUAAACUGCCACUUGUUUCUGGAUACGCGAUGUAAUUGCAGAAGCCUUUUUCAAUCAAUGAGAACAAAGCCCCGGGUCCGGAUGGCUUUAAUUUAUGCUUUUUUUUUUAAAUGUUGGGAGGUUCUUCGAGAGGAUUUGUUUGAGAUGAUGGCAAAGUUCUUUAAAUCUGGAAAAUUGGAGAAAAAGUAUAAACUCGUAUUUUAUUGCAUUAAUUCCCAAGAACGAUAAUCCGCAUGAUAUUUCCAAAUUCAGACCAAUCUGUUUGGUGAGCUCGCUGUACAAAAUUAUUGCUAAGGUUCUAUUGAGAAGAUUACGAAUUUUAUUGGGGAUGUGGUCAGUGAUACGCAAUGUGCCUUCAUUUGAGGUAGACAUAUUUUCGAUGGAAUUUUAAUCGCAAAUGAAUUGAUACAUUCGGUCAAGAAAAAGGAUGGCUCCGGGGUUAUUUGUUUUUUAAGUUGGAUUUUUCUAAGGCAUACAUUUGUGUGAAGUGGGAUUUCUUAGAAUUGAUAUUGUUGAAGAUGGGUUUCGGCUAGGAUGGACGGGAUGGAUGGUGGAGUGUGUGUCAACAACGAGGGCUGCAGUGCUAAUUAAUGGUGCAGUUACAAAUGAGAUCAGAAUAUUCAGAGGUCUCCGGAAAGGGGAUUCUUUAUCUUCAUUUUUAUUCAUUCUUGUGACGGAAGUUCUGCAUCUGAUGUUGGUGGAAGCGGAGUAGUUGAGGGUAAUUGAACGGAUAAAAGACGUUAUUCAUGGGCAGUCUGUUUCACAUCUUCAAUUUGUAGAUGACACCAUUUUAUUUUUGAGGGCUGAUGUAACAGCUCAAUUUUCAGUAGUGUUAGAACAGUGAUUUGAGAUCACUAAAUUCGAUGAAAAAGUUAGAAAAAUUGAUUAAUUAAUAAUUAUAAGUUAAGUGUGAUUUUAGAAAUAUUUUUAAAUUAGUGAAUUUUGUGAUUUAAAAGAAAUUAUUAGGUAAAUUGGGUCAAAAACGAGGUAUCGAGACCUCGAUAUUAUAAACUGAGCUGUAAAUAUUUUUAUAAAUAUUUACGGAGUGUCAUUAGGGUAGUAUUAAAGUUUCGUUAAGAAAUUUUAACGUUUCGAUGGUUAAUUGAUUAAAAAGAACAAAAUUGAAAAAAAAAUGUAUUCCCGAGACUCCGUUUCGUAACUCGAAUUCAUAAAUAUUUAUUAUAAAUGUUGACACCAUUUUUUUAUCGAAAACGGGGUCGACUUGGGUUUUGAAAAAAAUGAAAAUGGGAGUCGCCACCGAUCCUUUUUGAUGAGGUGUGAUCGAGUCAUCUUAAAAAAAAGGGUUGUUUUUAAUAAAUAAUUUGAUUUUAUUAAAACAACGGUUUUGGUCCACGAAAUUUAGAAAACGGGUUCGGGAGUCGGUUACGUACAAGGAAGGAUUAGCACCCUCGUAACGCCCAGAAAUUGGUACCUAGUUGAUUAACUAAUGUCUUGAUAUCGAAAAUUGAAAACUUGAAAAAAUUAAAAAUAUGAUCCUUGUAUUAAAAUGAUUUUUUUUUAAAAAAAGGGGCAUAUUUCACGUUUAAUCGAGAAAGAAAGCAUCAUAUCCAGUAAGUUAGGACACAAUGUCUCGAAUUCCCGACACGUAAAAAUGCCAAAAUUUUACUCAUUUAAAAGACAUUUUAGCCAUCUUGAGUUUAAAAAUAAGAUCACGACCAGUAAGUUAGGACGUGUCUCUUUUUUAAAUCCCGAGAUAGUUUGAAAUUUGAGUUCGAAAAUUUUGUGCAUUUAGAUUUAUUGUAAAAAUCGAAACCCAGUAAGUUAGGGUACGAUUUUCUCAAAUCUAAACACGAAAUGCCAUUUUUUUAAAACAAAACUUUCUAUAUCGGGUAAAAUAAAACACGUAAUUGUAGCAAGGAAUAUGAAAGCAAGUUACAUUUUAUUAUGCAUAGCAAAACCAUAAUGAAUAUGAAAGUAUAAAAAAUAUAAAAAUAUGAGCAAUAGCAACGAUAUAAAAGGCCAAAUUUACAACAUAAACAAUAGCAAAGCAUAAAAACGAAUAAAACUAAAACAUUCAUUCAAAAUAAUAAUGAAAAUGAAAUAAAUAAAGAGUAAAUACAAUAAAAAAAACAAAGAGAUAUAUAUAUGUGUAUAUAGGUAUGUAGAUAGUUUUAAGCUAUAAAGUAUAAAAAUAUGUGCAUAUGUGAAUUAUAAAAUAUAUAAAGACCAUAUAUAGGACACGUAUUUAAAAAUAUAAAGAAUAUGUAAGUGUAUAUAUAUUUAUGAAACAAGAUAUGUAUAUAGAUAUAUAGAUAUGUAUAUAAAUUCAAAUAUAAAGAUAUAAAUCUAUUUAUAAAAAUACAUACAUAGAUAUGUAUAAUAAUAUGAAGAUACAUAUGUAGGUAUAAGUAAAAUAUAUAUGUAAAAAAAAGGAAAUAUAAUAUAUACACAUAAAAAUAUACACGUUUUAAUAUGAAAAAUAUAUAUGAAUAGGUAUAUAAAUAUUCGUGAAAGUAAUAUUAAUACUAACAAUAAUAGUAAUAAUAACCAUAAUAAAAAUAAUAGUAAACUAAUAAUAAUAUUUAAAAUAAUAAUAAUAAUAAAUUGCUAAAAUAUGGGCUAAAUCAAAAUAAAAAUAAAAUGUAGGGCGAAAUUGAAAGAAAAAUAAAAUAAAAGGGACCAAAUCAAAAAGCGCGCCAAAAGGGAAGGGUCAAAUGGGUAAAUAACCCAACCGCCUCAAAACGCGGCGUAGCAGUUGGCCAGAUUGAAAUAAAAUUAAAAUUAUAGGGCUAGAUUAAAAAUAAAAGGAAAUAGCGAAAAGGACCGAAUUGAAACACGCGAAUCCUUUGGGUCGGGUCGGGUCGACGCGUGGAUUCCCCAUUACUCAAAACGGCGCCGUUUCAAAAUUAAUAUAAAUACUAAAAAAAACAGUCUUAAAAUCAUUUUUCAAAAAAAAAACAGAGAGAAACUCUCUCUCAUUUUCUCCCUCAGGCUCCGGUGCCGGUCAUCGGCCGAUCUAGGCCUCCGACGUGCCUCCGCCUUAGCACCGCCACAUGCGGUGGCCGGCGAUUCCAAAAUCGGAUCUUUUUUAUCCUCUUUUGAAGCCAGGCGUGUCCUCGGCACAAAUCUAGGGCCAAACCUCAAAAAGGAGUCCGAAGCCUGAAAAACGAGGGGAGACCGCUCGUCUUCUCCCUUCCGGCGCGGCGCAGGUAAGUUUUUUGUUCUUUUUGCUUGUUAUUUUGUGUAGAAGAUAAAAAUAAAAAACAAAGAAUAAAAAAAGGAAUAGAUUUGGACACCAAAAGAGUCACAUUUUUCUCUUGUUUUUGUUUUUUUUUUUUUUUUUGCUAAUCUCUGUUUUGUUACAAAAAUCGCUAGAAGAGCAAACAAAGUUACAUUUUUGGUUGGCUUUUAUAGCCGAUUUUCUACUACCUGCGUUCUUUGUUUGCUUGUUCUCUUCUUUGCAGGUAAUGGCGCAAGUGGGGGUGGCGACGUGACCGGGGCGGUGGCGACGUGACGUGGCUGCAGUGGCAGAAGACCAAAAGUCAGAGGGGGGCAGUGCCUAGGUGCGACGCUAGGGUUUCCUUUCUAAAACCCUAGGCAAAUUUUUUUAUUAUUGGGCCUCGGGUUAGUGGGUUGUUGGGUCUAGUUUAGUUGGGUAUUGGGUUGCUGCUUUGGGCUUUGGUUUGUAAUUGGGUUAGGCUGUUGGGUUUAUUUUUGGGUUUGUUAUUGGGCUAUUCAGGUUUGGGUUGGUUAUUGGGCUGAGGUUUGCUGGGUUAUAAUUGUUUUUGUUUAGUUUAGGGUUAAUUGGGUUUUGGGCUAAAAAUUGGGCUUGUACAAUAAAUAUUUAUGAAGUUAGUUGUGUAGUUAAUUAGGUUUUAAUUAAGUGAAUUUGUCUAAAUUGAGGUUAAUUAUGAAAAAGGAUUAAAUUACAAUAGAGAUAAAAGUUUAAUUAUAGAUUAAAGAAAAGUUAAAAGGACCAAAUAGGCAAUUAUACCUUUUUCUAAAGUUGAGUCUAGGGGUGGGCAAAACUCGAUUCAACUCGAAAAAAUCAAAAAAAAAUUCGAAUUUAGAAAUAAAUGAAUCGAGUUAUUCGAAUCAACUCGAAUUUUUUUUUCAAAUUUUGAGUUCCAAUCGAGUUGAGUUUUCGAAUUCGAAUAACUCGAAUAAUUCGAAUAAUUCGAAUAUCAAACUAUAAUAUUUUAUAUUUUUACCCCAAACUCCCAAACCUUUUUACUUUUCCCUCAAACUUUUACUCCUUCCCACUUUCCCCCCAAAACUUUUACUCCCCUCCCCUCCCAACCCCCCAAUCUACCCAAAAUCCAUUUCCCACCAAAAUUUUACUCUCCCAUUUACUUUUUCUCAAAAUUUUACUCCCAAAAACCCUCAAGACCUUUUAUUUUCCCCCAAAAUUUUUACUCCCUCCCACUUUUCCCCUAAAACUUUUAUUUCCUUCCCAUCCCACCUCCCACCUCCCAUCUACCCCAAACCCUACCCCCUCCAAUUUUUUUUUUAAUAUUUUCCCUCCAAAAUUUUACUCCCCCUAUUUACUUUCCCUCAAACUUUUAUUCCCCAAAACUUUUUAUUUUCCCCCUAAACUUUUACUUCUGACACUUUACUCUCAAAUAAAAAAUCAAAAUUAUCUAAAAAAAAUCACUAAAUAUAAAUAGUAAUAAUUUUAUUUAUAUCUACUAUUUAUAUUAUUAAAUUAAAUUUCACAUUUUAUAUUAUUUAUAUUAUUGAAUUGUUUAGUCAUAUUGAAUAUUUAUAUUAAAAUUGAAUUAUUAAUUAUACCAUAAAAUAUUCGUGUUAAAAUUUUAUAUUGGUAUCAAUUUCACAUUUUAUUUUUAAAAUAACUUUUAUUAAAAAAUCAUAUUUUUACAUUGAAUAUAUUUUUUAAUUCCAAAAUACAUAGUGAUAAGAAUCUGAAGAUAAUUGAAACAACUAAGUAAGCAAAGAAGCUAACCAAUAUAUAAAAAAUUAAUAAAUAAAUUAUGAGGUGAUGAAAGUUAAUAAAAAAUUUGAUUAAGGUGGACAAAUUUUAUUACGAUGGGCGACAGGGGUUACAAGAACCCAAAAUUAUUUUUUAAAAUUUAACUCGAACAAAUAUAUUCGAUUUGAUUCGAUUCGAAUUCCAUCUCACUUGACUCGAUUCGAGAAAAUUUCAAAUAAAGUUAGGAUGGUAAAAUGAGAUUUCAAAUUUUGAUUAACUCGAAAAUUUUUUAUUCGAUUCGAUUCGAUCGAAUCCCACCCCUAGUUGAGUCAGCACAUGCAUGACAAAAAUCUUAGAUUUUUUUUAAAGUAUGUUAUUAUUUUAUUAUAUUGUAAAUUAUAUUAAUUAUAUUAUAUUAUUAUAUUUUAAAUAAACAAAUUUGUUGACAAAUGUAUGGUGCAUAUGAUGACAUGUGGAAAAAUGAAAUACAUAUAUUAGUAAUUAUUACAUAUUUACUUAUUAUUUAAGUAAAUAAUUUUAUAUUAUUAUUUUAUUUUUAUUAUAUUAAACUAAUUAAAUAAAAGAAAUAAAAGAUAGAAAAGAGAAUAGAAACAGAAUAGGCAAACGAAACAGAGAAGGAAAGAAGGAAAGAAAAAAAAGAAAGAAAGAAAAGGGAAAAUUGAGGUUUUGAGGUUCCAAGCUCAAUUGGUAAGUCAAAUUAAGUCUUUUUCUUAUACUUUUUGAGUUUUUUAGAGUUCUAGAACAAAAUAUUUCAUGGUUUAUGUUGAAAUUUUGGAAGUUAUUAUAUUUCUAGACAUUGAUUAUAUUGAAUAAAUGAAAGCAUUAGGGGUUAAAUUGAUUGAAAUUCAAGUUAGAAGUUAGUAAAUGAUUUAAUUGUAAAAUAAAGUGUAAGUUUUGAAUAGUAGGGACUAAAUUGAAAGAAUCCCGAAAUUAGGGAUUUAUGGUGAAAUUGAAGAGCUAAAUUGAAUUAUAGUAAGAAUUAAGAGAGAAUAUGGAGUUAGAAUGGGAAAAUAAAAUUAGUAUUGAUAAGGGAUUAAAUUAGAAUUUGGGUAAAGUUUAGGUAUAAAUGGAAAUAUUUUAAUGAAAUUGUGUAUUAAUGAUUUUUAAUUGUUUAAUUAUGUAGCUAAUGUCGUGCAAGAGUCAUUGUCCGAGAAAGGAAAGGAGAAGGUGGACAGUGAUUGACUCGAGAGAAAUUUCGGUUAGUAUUACCAUAAUUCGAAUUUAAUUAUUAAUUGAUAAAAUUUAAAUUAAUAUACAUGAUAAGCAAAUUGGGGUAAGUAUCACGAUUGAAUUGAAUGAUAAAUACAUAUUGGUAUUGAAUUUAUUAAUAGUAAUUGUUGAAUUUUGAAUAUGUUUAGUAAAUAAAAAAAUAAGGUGAAUAUCGAUAUUGAAUUGUAUGUGAAUUGAAUGGAAAUUACUAGUGAUAUGAUUUGAAUUAAAAGAAUUAAUGUGGUAUUGAAAUGUAUAUUGAAUGAAAAAUAAUUAGGGAUUUGAAUUUGAUUGGAAAAUGAAUUAAAAUAUGAAUUGAACAAAAGUGAAUUAAAUUAUGAUUAUGUGUGAAUAUGUGUAUUGUGAAUUGAUAUGUGAAUUGGAAAUCGAGAUAUGAGAUUUGAAGAUAUGUGAAUAUGUGAAUAGUGUAUUGAUUGAAAAGUGGUUUGAAUGAAAUUAGAUUGAAUUGUGAUUAUAUGUGAGUAAUUGAGAUGAAUAUUGAAUUAAGAAAGUGAAAUUGAAAUGUGAUUAUUGAAUAGAAAAUGAAAUGGUUUGAAUUGAAUUAUUGAAUUGAACUGGAAUAUUGAAAUUGGUGAUUGAUAUGGAUUUUAUUAGAAUUGAAUUGAGAAAAUGGAAAUUAAUAUGUGAGACUGAUACUGAAUUGAAUUAUGGAAUACUAAAGUAAUGAAUUACUGCAAUACUGUGAAACUGAUUGAAAUAAGGAAUUUUAAUUGAUACUGAACUAAGAUGGAAAUUGUACUAAAAAGUAAAUUAAAUACCCUAUUAACUAGUCGGGCUAGUCGGAUAUAGUUGGCAUGCCAUAGGAUAUGAAAGAGUACGGGUUUUUGCCGGCUUACUGAUCAGGCACUUAUUUGCCGACUACUGUUACUGUUACUGAUUCGAUACUUUGUGUGUCGAAUAUUGUUACCGUUACUGUUACAGAUUCAGCACUUUGUGUGUUGAAUACUAUUACUGUUACUGUCACUGUUACCGCUACCGUUAUUGUUUACUGAUUAGGUACUCUGUACUGUUUUAGGCACUAUGUGAUGUAUUGGUGUGCUGGUUGGAAUCCGUGUAUCCGCCAAAGUCCAAGUCAAGUUAAUAGGGGUAAAUGAAUAAUUUUGUUAAUAUAAAUUUUAUUAAAUGAUCUUGAAUAUGAAUCGAAAAGAGAUAUUAAAUUGAGAUAUAGAAAAUGAAAUGUAUGAACCAUAGGUUCAAGAAAUAGAUAAUGAUAUAGUUCAUGAAAUGGUUUUGGUAGUAUGAGAUGAUGUAAAAAUAUAAGUAAAGAAAAGUAAACUGAAAUAGCUAUUGUUGAGAAAUGAGAAGUGAAAAUAAAAUGAUUUGAAAUAGUGAAAUUAUAUGUGAAUUUAAUUGAAUACAAGUUAUUGAAAUUUAUUUAUGGAUUUAAUGUAUAAAUUGAUUGUUAAAAGAUUAUAAGUAUAAAAUUGAUUAUAACUGAACGAAUCGAAUUGAAAGAUAGUUAUAAUUAGUUAUUAUUAUUGAAACAUGUUGGUCUAAAUUUUAAUUUGAUUAUUAAAAUAUUGAAAGUAUAAAUUGAAUGUAUACAAUUUAUCGAUUAAUGUUAUUAAUUUGAAUUAUGGUAAUACCACUGAGUAUUCCCAUACUCAGCGUACAGUUGUUUCCGCGCGCAGGUUAGUAGAAAACCAGUGUUUGGUCCAGCAUCCAGAGCAAUCCCGACCUCAAAGAAAUUUUAGUGAUGUACCUUUGUUUUGAUAAUGUGGCAUGGACCUAGGUGAUGUAUAGGUUAAGUAUAAGAGUUUUGUGAUUACGGUUGUAGAAUGAUGUUUAAAUUGGUUAUAAGUAUGAAAUGGAACUAAUAUGACAUAUUUGAUACAAGUAUGUUAUAUCUGUUAUUUAUUUGUGAACUAGUUAUAAGUUAUCCGAUAUAUUCGGUAAUGCUUUGUAACCCUAUUCCGGUGAUGAUUUAGGGUUAAGGGGUGUUACAGCAGAUGAGGUUGUGGUAAGAAUUUCUAAGUACAUUCUUCGCUGUUUUGAAAUUUUUUCUGGAUUAAGUAUAAAUUUUCGGGAGUCUUGCAUAGUGGGUUUUGGUACUGAAUAGGAGUUUUUGUUCUAAAUGGCUGCUAUUUGUAAAUGCAAGAUAGGGAAAUUAUCAUUCAAUUUUUUGGGUAUAUCUUUAGAUGCUGAUCCAAGGAAGAUAUCUUCUUUGAAUGGUUUUGUGGAAAGAGUAGAGAGGAAAUUAUCGGGCUGGAAAAGUAAGUCUCUCUCUUGGGCAGGCAAAACUGUGCUUAUUAAUGCUGUGUUAUCCUCUCUACCUAUCUAUUUUAUGUCAAUUUUUUAAACACCUAUUGCAGUGAUUAAUAAGAUAGACAAAUUUAGACAAAAUUUUUUAUGGGGAAGUUCUUAGAACAAAAUGGCAGCAAACAUGAGCAAACACAAACAGCAAGCAAAAGAAAAGAAAACUGAUGAGCAAAAUUAUAACUGAAAGAAGAAGUUAUCCAUUUCAUUCACAAAUUUGAAAAUAUAUUAAAGUUACAGACUAAUUAGUCAAUUACCUAAACUUGUAACUGCUCCCACUAAUUUGUCUAAUUGAUAACUUAAGUAAUACAAAAGCAAAACUGAAAAAAGUCAGCUAUUACAUCCAUUAGUUUCAAAUCAAAAAUUUACCAACUUUAGAUAUCAAGUUACAUGCUAACUUGAUCACAUUACAAAAGAACAAAAUCAAACAAAGGAAGUAGACUGCUUCUGGUUCUGUCUCGAUGCUGGCAUGCUAGCUGAUUUGCUGCUGCUACUGCUCUUGGUUACUCGUUGCAUUGCAGUCCAUUGCUUAACACUCCUCCUUGGACUAUAGGCAACAAACACCAAUUGAAUCUCUCAAGAUUUUGAACCUUGCUGCACCAAGAGGUUUUGUCAAAAUGUCAGCCAAUUGAUCUUGUGAGCUGCAAUGAAUGAGACCAACUUCUUUGGAUUGUACAGCCUCUCGAACAAAAUGAAACUUAAGUUUAAAAUGUUUGGUUUUGCCAUGAAAAACUAGAUUCUUGGCUAUGGCAACUACUGAUUAGUUAUCCACCAUGAUUUCAGUAGGUUCAAGUUGUUCUUCAUUUAAAUCACAUAGCAACUUUCUAAGCAAAAUGGCUUGGCUUACUGCUGCUGUAGCUGCUAUGUAUUCAACCUCAGCUGUUGGCUGAGCAACUGUUUGCUGCUUCUUCGAGCUCCAGCAGAAAACUCCUGAGCCAAGUGUAAAGAAAUAGCCCGAGGUACUUCUCAUAUCAUCAACAGAUCCAGCCCAAUCACUAUCUGAGUAACCAAUCAGCUUAAGCUUACUUUCUUUCUUGAACAUAACCCCAAACUUCAAAGUUCCUUUGACAUACCUGAGUAUCCUCUUAGCUGCCUUGAAAUGAGUUGUAUUGCAGCAGUGCAUGAAUCUCGACAAUAGACUAACUGCAUGCAUAAGGUCAGGUCUGGUUGCUGUUAGGUUGAGCAAGCAACCAAUUAAGCUUAUGUACUCCCUUUCAUCAACUCUUUCUUGACUUCCAAAGCUAAUCAGUUUCUCCCCUUGAGCCAAUGGUGUGCUCACUGAUUUACAGUUUGUCAUAUGAAAAUUGUUGAGAAUUUUUAAGGCAAAGGCAUGCUGGCUGAUAAAAAUGCCUUGAUCAGACUGGCUUACUUCCAUACCAAGGAAGUAUGUCAUGAUUCCUAAAUCAGUUAUAUCAAAUACUUCUUGCAUUCUUACUUUGAACUCUUGAAUCAAAUCAACCUUGCUUCCAGUCACUAACAGAUCAUCUACAUAGAUUGAAACAAUCAGUAAAGUUUCAUCUUGACACUUUUUCACAUAAAGUGUAGGCUCACUCAAACUUUUCUAAAAAUUGAGCCUAAACAGGUAAGAAUUAAUCCUGUCAUACCAGUCUCGAGGUGGCUGUUUCAGCCCAUAAAGUGCUUUCUUCAACCUACAAACUUUGGCCACAUUACAUCUUUGUCCUAUUUUCCUUGGACCUUAAAACCAUCAUGUUGUUCAACAUAUAUCUCUUCUUUAAGAAGUCCAUUCAAGAAGGCUGACUUAACAUCAAGCUGAUGCAUUCUCCAUUGCUUCUGUGUAACCAAGGCAAACAGAAGCUUAAUGGUGUCUAGCCUUGCUACUGGAGCACAUGUCUCCGCAAAAUCUAUGCCAAACUGCUAGAUAUACCCUUUCACCACAAUCAUUGCCUUGUGUUUGUUUAAAGAGUCAUCAGCAUUGAAUUUAGCUCUAAAAACCCACUUGACACCUUGAUCUUCUUCUGGUCAGGUCUAUCCACCAGAUCCCAAGUGUCAUUUUUGUGGAUCAUAUCAAUCUCAGCUUCCAUGGCUUGCUUCCAAUGCUUAUUUCUUACAGCUUCUUCAAAGCUAGAAGGCUCAACUAUGGCCACAUUACAUCUUUGAUAGAUGUCAGCAAUGGACCUGGUCCCUCUUACAGGAGAAUCAUCUACAUUUGCAUUACUGGACUCAUUUUCUGUUAAUUCCAAACUGCUGUCAAUCUGAUCUUCUUCAAACUGACUUGUGUCUGAACCAUCCAAGCUCCAAAAUUUAUCUUCAUUAAAUUUGACAUCCCUACUCAUCAAAAUUUUCUUGGUUGAGGGAUCAAAUAUUCUGUAGCCCUUUUUGGUCCCACUGUAGCCAACAAAUAUCCCUAGAACUGAUCUUUUCUCAAGCUUAGUUCUUCUUUCAGCAGGUACAAGGACAUAACACACACAUCCAAACACCUUUAAAUGGGAAACAGUUGGUUUAAGACCAUACCAUACUUUAAAAAGAGUUUUAUCCUUCACAGCAUGUGUUGGCAGCCUAUUAAACAGGUACACAGAGGUGUUGACACCUUCAACCCAAAAUGUGCUUGGAAGUUUGCUUUGAAAUAGCAAACACCUAACCAUGUCCAUCACUGCUCUAUUCUUCCUCUCACACACCCCAUUUUGCUGAGAAGUAUACACAGUGGUCAAUUAAUGAUGGAUCCCAGCUUGCUCACAUAGCUUCUGAAAUCUUUCAAACAAAUAUUUAGUUCCAUUAUCUGUCCUCAAAACUUUAAUCCUGCAGCCUGUUUGAUUCUCUACCAAAGCUUUGAAUUUUGCAAAAGCUUCAAAUGCCUCAUACUUGUGCUUUAUGAAAUAAACCUAGGAAAAUCUGGUCAAAUCAUCUAUAAACAAUAUAAAAUACUUACCGCCAUUUAAUGAAGGGGUCUUCAUUGGUCCACAGACAUCAGAGUACACUAAUUCAAGCUUUUCUCGAGCCCUCCAUGCUUGGUUUACUAGAAAAGGCAGUCUAGCCUGCUUACCAAGCUGGCACACUUCACAAACAGACUCUUUUGAAUCAACCGUGGUCAUGUCCUCUGCCAAAUUCAACUUGUGCAGCAAAUCGAGUGACCUGAAAUUUACAUGGCCUAAUCUUCUAUGCCAUAGGCUAGUAUUGUCAGUUAAGCUUGUAUAAGCUUUUCUCUCAAGCUAACUUACAUCAAGCAUAAAACACUUGUCUGCCAUUGGUGCUGAGACAAUUUCUAUACCAUGAACAUCAUUAAUAACACAAGAACCAUUCUUGAAAACUAGUGAGUAGCCUUUUUCAACCAACUGACCUACACUAAGUAGGUUCUGAUCUAUAUCAGGUACAUAAAGCACAUCUGAGAUAACUUUGUUACCUGAAUCAGUGUUGAUCACCACAUCACCUCUGCCUUUGGCUUCAAUCAGAUUCCCAUUGCCUAUCCUGACCUUCGAGGUAAAACUUCUGUCAAGGCCUUUGAACAAACUUCCAUCAGCUGCCAUGUGAUGUGAGCAGCCACUGUCAACAAGCCAACUAGAUUUUACAUUGCUUGUGGUUGCAAAUCAUGAGGCAGUAAAAACAUGCUCCUCCUGAGCUUAAAGAUCCUCAGCAGUUUUAGCUUGUACUUACUGCUGAGCAUGAGCCUUCUCUUUGCCUUUGCAAAUUUUCUCAUGAUGGUCAUACUAUUUGCAACUCUUGCACUGAAUAUCUAGUCUAUUCCAGCAGUACUUUUCCAAAUGGUUUGUUUUCUUACAGUGAAUGCAUGGUGGAAACCUCCUUCUCCCUGCAUCUUUUCUUGAUUUCUCCCUUCUUUCAAAUCAAGGCUUCUUUGCUUUCUGACUUGAGUUAGAGCCUUCUUUGACUUUUGCUUGAAAGGCUCCUUCAGGAUGCUCUUCCUGCCUACUAGCCCUUCUCUGCUCAAGUGCAUAAAGUGAGUUUACCAACUCAGCCAAAGAAAUGGUUGUGAGGUCCGUAAUAUCCCGAAAAUUACUAUUGUAAUACCCCGAAAAUUACUACAGUAAGAAAGUAGGUAUCAUUGAUAGUAAAAUAAGGAAAUAAAGUGACAAAAAGGGAAAUUUUGAGUUAUAGCAACAUUGGGAAUUAUAUUAUGACAUAUUAAUUCAAGAAAGGAUUAAAUCGCAAAAGUGAGAAAAGUUUUGUUGCCCAAGAGUAAAUACUCAAAAUUUGAGGGAUUAAAGUGUAAAUAUGAAAAAGUUGAAGGACCAGUAGUGUAAAUAUUUUAAGAGUGGAAUAAUCUAGAAACUAAAGAAAAUGGAUGAAUUAGGACCAAAUUAAAAAGGUGAAGAACUUUGAGGGACUAAAUUACAAUUUUACCAAAUUAAAUGAUGACUCAAUGAUGGAAUUUCAAAAGAUUAUAAAGGGCAAAAUGGUCAAAUAUAUAUAGAGAGAGAGAGAGAAUUCUAGAAGGUAAUAAUAAUGUUUGUGAUAUUUUUAAUUAAUUAAUUAAUUAAAUGUUAUUUAAUUAAUAUUUUAUUAAGAUUUUUAGUAUUAUUUUAUUGUUAAAUGAUUAAUAUAAAAGGGAGGAAAGAUGAUGAAAAAAAAUCAUCAUCUUUCCAUGCACCCAACGUUAGAAGAGAAGAGAAGAAAGAAAGUUUUACUUUCUUUACAAUUUGGUCCUUUCACCAAAAAUUUACUAUUUUCACCUAGAAAUCAAAAGAAUUUCCAUAGCUUCCAAGAGAGAAAAAUAAUAAGGAGACAAUGGGGAGCUAGAAUGUCAAGUUAGAUUCAAGAAAUAGAAGCUGGAGGAGAGAGAAAAUCAAGUUAAAGAUUGAAAUCAAUAGCACAAGGUAAGAACAUCAAGAUUUCAAUAUAUUUUUAAGUUUGUUAUUAUUGAAAAAAGCAUGGAAAUGAUGUUAUAGUAGAUUUUUCUUAAAUAAAGUCUUAUGUUCUUGAUAUAUUAGUGAAGGGAAAUAAGUAAAAAUGAUGGGAAAUAUUAUAGAGAAAGGGAAUUAUGGAGUUAUAAACUUAGUAAUCAACAUCUUGCACUAAAACAGUUUUGGAUAGCAGCAGUAGGUUAAAUUUGAAAAAUUACCAUAAAUUAUGGAAAUCGAAUUAGAGGAUGAAAAAACAUGGAAUUAAAUCUUAUUAAGUAUAGUUUCUCAUAGAAGAAAUGUUGUGAGACAAGGUCAGAAUGAAUUAGGGUUCCCCUAUUCUGACUUUGGAAAAUCAUCAAAAAUUGAAUAAAAAUAAUUAGAGGCUUAAAUUUAUAUUUUUAAAAUCCUUAAUGAGUCUAUUUUCAAGAGAAACAAAUGGUAACAUCAUCUGAAUCCUGUACAAGGAGAUAAUUAAUUUUUAGUGAAGAAUGGUCGGAACUGUCAGACAGCAGAAUAGGGAUGACUUUAAAGAAUAAACUGUACUUAUUGGCUAAACCAAAAAUUCUGAAAAUAUUAUGGUAAGAAUAUAUGUGAGUCUAAUUUUAUAUAAAUUUAGCAGGUCUUAAUUUGGAGUUCCGUAGUUUAAGAUAUAAAUGAUUUAGUGACUAUGACUCAAGUGGACAGCUUUGAAUGAAAAAUAAAUAAAUAGUGAAAUUAUAGAUAAUGUUACAUAUAAGCAUGUUAUAUACAUUAAGGAUGUGGAAUGGAGAGGAGGAGGAGGAAAAUAAAUGAUUAUUCAACUAGCAUGAGUUCUCAUUAAAAAUGGUCAAUUUGCAUGUUUUAGGUUCAAGGACUAAAUUGAAUAAAAGUAAUAUUUUAAGGGUAAAUUAGUAAAGAUGUCAAAAAGUAAUUAAAUAGCAUGAAAUGAAUUGUUUUAUUAUUUAAAUUAAUAAAUUGAAUGAAAUAUUAAUUUAUAUCAAGAUUGCGUGGAAAUUCGAGAAAAAUGAAAAAUUACCAAAAUGUCCUUGAAUUUUGGUAUUUCUGUAAUUUAGCCUGGUAAGUUCGUGUAACUUGAAUUUUAUUCUUAGAUGAUUGAAAUAUAUAUAUUGGAUUGAGAAAUUGAUUUGAAUUGUGAACAAGAGAAAUUGUGAAUUGAAUGAAAUAGAAAUGAAUCUUUGAAUUACAUGAGUAAAUAUUGGGUCUCGUAGGCCCUGUUUAUUAAGAAUAUAAAAUUUUGAGGAUACGUUGUAAAGAAUUAUAAAAGCACGUUAAUAAUUUGAGAGUUUUAAUUCGAAUAAAAUUUUGUAACUCGGUUUAAUACGUAUGCAAAUUUAUGUCUUCUAGUAAUGCCUCGUACCCUAUUCCAAUGUCGAAUACGGGUAAGAGGUGUUACAAUGUGACAUCGCCAAAUUCGACCAUAACGUUUAGACCGGGUUUGGGGUGUUACACCUCGAGUCCUCUAAUGAGGAGAUUUUUUACUCAAACCUCUCAGGGAGAGUGGUAAUAACUUUCUCAACAACCCUGCUGUCACUAAAAUCUUCUCCAAUGAGUCUGAUAUUGUUAAUAGUAGCCAUGAUCCUAUCAGAAUAUUGCUUGAUAGUCUCUGACUCCUUCAUUUUCAAAUUCUCAAAUUCCCUUCUAAAGUUGAUUACUUGUUGCUAUCUUGUCUUGUCUGAUCCCAAGAACUCCUUUUUCAGCCUAUCCCAUGCUUGUUUGGGUGAAUCACAGGCCAUAAUCCGAGUGAAGAUCACAUCAGACACCCCAUUCUGCAGGCAAGCCAUGGCUUUGUGCUUCUUGGCUCGCUCCUCACUAUGCUGCCUCAUCUGUGCAAUAGUUGGAUUUGCCCUCAAUGGAGGUGGUUCAACAUCACUUUCAACUACACUCCACAAAUCAUGUGCUUGGAGGUAAGUUUUCAUUUUAACUACCCAAAUGUGGUAGUUCUCUCCAGCAAACACUGGUGGUGGAGGAGGUGUAAAGCUCAUGUUGCUAAAACAAGUUUGACAAAAUUGAUUUCUUUUUAAGUUUGUUUUAAACAGAAAGGCUUAAACAACAACAGAGGUCCUCAAAGACAAUAGGCUCUGAUUACCAUUUGUUAGAACAAAAUGGCAGCAAACAUGAGCAAACACAAUCAACGAGUAAAAAAAAAGAAAACUGAUGAGCGAAAUUAUAACUGAAAGAAAAAGUUAUCCAUUUCAUUCAUAAAUUUGAAAAUAUAUUGAAGUUACAAACUGAUUAGUCAGUUACCUAAACUUGUAACUGCUCCCACUAAUUUGUCUAAUUGAUAACUUAAGUAAUACAAAAGCAAAGCUAAAAAAAGUCAGCUAUUACAAAUCUAAAAUUUACCAACUUUAGAUAUCAAGUUACAUGCUAACUUGAUCACAUUACAAAAGAACAAAAUCAAACAAAGGAAGUAGACUACUUCUAGUUCUGUCUCGAUGCUGGCAUGCUAGCUGAUCUGCUGCUGCUACUGCUCUUGGUUACUUGUUGCAUUGCAGUCCAUUGCUUAACAGAAGUGUAGGUGGUCAGAGGAAAAUGGUGAAGGUAAAAUGGAAACAGAUUUGUUUACCAAAGGAUAAGGGGGCGCGAGAGUGAUGGAUAUCAGGGCUAAAAAUAAGUCUAUCAUGACCAAAUGGUGUUAGAGAUUCACGGUGGAUAGAGAAGCUUUGUGGAUAAAAAUUAUUGUUGUAAAGUAUGGUUCCCCUGUGCAACAUUGGCAUUUUAGAACGAGCAAUUUGAAAGAUAUGUCGGUAGUUUGGAGGGGUAUUGUGGAGAAUGCGGAAGAUUUAAAAGUGACUAAAUGGAUGGGGAAUGAGUCUUUUCGUUGGUUUGUGGGGAAUGGCAAUUCGAUAUUAUUUUGGGACGAUAUUUCGUAUGGUGAUAGUCCUCUGAGAGUGUAAUUUCCAAGGCUGUUUUGUUUAGUCUUGAAUAAGAAAGGACUAGUAAAAGAUUUUUUUGAUGUCGAAUGGGUUUAACGAGGUUAAUUGGGCUGAUUUCUUUUCUCGUCCGUUAAUGGAUAGGGAGAUUAAUAUGAUUACUCGUUUAAAGAAAGCUGUUAGCAGUAUUGUUUUGUUACCUGAGGAGGAAGAUCGAUUAAUCUGGAUUCAUGAUAACAAAUGGGUGUUUUCGAUGAGGAAAUUAAUAGAAUUAUUGAUCAGUGAAUGUGUGGUAGACAUAAGUUUCACUUUUGAUAAAAUCUGAAAGUUAAAAGAUGCCUCCUAGAGUGAGAAAUUUCCUUUGGGUGGUUUCAAUUGAUCGUCUUCCUACUAAGGACUUCCUCAUUAGAAGAGGUGUGAAGAUUAGUCAAAUGGAGAUUGGUUGCCCUUAGUGCUACAGUGAACCGGAGACAGCAGUGCACCUUUUCUUCCAUUGUAAAUUCAUUGUGGGUUUUUGGAGAAAAUUUUUGAAUGGUGGGAGGUGAAAUGGAGGCCAAUUGAUGGAUUCUCUACUUUUUUUUCUCAUUUUGUAAUAAUGUCUCUUAUACAGGAGUGGUUAAAAGUUUAUGGAUGAUCUCAGUGUCAGCGGCUUGCUGGUCGAUGCGGUUAGUGAGGAAUGAGUUGGUGUUCGUUAGAAAGUAGCCUACAAUGUCUAGCUUGGUUUUUCUUUCAAAGAUUCGGGCUUUGAUGUGGAUCAGAUCGGUGCAUGAAGAAUUAAAAGUGGAUGAGAAAAUUUAGUGGGUCUGUCCAUAUAGAAGCUGGAGUGAUAUUAAAAAAUCUAGAUUGAAUGGUAGGUUUUGGUGCCCUCCGAGUCUUGGUUGGGUAAAAUUUAAUGUUUGUAGUGUGGAGAUUGAGGAUGAAGUUGGGUGUGGAGGGGUGUUAAGAGAUUCAGACGGGAUGGCAAGGGCAUUAUCUUCUGGUCUGUUUGCAGCGAAAGACUCCCUUACUGUGGAGGUGGGGGCGAUUAGCUUGGCUUUGGAUGUGUUCUUAGCAAUGGGGUGGAAAGGUAAAUGCUCUUUAAUCAUCGAGGUUGGAUCCAUUGAGGUGUUUAAUUGGGUAGAAAACAAAGGUUUGAGACUGUGGUUGUUGUUUUCUUUCUUUAAAAAAGUUGAAAUUAGGUUGUCUAGAAUUGGAAAUAUUUCCUUUUUGAAAGCAGAUAAGCACGGCAAUAAGAUGGCAUUUGUGCUGGCGGUUUCUAGUCUGAAAAGGCCGGGAAUGUUUAAGGCAUGAUGGUGAUUUUAGGUGUGAUGUUGUUGUGUGUUUAUAGGUGUAUUUGUAAAUUGUUUAGUGGUUUAAUGGGGUGUUUUGUGUAGGUUUUAUUCUGGUUUGAGGAUUGUUUAACAGAUGGGGUUUGUUUGGGUUUUUGUAGGUUUGCUUGCUGUAAUCUGUCUGUGUUUGGAUUAUUGUUUCUUGGGUUUGGGUCUUCUUGUAUCUGUUGUAUGUUUAGCUUUUUUAUAGCUUUGAAAGCUGUUGCACCUUGAUUAUGCGAAAAAAAAAUAGCAGACCAAAUGAUAGAGUGACCUCAUUUUUCUUCCUUUAUGUCUUAUAUUGUGUAUGAUAUAAAGUCAAUAUUUGAAUGGAGCAUUGGUUAGUUUUUCGCAAUGAAUCCUGGACAAUAUUCCUUUGUUUGAAGUUGUGGAAAUACAUAUAUAUUGUAAGCUUUUGGUUUGUGGGAAUGCCGCCACUUUGUUGUCAAGAUUUGCUGCCCAACUUUCGCAUUUUGUAUGUGUGAUAGUGGGUUUUUUUAUCUAAAUAAUACAAAAAAUAAAAUUAAUAACUGAAAUGGUAUGCUCAUAAGAUUAUUUACUAAAAUGGUAUGGUUUUACUAGUGUCUGCUUGUCAAAUUGGCGGCACUAGACUGAAAUGUAAUGAUCUGAAGUAUUUAAGGACUUGAUAUGCAAAUUUUUCAUUUUGAGUGGCUGCUAAAAAAGGUGAAGGGUGCCACCUAACAGUGUGGCAGCACCAAACCUUAAAUGUGGCUAAUUGUCUUGUAAGCCCUCCUUAUUUAUUAUUUUAUUUUUAUUCCCCUUCAACUCACUAUAUUGUAUUUAAACAAGCCCUUAACCUAAUUUUGUAGUUAAAUAAGCCCUUAACUUAUUAUUUUUACUCAUAAAAUCCCUUUAUUUUAAUGUUAAAGUAAAUAUAUUUUACCCAAAGUAAAGCUAUUUAAAAAAAUAUAAACUAAUUCACAUUUUAUGUUGAUGUGAAUUUUAUGAUAAUAGAUUAUUAAAAUAAAAAAAUAAAAUUUUAAAAUUUCUUAAGAGUGCUUAUAUACAUGAUAUUCUUAACUACUGUUUGAAAUUUUUUAUUAUUUUUUAGAUUUUAUGUUGAUGUUAAAGUGUAUAUAAUUUUUAUUGCAUCAACAAAAAAUUAAGAUAAGAGCUUGAAAUUUAAAAUAUAUUUACUUUAAUAUUAAAAUGAAGGGCUGAGUAAAAAUUAUUUUUCCAAUAAGAUGAUGGGUAGAGAUAUUGUCAAUAUUAUUGGAUUAAAAAUUAAAUGAGGAUGUGAGAAUAAAGUAAAAGAUACAAAUUAGACGAAAAGUUAUUUGUUUACAUUUUUAAUUAAAAUAAUAUUAAUAUGUCAUGGACCAACGUGUCGAAUAUGCCUCAAUUGAGCAAUAAUAGAUAAUACAAAACUAACGAAAUAAAUAAAUAUAUCUACCUAAAUUACAUUUGAAGUUUUAUUCCAAAUAUUGUUUAGGUAAAAAUAUUUUUAAAUGAUUUUUUGAGAAAUCUCUUAAAUUUCUAUAUAAUUAAAAGUGAAAUAAAAGUAAAAAAAUUAAAAUUAAAAUAUUUUUUUUCAGAACAUGAAUAUUAAAUCAUAUCUAAUUACCUAAAUGAGAAAAUUAUAAAUUCAUUUAUUUCAAAUAAAUAAUUUUAAAAAAUCAAAUUUAUGAAAAAUUAAACCAAAAUUUCUUAUAUAAAUCAUUUACUUUAUUUUUUUUAAUAAUUCUCAUAUAAAUAAAAAUACAAGGAAAUAACUUACAUUAGAAUUAUCUUAAAAACUAAAGUUUUUAGGCACCAAUAAAAUUUUGCCACAUCAUUAAAUUUUUAAGACAUAAAAUUAUUAUUGUUAUUAUACACUCAUCCAUAGAAAAAUUAUUUUAUGGACCAUUCCCACUACAUUAUUUAUGGCCCAUUUCGAAUUAUUUAAUAACAUUUCAUCAAUUUUUCCAUGUGGUUAACACAUAAUAUUUGUAAUUUUUUUACCUUUGAACCCCAAACCUAAAACUAUGAUCAUUAAAUCUAGAAUCUCAAACUUUAAAUCUAAAAUCUUAAAUCCAAAAUCCUAAACUUGAACACUGAACUCGUAACCCCAAACCUUGAACACUAAAUCUAAACUUGAAUCCAAACCCUUAACCCUUAACCCUUGAACCAAAAUCUCGAACCUCAAAUCCGUAACUUUGAACCCUUAAACCUUGAGCCUAUCUUGAAACCCAAACCCGAACCUUAAACCUUAAAUCUUGAAUCUAAACCUUGAACCUUGGGGUUCAGGGUUUAAAAUUUAAGGUUCACGAUUUGGGUUCAAGGCUCGAAAUUCAUGGUAAAAUAAUUACCAAAACUAUGUGUCAAUAACAUAGAAAAAUUGCACAAAAUUACUAUUUUUAAAAAAAAUUGGCUGCAAAAAAUAAAAAAAUAUAUUAACUUAUGGAAAAAAGCAAAAUGAUUAAAUUUUGAAAAAGAAAAAAAUGAUUGUUUAUAAUUUAAAAAAUUAUUUAUUUUAAGUAAUUUAAUUAAAGUUAAAUUAAGUUUGAGAAGAUAUUAGAUAUAGAUGACUGUAUAAUAAUACUUUAUUAUCUUUAAAAUUUAAUGACGUGAUACUAAUUUAUUUGUGCCUAAAAAUAAUACUUUUUAAGAUAAUCUUAAUAUAAGUUAUUCCCAAAAUACAACUCCUAUUCCUAUACAAUAAUUAUGUGGUUACCAUAAUUAGGGAGAAAAAUCAAUGCAGUGGGGCCUAACUUUUGGAGUAAGAGAGGAUUUCAAGUUGUGUAUAAAUUCCAAGGCUUUGGUUGAUUGAAAUGCAGGAAGAUAUCAAGUGAGUGGUUUGUUGAUUUAGAGAAGAUGGAGGCUAAAUCGUUGUGGGUAUUACUCACUACACUUCUGUUCAUCAUACAAGGGUGGCGACAGACUGAGGGUUGCUUGGAGCAGGAGAGAAUUGCUCUCUUCCAACUCAAAUCCUUCUUCAAUCGCCUUUACAAAUUGGAAAACUGGGCGGAUGUGAAGGGUUCAAAUUGUUGCCAAUGGGAAAGAGUUGAGUGCAACAUCACUAGUAAACGAGUAACAGGCCUUGAUCUUUAUUUCACACGUUAUUGGGAUAACCGUGAAAGAAGAUCAGAUUUAUCUGGGUAUCUCAAUGUCUCUUUAUUUCUUCCAUUUGAGGAAUUGAAGAGCCUUAAUUUGAGUGAAAAUAAUAUCGCAGAUCUUGUAGAUAACCAAGGUUCGUUGCUUUUCUCUCUCUCUCAUUUCCGAUUAAUCCUUGAAAUUUAAUUUAACGUUUAAUAAUUAAUUUGUUUCUUUUAUUUUUCUAAACUAAGACACUCAUGACCAAUAACUUUCUCUUGCAUGCAGUAUCUUUAUCAUCUGUUUUCAACAACUUAGAAAUCCUUGUCUUAUCCGGCAAUAACUUCAAUGACAGUGUGUUAUCAAGUAAGCUUCCAUCUCUCAAUUUCUAUCUAUAUCUAGCAAUUAAUUGUAAGCUUAUACAAAAAAAAAAUGAAAUGAAAGUGAUAGGGUUCGAUCAUACCAACUUACAAUUGAUUGCUACAUUCUCUAUUAAUUUAUUUUAAAUUUCUUUUAAUUAACAGACAACAGGUUGAAAUAAACAAAUUGUUUCCCUUAUUUGCAUACAUUUAAACAAGUUAAAGCAUGUAUGUACUUAUUAUAAAACUUGCAAUUACUUGUCUCUAAUAUUUAAAGAUUACAGAUUUUUUAUAUAAUUAAUAGGAAUAACUUACAUAUGGUCCUAAAAAUUAAAGUUUUUAGGCACCAAUAAAAUUUUGUCACCAUUAAAUUUUAAAUGUAUGAAAUUAUUAUUAUACACUUAUCCAUAGAGAAAUUAUUUUAUGAACCUUUCUCACUUCAACAAUUUUUUUCAUGCUAUUGACACAUAAUUUUGAUAAUUUUUUUACCCUAAACUUUAAACCUAAAACCCGUAACCCUGAAUCUUUAAACCAUGAAUCUCAAACUCAUAACCUGUAUCCUUCGCUAUUUGAAGGACUGGGUGAAUGGGAAAGAGUUGAAUGCAACAUCACUAGUGAAAGAGAAAUAGGGCUCCGUCUUUUUUCCAUAUGGGUAUCUCAAUAUCUCUUUUUUUCUUCCAUUUGAGAAAUUGAGAAGUCUUGAUUUGAGUGGAAAUAAAAUUACAGGCUCGUUACUUUUCAUCUUUUCAAUCACCAAUUAAUUCCUGAAAUUUUAUUUAACGUUUUAUAGUAACUCGUUUAUUUAUUUUUCUAAAUUAAGACACUCAUGAUCAUUAAUUUUCUCUUACAUGCUGUAUAUUGAAAGUUGGAAAUAUAUUCUUCUUUUAAAAUUAAAUAUCCUACAUUACUUUUUUUUAAUGUGAAUAAGCCUCCAUAUGUGUUGAUAUAUUUCAUUGCUCUUUGAUAGAAUUGAAGAGUUUGACAAAGUUGAAGACAUUAGAUUUAAGCGACAAUAGAAUCAUAAGCCUCCGCCACUUUGAAGGUAUAUCUGAAUUUGAUAUUCUAUAUGCAUUCAAUUAAGUUUUAAGGCGUUAGACUUAUAAAGGCCUUCAUCUGUGUUGAUAUAUUCCGUUGCUUUUGAAUAGAAUUGAAGAGUUUGACAAACUUGAAAACGUUAGAUUUAAGUUAGAAUAGAACCGAAAGCCUCGAGCACUUUCAAGAUAUAUUUAAAUUUGAUCUUCUUUAUACAAUCAAUAAACCUUCAAACCGUUAACCCAAAUAAAUUGUCCUUUGAAUUGCAUGACAUAAAUCUUUUACAGGUGAGAAAGUGCAACCGAUGAUGAAUUUAGAAGUGCUUGAUUUGUCUGGUAAUCUCUUGAAGAACAAUGAUCUAACAUAUCUAAAGGGGUUAUCAAGUUUAAAGUCCUUGAACAUUGGAGGAAACCAAUUGGAAGGGUCAAUAGAUAUUAGAGGUAUGUAAAAUUUCAUAAAAUAAAAAUAAUAAGCUAUAUGUAAAUUACAAUUUCAUCAACUUUUUUAACUGUUAAAAAAAAUUAUAUCCAAAUGUAUUGGUUCAUGUGGGAUUUAACUUUUUAGGUAGUAAAAUGAAAGUAUAUUUUAGCCCUCAAUUUAAUUUUUCGUCACUUUUAAUCUUUAAAUUUGUAUUUUUUGUCAAAUCACCUAAAAUAGAUGGAAAAGUUAGACAUUUGUUAAUUUUGCUAAUGUGGCAUACAUGUGGAUUGCCACAUAGAUGACACAUCAAUAUUUAAUUUAUUUUUUAAAAUUUAAGUAUUUUUUAUUUUAUUCUAUUUUUUAUUUUUUAUUUUUAAAAUAUUUUUUGAAAUUUUAAAUUUAAAAAAUUAAUUAAAUAUUGAUGUGUCAUCUACAUAACAAUUCACCUGCAUGCAAAAGUAAAAAAUUAAAUAGAGUUCUAAAAUAACAUUUUUUAUAAAGUUGUAGAGUCAAAUGAAUUAUUAUUUUUAAAAUGUAUUUGAUGACAUUUUUAAUCGAGGAAACUAGUUGAAUUUCAUGAACCAAAAUUAUUGAUUUUUGUGAUAUGACUUAAUUUGACUAACAAAAGAGAUAUUUGAUUGAUUUGAAUAGUAUUGAAUAAUCUGACAAAGCUAAAGCUGUUGGAUUUGAGUGACAAUAAAAUUGAGAGCCUCCAAUCUUCCCAUGGUAUGUGUUGAUAUGUUUUACUUUAUCAUAUUCUUAUAUAUAAAUACCAAUAUCUCAUUUAAUAUUCCAUUAGUAAUAAAUUUGUUUAUCUCAAUGCUUUGUAGAUGGUGAGAGGCCACUUAAUUUGUCCAAUUUUGAAGAGCUUUAUUUGGAUUCCAACUCCUUCACAAAUAGUUUAUUGGCACAGCUUAAUGGUUUUUCUAAUCUAAAGUCAUUGAGUAUACGCGGUAACCAGCUUAACGGAUCAAUAAAUAUUAAAGGUAGAAUUACUUAAUAUAUUUAAUCUUCUUUUAAACGAGACAAAUUACUUGUUGAGUUAUUGCAUUCAUUCUAUGUGAUUUAAUUUUAAAUUUUAUUUAUCAAUCUUCAUAGAAUUAUUAGAUGCAUUGAGCAACUUAGAGCCAUUGAGAAAAAUAUUUUAAUUUUAAAAAAUGUAUAAAUUUUAUAUAUUAUCUCUUAAAUCAUUUAAAUUAUAAUGAUAAUUUUUAUAUAUUAAAAUUAAUAUAUUAUCUCUUUUAAAAUUAUAUUAAUAUAUUAAAAAUAAUUUAUAAAAUAAAAAAUUGUCUAUUUAAUAUAUAAAGUAAAAUAUAUAUACCAAAAUAAUAGUAUUUCAAUUUCAAAUUUUUUUUGUUAUCAAUUCUUUUAAGAUUUUUUUAGUAUUAAAUUAAAAAGUUGUAUUUUAAUCAAUACAUACAAUCAACCUAAGGGAAAGAAACUAGUUAAUAUAUAUGACCAGCUUUGUAGAUGUGAGAAUUAAUUAUUUCUAAUAGUAACAUCUAUAAAUUAUAUAGUACAAUCUUUACUAAAUUAGUAAUUAAUUCUAUUUUCUAAGUGAAAUAAUAAAUAACAAAUUUUAGUUAAUACAUUAUUGUAAUAAUUUUAUAUAAAAUAUAUUAAUCAUAUUUUAUUAAAAGAAAAUAUUUUUUAAUAAAUGAAUUUCGUUAAAGAUACAAUCUGAAUCUCGUUAAUUAAUAUUUUUAUUAAUAUAUUAUAAUUUUUUAAUUUAAAAUUUUUUAAAAAUUCAAAUAUGAUUUAAAUAUUAAAUCUUGUUAUAAAUAUAUCACAAUCACUUAUCUAUAACAUUCAAUAUUUUGACAGACGAAUGGAGUUGUUAUAUGGAAGUUGAAUAUAACUAAAUUUCUGUGAUGAUUACUUUAUUCGACUGACAAAAAAUGCAUUGGAUUGAUUUGGAUAGUAUUGAAUAAUCUGACAAGGCUAAAGACGUUGGAUUUGAGUGACAAUAAAAUUGAGAGCCUUCAAUCUCCCCAUGGUAUGUGUUGAUAUGUUUUACUUUAUCAUAUUCUUAUAUAUAAAUACCAAUAUCUCAUUUAAUAUUCCAUUAGUAAUAAAUGUGUUUAUCUAAAUGCUUUGUAGAUGGUGAGAGGCCACUUAAUUUGACCAAUUUAGAAGAGCUUUAUUUGGAUUCCAACUCCUUCGCAAACAGUUUAUUGGCACAGCUUAGUGGAUUUUCUAAUCUAAAGUCAUUGAAUAUAAGGAAUAAUCAACUUAAAGGAUCAAUAAAUAUUAAAGGUGAAAUUUCUUAAUAUAUUUAAACUUCUUUUAAAUGAAACAAAUUACUUGUUGAGUUAUUACAUUUAUUUUGUGUGAUUUAAUUAAAUUCUAUUUGUCAAUCUUCACAGACCUAAAUGCUUUGAGCAACUUAGAGAAGCUAGACAUGAGCAAUAAUGAGGUGAAAGAAUUUGUGCCCACAAAGAAUAAAGGUAUAUGUAUCAACUAAAGAAAAUCUUAAUAAUUAUUUGUCGUUAGAUAUCUAGUGAAUUGAUGCCAACCACUAAUUUGACUCUCAGAAAAUGAAAGUUUGGAGAAGCUAAAGGUUGCUACAUUAAACAAUGUGUUCAUCAAUGGGACUGUUUCUCUAAUGCAACUUCUGGAGACAUUCUCAUCUGUUAAUACCUUAUAUUUGAGAGACAAUCACUUCAAUGACACCAUAUCUACUCAAGGUAUAAUAUAUAUGUGCGUGAAUAUAUAGUUUUAAAAAUAUUAUUUACUUAACAUCAAUCAUCUAAAUAACUCUUAUAAAUUUGUAAAGAUCAAUUGCAUGUGUCGAGCAAAAUAGAGGAAUUGGUGUUGGAUGGUUCAUAUAUCAACAACAACAUUCUUCAAGGCAUUGGUGUAUUGGCGUCUCUUAAAAUUUUAUCUUUGCGUGGUUGUGGGUUGUCUGGGACAUUAUCUACUCAAGGUAAAUUAAUAAUUAUGACAUAAUUAUUUAGGCAAUCUCUUGAUUAGUUAUUUUUUAUCCUCUUAGAUAACUAGAAUAACUUGCACAAAUUUUUUUUAAAGGGUGGUGCGAUUUAUGGAAGCUUGAGGUGUUGGAUCUUGGUGAAAAUGCUAUUGAGGGAACACUCCCUCCAUGUUUGGCUAACUUGUCAUCUCUUGAUUAUUUGGAUAUUUCUGAUAAUCAAUUCACCGGGAAAGGUGCCUCCACUGCUCUAGCCAAUCUCACUUUGCUUAGAUUCAUUUCUCUUUCACAAAACCUAUUCGAAGUUCCAUCAAUUUUCAUAUCAUUUGCCAACCACUCACACCUCAAAUUCCUCUUUAGUGAUCAAAACAAGUUAGUCAAAGAACCUACCAUUCAAACAUGGGUCCCAAAGUUCCAACUAAAAGUCUUCCGUUUGUGGAAUUGUGCAACAAAGGAACUCCACAUUGAAAUUCCAAAAUUCCUCUAUUACCAAAAUGACUUGAGUUUUAUUGAUCUUUCAGAUAAUAAUUUUGGAGGGAAUCCUUUUUGGUUGUUAGAGAACAAUACAAGAAUGGGAGCAUUUUUAAUGAAGGGUAACUCUUUUAUGGGCCAUUUCAAUAUCCCAUCUCAUCUGAAUCCAAACAUGUCCAUUGUUGAUAUAUCUGACAACAAAAUACAAGGUCCAAUUCCAGCAAACAUUUGUUCAGUCUUUCCACAACUAGCUAGGUUAAACCUAUCAAGCAAUUUCCUUCAAGGUAAUAUUCCUCCUUGUUUGGGUAAUUUGAAGACUAUGUUGAUGAUAGAUCUGUCACAUAAUCAGCUAUAUGGAGGAAUACCAGAAAUGUCAGCUCAAAGUGACUCAUUGAUGUUUCUUAGGCUAUCAAAUAAUCAUCUAAGUGGGAAGAUAAGCCCAACGAUCUUUUGUUCAUCUUCAUUACAAUUCUUAUAUUUAGAUGGCAAUAAAUUUGAUGGAAAUAUACCUAGCAUUGAUAUCUCAACUUUCCCUUAUUACUCCCUUAUUGAUAUAGAUUUAAGUAACAACAAUUUGUCUGGAGAGCUACCAAGAUGGAUAUGGAAUGUGUCAAAUUUACAAACAUUGGCAGUAUCCAACAACCAGCUCAA
RNAcentral lists this long non-coding RNA (243674 nucleotides) under Gossypium barbadense (sea-island cotton). RNAcentral describes it as "long non-coding RNA (GBAR_LNC018285)". Lineage: Eukaryota; Viridiplantae; Streptophyta; Magnoliopsida; Malvales; Malvaceae. The record is from RNAcentral.